ACUUGGGUGUAUAAUAAUACUAUGCAAUACGAUAAAGCAAGGAAGCAUCACUUUAGCUCACUUUGGGUGAGAACAGAACUUACAGGAUUGCUAGGCUGAAUUCUGCUUCCGGUUCGGCAAAAUGGAUGAAAGCAUGAGUUUUGUUCCGAUGGAUGGAAUGGUCCUGAGCGUGUACGUUGCCUUUCCUUGAUCCUGGACUUAGUGAUCAGCAUGAGGGCAAGAGUCGUGAGUUGGAGGGAGCCGAUAACUAAUGUCGCUUCUGUAACUUCCAUUUCUAGAGAUGAUCUUUCAAAUUCGGUGCUUCUUUCUCAACCUGACCUUUAAAAUUGUAAAUUGAAGUAAUGAUGAUUUUACAAGCUCCGGUGAACUUACAUCAAAUUCUUUUCAUCGUCUCUUUUCGAUUUUUCGAAGAUUUCGUGAUCAGUCUUUUCACAUGUGGGCGCAAAUUGAAGUUUGACAGUUUCUUCUCAUGUGAAGGGCUUUCGGAAUCUUCUAAUUUUUUUUUUCAUAUUGACUGGAUGUUGAUAUGCAUGACAAAGCAAAUACGCUAGUGUCUUUGCGUCGCUGCGGCAUGACUCUUCCGGAGGCUCUCUCUCUCGACACAGCAUCCGAGCCUCCAACAGUGGCUGUUCGUCUUAGAAUAUUAGCAAUGGCUCGGCACUCUUGAACUCGCUCUCGCCACCGGAUAGGGCUAGCCAAUUCUCUCUCUCUCUCUCUCUCUCUCUUCCUUGCAAGAGCUCAAUACCUCCUCCAAAGUGCAACCUACGGCAAUGGAAAUUCGGGAGACGACAAGAGGAUGGGAGAAAACAAAAGCGCAACGUCUCGGAGAUGGAACGUCCCGGCAAUUGUGACUGUUGAUCAAGGAAACUCCGUGGUCAAGUUUCGCUGUCGUGGCAGCAAGGUGACUGGUAUCUUCGAAUCGGUAGCCACACUGUUUGUGCUUCAGUCGGUGCUGGAAGCAACAAUCGGUAGAGAACUCAAUCUCGAUGAAUCGCUAGUGGGUGCUCCGUUCACGGUUGGACUCUCUCUAGAUUUUCUCUGACUAGAUAUUUUUUUGCAUCUUCUCUCUCCUUCUCUCUCUCGCUGGCUCGGAUUCCUUGAUUCAUCUCCUUUGCGCGGCUCGGACUCUCUCUAGAAUACGUUCUGUUGACUCUUGCUUCGUUCUGUUCCGCUCCCACUUCAUCGCCAUCUUUCAAAUUCCAUCGUUUUGCCUAUCCACGCCGCGCAAAGGGGAUAUGGGGUGGUGUGUUCACUGUUUACAAGAGCUUUAUCCAAUUGCCAAGGCUAAGGUCGGAUGGAUCAUCGUCAUCUGGAUACAAUCCGCUGAUUCGAAGGAUGAGAUUCUUCGAGUUUCGCUCUCGGCACUCUCGCCUGUCCGGUGUCGCUUUAGCAACAGCGGCAGCCAAGGCCAAUCUGAGUCGUUGUCAUCAUCUGAGACGAUAUGCCAAGCGUGACGAUUGGCAACGGCCAGCAUGAAGAGAAAACAACGAAGAAUGAAAAGGCACGAAGUGAAGGUGAAGCUGGUGGGGGCUGCUGGAUGAGAAGGAAGUAAAGUGUUAAAAUUUCUUUAAAAAAAUAAAGGAAAAAGAAAAGGAAAAAAAGAGACAAAAGGAAAAUAUAGAGAGCCCACGAGAAGUCGGUCAAAAGGAAGACUUGUCCAAAAGACGUAAUUCAUCGUUCCAUCGAACAUAGUGCAAUUGGCGGCAAUGGGAAUUCGGAAGACGGUGAGAGAAUUGGAGAAACAAGAGAUGAAACGAUAUCAACAGAUGAAGUCGGAACGUAUGGAAAUCAAUUCUAGAGUCGAAUCAGAGAUGGAAAUCAUCAUCCCCCGAAUGUCGAUUUGAUAGAGAUCAUCAUCCCCCGAAUGUCAGCGAGGAACCGGCUGUCCGUGGAUUAUUUCUUAUGGCACGAACUUCCUUCCUCUGCUUUUUGUUACAGAAUCGUCUCACUCUCUGUUUCUCUAUUGCGCAAUUCAACAAACAGGUUCUGCUCAGAGGAUGCAGCACAUUCAACGACCAGGGUCAAGUUCUUCACCAUGCAUCGUUUUCUCUGUCCAUCUUCAUUUUUCACCAAGUCUUUCUCCAUCGGGAUCCUUUCCUAUCCGAUUGAACUUCCGAGUCCAAUUCCGAUUCGUUCCAGUAUACGUUCUGUCGAUUCUUGCUUCCUUCUGUUCUCUUCCACUUCAUCGCCGCCUUUCGGAUUCCAAAUGCAGUCGCUCCCAUCCUUCGUUUCACCCUCCUACGCCGCGCAUGAAGGGGAUGUCGGGCUAGUGUGUAGGAUCCGCCAAUUCGAAGGAUGAAAUCUUCGAGUUCACUCUCGGGCCUCCCACCAGUCCGAGAAGCCCGUCAAAAGGAAGACUUGCACAAAAGAUGGAAUUCCUUGAGAAGAAGAUUCAUCCCAUAACUCAGCCAUCAUUUUCUUUUUCUUUUCCUUGAAAAAGGCAUCACAAACUCCAAACGACGCCAUCAACGACGCCAUUGCAGCAUUUCUUGGCUUCAGGUACCUUUAUCGGAUCUCUCCCUCCAUCUCGAUGCGCUCCCCCUCUCAGUGAGUUCCGAGUUGAUCCACCAUCACCCUCACUGUCUACUACUCCCUUGAAACCGAGUUGCACUCGCCUCGUGAUUGAUUCCAUCGGCGGCCGUCUAGAAACUUCGGUGAUCUUCUAUGUUUUUUUUUUUUUUUUUUCUUUCUUCCAGUUUGAAUCGCGUUUUCGUUUUGUGGAUUCUUACUUGUUUUGACAGAGGUUUGAAUCUAGUGGCCUCGAGCGAUGUUUAAUGCUCGUGUCGUUUUGCUCAUCAAAGGAGUUCAUGUCGGAUUUUUUUUUUUCUUUUUUCCCUGUUUCCAAUCAUGAAUCCGAGACCACUUGGAAACGAGCGAAAAUUGAACUGAAAACGUCGUGAGAAAUCGCUGCAGCGAGCGAGACUUGUGCGGAGUUAAGCUCGGUCUAACAGUGGUUAGGUUUUCCUCUAUUUUUUGGUAUUCUCUAGUCGCUUCUGCAUUCAGCUGUGGUGCGAGGGUGACUCGCCAGCCAUUCUUGAUCGGUCGCUUCAGUUAACACUUUCUCUCUGUAUAGAUUUCCGAGCGGCUUGGGACUUGGAGAUGGGAGUAGCACCGAUGAGUUAUGACAUGGAAGAGGGGACUCUGGAGGUUGGCAUGGGUAAGCUUUUCUCUGCUUUUUGAUUUCUUUUUUUUUUGAGCUACGGACAAUAGAAAUCUGCUGGGAUGCUUGAAUCUCGUAAUUAAGCUUUGAUUAUACUGUGGGGAGUAGCUUUAUCUCCUUGUUUGUGGCUUAUUGUGUCUUUCGCCAUCUAAAUUUCAGCGUGCUUGGAAUCAGAACUUUAAUCAUGGGGUAUUUUUGUCGAGGCUUUUCCAUGUAGCUUUCUCGUCUCUGAAAAGUUUAUGUUGCCCCUGUUAUGACCACGGUUAAGACACUUAUUACCUAGAUCUACACAAUGUCUAUCAUUUCACAUGUAUUGGUCCAGAGGUGAGGAAUUAGUCAGCUCUCGUCCAAGUCAAAUUUUUAGCAUGCCUUAGUUGCUGGGCCUUAGUUAUCGGCUGUUCAGACAAUUGCUUCGCUGCUUGCAAAGUAUAGGACCGUCUCUGGUGGAGCUGGGCCAUUGGUUAUACCCGACAUAGUCGAGGAAAAUUUCACUGGUUAUGAUUUUAAGAGGUUCAACUGACAUGUUCGAUUAAUUUUAUUGCAUAUCAGGGACCAAAGUAUCAACAGAUAGUAAAUAUUCGCUUGGGAGAUGGAACGACUAGAUUUGGGAAAGUCCUUGAAGUUGAUGGAGAGAAAGCUAUUGUGUAGGUUCAGUAUAAGCAGCCAGCCUCUUCUUUGUUCCUUUAGUUCUCUUGAUACUCUGUAUUUUUUGGUUGGGCUGCAUUAGUUGGGUCACUUUUGUGUGCAAUACUUUUCAGCUAAUGACAUAGUGAAAUCUCUAUCAUUCAUUGCAAGCAUAAGAAAAAGCAAAACAUGAAGAAUAUUUCCUUGGGUAUAUGUGAUGAGAUGUGAGAAAAUCAUAUGAAAUAAUAAUUCAAAAAAUUGUAAUUCUUGAGAAGAACAAUGUUAGGAAUCUAAUCAACAUUUGUGUAGGCAAUUAUAGAUCCCCUCCGCUCUUGAGUGAUGGAAAUCUAGUCUCAGUAUGGGUUAUUUUGGCUUUGAAAAAGACUAGUAAUCUUUCCUAUGUCUCUUAUUGUUCUCAAACUUUCAUCGGUUAUGUUAUUCACUAGUUUUUGUGUCAAUAAAAUUUAGAUAUGAGUAUUCUACUCAUGCUUGUGUGACUAGGGGUCAUUCAUCUUAGAUUUCCAGUAUGUAAAGCUUUCUGGUCAUUCGUGUUUCACUUCCUUGUCACUAGGUUUUUGAAGGGACUUCUGGGAUUGAUAAUAAAUACACCACUAUGCAAUUCACUAGCGAUGAAAGUUGUUGUGCAAGUUCAGUUUAAGCUACUAGCCUCUUCUUUGUUCCUUUAGCUCUCUUGAUAUUGCAUUUUUUUUUUCCAGUUGGACUACAUUAGUUAGGUCACUUUGUGUGCAAUAAUUUUUAGCUAAUGACCUAAUGAAAUCUCUAUCGUUCAUUGCAAGCAUCAGAAAAAACAGAACAUAAAGAAUAUUUUUUUGGGUAUAUGUGAUGAAAUGUGAGAAAAGCACAUGGGAUAAUAAUUCAAAAAAUUGUGAUUCUUGAGGAGAACAAUGUUAAGAGUCUAGUCAGCAUUCCAUUUAGCCCAUUAUAGAUCCUCUCCACUCUCGAGUGAUGGAAGUCCAGUCACAGUGUGGGUUAUUUUGGCUCUAAAAAAGGCUAAUAAUCUUUCCUAUAUGUCUCUUAUUGUUCUCAAACUUUUGUUGGUUACGUUAUUCACUAUUUUUUCUAUCAAUAAAAUUUAGAUAUGAGUAUUCUAGUCAUGCUUGUUUGACUGGGGGUCAUUCAUCUUAGAUUUCCAGUAUGUAAAGCUUUAUGGUCAUCCAUGUUUCACUCCCUUGUCGCUAGGUUUCUGAAGGGACUUUUGGGAUUGAGAACAAAUACACCACUGUACAAUUCAUUGCCGAUGUAAUUAUGCAUGUUGUUUGUUUUUGUUUUCCUAAUAAAACAAUGUUUCAUCAUCCUGUAGAGAGAAAGAGUUAUAUUUCUUUUUCCGUAUAAUACUGCUACAUGUUGGCAGCAAGAUUUCACUUGUAGCAUGAUAAAUAAUUUGGGAUAUGUCAUGGCCUUGGCUACAUAAAAGGCUUUCAAAAGUGCUUUGUUUUUCUGCCUUCACAAAUCCCUUCAGUUGUAUUAGCAUUUACUCUCUUUGAUCAUGGAUAAAUAAAAUAACCUUUAGAAAUUUAUUGUGGAGUUAUCACACCAUUUGUCCUUUCCAUUGACUAUGUAGGUAGAUUUAAUCAAAAAUACAGUCUAUCUGCUUGCUAUCUAUGGCUGCCGUCGAGCCACCACCAUGCUCCUACGGCCCUAUCCCUCAUAGACGUCCUUGGCAUGGAGCCCCAUUUGAGGUUCCUAAUCCUUGUAGGAAUAGCAUUACUUUUAUUGAUACAUGUGAUUGGAUGAGAUAAUCGCUUUGCCAUGCCUUCUUAUGUCACGAUGAGCCAUUUUCAUGCUAUUAUUUCACGUUGAGGCUUUGCUUGUUGAGUAUCCUUCUCGAAUUCGACUCAAUCUCGAAUCAUUCGUCUCUUAUUGUUUUCGUUGCUCAUAUUGAUUAGUUACAAAUUCUAUUUAUAUCUAGAUGUCUAGUCUAAAAAAAGAAAGAUUAACCUACUUAAAGACAGUGCCUCGUGACCUGGUCGGUCGGCCAUUGUUGGAGUGUCGGCGUUGAUAUAGGCGGUCAUUCAUUGGUAAGUUGCCAGCAAAAGAAUCUUUACCGUCCCGGCUUCUCUGGUGGUCUUUGCCGCGAAAGAUGGGCCUGCCACUAACAAUUUUGUUUGGGCCUAGGCCUCCCAUUAACAUCUUCAGUGAGCAUGUUACAAUUCUCAAGCGAAGCGAAGUUUGUCAAACUGACCCAUCAAGAAAGAAAGGAAGUGGUCAAAGGUUGGGCUGGUUCAGAGGAACCCUAACUCGAAACCAAUCGCCAUUAUACAAGUCUUGUCACGCACCAUGAACUACUUCUCUGAACUCCAUCUUCUUCACGAGAAUGAGCCGAAAUAUGUUUACUUCUCUCAAUCCCAAUUGUCGAUUACCUAUGCUAAUGCAACUAUUCUGUCAUUAAAUUAGUAAUAAGGCUCGAGGACCCUGUUUCUGAAGAAGGACCAAUCAAAUACGCCAGGACAAAAAUAUGUUUUUCAUUGCUACAAGCCUCUUCCGGCUUUUGUGCUGUGAUUUAGAGGCUGUGUUACGUGGAUCAGUCUGGUGAAAUCGUGGAGGUCGCCUUCGCGAUGCAUGUUCAUGUUCCCUUUCUGCUGCCUUGCGAACUUGGUCCGCGCAGAGUUUGGUUUGAAGUAGACAAGCUCCUCGAGGCGCAUGCCUGUGAGCACGAUUGGCUUAUUCCAAACUGAGAUGCGUGCGUGACUCAGAGUCCAAGCCUUCUCGUGGAUGAUCCAGAUUCUACGCAGACCGAGUAGUUGUCUAACUAACGUACGACAUCUGCCGUCUUCGGAAUUAACGUUGGGAAUCCCAUCCAGCAAUGUGCAUUCUAUAGAGUUUGAGCUUCGUGGAUUUCUUCGCCAAUCUCACGUAUGAUGACGUUUGCUUAAAGACUUUUUUUUUUUUACUCUUUUGAACAAUAUUAUAUGUUUGUUAUUUUAUUUUCACUCAAGGACUCCAAGAGACAAAGAUCUACACUUUAGGAAUCCUCAGAACAUGAGGUUUUGCAUUUUGUCAAGUAACUUCAGCAGUUUGUCUCGACAUUUUCCGUGCUAAGCUAGUUUCACGUUCAAUAUGGAAUCCAUCUAGAAUUUAAUAAUCCCUCCUACUAUAUAUGGGAAUAUCUUAGAGUUGCAUUGUACUAGAUGGUCAAUGUGGUGGGUGAUACGAAAAGUGAUAGGUAUAAACAACUAGUCUACCGAAUUAGUGUGCAAAUGAGAUUUUUCUAUAUGUCGGGUAAAUAUCAUAUCGAGUUAUUUUGUAUAAUCAAGUCACUAAACUUUAAUUUAAUUUCAAUUGCUCGAUGCACUAACGCUAUUUUCUUUUCCCAUAUGCAAUCAAUGCAUUAUGAAGACUUUUUCGAACAAUUUUUCAAGGCAAUAUUGACAUGGUAGUCUUAUAUGUCUAAUUGGAGAUGUCGUAAUGAUCAUAGGAUGCCACACGAGUCUCAAUUAAGAAAAAGGCAAAAACAAAAAAGAGAGAGAGGAUUACAUGGCCCUUGUGUAACGAGGAGAGGUUCUCAAGACAUAAUUGGAUCGGCAAGAAGCUAAAGUGAUGAUGAGUAUCUAAAUCAUUUUUUAUCCCCAUUGGAUUUUCUAAAAAUCUAUAUAAUCAAGAAUGUAAUGACUUUUCAAUUCUAUUUUUCCUCACAAUUUGAUAAGACUCAAUAAGCAAUUGUAGAAUCAUGAAAAAUCUAGUUGCCAUAAAUGAACCAAACUAACCCAACGGUAAUUUCAUUACAUACUUUUACGCUCAAAAGCGUUGUUUUACUUGCUGAAAUAAUCAUUAUUUACCGAAGCUUGCCCCCACUAAGAAAAAUUUCUAGAUACAUUCAUGGAUUGGCCAUAAUUUGGUUGGAUUUCGAUUAGUUACAAAUUCUGGAGCCCAUUCACCAAUUGAAAUAAAAAAAUUCAAUGAUCCAAUUGCAAAAAUGUGCUAUAUAAUUCAGUCAUCGCUACUGAUUUCUCAUCUAUCAUUCCCUAUAACAAAUUUGAAUGCCUAGCCUCACCCGAUCAAACAUCCACAAAAUUCCCAUCAAUCCAUCUCCUUUUUCCCUUCAACCGAGCGGGCCACUCGUAACCGCAAUCUCCGCAAUGAAAAGCUGCUGAAUGGCGUUAUGCGAUCUUUUGAGGCCAUUUUGGCUCGGUCUUUGAAGGUUGAGCUGAAACCUUUCGGAAAUAAAUAUCUGAAAUCAUUUGAUAUAGAACUGCAAGGUCUGCUUCUACUUUGGAAUCGUAGGUAACUGUUAGUUUUUGAAUUUUUUCGCCGGAGAGAUGAGCUACUCAUCUAUCCAUCUUUAACUAUGGUAGUUUCUACUACAGGCAAAGGGAAGAGACUAGACUGAUGAGCUACAUCUAUCCAUCUUUAACUAUGGUAGUUGUUGUUGUUAUUAUUAUUAUUGUAAGUGGAACCAAGAGUUAAUCAUGUGCAAGUGUCAUGCAUGAGCAUGUCAUGUGAAAUCCAGGCGGGCCAAACAACCUCAGUGUUAGCUUUAAUUUCUCCUACUAUUGGGGAUGCUCUUGUUAUAAGAGAAAAUAGAAUAAACGACAGCGUAAAAUGGUUUCUUUUUUCUUUUCUUUUCUUUUGGGUGUUUCGAGAAAUUACUCGAAAAAGCUCUAUCUUUUAACUGGGGGUUGAAAGUCUGUUUUUUUAACUUGUGUGCAAUCACAGAUUUUCUAAUAGAACCGAGAUAUAGGAUGCGGUUGCUUCUCAAAGGGGCUUCUCAAAGGAGUUGUAGCACUUCUUGGUGUUCUCAUUUUGACAUCUAUCAAGCUAAAGAAGAACGUGAGGAAUGGAGAUUCGCUAAUUUGAUACAAUGCAAGAAGUGAAGCGACACUAAAAAUUGAAGAGUAACCAUUCAGCAAGUCCAAAAUAUUUAAGCACGCAACAUUGCAGCUGUAUCAACACAGCAGAAGACGGCAUUCUGAUACAGCCAAAAUAGGAUGAGAAAACAAAAUGAAUCCGUCCACAGCAGUUCAUGCAACAUAAAAGAGACAUUGAUCAGAAAUAGGGAUACAAACAUAAUCACAGAAACUAAUCAUGAUGAAGGAGUUUAAAAUGAUAUAGAAAGAAACGAAAACUGUAGGUACAAGUAUCUACUGUUCAUGCCUAUUGAUUUAGUAAAUUUUAAUUUUGUCGCAACACAAGGGCCAUAUAUGCUAGUACUUCAUUCUCUCUUUAUUUGGUUCUUGUAUGUGUGGAUGGCUGCUUGUAUUGGUGCCUUUUUCUUUGCAUAGACGAAAGUGAUACACACUUACUUCCAUUAGCUCCCACUUGAAGUAUCCUUCCCCCUCCGCACACCCGCCCCAUUCUCUGCUUCAUGUUUCUUUCAAUUUAUAUCAGUUUCUCAAUUAAGAGUAUUUGAAAUUGAGCAAGAAGAGACCUGGAAGCAUGAAGGAAAUGAUAGCGCUUGGGGUGGGCUCUUUUGAUGAUAUUUUCUCUAAUCCAUGUCAUACCCACAUUGUUAGUACACUCGGUACUUCCUUAUGAAGCAAUCAAAAACUGCAUAUAAAAGAGACAUCCUCAUUAAAGAAGGAAGCACAAAGGCACUUCAAGGCCAGGAUUGUCAGUGCCUGCAAAGCAGAAGGAAGAGAACUAAGAAGAUAUAUCUAGGAAAUGCUGCGAUAUUCAAUGAGGUAAAACCAACAUGGCUGAGAAGCUCACCCAGAAUGCAAACCUAGAACAUCUGAAAUGCCAUGAAUGAUAUGUAACCAAGCCUUCAUAAAAUGUAGCGUUCAGCACAAAAGCCAUUUCUGGAAAUGAGAGACUUUGCUCCAAGGAUUGGAAUUGCAUAGAAAACUGCUUUUUCAAACAUGCCUUGGAUGGACAGCAAAGCUGAAUGAUUACCUUAGCUUAGUAGAACAUGCUCCUAUCAUUUGAUUCCAAUCAAAGUGAUCAAAACACAUUUAUAACUUCCACAAUGCCAUGUUAGGAGGGUAAAAACUCAUGUAUGCACAGGAGUUAGAUGCCCAACGCAUACACUUAAAAUGUUUAGUGGACCGGUGAACCUCCCUCUCUAUCAUGAUUCCAAUCCGACUACAUCAGCAGUUGAACACACAUAAAUAUAUAAGUAAAUGACAUUGUAUGAAACAAACUCAUGGUUGAUGUGAUUCAUGUAGAACCAAAACAUGCCCUCCAAGUUCUCUAUCUGUUCCUGUUUGUAAUGCCUAGCAUUGCAAUUAUUAAAAUGGUGACUACAUUCCCACCAAAUACCACAACUGUGGACAUCAUUAAGGAGAAGCAAAUCCAAGAAAUGUGAAACUACCAUACUAUUCCAUUUAUACCAAAAAGACAAUGUAUCAGAUUUAAAGGAUAUAUUACUAAGGAACUCAGACAAUUUAUUUCCAUCCUGCACUUGAAAAACCACAAACAGAGAUGCUCAAUCAAAAUCCCCUAAAACAACAGAUGCUCCAUUAACUAGUUAACGAACGAAUGAAACUAUGUAAACAUUAAUCAUCAGAUUACUUAUUUCCACAAAGAUUGGACCCAAAAUGGGGCAUAGGGACGAGAGAGAAGUGUGCAGUGAAAGCUUGUUUAAGUGGAGUCCUUUGAUCAUUACUUUUCUCUACAGUUGUAGUGGAACUUAGGCACUUGUUGAGAUAUAUCAAAACCGGUCAGUGGGAAGGACAACUCAAUGAUCCCCAAGUUAAACUAGAAAGGGCUUAACUAGAAACUCGAAAAGCAAAACCAUCACAUGAUUCGUUCUAAAGCUAGCUCCAAAAAAAGUGAUUGCAUCACUGAACAUUUCUAAAUAUACAAAAUUUACAUAUCGAGAACUGAUGAUGAAUAUAUGUAGCUAGAAGCCUAGAUCAAGACAAUGAGACACGAGCUGGUUAAAGGCUAGAAAGUGAAAACACUAUGAGAUUUCAUUUCCACUAUGGACACGAUUCCUUCCUUGGUGGGUAGUAGAAGAAUUCAAGAGUUACAGAUACCACGUCAAGUAGAAUUAAAUAAUCCAGCCCUAGACAUAAGAUCAGGAGCCACUAUGGUUCACGUGUGAAGCCACUGGAACGAGCUAAAGACCGAUUCUCAUCCACCUGAUCUGAUCUGACACUUCGGUUUCGCAGCAACCCUGAUGUCGAAUCCUGCGGCAACAACAUCAUCACCAUUGAAUCUAGCAUCGAUUAAAAGUGAAUCGACAAGUGUCAAAUUCCAAGACCUCAACUUCGCAUCAGAAGCGGCUUAAGAAAACUUACGGGAGGAGAAGGAGGGGGGAGAAGCCGUGUGGUGAAAAGAGGAGGAACGGUCUGCCGUUGGGACUGAGGUGUCGUUGCCGGGGUGGCUCCCUAUCCUCGGGUGUGUCAGAGAUCGGACUUCCCAACGGCGGCAACGGUGGUGUCGAGGGCACCGGCGAUCGCUUGGCGCGAGAGGAAGGAGAUGAAGCGAUGAAGGUGUUCCCGAGAAUUGCAAUGGAAGGGACUAGAAAACCGUGAAAUUGGAAAGGGAAACCUGAUCCCGAUUCGUUGGGGAAUUUUCUUUAUUUUUUGGCCAAUCACAAAUUUCGGAAAAAAUUGCCUCAAUUUAAAUCGCUGAAAAAUGUGGUGUAAAUAUUUGACCUGGCCAGUGAGAUCAAAUUUUUAUUUAAUACUGAUUAGGCAAUUUCAUAUUCUUAUUUGGCUGGCCAGUGAGAAUGUGACAGGAGAGAGGAGAGAGAAAUGAAGGAGUUUCCAAGUAGGAUGACGGGAGGGAACAAAAAACGUGAAAUUGGAAAAGAAAACCUAAUCCCAAUUUAUUCUUAUUUUUUUGCCAAAUUACAAAUUUCGGACAAAAUUAUCCUUUUUUAAGUCGCCGGCUUAGACCUUUAUUUGAGCCUAUUUUGGCCAUUUUAUGCUUUAAUCUAUAGCAAAAUCCAUACUAUUCUUUUUCUCCAUGGAAGAACUUGCUAUAUGAAAAUGAAGGAGCUGGACUUGAACGAUUUGCAUGAAGACUUCGGACUUUGACUUAGAAAAACUUUUGGAGUAUUGUCACAGGAAAAUUUGUUAGAUGAUGAUUGUUGAUCUUUCGUCAUUUCAAUUUUGAAGAGCUUCGAUGCUUUAGGAUCAUUUUCUCUUGAAUUCUUUCUGCUUUACGACCACAAUUAUCUUGUAAAGAGCAUUCAUGAUAUGCAUGGCAAAGCAAUUACCCAUAUAUGCUACAUCUCUUCGCAGUUAGUCAAUUAAACAAAUUUUUACAUCAAUGUCUACUAAGACUCUAUUCGUUUCACGGAAAAUAUUACGUUUUUAGAAAAAAAAAUUCAAUAAUUCAUUUUCCAAGAAAAUGAUUAUUUUUCAGUAUUUACUUGAAAUUUGAAAAUGAAUCAAAAAAUAUUUUCUGUUGUUCUGUUUGGAAAAUUUGAUUUGAUUUCCCUUCGUGCACUCCCUUUAACAAUUUUCUUAUUUUUUUUAAAAAUAUAUAUUUUUAAAAUUUUAAAAUUUUAAAAUUUUAUUUUUCUUAUACUUUUUUAUUUUACUUAUUUUAUUUUAUUUUUUCAUUCUAUUUUUUCUUUUCCUCCUCCUUCUUCACUCAGUCGCCGUGGCCAAUGGAAUACUAGAACAAUACUCAUUUAAUGACAUGUGUUAAAAACAAGAUUUAGCUAUAGCAAGUUUUUUCAUCCUCGAACACUUUCAAAAGGAUAAAUUUAUCAUUGGAUUUCUACAACUUCAAAUGGUUACCUCCUUACUCUUUGCCCUCCAAAUUUAUCCUUGGAUUUCUCAUUCCACUUCAACAAUUUCAUAGCCCGCUCGUUCAAACAUGUACCCGUGCAGAUUAUUCCAAGCGAAUUCAUCAAGCACCAUAAGCAAAGAACAACUCUUAGAUAUUCUGGUGACUGUGCUUUUUCUCCCCCCCCCCCAUGUCGCAUCGACAAAUGCAAGAUGAUACUUCCUUGGAUCUCCAUGAUCUGUAUAUUCAGAGAGUUUUUAUGCUAAUCUGCUGUCGCUAAAUACAUGUAUACAAGAGAUACAAAUGCUGCAAAUGGCCUAUAAUCAACUAGGACGUUGCCUGGGUGGGAGCUUGAGAAGUUCACCAAUUUCCUACACCGCAUUAUAACAGAAUGAAACAACAUUUAAUAUUGAUGCUAACAACCAUGAAGCAAAGCAGAUCCAUAUAAAAAUUCAUUCAACUGCUAGAACACCAAAGCACGUAAUUAACAAAUCGAAUUCAACACGACUGAAUCAUUAACUAAUUUAAAGAAUAGCAAUAAAGCUAUGCAACAAUACGUCCCGGAUCAAUGUUUAUGAGAGCAAAGAGUGUCAUUGAAUAGUGUAAGCAAAUUACUACUUUGAAAUGAGACAAGCAUGUCCAGAAUUUGCGAAUGAUUGCUCACCCUUUCGAACAAAAGAAGACGAAGGAGACACGAAGCUUUCUGAUGCUAAUACCAAACAUUACAAGCUGAUGAAAUUAGUGUAAUAACAAUGGUCCCAUCCUGCACCACACAUAAAAACAAUGCAACACACUGCAUUAGAAAUCGAUGACCGCAAAUCUGAAAAGGCAGAGGACAAGGAAGAACUUUGGUUGGAGGAACGUACUGGAGAUGUUACAUGGUUCAUGAGCAAUCUCAUUUCGCAUGCCACGGACGAUUCUCUUGUCCAAUAGAUCCUGAGGGCGAUGGCUGAUCUAGUGAGGCCAGAUCUAGUAAAGCUUCCUCUACGUGGGAUGGCGACUUCUCCGCAGGGCUUGGGAGUGAUGGGCACUGACUCCUGCUGCAACUCCUCUUAAAACUAUAGGGACUGACAUAUCAUCAGCUAACAUGUACUUCAUCUUUUCAACAGAAUUUAUAACUUGUUCGGUCGCCUGCAUGGCGAAAUUGAAUGUCAGAAACUCCACCACAGGCCUCAAACCAUAGAAAGCACCGUCGAAUUCAACUCCAACGAAACCAGCCUCUGUGAUUGCAGUAUCAACAACCCUCUCGGGUUCAUGCUUCUGCCAAAAAAAAGAAACCCGAAGUAGCAUUCGAGCCUCUCUCAUAGUCAUCUCUUUCCUGUAGUAGCAUAACUACGUAACGGUAUUUCUGCGGCGCAACUCUUCCGCAGCCUUUCUGUCAACAUCAUAGCAUCCAAGCCUCUGGCAUUGGCUUUUCGUAUUAUAAUCGACAACAUCAUGCGCCGUCGAACUCGAACUUGCUCUCUCUCUCUCUCUCUCUCUCCGGAAUGGGUAUCCUUGGAAAGAGAGUCCAGUUUCGUCAUUCCAUCAAACACCUUCCUUGCAAACUCGAUUCCCUCCUCCACAGCACAACCGACGACAAUUGAAUUCCAGGAGACAGCGAGAGAAUUGGGAGAAAAACAAAAUCGAAACAGAAAUCAAUAGACAAAUCUGGAACGAAUCGAAAUUAAUCCUACAGUUCAACGGGAGAUGACGAAUUUCGUCAUCUCUUCAAUAUCACGAGGAACCGGCGUCUCUGGAGAUAUCUCGAGGCAACGAUCGUUAGAGAUUCCAGUCAACAGCUUCACUCCUUCAUGUCUUUGUAGAGAGAGAGAGAGAUUCUUCUCUGAACUUUAGACACUUCUUUUCUCCUCUCUCUCUCUUUUCUUUUAUUUGUACUUUUGUUAUUUCUUUUUAUUUUAUUUUAUAUGUCUUUGAUUUGUAUUUUAUAAAUAACAGAAGUACAAAUAAAAGUCAGCUUCUUCAAUGAAGGAACUGAAUUUUAAUAUUUUAUCCCCUCUCUUUUCUUUUAUUUGUAUUUUUGUUAUUUUUAUUUUAUUUUAUACAUCUUUAAUAUGCCGAGAAAAUUAAUGAUUCAGCAUCGAGCCCCGUCAGUCACCGUAUGCUCUCUCUCUCUCUCUCUCUACGCUUGCUCUUGCAAUCUUUCUUCUCGUGUCUCACACUAACGCCAACGAGUUACAAAGCGAGUGAUGGGACGGACUCAUUCUUUUGCUCGUGUCAUGGUCUCCCUCCUGCUCCCCCUUCCUCUAGCAAGUAGCAAAACAAGUUUUUACUAGCCUGUUCUGAUGUCUUCAAGGCUUUUGGUUUUAGGACGUGCUAUUUGAAUUUCUCAUGGAGAGUAAAAAAAAAAAAAUAAAAUAAAAUAUACACAUUUUUAAAUUUCGGGCCGUGGCAGAUCCUUUUGGGUCUGGGCCAAAUGGCAUUGGCUUCAGUUUGGGCCAGGCCCUCAUUCACGUAUUCUCCCCCCACCCCCUCCAAAAAAAAGAAAAAAAGUUUCGCUCUGGUCCUUGGCCACGACGCUUCAUCGGCUUCCACAGCUAAUUGAUGGUCCAGCGAAUGACUGCAUAGCCGUUGGAGAUGAAUAGGGGACGCUAUUCUUCCAUAUUAGCCAACCUCACAAGUUUUCGGAGAAUGAUUUUAUUUUGCCUCUUCUCUUUACGUUUUUCCCUUUUCUGGGGUUCGUUUUUUCUCUCCCCUUUCUAUCAGCAUUGUGUGAUAUUAGCACAUGCGAGCAAGCCAAUUGUGGGAAUUGCUUGUAAUUUUCUUUUUCUUUCCUUGGCAAAUGGAGCAACUAUUGCGACCCAUCUAAAGUUCCAAUCGCAUUUCAUUAAAACGGGUAUCAUUCAUCCGGCCAAACCUACAACUUGAGGUGAGUUGUUUUCUGUUGUGACAAAAGUAGGAACACUGCGUCUUCCUAGUCAAAAGUUAAAAAGACUUACAUCAAUAUACGAUAGCCGGAGCUAUAUAAUUCGUGAUAAGAUAUCGUGCUUUUCAAUUUCCUAUCGAUCGAGCGACAUGAAAUGACUAAUAUAAUUUCUGAAACAAAAGGUUCUUUGUUAUUACCCUGUGAUAAAAUCUAGGAAAAGGGCGAAACAAGAAUUGAAAACGUGAAGAGAACAAAGGAAGAGCAAAUUCUUAUCUGGAUGCGGGGAAUCAUGAGCAAAGGGGUUCUUGUCAUCAUCGUUAGUCAUUGGAGCCCCGUACGUGAUUAAUGGCUCGAUCAAAUCAGGCACACGAAUCCGGAUCCGAGGCGAAAAGAGGGAAAGGGCCCCGUCCUGAAGAUGAUCGAGCAGGGGAGGAGGCAGGGAACACGGUAAGAGCGGUGGGGUGGCAGGGCAAGAGAGUACACAAGCAGACUGCUCCUAUUCAAUUCUAAUUGGGUUUGUGAGGUUCAUAAUAAUCCAGACGCACACUCAUUAAUGGCACAUUCCAAACUUAGAUGAACUGAAAAAGGACGUGCUUCAGGAUUUAUGUUCCCUUUCGUCCUCUUCCAUGCUCAGCCGUCAUCCACACUGUACAACGCCAUUGUUGCCGCUUGUCAUUUGCUAUGAGGCCAUCACCGUGCCGUUGUUGUCGUCCACUGCAAUGGGGCUUGCAACUAUCUCUCUCACUAUCCCGAACCUCCAGAGACCUCCGCUUGAGGUUGCUGCCUUGAGUCUGAGGUCUCACAACCUCGAAUCUAAGGUAACGUCCUCUGAUUCAAGGUUAUGAGACCCCGAUCUGAGAUGUACGCCUCAGCUAGCCCCAGAGAGAGACGACGAACAAUGAGUUUGAGGUCAGUGGCGGUGCUGGUGGUUGCGGUGGUCGCGUUUGCUAAUGGCUGUUGAAGGUUGUGGGUGUCGGUUGUGAUUGCAGUGGCGGUGGACAGUGGUGGCCGUACUGGUGGGCAAAGGUGAUGGCAUGAUGUUUCAAGAGAGAGACGGAGAUGGAUUCCGCAGUGGUUUUACUGCCACUUGAAAAAAGUUUUCCUUGUAAGCGCCACGUUAACAUAUUUAACGGUUUUUCAACAGUGUUAGUGGUACAUCCAUAAUUUUAAUAAUGUAGUAAACGCAAGGUUGACAUUGUGCGCAAAUUUGAAAAAUUUGUGGUGUUAUUGUAUGCUUGCAUUCCCAUGUCUUAUCAUAUGUAUUGGUUGGUCAAAUGUUUUCAUGGACAGAACGUCACUUGGGAAUUCAUUUAGACAUACGGUCAAGAAAACCAGAGAAUUGCAACUCUUAAGUAUUCGGACACAUUGUGGCGGGUGAUGGAAUAUGGAUAGACUAUUCUUGAAGCAAUGAUGAGAUAUUAAAUCCAGAGAGCGAAUUUCUCUCAGAGAAAAUGGGAAGAUUCUGAAGAUGUCAUGGACCUUGAAGAUUCAGAAGGUUUGUCGCCAUGUAGGAAACUAGAGGCUAAAUUGCGUUUACCUUCUUACCAGCCUUCCAAGAUGUUGAAUUCCCUUUACAAUUUGUGAGUUUCAUAGUAAUUAAUUUGCACACUCAUUGAUGCGACCUUUUAAAUAAAUAUGCUUGAAAUCAAAAAGGACUAAGCUUCGAACGUCAAAGAUUAACAGAAGUUCCAAGUUGCUCCCUAGGAUAAUUGGGAGGCGUGACUUGUCAUUUUUAUAAGUUUUGUAUGUGUAGAUGACAUGCUUUUCCUAGUCACUUUUCAAAUUCUCAAGAAUUUGAUAAUAAGCUUUUGGCACGUUGAUUGAUGGCAUUGAUAAGGGUGGCCUAAAUUGUAGUUAAUACUUAUGUCUAAUACAAAGAGUGGGCUAAAUCAUUUUGUAGUAACUCAAAAAAUUUCACAUAGAUAUUUCUCCUUUUUCUUACUGUCAAUCAAACCAAACAGCCUAAAUGUCAUGUGAGUCCUACUGAGCUACUUUUUCAUUGUUCUACUCAUCUAAGGCCUCUCACUGCCCUUGAAAAGACUACAAUAUUUGAAUUGGAGUGUCUUUUUUCCAAAAUGGCGAUUUGACAAUCUCUUGUUAUGAAAGAAAAAAGAUAUACCACCCCGAUCUCCAUUCAUCACCAGCAUAUCUCAAAUAUGAAAUCACACGACAGGCUAUAGUAAGGAAAUUAAUCAAAAGGUAAUCGGAAUAGUAAUGGUAAUAUAACCUUAUGUUUGCACGUGCAAUGAUUCAAGUGAUUAAUAUGAAACCACUGGACUGAAUUGAACUGAUACAUGCCGAUGGAAAAUUAUCCAAACUACCCACUAAGCUGGAAAAUUAUUUCGAUGGGCAGAUUGUUCGUUGACGAAUUCAUAGAGAGACACGUGUCAAAAAUUGACGAAUUCUGGCUCUUAGAAUUCAAACAAAUUGGGGCUGAAGCAGCUCAGCACCUAUCAGCAAUAACGCCCCCUGAACUUCUCCGGUGGUUGGUCAACGUCUGCGAGAGAAACUCUCAUAAAGGAGAUAUUCGUUUGAGCUCAUUGAAAGGGAGCAAUGCAGUGUUCAAAGUCUCCAUCUUUAGCAAUGUUGGUAAGGACCCGAUUCAGGUUGGAUUGAGAUGAACAAAGGAAGCAUCGCUUUAUGCCAUAUUUAGUUCAAACCAACAUACCGCAUAUGUCAUUUUGUCUUUGUUCUCUUUUUGGAGCUAGUUGCAAUCUUAUCAUUUUUAGAUUGUCUGUAAACAUAACUAGUUGCCGUGAGUCAGUUGCUAAGAUCACUCCUGUGCCUCUACAAUUGAAGAAUGCAAUUCUGCUCUAAUUGUUUGAGAUCGAGGAUUCGUUCUUCAAACAUAUGUCAAGCCAAGCCUGUAAUUUAUAUAGCCAUGAAGCUCAGGUGCAAGCUCAUUCUUGUUGAUGAUGUCGAAUAAUUGCUGCAGCUGCAGCAAGACCGUCCACUGCAAUUUAUGUUUAAAUAUAUCUGUAAACCUGAGAUUACUCGUUUUAUCUCAGCUACUAGGUGAUUGUGAUCUUGUUGAUGUUGAAACAUAAGCAUUUAAUUAACCAAUCCAAUAUAUAUGAGCAUUUACUAUAUCAAAUUUUUACUUUGAUAUAUUAUUCACGUUUACCUUGCUUUGACUGGAAAUUACCUUGUUAACAUAGCCGCAGCAUUAAAUACAGUGUUAAUAUAACUAUCAAUAAUGAUAAUUCGAUCCAAAUUAGUUAAAAAGAGAAAUAAUUCCGUGAUUCCUUAUUCUCAAUUCUCAACUCAACAUGCUAAACCCUGAAAUGUCGGGAAUUCAUCUCGUGAAUGGUUUGCCACGUGAUACUUUUAUAUUCUGUUUGAAUCAGGCUUAACAACAAAUAUGGAUUCACGAAAUUGUAGAAUAUGCAUUAAAUAUCCAUUCCAAGCUAUCUGACUCCGUCAACGAGUCAUCUAAGUAUGGGAUACGAAAUGAAAACCACAGCAUCAGAAAAGUCACAUUUUCAGAAAUUUUCCACCUCUUGUGCACGCAUCAAGAGACAAUGAGGAAGAGAACAACACGCAAGGAAGAUCGAUGGCAAUUCUGACGCUCCAUUCUUUGCACGCGACCACGCAGAUCUCGCACUCCUUCACCACAGAAUUCACAUUUUAAAAAUUGACUCUGUUCAUAUAGAACCCUUUAACUCGAACCAGAGAGAUCAGCAAACCACAAGACCGUAAUUUUCGCAUCAUUUGUUGAGCACACGAAGGAAGUCGGCCAUAAUAAGGGUUCAAUAAGUCGAGAACAAAUUGAAUUGAUGCAAUAUGAUUUUGUGGUUCAAGGAUUGAAUCAAAGGUACAUACUAAUCUAGUUCGAACGUUUCAUCCAACAAGUGAUAGGCAUUUCGAUCAAGGUGUUCGUAUGCAAAUACAAGGCAAAGAUUCACUUUCAGAUCAUCACGAAAAUAACAUUGUGAGUUCGAGUUGCUAAUCGAGCUUCAAUCGCAACUGAUUUACUCACACAAACAUUAGCUAAAGCUCACUGGCUCUCUUUCGUUCAGUGACAAAGUUCCCGGCGGUGUACACAUCGAUAAUCGGGGCUGGUGAAGGGGGAACGACCAAGGGUUCAUGCCCUUUCGGGCGUCCUGACCAGAAAACAGAGCAGAGCGAGAGCUAGCCUUGCUGCAGCGAAACCUGCGAUGGCGGAGCGACUACGGCGGCGGCUAACGGUUUCUGAAGGACGACGGAGAAGGAGAACUGAUGAAGAAGCCUCGAGAAUUCCCAAGAAAAAGAUGGCGGACGGUGGCUUUCUGGUAUCGAUUAGUGGUGGAGAAUCUUCUGCAACUCGGCCGAUCGAAUGAGAGAGAGCUGUGGAUCGUGGGCUGCGGUGAGGGAAAUUGUCUGGGCCGAGGCUUACUCUGAUGGGCCUGUCACGCGCAUUCGGGAAGAGGAAUCCACGAACGGGAGCUCAGCAAGAGAGAAUUUCUCCAUUGGGUCAACCCAUUUCUAGAAGCGUCUCCAUCUUCACUCCCUCUCCGUCGCCUUAGUCCCCCCGGCAGCCACCGCCGCUCGUCCUCCAUCGCCGGCCACGACAACACUCAUGUGCUCAGCACAGAUCACACAAGGUGGGGAGGCUCAAAGAUUUCUAAACGUCCAGAGAAUCAUCUCUCUUGGCUUCUUGCUUCGUCUGGUGACCUCCAACUGACCUCCCGGAUCGCUCCACCACCAGGCCGUAGCUCUGUUAGCACCGUUCUCCCGUCAGUUUGCUUUGGCUGCUCUGAAUUUGUUCGUUUCUCCUUCGCUGGCUCCGAUCUUCAACGUCAUUGUCUCGCACAACCUCUUCCUCUAAUCCGAUCGUCCUUCAUGCAUCGGAUAAAAUAAACACUACAAUCUUCCUUCUUCGUUCUUAGCUUCGUGAAGAGAGACCCAGGCAUAUUUGUGUGAUUUUCGUUGUUCAAAUUCACUGCUAGCGCGUCAAUGCACGUGCUAUAAGUGCUUUGUAUAAUCCAUUGCAUGAAGUGCUCACUGUGACAUGUUCAUAUUAAUAAUCUGAAUCACAAAUCAACGUUCACUGCAAUGCGUGUUUGUCUGCUAGAUGGUCGAUACUUGUUUAGUUCUCCCUACCAAAAAUCUUGCAAAGAUGAUUCCGUCUACAUCUAUGUUACUUUGGCGGUUUCUGGAUUAAUGUUCUGUAAACUGUACUAUAUCUUCUACUAGGAGGAGAAAGAAAUUCUCAGCAUUAUCUCCCGCUUGCUUAAAAUUUAUUCUCAUGUUGUUUACAUUAGAUCGCCUAACCAUUGAGAUUAAUAUGAUUUCUUUUCUACUGAUUGUGUGUUUGAUGAAUCCAAGUAACAAUCCAAGGUAAGUUUCGAUUGUUUGCAAUGUGAAUUUGGUGGCUGGGGAGGUUCCGCUGUGAAACGUUGGCCUCAGUUGUUCUGAAUGAAAGAAUACAUUUGCUUGAAUUGUCAGCUUGAUAAGGAAGAGAGUGAUGCAAGCUACGGUUUGUUGUGAAAAAGAAACAAGCAACAGUUGCUGAAUUUCUAUUCUGCAGGAAAUGGAAGCGAAUUAGAAUAACUAAUGUGCUUUUGAGCAAUGAUGCUGAUUUCUGGAUUAUCUUUGUGAACAUAUGGUAUCUUUAUUUCUAUUUUGAACGUUUGGUAUUUGCCCCACUCUCUGACUGAUAACCAAUGCCAUGAACUUCUUGAUUGAUUAAUUCCUCUUUCUGCAAAUGACUUUCGCCCCAGUAAUGGUCCACUUUCAGUAUACGAGUCCUCAUUGUAAUUUGAGUACCAGGUGAUGUGAUACAGUCUUUUUGAUUCAUUUCUCAAUAUGUUUCCCAAAAGUUGCCUGUUGUAAAAAAUUUCAAAUAUUAAGCUCCAUCAGCCUCAUUUUUUUUUUUUUAAUUAGAAUUUCGUGUUUGAAAGAGUGGUUGGUAUGAACUUGAUCUUUGCACUGGAUUAACUCAAACGAUAUUUCAUCAUAGAUAUUCAGAACGGAGUAUUUCUUUAGUUGGCUUUUUAUGACCUUUGCUGCUGAUAAAGUAGAUUGACUUGCUAUAAGGAAUUAGUGCUCUGUAAGUGCAGCCAAUUUUGUUAAUUUUGCUGCUGGGUAUUAAUUAGUUCAUGGAAUGAUGCUUAUUAGAUUUGGUAGAUUCAAACAAUGGUAAAUAGCCCAAGCAACAUCAGGAAAAGAUGAAAAAGCAUUUCUUAUUUGUUGGGAAUCAUCAUCAUUCUUUCUCUUAGUAGUGAGAGAUACUGCAAAUAUCGUAGAGUACAAAUUGAAUGAAGAGGUAUUGCAGCUUUGGACUUGUAUGCCAAUCUUGGCUUAUCUCAUCAAUAGCCAAUGUUAUGCUGAUCUUUGAAUGAAUCCAAGCACUUAUCUUUAGUAGGCUUUGGAAUUUUCACAAUCUAUGGAUCUAACAAGUCUUAACAAUCGAUGUGUCGGGGAAUUUCUAACCUGUAUCGGGUACAUUGAGUGGAGUCUACGUCAGUGGUUGAUCAUUUAAGCCCCAUAUGCAACAUUCAUGUGAGAUUCACUUGAACGACUAUUGAAAUCGACCCUAUCUAAGUGAGCACAGGCACCACCUUGUGGAAGCUAUUCUUUGGCUGAUGGUAUAAGACGUGAAAAUUCUUAAAUCUCCGCCUUCUUUGUGCUUUUGCACGUUGGAUUUAGGUUGCGACAAAUAAGUGCCCUGGACUUACUUUAAGUUAUGUUAAUGGGGGAUUAUGAAAAUGUUCUUAAGGAUAUACGGAAAUACUCUCCCGAAUUCGAUGCUUCCAAAGGUCAAAGUAGUUCAACCUGGGCAACUAGAAAAGAGUAACAACAAGGUCAGAAUGUUAUGGAGCAUUACCCCAUUGGUCAUUUUCAUCUCAACCUUUUCAAAUGUGGAGACAAUUCCCUUUUUCGGGCGAUAAUACUUGAUGAAGGUGCUUCCGAGAUAGAUUAUUCCUCAGGAUCACUGUCUUGGAUGAUCUCUUCCUCUAAUCUGUUCAUCCUUCAUGCGUCGGUAAAAUAAACACUAUAUUCUUCCUUCUUCAUUCUUAGCUUCAUGAAGAGAGACUUCAGGCGUUUUUGUGUGAUUUUUGUUGUCAAAUUUACUGCUGGUGUGUCUAUAUGCGCGCUAUAAGUGCUUUAUAUGAUCAUUGCCUGAAGUGCUUACCGUGAAGUGUUCAUAUUAACAAUCUGAAUCACAAAUCAACUUUCACUGCAAUGUGUGUUUGCCUGUUAGAUGGUCGAUACUUGUUUAGUUCUUCCUGCCAAAAGUCUUGCAAAGAUGAUUUGUUCUUCAUCUAUGUUACUUUGAGAUUGCUGUGUAGGUUAAUGUCUUUGGCAGUUUCUGGAUUAAUGUUUUAUAAAUUGGACAAUCUGUUCCACUAAGAGGUGAAAGAAAUCCUCAGCAUUAUCUCCUGCAUGCUUAAAAUUUAUUCUCAUGUUUUUGACAUCGGAUCACCUGACCAUUGAGAUUAAUAUGAUUUCUUUUGUGUCUGAUGAAUCCAACUAACCAUCCAAGGUAAGUUUCGAUUGUUUGGAAUGUGAAUUUGGUGGCUGGGUAGGUUCCUCUGUGAAACGUUGGCCUCUGUUGUUCUGAAUGAAGGAAUACGAUUGCUUGAAUUGUUAGCUUAAUAAGGAAGAGUGAUGCAGGCUACAAUUUGUAUUGUAAAAGACACAAGCAACAAUUGCUGAAUAUCUAUUCUGCAGGAAAUGGAAGCGAAGUAGCGUAACAAGUAUGCUUUUGAGCAAUGAUGCUGAUUUCUGGAUUAUCUUUGUGAACAUAUGGUAUCUUUAUUUCUCUUUUGAACGUUUGGUAUUUGCUCUACUCUCUUUCUGGUAAACAGUAGUGUGGACUUCUCAGUUGAUUAAUCCUUCUUUCUGCAAUUGACUUUGGCCCCUGCUAUGGUCCGCUUUCAGUAUACGAGUCACGUUGUAAUUUGUGUACCUGGUGAUGUGAUAUGGUCUUGUUGAUUCAUUUCUCAAUAUGUUUCCCAAACGUUGCUUGUUGUAAAAAAAUUUAAAUAUUAAAUUUGAUCAGCCUCAGUUUUUUUCCCUUUUUUUGUUGAUCAGAAUUCUGUGUUUGUAUGAACUUGAUCUUUGCACUAGAUUAACUCGAACGAUAUUUCAUCAUAGAUAUUUAGGACAGGGUAUUUCCUUAGUUGGCUACUUUGUGGCAUUUGCUGCUGAAAGUACAUUGACUUGCUAGAAGGAAUUAAUGUUCUGUAAGUGCAGCCAAUUUUUUGUUAAUUUCGCUGCUGGGUAUGAUGAUGUUCAUGGAAUGAAUGCUUAUCAGAUUUGGUAGAUUCAAACAAUGGUAAAUAGCCCAAGCAACAUCAGGAAAAGAUAAAAAAAGCAUUUCUCAUUUGUUGAGUCAUCAUUAUUCUUUCUCUCAGUAGCGAGAGACGCUGCAAAUAUCGUAAAGUAAGAAUUGAAUGAAGCGGUGCCGUAGUUUUGGACUUGUAUGUCAAUCUUGGCUUAUCUCAUCAAUAGCCAAUGUCAUGCCGAUAUUUGAAUGAAUUCAAGCACUUAUUUUAAGUAGGUUUUGGGAUUUCACAAUUUAUGGAUCCAAUGAAUCUUAACAAUUGAUGUGUUGGGGAAUUUCUUACCUAUACCGGGUACAUUGGGCGGACUCUAUGUUAGUGGUUGAUCGUCUAAGCCCUAUAUGCAACAUUAAUGUGAGACUCACAUGAACAGCUAUAGGAAUGGACCCAAUCUACACGUGCAUAGACACUACCUUGAGGAAGCUAUAUUUUGGCUGACGGCAUAAAAUGUAAGAAUUCUCAAAUUUCUGCCUUUUUUGUGCUUUUGCACUUUGGAUUUAGCUUGCGAUUAAUUAGGGCCCUGAACUUACUUUAAGUUGUGUUGUUAAUGGGGGAUUACGAAAAAGUUCUUGAGGAGAUAUGGCUAUUCUCUCCCGAAUUCGAUACUUCCAGUCACAAGUAGUUCAACCUGGGCAACUAGAAAAGAGUAACGACGAGGUCGAAAUGUCAUGGAGCAUUAGCCCAUUGGUCAUUUUCAUCUCAACCUUUUCAAAUGUCUCCACUUUUCAGGUGUUAAUCCUUGAUAAAGGUGCUUCCGAGAUAGAUUAUUCCUUGAGCAAUGGCCAAAUAUCAAACCCCGAGGAUCAAUUUCUCUAACAAGGAAGGAAUGACAUUGUCGAACUUGAAGAUUUAGAGGGUUUCCUGCAAUGUCGAUCACUUUUACCCUGUUCUAGCGAAGUAUCUAACUGUCCAUUACUCACUCAUCAUGAGAAUUUGAUGGUAAUGAAUGGUAGCUUUAUUAGUCAUGUUUCUGCCUUUAUCAGUGCCUUGUCUUCGUUCUUUCAAUAUUAUUUAAUUCUUUUUUACCAGCGUUUCGGAUGUUGAUAUAUACGGUAAUAUUCGGGAAGUGCAGAUUGUAAUUAAUUGGUGGGGUAACUAGCUCUAAUGUUAAAGGGAUGUAAAAUUAUUUCAUCAAUUUUAUUUUUCUGAUUUUCCAUGGAAAUACUAACUACCAAUGUAUGCUAAAUCAUUUCAUACUAGGUCAAUGCUCAGUAAUUUCUGUAAAUGGAAUCGCCAUAAUCUGAAACUUUACACAGACAAGUCUCAAUCGGCAAAGAGUUGAACCCACCGAAGCCGCGAACUUUGAAAAUCAAUGACGGCAGAGCUUUUCUUGAAGGUGAAACAGUUGGAGCUAUUUUGGGAAUUCUUCCCAACGAAGCGGGAGCUCUACUGGGUGGCUCUACUACGAAAGUUGCAGCAUUGCCGGCGUUUUAGACGGAAGCCAUUUCCCCUGCUCGAAGCUUUGAAACGUUUUCAGUCAAGGAGAGAGAGUGUGUUGGAGCUCGAGUCUGGCUGGGAAGAGCUGGUCAGCGCAGUGCUGAUGAAGACAGCUCUAAUGGAGAAAGCCCAGCUAUCUUCGGCCCAAUUUCAGUUUCUCUCCUUGGCCCAUUGUCACCGGUCCGCAAACAAAAUGGCUGAUUGGGUCGUGAAAACCUAACGUACGAAUGCUCUCCCUCCCUCUUGACUGACCCAUCCCUCCAGUCUUUAUGGAAUUAUUUACGUUUGGAUGCCCCUUUGCUGGGCUUUUGUUUUAAAGACCCCAGGGUUUUAAUUCAUGGCAUGUCCUCAAAUUUGAAAGCUUGCCUCGUAUAUUAGUUUGUCUUAAGCUCGAAUUGGUCGACGGUCAAAACCCAAGUUCAAAAUUACAUGGAAAGUAGAUGAUCAAGCAAGUCUUAAGAGCUAGAAUCUGGAGGAAUUGGACAAUUCUAAUUGAGGUUGUUCACGCAAUUUGACUUGAAAAACUAGAAAACUGAAAUUAGAAUGGAAAGAUUAAUUAAACUGGAUUUUCAUCCCUAUCCUGUUGGGGAAAAGACAAAUAAUUAGUGCUUGAGUCUUUUCCAGCUACUCCACACCAUGCCACCAAGUUGUCGAAGCAGUGUUUCUUUAUAACUCAGUCUCUAUAUGAUUGAUUUUUGGUUGAAAUAACCUCGUAAGCAUGAUCAUUUCUCCAAUCUAAUGAAGUAAAGUAACCUUCACUCCAAUCUUUAUUUCUCUUUUGAACGUUUGAUAUUUGCUCUGCUCUCUUUCUGGUAAACAGUAGUGUGGACUUCUCAGUUGAUUAAUCCUUCUUUCUACAAUUGACUUUGGUCCCUGUUAUGGUCCACUUUCAGUAUACGAGUCACGUUGUAAUUUGGGUACCUGGUGAUGUGAUACGGUUUUGUUGAUUCAUUUCUCAAUAUGUUUCCCAAACGUUGCUUGUUGUAAACAAUUUUAAAUAUUAAAUUCCAUCAGCCUAAGUUUUUUUUUCCCUUUUUUUGUUGAUCAGAAUUAUGUGUUUGUAUGAACUUGAUCUUUGCACUGGAUUAACUCGAACGAUAUUUCAUCAUAGAUAUUUAGGACAGAGUAUUUCCUUAGUUGGCUACUUUGUGGCAUUUGCUGCUGAAAGUACAUUGACUUGCUAGAAGGAAUUAAUGUUCUGUAAGUGCAGCCAACUUUUUGUUAAUUUCGCUGCUGGGUAUGAUGAUGUUCGCGGAAUGAAUGCUCAUCAAAUUCGGUAGACUCAAACAAUGGUAAAUAAAUAGCCCAAGCAACAUCAGGAAAAGAUAAAAAAAAAAAAAAAAGCAUUUCUCAUUUGUUGAGCCAUCAUCAUUCUUUCUCUCGGUAGCGAGAGAUGCUGCAAAUAUCGUAGAGUAAGAAUUGAAUGAAGCGGUGUCUUAAUUUUGGACUUGCAUGUCAAUCUUGACUUAUCUCAUCAAUAGCCAAUGUCAUGCUGAUAUUUGAAUGAAUUCAAGCACUUAUUUUAAGUAGGCUUUGGGAUUUUCACCAUUUACGGAUCCAAUGAGGCUUAACAACUGAUGUGUUGGGGAAUUUCUUACCUAUACUGGGUCCAUUGGGCGGAGUCUAUGUUAGUGGUUGAUCGUCUAAGCCCCAUAUACAACAUUAAUGUGAGACUUACAUGAACAACUAUAGGAAUGGACCCAAUCUAUACAUGCACAGACACCACCUUGAGGAAGCUAUUCUUUGGCUGAUGGCAUAAAAUGUAUAAAUUCUCAAAUCUCUGGCUUCUUUGCGCUUUUGCACUUUGGAUUUAGCUUGCGAUUAAUAAGGGCCUUGGACUUACUUUACGUUGUUUGUUAAUGGGGGAUUAUGAAAAAGUUUUUGAGGAGAUCUUGAUAUACUCUUCCGAAUUCGAUGCUUCGAAAGGUCACGAGCAGUUCAACCUAGGCAACUAGAAAAGAGUAACAACGAGGUCGGAAUGUUAUGGAGCAUUAGCCCAUGGGUCAUUUUCAUCUCAACCUUUCUAAAUGUGGAGACAACUCUACUUUUCAAGUGUUAAAGCUCGAUAAAGGUGCUUUUGAGAUAGAUUAUUCCUCAAGCAAUGGCCAAAUAUCAAAACCCUGAUAAUUGAUUUUUUUAACAAGAAAGGGAUGACGUUGUUGAACUUGAAGAUUUAGAGGUUUCCUGCAAUGUCGAUCGCUUUUACCCUGUUCUAGCGAAGUAUCUGAUUGCCUAUCACUCACUCAUCAUGAGAAUUUGAUGGUAAUGAAUGGUAGUCUUAUUAGUCAUGUUUAUGCCUUUAUAAGUGCCUUUUCUUCGUUCUUUCCAAAUUCUUCAAUGCUUUUUGACAAGCGGAUGUUGAUUUAUACAGUAAUAUCUGGAAAGUGAAGAUUGUAAUUAAUUGGUGAGGUAACUAGCUCUAAUGUGAAGGGGAUGUAAAAUUAUUUGAUCAAUUUUAUUUUUCUGAUUUUCCAUGGAAAUACUAACUACCAAUGUAUGCUGAAUCAUUUCAUACUAAGUCAAUGCUCAGUAAUUUCUGGAAAUGGAAUCACCAUAAUCUGAAACUUUACAGAGACAAGUCUCAAUCAGCAAAGAAUUGGAACCCACCGAAGUUGCGACCUUGAAAAUCAGUGACGGCAGAGCUUUUCUUGAAGGUGAAAAAGUUGAAGCUAUUUUGAGAAUUCUUUGCAACGGAACGGGAGCUCUACUGGAUGGCUCUACUACGAAUGUUCCAGCAUUGUCGGCGUUUUAGACGGAAGCCAUUCCCCUGCUCGAAGCAUUGAAACGUUUUCGGUCAAGGAGAGAGAGUGUGUUGGAGCUCAAGUCUGACUGCGAAGAGCUGGUCAACUUAGUGCUGAUGAAGACAGCUCUAAUAGAGAAAGCCCAGCUCUCUUUGGCCCAAUUUUAUUUUCUCUCCUUGGCCCAUUGUCACCGGUCCGCAAACAAAAUGGCUGAUUGGGUCGUGAAAACCUAAUGUACGAAUGCUCUCCGUCCCUCUUGAUUGGCCCACCCCUCCAAUCUUUAUGGAAUUAUUUACUUUUGGAUGCCCCUUGGCUGGGCUUUUGUUUUAAAGACCCCAGGGUUUUAAUUCAUGGCAUGUCUUCAAAUUUGAAAGCUUGCCUCGUAUAUUAGUUUGUCUUAAGCUCGAAUUGGUCGACGGUCAAAACACAAGUUCAAAAUUACAUGGAAAGUAGAUGGUCAAGCAAGUCUUAAGAGCUAGAAUCUUGAGAAAUUGGACAAAUUCCAACCGAGGUUGUUCACGCAAUUUGACUUGAAAAACUAGAAAACUGAAAUUGGACCAGCAAGUGAAUGGAAAGAUUAAUUAAACUGGAUUUUCAUCCCUAUCCUGUUGGGAAAAGACAAAUAAUUAGUGCUCGAGUCUUUUCCAACUACUCCGCACCACGCUGAUGUCGAAUCAUUGUUUCUUUAUAACUCAGUAUCUAUAUGAUUGAUUUUUGGUUGAAAUAGCUACGUAAGUAUGAUCAUUACUCCAAUCUAAUGAAGUAAAAUAACCUUCACUCCAAUCAUGACGCCUCCUUCAAUAUAAAAAAGAAUAUCCCAUCCAUGUCAAGGUGAAGCAACAUGAUGACUAUAUAACUAAAUAAGUUAGCCGACUCUUUUCAUUUAUAAUAUUCAAUUGUUUGUAAGUUACCAUUCUUGUCUUAGUUGAGGUGGCCGACAACGGUCUUUUUCUUUUUUCUUUUUUAGAUUGACCAGUUUCGACUUGUAGCAAUGUGCUACCAAGUUUUCAACUUCACAAGGAAUCUAUUUGUGUUUAGUUGAGGCCUUAACUAAUGUUAGGUUAUCGUCCACACCCAAGGAGGUCACUGGUAUUUUUAAUUGAUUAGUCUAAACAUUUUUAAUUUUCUCACUAUUUCUUUUCAUAUGUAAUAGUUGUGCUCUUUUUCUAGUAUUAAGUAAACAAAUAACAAUUGAAAAUGUAAAUAAAAUUGCUAAAAAAAAAAAAACCGAUAUAUGCAACAUCUAGGCUGUACCAUAGGUCUCUAGGUUGUCGCGCUUCAACUUUUGUGCCCCUUGAUCAUUAAAAGAAGUGGACUAAAAAAGAGAUGAUUUCUUCAUCGUAGCUUUUUUUUUUUUUUUUUGGUCUGACUUAAUCGUAGCUUACUAACAUAAAAAUUGAACAUGCCCUUCAUUUUUAGUUAAAUUUGCUUAUUAGUCAAAAAUAAACUCUCGUGUGUCAUGUAAGCCACCAGAGGGUGUCUCAAUUAGCAAAGAUUAUUAAAUCAUUCCAAAGCAUGAGAGAACAAUGUAACAUUAUCACUUGCUACAUUAGAUAAUUAUGUUCUUGUCUAUUUUCCCUUCACCUAACCUAUAAAAAAUGAAAGGAGUAAUCGAAUAUCCCCUGCAUCUAUAUUACUUAUAUUCUCUUUGUGUGUACCUGCACCGCAAUAGCAUUAAGAUAUAGCAAAUACGUGAUUGGCUCUGUUUAAAAAUAUCGCAAUGGGAGUUCACAUCCACAUCAAUCAUAUGCUAAUCAAUCAUCAAAACAAGUAAAACUAACCAUUUAACUGGAGAUUAUCCUUUAUUAAGAAAUUUUGCAAAAUGCGACAUACAUUUAUUCUUUAAAUUUUUUUUAAAAAAAUCAUGUUUACGUGGCAUCUCUAUCUUGCAAUUAUUGAACAAUAGUAAUAUGAUAAUGUUAUGUUAACAUUGAUAUUUUCAAAAUGACACAUAAUGCAAAUGACAUUAUUCUUUAGAAUAAAAAGUUAUGCUUGAUUAAUCCCAUGAUUGAUAAUGUUGGGUGGGGAGUUGGUUUCUAGCUUAGGAACCGGAGCUCCUCCAUUAGAAUCCCACAAAUGCAUGCAAACUGUCUCAAUUAACGAAGAUUAUUGAAUCAUUCCAAAUCAUAAGAGACAGUGUGACCUUAUCACUUGCCACGUCAAAUAAUUUUGGCCUUGUGGGUUCACAUCCACGUCAAUCAUAAGCAAAUCAAUCAUCAAAACUAGCAAAACUAACCAGAGAUUAUCCUUUCUUAAGAAAUUUUGCAAAACGUGACAUACAUUUAGUCUUUAAAAUUUUUUUUAAAAAAAUCAUGUUUACGUGGCAUCUCUAUCUUGCAAUUAUUGAACAAUAGUAAUACGAUAAUGUUAUGUUAACAUUGAUAUUUUCAAAUGACACAUAAUGCAAAUGACAUUAUUCUUUAGAAUGAAAAGUUAUGCUUAAUUAAUCCCAUGAUCGAUAAUGUUGGUUGGAGAGUUGGUUUCUAGCUUAGGAACCGGAGAUCCUCCAUUAGAAUCUCACAAAUGCAUGCAAACUGUCUCAAUUAACAAAGAUUAUUGAAUUAUUCCAGAUCAUAAGAGACAGUGUGACCUUAUCACUUGCCACGUCAAAUAAUUUUGUCAUUGUCUCUUUGUCCUUCCCUUAACCUAUAAAAAAACGAAACGAGUAAUCGAAUAUCCCCUAUAUCUAUGUCACUUAUAAUACUCUUUGUGUGUAUCUGCACCGUACUAUCAUUAAGAUAUAGCAUAUACGUGAUUGGCUCUAUUUAAAAUAUCACAAUGGGGGUUUCCAUCCACAUCAAUCAUAUGUAAAUCAAUCGCAAAGAAGCAAAACCUACCAUUUUACUGGGAUUAUCUUUUCUUAAAAAAUUCUGCAAAAUGUGACACACUCUUAAUCUUUAUGAUAAAAAAAAUAAUGUUUUCGUGGCAUCACUAUCUUGCAAUUACUAAACAAUGGUAAAAUGUGAAUAUAGUCAUUUUCAAAAUGAUGCAGAAUGCAAAUGACUAUUACUUUUAAAAUAAAAAUUAUGCUUAAUUAAUCCUAUAAUUCAUAAUGGUGGUUGAGGAAUAGGGGAUUUCCAGCUAAAAAAAUUAGAAAUCCCCCAUUAGAAUCCCACAAAUGCAUGCAAAUUGCUUUGGAUUAGAGUCACCUACAUAGCCGAAGGCUUAAGCUUAACCAAUUCACGAUACUUGUAAGAUAUUUCAUAAGUUUCUAGGUAGACGGGUGUCCACGCCUAUGCUCCUAGAUAAUACAAAAAAAAUGCUUACUUUAGGAGAAUCCAAAUUUUAUAUGCUAAUUAUUUUAGUAUAUACUUAUUCCUCAUAAACUAGGUAGUUUUUAUGCAAAAGGUCCUUAUCAACUAAAUUGCGAAGAGUACAUCCCCCAUGACUUUAAUUAGUAAUAACACUUUUAUUCGUUAGAAAUUAGUCAUAACCUUUUCAAAUACUCCUCCUAAUAAAUAUACAUAUUUAGGACUAAUAUGACAUUCUAAUCUAAAAAUUAUGGUUGGUAAAAAAUUACAUAACCUCAAUAUUUCCUUCUAAACUGAGUUUUUUUUUUUUUUUUGAACUACCCUUCUCAUGUGCAAGGCAAAUCAGGAGUAGCACGUGAAAUUUGACAACUGGGAGUGAACUCACACAUGAAAGGGGCAAGUAGAACUUGACUAUGAUACCAUGUUAGAAAAUCCAAUCCAAAGAUAUGUAAAGAGCAUAUAAACUUCAUUAUCAUGCAAUGUGGGAUAUUUCAAUACAUGCCAACCAAGGAUAGAGCAGAGCCCCUCUAAUGCGUUUAUAGCUCCUAAUGAGCUUUGCCAAUCAUGAUAUGCCGAAAUGCCUAUGAGUUGCUCUUUGCUUUUCCUCAAUAUGUUCCUUGAUGAAACCACCUAGAAUAGUCUGCAAGCAUACAUGUGUGAAUGACCCAGAUGUGAAUUUGCUUAAGUGGAAUGAGAAAUCCAAGGAUAAAUUUGAAGGCAAAGAGCAAGAAAAUAAUGAUAUGAGGUCAAAGAAAUCUAAUGAUAAAUUUAUUCUUUUGAAAGUGCUCGAGGAUGAAAGAAAUUGUUGGCUGGCAUUGUCUCCUAAUACAUGUCAUUAGGAGAUAGUAUGUAGAUGGAAGAAAACCUGCAACAAGUGGACAUCAAAAGCUAUGACAUGGUAACGCUAGCGUAGAGCCGCUCGUGGAGAUUAUUCAAGUGACUAUCUUUACUCCAUUUUUUAUUUACUCCAAUUAGGAUACCCUAUGGACACAUUGAAAAAAAAAAAAACCAUGUCAUAUGAUUUCCCACACAAACCAAAUCAUUUUUUUUUUUGUCGGUCAUACUCUAUUUCUAUUCUACACUCACUCUCAAACUUUUGCCUUGACUCUUGCAGGGCGUGAGAGUCGAAACCCACUCCUGAAAUUUACGCGUCCCCACCCCAUCCCCCCUGAGAAGGUGGAGAUUUAAACCCCUCACUUCCCCCUUUCAUGUUGGAAAGGUGGCCACUGAGGCGAAUCCCAGUGAUUAACCAAAUCAACUUGAAAAGCACAAUAUUGAGUCAUAACAAUUAAUGCAUUGGGGAACUCCUUGCCUGUAUCAGAUCCAUUGGGCAGAGGAAGGAUCCAGGUGGACCCUCCCUUAUUUCCAGGUGCGACAGCCUCCCCAUCACUUCGUUGGCCGGCAAGAUUGGCCGCGCUUGCCCCCGGUCAACAGCCUCCAGACACUGUAGCCCCAGAUCAAGCAGGUGGUCCAGCAGUAGCAUCCGAUCAAGGCCCCUUCGCAAAAAGAAUAAAAAUAAAAACUCUUAAUGUAAAGCUUGUCUGUUCAAAAAAAAAAAAAAAUGUAAAGCUUGUGAUUAUAUAUGUUUCUAAUUUGUGAUAUCACGUCAUUGUAUCAUGACUGGAUUACCUGUGAGUUUCUUUUCAUUCAAUAGGUAAAGGUGUCGUGUCAGGGAAAUUGAAAAAAAAUUGAAGAGACUCUUCUUUUUGGUGACAAAACGCGAGAUGGUUCUCUACUGCCUUUGUUUCCUUUGAUUUUGGUCCUUGUUGGAUAGGUCUAAGGACAAUUUAGGAGUUCUAAUUUCAAUGGAAAGCUGUUCUUCUUAGCACAUUUUGCCAAGUCGUUCUCUUCUCAAGGUUUGUCAUCUUUUUGGCACUUUGGGUGAGAUUGAAUCAUUCACUUAGAAAGUUUAGGUGACAGCAUCUCAUUUAGAAUGAGUAGUGCAUUAUCAGUAAACAGAUACAAGGGUCUAAGUUAGUCCAAAUAUAAUAUGUCAAGAAGAUUAACAUUAUCAAAAUUUGGUAUUUACUCCACAAAUCAAUAAUACGGCCAGCGAAUCAAUGUUUGUCCACUAGCGAUCAAGGAAAGGAUGGAGAAUUAAUAAAUAUUUGUCCACCAGCCGUGGAGGAAAGGAAGAUUUACCAAAUCAAAGUUUGUCUAAUCACUAAUUGUCUUGGAGCAGUACAGGACAGAAUGAAUACCUAAUCAAUGUUCGUCCAUUAGCAGUGGAGGAAAGGAUGGUUUACCUAAUCAAUGUUUGUCUAAUCACCGUUUGUCUCUGAGCGGUGCAGGAAAGAUUGGAUAUCUAAUCAAUGUUUGGUCAUUAGCAGUGGAGUAAAGGAUGGAGACAUAGACAUCCUAACCAAUGUUUGCAUCACUCAAUUGUUUAUGUGUCCACAUUAUUGUCUUGAUUGAGGCAACCGAGAGUGGUAUUUUUCCUUUCUUUUUUUUUUUUGGCUGGUAACGACUUGGCGCAUUUUGCAGUCGAUUUUUCAGCUACUUGAGGAACUGACUCGUGUUUAGAUUAAAAAUGGGUUUGUAACACGUAUUGAGACAAUUAUUACACGAAAGGUGAUUACAACAAGCUAAAAUUAAGUUUCAAAUCAUAAUAGCUAAAAUUAAGUUUCAAAUCAUAAUCUCAUUUUGACGAUGACAGACUAUAUGAAGUACUUAUUACACGGGAGAUGAUUCAAGUCAAAUCAUUUUGGUACUUUAACGGUUGGUAAUCAUAUGAUUUUUACUUUCUCUUUAAGCCACUCGGUGUUAAAAAAUGCAAAGAAACCAAGCUAAGAGCUUGCAUACCAUGUAGAUAUUACUUGAUUGUUGAUAAGCUGUGGGUUGAAGGGUCUAAACAUAAGUUAUCGAAUUGCUGGAAAAGCAAAUGCUGAGGCAAGUCUUAAAAAUUAUAAUCCAAGCCCUCUUAUAUGGAGAAAUGUAACAAAGUCAUUCAAGAAGAAUAUACGUGUAAAUCAUACAUACUAUGUUAAUAUGGACCAGCAAAUUAUAAAGAAAUUCGCUGCUUCCAUAACUAAGGAAAAAAACCCAAAAGAUAAGGGGGUGGCUAGCUAUGAUUCUGAAAUUUCAUUGGAGAUCUAAUGACUAAUAAUUUUAAUAUUAAAUAGGAGAUACUGUUGUAUUUUGUUAUAUUAAUCAGAUAUUUGAACAAAGAAGAUUGCUUUACUUUGUCAAAUUGAACCGGUAGUAUGAUAAAACAUUAUUUGAGCUAUGGUCUUGACGAAGGCGACUGGUCUUUUUCAUCUUUAAAUUUUGGCCUAUGACAACCCUUAAUUUUCAGUAAAUGCAAUCACAUCAAGUGCAAUGUCAUUGGGCGCCACAUGCUCAUUCACAUUAGGAGUCAAACCAUAGUUUGUCAAAUAUUUGAGAGUUCCAAGGCCACUCACUUCUCUUGCAAUAGCCGAUAAUCUCAAGCUAGUGGCAGAACUUAAAUCUUUUCGGACUACUCCACACCAUAUCACCAAGUCGUCAAAUUAGUGUUUAUUUACAACUCAAUUUCUGUAUGAUCGAUUUUCGGUUGAAAUAGUAUCGUAAGCAUUCAUCAUGUCUCCAAUUUAAGGAAGAAACAUAACCGUCAUUCCAAUCACUACUCAAGUAUUUUCCAACUACUCUACAUAAUGCCACCAAGUCGUCGAAUCGGUGUUUCUUAACAACUUAGUAUCUAUAUGAUCGACUUUAAGCUAAAAUAGCCUCAUAAGCAUGAUCAGUUCUUGAAUCUAAUGAAGUGGGAUAACUUUCACUCAAAUAAUUGCUCAAGUCUUUUCUAACUACUCCGUACCAUGACAACAAGUCGUUGAAUUAAUGCUUCUCUAGAACUCAAUAUCUAUAUGAUCGACUUUAAGUUGAAAUAGCCUUGCAAGCAUGAUCAUUUCUCCAAUCUAAUGAAGUAAAGUAACCUUCACUCUGAUCAUUGCUCAAGGCUUUUCCAACUACUUUGUACCAUGCCACCAAGUCAUCGAAUUAGUGUUUCUUUACAACUCAGUAUCCAUAUAAUCGACUUUCCCUUAAAGUAGCCUUGCAAGCAUCCGAUCAAGGCUCUGCGACACCCCCCCCCCCCCUUCAAACGAAAAAAACAAAAAAAACAAAGCCUUCCCAUCACUUCGUUGACCGGCAAGAUUGGCCGGGCUUGCUCCCUGCUCAACGGCCUCCAGAAAACGUAGCCUCAGGUUAAAAAACCAAAAUAAAAUAAAAUAAAAUAAAAAUUUUAAUGUAAAACUUGUGAUACUUUAUAUUUUUUAUUUAUGAUGUCACGUCACUAUAUCUUGAUUGGAUUACUUGCGAGAAUCUUUACAAUAAAUAGGUAAAGGUGUCGUGUCAAGGAAAAUUUUAAAAAGAUGGAAGACGGUCUUCUUUUUUAUGAGAAAACGUGAGAUGGUUCUCUACCGCCUUUGUUUCCUUUUGUUUUGGUCCAUGUUGGACAGGAAUAAGGACAAUCUAGGAGUUUUAAUUUCAAUGGAAAGCACAUUUUGCCGGGUCGUUCUCUUCUCAAGGUUUGUCAUCUUUUUGGCACUUUGGGUGAGAUUGAAUCAUUCACUUAGCAAGUUCAGGUGAUGCUAUCUCAUUUGGAAUGAGUAAUGCAUUGUCGGUAAAUAGUUUUAAGGGUCUAAGUUACUCCAAGUAUAAUAUAUCAACAAAAUCAACAUUAUCGACAUUUGGUAUUUACUCCACAAAUCAAUAACACAGCCAGCGAAUCAAUGUUUGUCCAUUAGCGAUUGAGGAAAGGAUGGAGAAUUAAUAAAUAUAUGUCCACUAGCCAUGGAGGAAAGGAUGGUUUACCAAAUCAAAGUUUGUCUAAUCACUAAUUGUCUAUGAGCGGUACAGGAAAGAAUGAAUACCUAAUCAAUGUUCGUCCAUUAGUGGUGGAGGAAAGGAUGAAGACUUAACAAGCAUUUGUCCAUUAGCGGUGGAGGAAAGGAUGGUUUACCUAAUCAGUAUUUGUCUAACCACUAUUUGUCUCCGAGUGGUGCAUGAAAGAAUGAAUAUCUAAUCAAUGGUUGGUCAUUAGUAGGGGAGCAAAGGAUGGAGACAUAGACACUGGUGAUGGUUACUGGUUAAGAAAUCAUCCAUUUCUAUAUGCGUAUUAGAUGGUGACUAGGACAUUAGGACUAGUAACUAACCAAUGUUUGUAUCACUCGAUUGUUUAUGUGUCCACAUUGUUGUCUUGAUUAAGGCAACCGAGUGUUAUUUUUAUUUUUUUUUGGCCGGUAACAACUUGGCGCAUUUUGCUGCCAAGUUUUCAGCUACCCAAGGAACUGACUCGUGUUUAGAUUAAAAAUGGUUUUCUAACAUGUAUUGAGACAAUUAUUACACGAGCGGUGUUUACAGCAAGCUAAAAUUAACUUUAACAUCGUAAUCUCAUUUUGACGAUGACAGACUAUAUGAAGUACUUAUUACACGGGCGACGAUUCAAGUCAAAUCAUUUCGGCACUUUAACAGUCGGUAAUCAUAUGAGUUUAUUUUCUCUUUAAGCCACUUGGUGUUAAAAAAUGCAAAGAAAUCAAGCAAAGAGCUUGCAUGCCAUGUAGAUAUUACUUGAUUGUUGAUAAGCUACGGGUCGAAGGGUCUAAAGAUAAUGUCUCGAAUUGCUGGAAAAGCAAAUUCUAAGGCAAGUCUUAAGAAUUAUAAUCCAAGCCCUCCUAUAUGGAGAAAUUUGACAAAGUCAUUCAAGAGGAAUAUACCUGUAAAAAUCACACAGACUAUGUUAAUAUACACUAGCAAAUUGUAAAGAAAGUCGCUGCUUCCAUAACUAAAGGGAAAAACCCAAAAGAUAAGGGGGCGGCUAGCUAUGAUUAUGAAAUUUCGUUGUAGAUCUAAUGACUAAUAAUUUUAAUAUUAAAUAGGAGGUAUUGUUGUAUUUUGUUAUAUUAAUCAUAUAUUUAAACAAAGAAGAGUGCUUUACUUUGCCAAAUUAAACCGAUAGUUUGAUAAAACAUCAUUUGAGCAGGAGAAUUAAACCUCUCUCUGUUCUAUUCUUUCUUUCUUUUUUCUCCAUAUAGUUACAUUUCGAGCUUGAGCUAGUAAUCGAAAUGAGUUGAAUAUAGAUUUGGUGCAACCUACAAAGACCCACAUAAUAUAUUAAGUGGCUUAGUAGAGUUAGGCACAUUCCAACCAAAAAAAAAAAGAAAAAAAAAGGACGUACAUGUCAUGUGGGUGUGGCCUGUCCUUAUGUGUAUGUUAUCUUUUAAGAAUUACACUUUGUUCUUUUGAUUAUAACAAAUUGUAUGAAGCACUUAUUCCACGACAGAUGAUAUAAGUCGAAUCAUUUUGGCACUUUUAACAGCUGGCAAUCAUUCGUUUUCCAUAUUUUCAAGUCACUUGAUGUGCGUGCAAUAUUUCUGGAUAGUUUAUAAUUCCACUUUGCGGUCUUGAUUGAGGCGAUUGAUCUUUUUUUUUUCUUUAAUAUUUGGCAAGUGACGACUUGUGCUACUAAGGAAGAAGAUUCCGCAUUUCACGGUUAACGUAGCAGUGGAACCAUACCUUAAAUUUUAAAAUGCAAUGAAAUCCUGCAAACAGUCUACCUGCAGUAGUACUCCGAUUGUUUAUAAUUCCACGUUGUGGUCUUGAUCAAGGCGAUUGGUCUUUUUCUACUUUAAUUUUUGGCCUACAAUUAUCCGCAAUUCAUGGUAAACGGAAUUACAUAAGAGCCAUAUCAUUGGGCACCACACUUUUAUUCACAUUAGGAGUGAAACCAUAGUUUGUCAACUAUUUGUAAGUCCUGGGGCCAUUCACUACUCUUGCAAUUGCCAAAAGUCUCAGGCCAAUUGUAGAACUUAAAUCUUUUCCAACUACUCCGCACCAUGCCACCAAGUCGUCGAAUCAAUGUUCUUUACAACUCAGUUUCUAUAUGAUCGACUUUCGGUUGAAAUAGUCUCGUAAGCAUGAUCAUUUCUCCAAUUCAAUGAAGUAAAAUAAUCUUCACUCCCAUCAUUGCUCGUAUCUUUUCCAACUACUUCACAUAAUGCCACCAAGUCGUCGAGUCGGUGUUUCUUUAUAAUCCAGUAUCUCUAUGAUUGAUUUUUGACUAAAAGAGCCUCGUAAGCAUGACCAUGUCUCCAACUUAAUGAAGUAAAAUAAUCUCCAUGCAGAUCAUUGCUCCAGUCUUUUCCAACUACUUUGUAUACCACCAAAUCAUCAAAUCGGUGUUUCUUUACAAUUUCGUAUCUUUGGUUACAUUUCGGAUCUCCAUAGUCAAUAUCUAUCACCUCCCCCUUCCAAGUAAUUUGGAUCUUUAAUAAGAUUUUAGAUUGUUGAAUCGCUUGUACUAAAUCUCGAGCGUUAUCAAAUUGAACAUUAUCAACAGUUGUUAUUCAAUCUAUAAAUCAAUAAUACAGCCAUUUUAUGUUUUAGAAAUGUUUUGAUCUAUAUACUAUUUUAUAUUGACUGUGGACUAAAAAAAGCCUACAAAUGUAUUAAAAUUAAUUUGUUGUUCAAAUAUUAAAUUUAAUGUGAGUAAUGCUUUUCUAGUAAAAUUAUAAACUCAGUCUGAAAUUUAGAUCAAUUCUAAAUAUGUUGACCUAAUGUUAUGUGGGGGGGGGGGGGGGGGGCGCAAACAUUUCAGAAGUCCUGAAAAAUAAAUUGGGCUAUUAUGGACACUUAAUUGAGAUGGUGGUCCAACUGUAAUCUUAAGGUAUUCUCAUACAACUCCUUUUGCUUUUCAUUUAGGUUUUUGGCCCGCUCGGAUUUUAGAGAAAAAUAAGCACGGCGACUCUUUACUUUCUAAUAAGAGCCUCGAAAUCGGGUAAACUAAGACGCCAAAAGGAAUCUUUCAUUUAAUUACAAUCAUUACGGUUUUCGAAGAAGAAUUUAAUAAACAAAAACCCUUAAAAGGCACAAAGAUACAUAGAUCGAAGCAGGAUUGGCAAACAACAUAAAAUUUAAGCAAAGUUAACGAUAAAGAGAAUCACGUGAAAGGUCAUAUCAUUGGAUACCACACACACUCACAUGGCUAUGUUAUAUAUAUACAUACAUAUAUAGAUAUAUAUAUAUAUAUAUAUAUAUAUAUAUAUAUAUACUACUUUAAAUAUGAGGUUUAAUCUAUUUUGCCAUUGCUCGUACUUCAACUUAAUUAUUCACAUUUUUAUUGAAGGUGUUUAAUAAAUUUGAAACCCCAAUCGUCACCUCGUCUCGAUUCCCACAAGUACCCAUAUGCACAAAUCGAUGCAUAUAUUAAUAUUGUGAGAAGGAUUAAAGAUGCCACUUAUUACAUGCGCAUGGGGGUGUGGGCAGUCCUUGUCCGUUUGUUCUCUUUAUUAACUACAUUUUGUUAUAUCGAUAAUGGCAAACUAUAAAAAGUACUUAUUAAACUGGCGAUAACCCUAGUCGAAUCAUUUUCUUACUUUAAAUUUUUUAUAUUUUUUCUAAGCCACUUGAUGGAACUGCAAUGCAAAAAAAUAUAUUGAAGUUCGCAAUUUUUUGUCUUGAUUGAGGAGACGAAAGAGCAGUCAUUUUUUAUAUUUAUUUUUGGGCAAUGACAAACUUGAACAGUGUGCUGGCAAAUUUUCAGCUUCCCAAAAAUGAUGCUUAGUUAACUUAACUACAGUUAUGUUACAGAUCUCCGUAAUCGACACCCAUAUCCUUCUUCUUUCGAGUGGUUUGGAUUUUUGUUAAAAUUAUGAAUUGUUGGAUCUCUAGUACUAAAUCUUGGCCGUCAAUAGGUAGAAUAUUAUCAACAACUGCUAUUCAAUAUACAAAUCUAUAACACAAGCCCCCACAUACAUAUAUCGAUGAAAAUAUUAAUAUAAUGAAGGGAUUAAAGAUGCUACUUACAACGUGCGUGUGUGGGUGUGGCCUGUCCUUGACCAUUUGCGCUAUUAAUUAAGUUUUGUUAUAUAGACAGUGACAGACUAUAAAAUGUCCUUAUUAAAUAAUGGAUGAUCCAAGUCGAAUCAUUUUCUUACUUGAACAGCUCGUAGUCAAUUUCUUUAACCCACUUGAUGGAGCGGCAACUCAAUUUUUAUAGUGAGAAGAAAUCAAUUCAAGUCCUCAAUGGAUUGAGGAGGACUAAGAGCAGUCAAUUAUUUUUUAAUAAAUAUCACUAAAAUCUUCAAAUUGAUACUUCUAUGAUAAUUUAUCCCUAAACUAAUUUUUUUUACCACCAAAAUCUAAAACUAAUAUAUUUGUAAUAAAUUUAAUUCCAAAUUAAACUUUAAAUUAAAACAUUUGUGACAAUUUUGUCAUCCGUUAGUUUCUAUUAAAUGGGAUUAAUAUCGCGAAAAGACACAAACCAAUACACUUGUAACAAAUGAAUCAUAGAAUUCCAAAUUAGUAUAUCCGUCAACUACUAUAUGUUAUCCAACAUAGUGAUUUAACGGUAAAAUUUAAUGAAAACUAAUAUAUAGUAAAUUUAUUACAUACGUACAAGUGAUAGAUUUUUUAUAGUCCAAAAAUUAAUUUAGAAUAAAUUUAUCAUAGAUAUACUAAUUUGAAAUUUUUUAUGAUAUUAAUCUCUAUUUUUUUUUUUUUUAAUGUGCUCCUUACAGUUUCCCUAAGAUUUGACCGGUGCUUAUUAACUAAAGUGAGAUUACCGAGUUGCAUGGUCCUUGCCGAUCUUCCCUUUCUUUCUCGCGGUUUGAGUCCUUGUCGAGGUUUCGAAUCCUUGAAUCUAUAGCAAAUAUUAUUGUAGCCGCUUCAUUUGAAUAAAUCUGGAAUGAGACCCCUUAGUAGAGGCUUGGUGUUCAGAAAACACAUCAUAAUACUAUCCCCCAUUAAUAUUCACUGCAUAGGAAGAGUGUAAAAAAGACUUCCAAGUCACCGCCGAUACAAGUAGCGUCUCACACCUAGGGCCCCGUUCUACUUCAUAUCAAUGUGUCCAUCAUCACUUGUCAUUACUAGACUUUGGCUCUAUAAAAAUAUGAUUCAACAAGCGCCUCCCCCCCCCCCACCCUUCCUCCUCCCCCCAAGAAAAAAAAAAGACCCAAAGCUGACUUAAUGGAAAAAAGCGAUGGUAAUGCUCCGGUCUAAAGACUCAUCACAUAUCUCUCUACCGCCCUCGAUUGAAAAAAUAGCAAACAUUAUUGUAGCCCCUUCAUUUGAAUAAAUCUGAAAUGAGACCCCUUAGUAGAGGUUUGAUGUUCAGAAAACAUAUAAUACUAUCCCCCAUUAAUAUUCAAUUGGUUUGACCACAAAAAUUGCCCCAUGCCCCAAGAUAUGUUUUUGUCCUAAUAUAUUUUUAUUCAUCUCUUUUGAUUAACCAUUAUUCGAUUUGGGCAAUUGAAUUUUAUUGAUUUUACACUGAUGAAAAGGAAAUAUUCUCAAAAUAACACAUUACUGCUUAUCAAUGAUUUUUUAACAUGGAUAUUUUACUAUGAAAUCCGUUCACAUAUGAUAGUUAACAUUUACUCGAUACAAGAUAAAGGGUAACGUGCAAUCUCAUGAAUAGGUUAAAAAAUGAACAGUACAUAUUAGUUUUAACAUUUUUCAAUAGUAAGAAAUCUUACGUUAUUGUUAAGUCACUUGAGGAUAGAAGCCCUUUUGAAAAAAAAAUAAAAAAUCUUGAGGAGGUAGUGACCAAUUAUAAAGGGGCCUUGCUUUUUCUGGAUGCCAUGAGAAAAUUGAAUUUUAUACGUGAUACUUUGUUGGGGUUGUUCCAAAUCUAUCCCUAGAAAAUUGAAUUUUGUAAGCGAAUAAAAAGCACAAAAUGCUAAAAUACCCAUUCUGUUGUAGUUGUCUUCCUACAUUCCAUAUUUUUAGAUUGUCAUUACCUUUCUUGUCUUCUUUAUUUUUCUAUUAAUACCUACAUAAUCUCUCUGUGUGGAAUGAGCUCUGAAUUGAACCAUGCUUAUGAAUCUGUUUGUUGGGUGUAGAUUUUUUUUUUUUUUGACAAGUUAUACUUGUUGAAACAAAAUUAUAGACUCACUUCACCCAUGCAAUUAAUGUGAGGAUCUAUAUCUAUAGAAUGACAUGAGAACAGUCUUUCACUUAAGAGCUGCCUUUAAGGUUAAUACAUAGCACUCUAGAUAACUAGAAAGGAUUUUUCCUUCUUCCAAGAAUUGGAUUUGCUACAUUCUCCAUUAAAAAAAAUGUAGCCCCCUGGUCUCCACCUAAGCUAAUCUUAUGCAAAACCGACUAGAAAAAGUCCACUAUCUAAACCACAAAUUGUCCGCAAUGUGAGAGUCCAAUGCCACUCACUACUCUUGAAAGUGCGGGCAAACUUGUAUAUUAAACAAAAUAGUUGGCUGUAAUUGUAGAUGAAUUUCUAUAAAACUAGCAAGAUUCGCACAGGGGCUGAGGUAAUUUUUUAUAUUAUUUUAAAUGUUAUUUUUAAUCUAUUUCGCUUUUGUUCCCACUUCAAGUUAGUUAUUUUUCAUGAAUUUUUAAUUUUAAGUUUGUUGUAUCGUGAUUAUUAUUUGUCAAUAUAUUUUAACUUAUGUUAAUAUUUUUAACAAACAACAUAGACAUUCAUGCCAAAAUAGAGAAAUAUUUGACGGCCAAUACUUUAACAUCCCUACGAGGGAAAAUGGUAUAAAAUUAGAAAGAGUAUGAGAUAUUGUUUAGAAGUUAAAAAAAAGUUUGGAUAAAAUAUAAUGUAGAUAACACUUAAAACUUGAUGUUGCCAUAAAAAUAUGCUUUGGAAUAUUAAUCUACACUAUAAAUUAAAUGAACGACCACUUCAACAUCACAGUUUUACAAAUAAUUCCAUGAAAACAUCCAUGCAUAUACUAAAAAAAGAAGUUCGGAAGUAUCCAGUGAAUCUCCUACGUUUUAAAUUAUGAUGAUAUUGAUAUGCAUCUCCUAUCUUCCGCUGACGAUUGCUUCCUUGCACCGAAAGGUGAAAUUGUCAAGACUAAAACAACAAGAUUUCUCUGGUUGACAAAUAGCUGUUGGGAUGAUUGGUGUGCGCACACAUUUGGUGGAGCUAAUUAUGCACCCAUUUUACACGUGAUACUUUGUUAGGGUCAUUCCAAAUUUGUCUCUACGUAAUAUUUCCUUAAGAGAAUCCAAGGACAAAAUGCUGGAAUAGCCAACCUCUUAUAUUUCCCCUUAUUUCACAUUUUUAGCUUGCCAUCACCUAUCUUUUUGUCUCCUUAAUUUUUCCGUUUUCACAUGUAGUAUCUCUCUGUUGGAAAGGGCUUUGAAUUUGAUUAUGCUUGUCAUUGUGUAUGUUGGAUGUAAAUUUUCAUUUUUGAGAAAUUAUACUUUUGAUACAAAAUUAUUCACUAAUUCACGUACAAAAAUCAACAUGAGAGUCAAUAUCUAUAUAAUUAUGCAAUAACAGUCUCUUCUCUAUGCCCUGCCUCUAAGGUUGACACAUAGCAUUCUAAAAUAGCUAGAAAAGACUUCUCCUUAUUUUAAGAACUGGAUCCGCCACGUUCUCCAUUAAAACAAUGUGCCCACUUGGACUCCACCUAGGCUAAUAUUUUGCUCUACUGACUAGAUAGAUUAUUCAUAUAUCAUGAUGUACUUAUAGGCACUAAUCCCUUAUUAGCUACGUGAGUUCUACUCAAUCUAAUUACAAGGACAAUGUCUCUCAUGACUUUAAAUUGUUUCUAUCUAGUCAAAAUGUUUUCAAACGGUCAUAAUUCAUAUAUGGGAUUAGGGGUACAUUGACAUUUCCAACACAACAAUUUUUUAUGGGCAAGUUUGUCAUGUGAAACUAAUAAAGAGAAUUUCAGCCAGUUUAAUAUUCAAAACAGAUCAGAGACCAAUAUUAUGCCUAUCUAUCAUAUGAUACUAUUAAUUUUUAACGUUAUACUUACUUAGCGUCUCUAUCUUGCACUUAUUGAUAUUACUAUAUGAUAAUUUUAUGUUAACCUUGUCAUUUUCUUAAGAAAGGUUCAGAAUAGAAAAUACAAUACUCUUUACUAUAAAAAUUAUGCUUACAUAGCCCAGAGUUGGCACAAUUAGUUGGGUCAUUAGGGAUUUCCAACUUAGGAACUAGAGAUCGCCGGUUCGAAUCCCACAAACUACAUGCAAACUGUUUUGGGUUAUAGUCACCUACAUAGACCAAAGAUCUGAGUUUAAUUGGUUCCUGGAAUUGGCAUGAUAUUUCAUGAGCUUCUAGGUAAAUGGCUCUCCACACUCCUACCCCUAUAUCGCACAAGCGCGCAUACACACACACUCACUUUAGGAGAAUGCUAACUUUACAUGGUAUUACACUUUAGGAGAAUGCUAAUUUUACAUGGGAUUUUUUAUAUGCACUUAUUCCUCAUAAAUUAGGUAGUCAUUAUACAUAAGAUCUUUGUCAACUUAAUUGCAAAGAGAACAUUCCCAUGACUUUGAGGAAUAUUACCAAUCGAUCUUAAACAUAUUGUACGAAUACCAAUUUAGUUCUAAACUUUUUGAUUUUGCCAAUUUAGUGAUAAACCUUUGUGCAAAAUUCCAAUAUAGUCUUUUUGGCCAAUUUCCGAUGUUGAAAUGGUCAUGUGUUGCUUAGAAUGGUCAGCAAUGACUGGACUGUGACAUCAAUAAUUUCAAGCAAAAAUUCAUCAAAAGGGUUAUAUUGAAAUUUUCCGUAAAGGUGUAAAACUAAAUUGACAAAAAAUUGAAAUGAUUAAAACUAAAUUAGCAUAUGUAUAAUAGAUUUUAGGAUUGAUUAGAUAAUUUUCCCCAUGACUUUAAUUAGUCAUAAUAUUUUCUUUGUUAUAAAUUAGUCAUAACAUUUUUAAAUAGUCAAUACAAAUAUAAGGUUUAUGACGUAAUUUGAUAUUCUAAUCUAACAAUUAUGGUUGAGUUUGAGAAAAGGAGCGAGGAAGUUAAGGUCUUGUUUGGCAAAAAGUGUUUCUGUUCCCCGGAACACAAAUUUUUGUUCUUUUGUUCUGGGGAACAAAAAAAGAACAUAAACGUGUUUUGUAAAACUUUUGUUUUCCCAGAAAUAGAUUUGGAAAAAAAAAAAACAAGAAGUAGAAAAAAAGUAGUUUCUUAUUCUUGGGAACAAUUCCGAAAGACAAUUUUUCUCUCUCUUCUUUUUUCUUCUCUUUUUUAUUUUUAUUUUUUCUUUCCUUCUUCUUUCUUUUGGCCGGUCAUCGGCCUUGGCCAUGGUCGAUGAUCAGCCAAUGAGGACCAGCAACCUCACCGGAGCGUCCCCGACCCCCAGCGAUUCCUCACCUUGCCUUGGCUGGGCGAGCUUGAGCUCGCCUAGAUUUGGCGAGGCCAAGCUCGCUCAACCACCGACGAGGCUCGACUUCGCCAGAUUUGGGCAAGUGCAAGUUCGCCUAGCCAAGGCGAGGCCGACCUCUUGUCGCCUGGGCGAGGUCGAGCCUCGCUAGUGACCUGGGGAGGCUUCGACGAGCUCCCCGGCCGUCGCGGUGGCUUGGCGAGGCUCCAGCGAGCUCGCCGAACCUCGCCCAGCUAAUCGCCAGCCACCGCUGUGGCUGACAAUCAGCCACAAAGGAGAAAGAAGGAAAAAAAAAGGAAAAAAAUAAUAAAAAUAUUAAAAAAUUAAAAGAAACAAUAAAAUUAUACAAGUUUACGAAAUGCAUUUAUAUUAUUGGAACAUGAAUUUUUUGCAGUUACCAAGUAUGUUCUUAUAUUCAGAAAUUAUUCCCUGAAAAAAAAUUAUUUAUGUUUAAAAAUUAUUUCUUAAAAUAGAAUAGUUACCAAACGCGCCCUAAGCAACCACUUGGUGUUCCGGUUGAGCAAGCCAGUGAAGAAGACGCGUGAGUUUACUUUUUGCUUUUGUCCGAGUAUACGAGUAGUUAAAGAAAACCAAUGUCGGAAUGCACUCAUUCGAGGAGCUAUGCGUAAUGACUCAGCAAGUUGCAUAUGAAGGAAACGCCUUCAUAGUUAGUGGAAUAUGCCCUUUCAACGAGAUUCACAUGGCACUCGGCAUAACAUUUUGUUGUUGUCCCAUAUGAUUGUGUCAUGAAAUAUGAAUACGCAAGAGUGAUUUUAAAAAAAUUCCGCGAGUUCCAUGGUCACUUUGGUCGACAUCUAGUUCUAUUUGCUUACACUUAUAUAUAAAAAAAAAAAAAAAAAAAAAAAAAAUUCUGCAUUUUGCUCUCCCUCGAGAAAAUUAAAAAUGGGAAAAAAAUAGGUUUCAUAAAUUAUGAAAAACCAUAUAAUAACUCUACUUGUCAAUAAAUGUGUGUUCUUGAAAAUUCUAAAAAUCAAUAUUUGAUAAUUGCAAUUUUUGAAAAAUAAAUGCGAAAGGAAAAGCUCUGGACAGAACCAAGCAUUUGGGAAAGAAAAGAAAAAGAAAAAGAGGGUUUUGUCCUGUGGGAGGGGGAGGGGGGAGACUUUAAUAUGAAUGAGAGCCCACCGAGCAAUGGCAAUGAUUUUGCGUGUUAACUUUAUCAUGUAAAGAGUACCAGUGGUCGCUAUGAUUUUGCAUAUUAAUAUUAUCAUCUAAAGGGUAGUAGUGUUCGAGAUAGUAAACUAGUUGAAAAAUGUUAAGAGAAUAGCAAAAAUUUAAUUUCCUAAGAAGUUCUAAUCUAACAAUUACAACUGUAGUUAAAUCUAACCUAGCAAUCAUAAUUGGCUUUAUAAUCUAACAAUCAACCUAUUUAUCAUGUUAAUUCUAAAUUAUUAAUGUGACUUCAUGGACCAGCACAAUGAGCGGGGGGUAGGACUAUACCUAACCUUAUGUUUUGUCCAUCAGGCGUGGAGGAAAAACUACAUGCCUAAAUUAUGUUUCUCUAAAGCGGUGAAUGAAAGAUGAUAUCUAUCAUGUCAUUGGCAUGGAGGAAAGGAAGGUGAUUUCGCCAUUGGCAUUGGUGACCCUGCUCCCCGUAUUAAUAGAUUAUUUAUUAGACUACCAUCCAUUUUCUUGAUUGCCGCGACUGACAGCAAUCUUUUUUAAUUUUUUUUAACUCUUGGCCAGUGGAGUCUCUAAGGACUUGGAGCCCCUUUGCUCCCAACUUUUUAGGCCCCUGCCAUGGAAAAUGUUUCAAAAAAAAUGUUUCUGGAACACUUUUUGUUACUUUUUUUUGUUCCCGGAAAACAAAAAAGGAAUAGAAACGCGUUCGGUGCGUUUCUGUUCUUUUUUGUUUUUUUUUUUCCCGGAACAAAAUUGGAGCAAAAAAAAGAAACACAAAAAAGUUGCUUCUGGAGAAAAGAAACACUUCUUCAAAGCCAAAAAGAAACGCUUAUCUUCUUCUCUCUCCUCUUUUCUUCUUCUCUCUCUUCUCUUUUCUUCUUCUUUUCUUCUUCUUUUUUUCUUCUUUUUUCUUUGGCCGGCGAUGCCGUCGAGGGUCGGCGACCUCGCCGGAGCGUCGCCGACCCCCGGCGAGGCCGAGCUCGCCCAGCCAAGGCGAGGCUCGGCCUCGCUCGAGGGGAGAUCUUCGGCUAGGGUUCCGGCGAGGGGCUCCGGAGGACGGUGCGACGGCGGCGCGGCACUAGAGGUUUCGGGAUCGACACGGGGCGACACGGGCAAAGACUGGCGGACGGCGUCGCGAAUGGCGUGGUGAGAUCGGGACGGUGUCGAGUUGCAGGCUUCGGGGCGCAGGUGCUAAGCUCCGACGGCAGGGCGGCGAGGCUCGGCCUCGCCCGCGCCGGCGACGCCGAGCCUUGCCUUGGCUGGGCGAGCUCGGGCUCGCCCAAAUCCGGCGAUGCCGAGCCUCACCAUGGCUGGGCGAGCUCGAGCUCGCCCAGAUUCGGCGAGGCCGAGCCUCGCCGGGGGCCGAGCCAUGCCCAACCACGGCGAGGCUCGGCCUUGUCGGGGGCCGGUCGCCGGCCUCCGGCGACUGGCCAAAAGAAGAAAGAAAUAAAAAAGAAAGAAAAAAAUGGAAAAUAAAAUAAAAAUAUUAAAAAAUUAAAAGAAACAAUAAAAGAAUAAAAUUUACCAAACAUGUUUCUAUUCAUUUUUUAUUCCCGGAACAAACGUUACCAAACGCGUUCUUUUGUUCAAAAACCGUUCCUCGGAACAGAAACACUUUUUUUUAUUUCUGUUCCCGGGAACAGAAAAUGAACAAAAACGUUUCCAUGCAGGGCCUUAGUUUCCGAAGGAAUUGAGUGGGGUUUAGUUAAAGUCUUAACUGAGGUUAGAUUUCCGAGCUCCAUAGUCCAUACUCAUCCCAUCUUUCUUCUCGUGAUUUGGGCCUUUGUUAAGAUCUUAAAUCAUUGGAACAAUAGUAGUACAUCUCAAUCGUUUUUUUUUUUUUUUGACCUAGGAAAUUUCGUAUGGCUAGCAACUGGAAGUAAACCACUGAGGGCGAAACGUGCUAGUCACCACACACGUGCUACCAGGUAAGUCGUCAAAAGUCUCAAAACUAGCUUUCCUGCAAGGCGUAGGAGCUUUGAACACUAGAUCUCUUCGAUGGAAGUCUAGCGCCUACCCAGCUGAGCCACCAUGGCGGGUGGUUUAUCUCAAUCGCUCUUGAUCAAAUAUUCCAGCAAAAAGUUACCAUGUCUCUUUCUCCAUUGAUUCUCUUUGACGCUCCCCUUCCUUCAUCUUUUCUCGCACUCAUGUCUCUUUGCCUUUUCGUCUUUCAUCAUUCUUGCUCUGUUCCACUUUUUCUUCUCCUUGCUACAGCCCUACUUCAUCCUCUUUUUCUUAAGUACGUACGGCCCUUUUUCAUCGUCCUCUCUCUCCCUCUCUAUGUCCCUCUGCCUUUCCUUUCGAGGGGUUUUUAUCCGAACGUUUUCUCGCUCUUUCUUUUUCGGAAUACAAAUCAAAGAAAAUGUCAGAUCGAUGUUGCUUUUGAGAAAAAUAGAAAAUUAUUAAAUUCAUAUUGAUAUGUAAUUGUUGAUACAAGUGUUAUGAAUACGUAGCAAAAGUUCAAUCCGAGAGGUUAUCAAGAGAAAGCUUGAGCCCAUUAACAUAUUAAGUUAACUCAUCUUUAUUAAAAACAUGAGCUAAAAAGUUAUUGAUCAAUUAUAAUAUAUUAGCUGCUUAAUACUAUAUUAAUUCUCUAUUGUGAAACUUUUCUAACCCAACUCACACACAUCUUAACAUUCACCUCUCGCGUGUUGGCUUAGUAUUAUGUCUGCUUCCCCUUGAUUCAAGUAUCGUUCUCCAUUAACAUGACUCAAUUAGAAUCUUCGCUUUGGUGCGUCUCCUAACUAAAAUAACAACAAUGCCCAUCUUCAUCCCUAGUCUCUUUCUUCAAAUUGAAUCAUGAAGGUUACCAUCAGAACCACAUUGUUACACAAUAAUGCCCACCUCCAUUCCAAGUCUCUUGUGCUAGAAUGAACUAUGAAGGCUGCCCAAAAAUUGCGUUGAUCACGAGAUUCCUUUCCUAAGAUAUUCUCCAAACAUCGGUAUACAUUCAAAUUGGCCAUUACCUAUCAAUCAUCGGCCCUGAAUCAUCGGCCCUGGCAUCAUUUCUUAGGAGUGUCUAGCAAAAAUUUGAUACCUUUAACCAAAGAGAUCACCAAAGAAAAGCACAUGUCCGAGCUGGCCAAUAUGUUUUAUUGAAGCCAAAUUCACUCAAAAACUAGGAUAUAUUAAUUGCUCCAUACCAUACUAAUUCUUCGGUAUAAGACUUUCUAACAUAACUUACAUAUAUCUCAAUAAGAAGUAUCUAAGUAAUGGUUAAAAGAGUGAGAACGGAGAGAUAUUGGGAAAAGUGCCAAAAAAGUCCUAAACCUUUUGCUUUUGUGCCAAUUUAGUCAUAAACCUUUUUUUGGUGCCGAUUCAGUCAUAAACCUUUUUAAGUUGUGCCAAUUCAGUCAUUUCUGGCCAAUUUUGCUGACUGGACGCUGGCCGGCUGACGUGGCAUGAUUGGUGCUGAUGUGGACAACUUUUAAUAAUAUUUUUUUUUUAAUUUUUUAAAUAUUUUUUAAAUACUUUUAAUAUUUUUUUAUUUUUUUAUUUUUCCUCCAGCCGGUCGCCGAGGUUCGCCGACCGGCCAGAAGCGACCGCCGGCGAGAGCGAGGCCGACCUCGCCGGCGAUCACCUCUGGCCGGUCGCCGGGGGUCCAGCGACCGGCUAGAGGAAAAAGACAAAAAUAAAAAUAAAAUAAAAUAAUAAAAAUAUAUUAAAAUAUUAUUAAAAAUUGUCCACGUCAGCCGCUCGGCGUCCAGUCAGCAAAAUCCGGUCAAAAUUGCCAGAAAUGACUGAAUUGACACAACUUAAAAAUGUUUAGGACUGAAUUGGCACAAAGACAAAAAGUUUAUGACUUUUUUGGCACUUUUCCCGAGAGAUAUUAGAUGAAUUCCAACCACAUUAUCAUAUGGCAAUUUUUGAUAAUGUUCCACACGGAGUAUGAAUGUGUCUACCUUAAAUAAUUCACUUCUGUAGUGGUUCCAUCAAUUUGUCAUUUGACUCCUUUUUUGAGUGGAAGUCAUGAUGGGGUUUUUUGGGAUUUGACAAACUUUAACAGUAACUGCUUUUAGCCUCUAGCGCAUGAUCAAUGUCGAUACUGAUAUGCAACUCCAAUUUUCCAACGAGAAUAUUUUCAUCAAGUGACUAGUGUGGGAUGUUAACAAAGAAGAGUUCCGCUAUUCCCUUCCAAUAGCGACGGCGCAAAUGGGACCACGAGUUAUAUUAUGCUUGUAAUGCGCAACCGGAUUACAACUUUAAAAUGGGAAAUCUUUACUAAUAUCCUUAAAAUAACUUUUAUCCCUUUCUGAAUGAAAUGUCAGUCAAAAUGCCCUCCCUCCAAAUUGAGCACCAAGUAAAGUCAUCAAUCAUUUCUUUUCGUUACUCUUGAAAGCAUAAAACAUUCAAUAUAUAUACUAGCGUGCAACUAACGUAUAACCGCACACAAUCUCGUCAUAAUUAUAAAUAUACAUACGUAUGUAUGUAUGCAAGCACACAUGAAUAUGUCUAAAAGUAUAUGUAUUUUAAUUACCUCUUAUUUAGUUAGAUAUACAUCUUGAUCACAAAAAACUUUUUUUUUCAAAGAAUUGGCAACCGGAUGAGUUUUGAAAUGACUUGCACUUGCACUUCUGCGUUCUCUUUCAAAUGUUUUUUUUUUUUAAAACUUUAUUAACAAAGAAAAAGCUUCACCACGUAUUGUUGCAACUGUUUCUUCCUACUUCCUCAUUAAUUGAAGAAUUAUUGUGUACAGCGGACUUAAAUAACAACGGCUCUAUACUUGGUUACCGCGAAAUACUAUACAGCCUAUUAACAUAUCGUAAAAUAAAAAAAUCACCUUUAACCUCUUUCAGUUAAUUAAUACAGUAAAAAUAAAAUGGGGGAUAUCCAAUCAUUGCAAAAUAACGUAAUAUAAGGUGUUGACUUGCAUAUUGAUUUUUUCUUUUUUGAGAAACCCCUUUUCAGAUAGGUGAAGUUCAUAUUAAAGGUAAAGUGAUUGAUGAAAAUAAUGCCAAUACCAAAACGAGACCAAAAAUAUGAUAGAGAAGAAAGACUUUUAACACCAAAAGAAAUGGAAGUUGGGUUGUAUCGAAUAAGUAUGUAGCUUUUUUCUUUUUUUCACUAAGCAGAGAGGAGAAUCAAAAUACCUAUCAUGGGCAGGGGUGUGGAGUUUAACUCUUAGGAGGAGGCUUAUGAAUUUUAUAACAAUUAUGAGAAAGAAGUAAGAUUUUGUAGUAGAGUUUCAAAAUUGUAGAAAAGGAAGAGUAGAGAGGCAAAGUGAAGCACAGUUUUUUGGGGCUAGCUCCAAAAAAAUAAAGCAUCAACUUUAGUUUGAGGGACAAAUCUGACCGAAACUUCUUUUUUGUCUUGUAAAAAAGCACAAAUUUUAGGUUAAGGGACAAAUCCGGCCUAAACUAUUUUUUUGUCUCGUAAAAAAAUGUCAAUUUUAGGUCAAGUGACAAUUCUAGCCCAAUUUUUUUUUUCUCGUAAAAAAUUACAAACUUUCACCAUUAUUCAACUUUCUAUUUGAAGUUAAUCUUGUUUCAAGAAAAAAGUUUCUAGCCGUGAGCUUGGCAAAUCUUGUUCAUGGGGUCUCUCGAUGGGCGGUGGUCCAUAGCUUCAUUUUAAGACAAAUUGAAUUAUUCAAUUUACCAUUAUUCUCCAACUUGUGGCUCAAACAAGAAGAUCAUGAAUAGUGUUUUAAAUCUGGCCAGCAAGUGCACAUGGAUUUAUCGCUAAAAACAAUCAAUGGAUCUAAAUUAAAGGGGGCUAAAUUUAGGAUUUAAGUGAAAAUUGGUGAUUUUUUUUAGACAAAAAAACUUAGGAUCAUAAUUGUAGCUCAUCCCAAAGUCAGUGUUUUUUUAUGUGACAAAAAAAAAGUUUGAGCCAAAUUUGUCACUCGACUUAAAAUUAGUGUUUUUUUAUGAGACAAAAAAUAGUUUUGGUUAGAUUUGUCCCUUAACCUAAAAUUUGUGCUUAUUUUUGGAAUUAGCCGCAGUUUUUUGCUGCAUUUGUCAAAGGCUCAAGAAAAAAAAUGGUUCAGUUAAGUCGAUUCAUUUGAAAAGGUUAGAAUUCAAUAUUUUUUUUAAUCACUCAAGCACAAAGAAUGAGAAGCCCCAAAAAUGUACAAAAAUAUCUUUAUUAGUCUAAAAACAACCGUUCUGGUGUUUUUCUUUUCUAUUUUAGCAAUAUAAGUCAUAUUUAUAAUAAAAUUAAUAAUAUCUUUUUAGUGAUAAUUUUCGUACUUGUGAUUCUUAUAUUGUAGCAUUCAAUUUCCUUCAAGUCAUUUUUCCCUUGCUUUCGUAAGGAUGGAAAUUCAAGAAAUUAAUUGGUGUUUAGUUGAGGCCUUAAUCAAGGUUAGGUUAUAGACAAGAAAAUCGAACAUGCACUCUAUUUUUAGCUAAAUUUCCAUAUUGGUUAUGUCCAUAGUUUUAACCCACCAAUCAAAGAAUUGGUAAGGAUGGAAAUAAAUAAACUCUGACUUAAUAUAAACUCGCAUACAUUAAGGAAGCCAUUGCUCUCAAUUAACAAAGAAAUCCAAUGAGAUGUAAAUACUAAAUCAUUCCAAAGCAUGAGAAGAAAAUGUAACCUUAUCACUGCUGCGUCAAAUAAAUUUGUCCUUGUCUCUUUCACUUUUCCCAACCUAUAACAGUUGAAACGAGUAAUCUAAUAUCCGCCAACCUUUGUAUCACUUAUAUUAUGUUUGUGUAUAUGGGGCAGCACACUAUCAUUAAGAUAUAGGAAAUGUGUGAUUAGCUCUAUUUAAAAUCAAUUAAAUGGGAUUCCUAUCCACGUCAAUAGUAUGCGAAUCAAUCACCAAAAGAAGCAAAUCCAGACCAUGUAACUAGAGACAAUUUUUUUUUAAGAACCUCUGCGGAAUGCAAAAUACACUUGUACUUUACAAGAAAAAAAUUUUAUGCUUACUUAACAUCACCAUCUUGCAAUUAUCAAACAUCAAUAAUAUUAUAAUUUUAUGUUAACACAGUCAUUUUCAAAAUGAUAUAGAAUGCAAAAUACACUCAUUCUUUAGAAUAAAAAAAAAAAAAAAACAUGCUUACUAAAUCCUAGGAGUAACAUAGCUGAUUGGGAUGCUAGGGGAUUUCCAACUCACGAACAAGAGGUUGCUUGUUAGGAUCCCACAAACUGCUUUAGGUUGGAGCCAACUACACAGGCCAAAGCCCUGAGCUUAACCAAUUCAUAAAGCCUACAGGAUAUUUCAUAGAAUUAUGGGUAGAGAGGUCUCCAUACCCAUGCCCCCAUAUCAUAAGUAAAAUUAUAUGCUUACAUUAAUAGUAUCCCAAAUUUAUAUGGUACUCUUUUUAUAUGCACUUAUUUCUCAUAAACUAGGUAGUUAUUAUGCAAAAGGUCCUGAUCAUAUUAAUUACAAAUAGAACUUCCCUCAUGACUUUAAUUAGUCAUAACAUUUUUUUUUUGUUAAAAAAUUAGUCAUAAUAGUUAUAAAUAUAUGGACUUAGGCCUAAUUUGAAAUUCUAAUCUACCAAUUAUGUUGGUAAAAAUGGAAACAACUUCAAUUUUUUUUUCUUUAAAACAGAGUUCUUUUUCCCUUAAACGGAUGAUUCAAGGGGCUUUCUGUCAACAAAUAUGUGAAAAUUUUGAAUACUACAUAAAGACUCAAGAAUUAUUUUCAUCCAAUGGGCAAUAUCAAUUAGAUAUGAGGGUCUAAAUUAGCCCAAGUCUAUUUUGUCAAUAAGUAGAAAACUUGCAAAAAAUUGCAAUUCAACUUACAAGUGAAUAUCAAUAAUAUAAUAAUUUUACGUUAAAAUUGUCAUUUCUUAAAAAUGAUAGAUAAUACAAAAUAUACUUAAUCUUUACAAUAAAAAUUUAUGCCUACUUAACCCCAGGAUUGGUUCAACUAGUUGGGACAUUAUGGGAUUUUCAGCUCAAGAACUGAAGAUCCAUUGGAACCUCACAAAUUGCGAGCAAACUACUCUAAGUUACAGUCUCUUACAUAGGUCAAAACCCUAAGCUUAAUUGAUUCAAGGACUAUAGGAUAUUUUCUAGGCUUCUAAAUAGAUAGGUUUCUGCACCUAUGCACUUAGAUUAUUAAAAAGAAAAUGCUUACUUUGGGAGGAUGCUAAUUUUAUAUGAGAAAUUUUUCAUGUGCACUUAUUCCUCAUAAACUAGGUAGUUUUUAUGAGAAAAGGUCGUUAUCAACUUAAUUACAAAGAAUAUGUCCCUCAUCAUUUUAAAUAGUUAUAACCCUUUUUUUUUGUUAGAAAUUAGUCAUGGUUGGCAAAACAAUUAAACAACUUAAAUUUUUUCCCUAUGAACUGAGGUUUUUUUUUUUAAUUAUAAAUUUAAGACAUGAUUUGAGGGGCUUUCUGUCAGCAAAUUUAUGAAAAUUUGAAAGAUAACACAUGAAAUUAAGACUCAUUUUCAACUAAUGUUCAACAUCAAUUAGAUAUUAUGGUCUAAGUCAGCCCGAUUCUAAUAUGUCACUAAGUAGAACAUUAUCAAAAAUUGAUCUUCAAUAUAUAAAUCAAUAACGCAGCCGGUGAAUCCAUUUUUGUGUUUAGCCGUGGAGGAAAGGAUGGUCCCUAAUGAAUGUCCAUGAGCGGUGGAGGAAAGGAUGGAGACAUAGACAUUGGUGUGGUGGCCGGUCAAUUAAUUAAAAAAAUCAUCCAUUUCUCUUUAUAUAAAUGUUUUUUUUUUAAAUAGUUCAGCCAUUUCUUUAUAUUGCUCGAUUGUUUCAUUCAUAGUUCAUUGCCUUAGUGACAAGAGGAUUAUGCAAGAGUCUUGGCAGUUGGGUAUUCCUUCCCAGUAAAAAUUAAUUCAUAAAAUGACAAAUAAAUUCUUAUUAAUUAUUGAUACGACGAGUGAUGACUCUUGCAGCUUCUCAUAUCUCUUUAAAAAUAAUCUUAUAAAUGAACCAAAUGUCUAAGGAUUAGUUGACAUCCAAUAUCAUCAAUCAUGUUAGAAACUAUCAUCGAUAAAUUGUAUUAUACAUUUGGCUGAACAAAAUCGUGUUCUAUAAUUAAAAUACUAUUUUUGUACAAUCUUUGUUGGAACAUUUAUGGUACAGCAAAUUAUAUAAAAACUGCCGAUUAGUAAGGAUUUACACAUUGAAUGAUAUAUUUCCCUCUACUUUUUUGUAUGGUUGCCAGUAUAGAAAGUAAAGUUUAUGUAAGUAUCUCAGUUGGCUAAAUUCUCAUCAUGAAAGCACAAGGUCAUCAUAAUGUUUCGUGUGUUACUUGACUUUCACUGUUAUAAUGACUAAAAUGCUUAGUAGCCUGCAACAACUAAUUUCAUAUAUGUAUAUGUGUAGGCUAACCUCUUCCUGUGGAAGGUUAUAAAAGUGAAAAAAAAUUAGGGUUAUAAAUUAUCAAAAGCCACAUGACUUUAUUUGUCAAUAAUUGUAUAUUUUUGAAUAUUUUAGAACCGAUUUGUGAUAAUUGCAAUAUUUAAAAAAAACAUUAAAUGUAAAAUACUCCAAACAGACCCAAGCAUUUGAAAGAAAGGGGGGAAACUUCAAUAGGAACAAGAGAGACGCAAAAUAAUGUUAGCGGUGACUCGGGAUCGUUCCCCGUAUUAAUUUUAUCUUGGAAAGAGUAGCACUACUCAAGAAAAUAAAUUGAUUUAAAAUGUUAAUAAAGAAUGGCAAAAGUUUAAUUUACUUAGAAGUUUUGAUCUACAAUUCCAAUUCAAGUUACGUCUAAGGUAACAAUUACAAUUGACAUUAUAAUCUAACAAUUUGCUUAAUUACAAUGUUACUUCUGCAUUUUAAAUANNNNNNNNNNNNNNNNNNNNNNNNNNNNNNNNNNNNNNNNNNNNNNNNNNNNNNNNNNNNNNNNNNNNNNNNNNNNNNNNNNNNNNNNNNNNNNNNNNNNUGUUUGUCCAUUAAUGGUGGAGCUAAAGGAUGCGGAAACUUACCCAUUGGUGAUGAUGAUUGGUCAAGUUAAGAAAUAAGAAAGCCAUUUCUAUUACCAUAUUCAACUUUUAAUUAAGAAGUAUUGAGGGACACUGAAAGGAGAUAUCACCCAUGAUAGUAGUAAUAAUUUAUUUGCUUAUUUUGCUAGACUCAAAUUGGUUGAAAAUGAGUCUGGUGCAGACCCACGUAGGCUCACGUGGAAUUGGUGAUGCUUUUUUCAUAUCAUUUCAACUGGCUUAAAAAUUUCAAGUGUCGCACCAAAAUUUUGAUAAUGGGUUACAUACUGCCACCUCUAGAUGAAACUACAUGUCACGUGAGUUUUGAUCCGUCCUCGUCCUUUUGUUCUCUUUAUUAAUUACAUUUGCUAUAGCGAAGAAUGACAAACUACAUAAAGUACCUUUUAUACAUGAGCGAUGAUUUAAAUCCAAUCAUUUUAAUAAUUGCAUUUUGAUCGAAGGUGUUAUAUUCGAUUCGGAUUCUAAUCGUCACUCCAUGUUGAUUCACAAAAGUGCCCACAUACAAAUAUUGAUGAAAAUAUUAAUAUUAUGAACAAGAUUAAGGAAUAAUAUUAGGAAAAAUCUUAAACUGAUACACAUGCGACAAUUUACUUCACAUUAAUUUUUUUAUCACAAAAAACUCCCAAACUUAUACAAUUAUGAUAAAUUUAUUCUAAACUAAUUUUUUAACAAUGAAAAAUCUCAACCUAGUACACAUGUGAUAAAUUUACUUCAAACUAAUUUUUUUACCGUCAAAAACCAUAAAUUGAUACAUUUCUGACAAAUAUACCCCCCGUUAAAUUAUAUUAAUACCAGAAAAAAUUACAAAACCGAUACACUAUAACAAAUAGAGGGCAAAAUCUCAAAUUGGUAUACAAGUUAAUUACCACAUGUCAUCUAAAUCAGCAAUCUAACUAGAAAAUUUAACAAAAACUAACAGAUAGUAAAUUUCUCAUAGAUUUAUCAGUUUAGAGUAUUUUAUAGUCAAAAAAUUAGUUUUUUUUGUAAAUUUAUUAUAAGUGUACAAAUUUAAGAUUUUUUGUAGUAAACAAAAUUAGUUUGUGAUUAAUUUAUCAUGUGUACCAGAUUAAAGAUGAUAUUUGUCAAGUGCAUGGGUUGGUGUGACCUCUCCUUAUCAAGUGGGCGCCACCUAUUUUGUUAUUUGUUGCUCUUUCUUAAUUACAUUUUGUUAUAUCAAUUUGACAGGGUAUAAAGUAUUCAUAUAAUUUUAGUCAAAUCAUUUUGUUACUUUAGAAAUUGGUAAUCAUUCGUAUUUUAUUUUUUUAAUCCACUUCGACGAGCGUGCAAUUCAAAUAAUGCAAAGAAAUCAAUUUACUCCACAACUGUGGCGCGACGGACAGCUGCCGUAAUUAAGGUACAUAUUGGUGUUUAGUUAUGGCCUCAACUAAGAUUAGAUUUUUCUAAGAUCUAAAGUCUGUUGUCCACGUGACUAGUGGAUCAUGCAUGAGUCUUGUGAGUUGGGUUUUCCUUCCCAAUGAAAAACUACUUCACAAAAUGAUAUAUGAACUCAUAUUUAUGACUCUUGUGGCUUCUCAUGUAUUUUUAAAAAUCAAUUUUAUAAAAUGAACCGUGUAUCCUAGGCUCAGUCUACAUCCAAUAUCAUCAAUCAUGUUAGAAUUAUCAUCCACAGAUUGUAUUGUUGUUUAACUCAGAAAUGGAUUCCAACCUGAGUAGUGAACUAUCUUCAACCAAAAGAUAUAUCUUUUAUUUUUAUGAAAGGGGUUUAGUGGCGAUUUUUAAACAUGAGUUGCAAUUGGCAUGAUAAUGAAGAUGAACAACGAAUUUAAAGGUAAAAGGUGAUAGUAAAUGUUGGAAAUUAACAUGACAUUUAAACUGAUAAAAGUAUAUCAAAAAAUAUUAGUAAUCAUGAUGAUCCUUGCAAUAAUUAUAUGUUGCCAUUUUAUACUCCGCCAAUCAUAACUGCUUAUUAAGACGUAACCAUACUAGAUGCAGUUGUAACUGCAUUCCCGAGAUUUUAGGACUCCUAUCUGCACAUCGAUGCUAUCCACAAGCUGUUACGACUCUUUAAGUGUCACUAGGUUAACCGUUGCUUGGUGCCCUUAUCUUUAGUCGACAUUUUCACUAUCUCCUUUCUUCUUAGUUGAUAAUUGUCGACCAGUCAUCGUGGUACAUCGACAAUGGUAUCCUCAAUCGUCUAUAAUUACUGUCCAUUGUCAUUGAUAUGUGCUUCUAUUGUCCUUAACUUACCAAAAACCAUAUCAAUUGUCACAAACUCUAUACCCAUUUAUAUCAACAUUACGUCGUUCACAAAAAACUUCAUCAUUUUUCGGUGUAAACAAUUAUACAUCUGGCUAAAGAAAAUCUAAUUAAGCGACUAUCAUGUGAUUUAAAUACAAUCUUUAUUCUAACAAUUAUGGUACAACAUAUUACAUAAAAUGUACAACCAAUCAUAUGGGAUUUACACAUUGAAUGAUAUGUUCUUGGCUACUUAUUUGUGUGGUUGCCAAUUUAGAAAGUUAACUUUACAUGAGUAUAUCUGUUGGCUAAAUUCUCAACGUGAAAGCACAAGGUCAUGGACUCAAUUUUGUAUUGCAUGCUACUCAACUUUCACUACUAUUGUGACUAAAAUGCUUAGUAUCCUGCAACAACUAAGUUUGUUUACAUAUUUACAUAAGCCAAACUCUCGUCAUGGAAGGUUGUAGACCUGUCAUGCAUAGCAUGUUGUGAUGCAACUUGACUUCUGCACCAUAUUUAUAGUGUCAUUAAUUAUAUGUAUUUAGUCAUAUUUACUUAUGAUAAAUACAUACCUGCAUAAUAUAACCCUCUAAAAAUUUAUAGUUUUCAUUCCAUAGAAAUUUUGUAACAAGGGAUAGUUUUUUCUCUUAUUGAUUUGCUAUCAAUUGUUUCUUUUAAUUUUUAAUAUUUAUUGCAAAGCAUGUACUGUAAUUUCGUUUUUAUGAUGAUAGAUAAUUUUUUGAAUUCUCUAAGAUCAUAUAUUUGUCAAAUAUAGACAAUCAUGGAAUAAAAGAUGUUUCAACAUUAAGCAUCUUAUUUAUCACAUACAUGAUAAAUAUUUAUAUUGUCGAUUUGUUAUAUAUAUUGGCUAUCACAUCACGUAUUUUUUCUAAAAGUUUGUCAAUGAUAUACCUGAAGAAGGGGUGCCCAACGUCGAUCGAGCGAUCAAAAAAGAUUCCCAAGCAUCUUCAUAGCACGACCCAGCAAUCAUCUUCUUUGGGGGUCCUCAGGCUAUAAAGCCGAUUUCCUUCCUUUUGGUCCCUCUGUAAAAGGCAACCAUACAUUUACUUAAUUAUAAAAUUCGAAAGUUAUUGUACACUUAGUUAUAUCUUAUUUUUGAAAUAUCUAAAGUCAUGUAGUGAAUCCUAUAUAUAUAAAGUGGGUAUCCAUGCAUUAUUGAACUCCUUCGAGAGAUUGUCAAAAUUUGUAAAUCAAAAUAUUAACGGGGAUAUGUUAAAGUGGUCCUCAAAACCAAUUUGCUAAAGUGCAAAAUAGAACUGAUAUUCAAAUAUACAACAUAUGUUUAGGAAUUUGGGAUUUGUUAAAGUGACCAUCGAUAUCAAAUUGUUGAAUAAAGCUUACACAUGAUUGUGCUUGCUCAACCCUCAAGAGAGUUUUACCAUAUAUAUAUAUAGAUAUAUAGAUGCUUUUCUAGGUAAAUCAAUUUAUUAAAAUGACUCAAUUUGUCUACCAUUUAAAUACAAUGAGGAAAAAAAACAUUAAUUUAUCCAGGUCAAUCACAUGUUUUGAACAUUAUGAGUCUCACGUAUGACCGAAAUAAUUUAUUAGUGAGAUUGGGUAAGUCCAAGCAAGAACUUGCAUGGUAAAAGAUUUUACCAUCAUUUAGGAAAGAGAUAUUAUCAGGUAGAGAGUAUUAUUGUACUGCAUAUUAGUCGGAAAAUAGUUGUUUUCCGGGGCAUUUUUCCUGACAUUAAAAGCUUACCUAAUUGCCAUCGCACAAUCCUCCCCCCCCCCCCCCAAAAAAAAAAAAAAAAAAAAACCAUUAGGAGGACUUAUUCUGAGAAAGAAUAUAGAUGCCGUUUUCAUGUAUUUUCUGAAGUACUCUGGAAUUUCCGAGGGACCACUUGUGCUUUUCUGCCUUGGCCAUAUGGUCCACAUUAAAAAUUGAGUUGCUGGCAGACUGUAAAGUCACGUGGGUGUGGCCAGUCCUUGUCCAUUCAUUUUCUUUAUUCAUUACCUUUUAUUAUAUCAGUGCUGACCCACACUGUUUAAGUCGACUCAUUUGUUUACUGCUACUUGAACAGCUGAUGAUCAUCUCUUUCUUCCUCGAUUCAUCGCUAUUCGACGCUCCCCUUCCUUCGUCCUUCUUUCGCGCUCGAAUCUCUUCGCCUCGUUCGUCUCUCGAUCUGUUUCACUCUUUCUUCUCCUCAGCACAAUCAUUCUUCCUUUUCCUCCUCUUCUUCAGUAUCUUCUCCUUCUUUUCAUCAUUCUCUCUCUGUAUCUCUCUUUCUUUCUUGGAAAAAAAAAAAAAUCAAAGAAAAAAUGUCGGUCGAUUCUGUCGUUGCUAUUGCGUAUGAUGUCUUCAAGAGCUAUGUAGUUGAUCCCGUCAAGCGUCGAUUCAGAUACGUGAUCUCCUCCAAGAAUUUCGCCGACGAUCUUCGGGAGGAAGUCCGGAGCCUGGAGAAGGAGGCUCAGAGGGUCCGUAUUUUGGCAGAAGUGGCCCGAAACAACCUUCGGAAUUUCUAUGGUUACUUCCCAGAGUGGCAGCAAAGUACUGACAAGGCCUUGGAGGAGGCGGGAGACCUGUUGGGCGACAUGGGUGAGGCGAGCAAGACUUGCUGCCACGGGACUCUUCCCGACGCCAAAAGUCGCUAUCAGUUCAGCAGGAAGGCCGAGGACAAGAUCAAGGUCAUUAAGCAACUCGCUCAAAAAGGCAGCGGAUUCAAGGAAUUGAACGACAUCUCCUUCACAGAUCCUGCUCCGGGAAAUGUCACUGCUACGAAUCCAGCCAGGAGAGAAGGCGAAGAAUUCGUCCAGCCGACCACCGCAACGGCCUCCGCUUCUCCUGCCUCGACGUCAAAUGAGCUUAGUAAGGAUGGCGUCUUCGAAUCCAGAACUGCGAUCAUAGGGGACAUAAUGGGCGCUCUUGCCGAUAACAGCAAUAGUGUGGUCGGGGUUUACGGGAUGGGUGGGGUCGGCAAGUCCACCCUUUUGGACGACGUGGUAAGCAGAAUAAGAGAAGAGAAGCGGUUCGAUCUGGUCGCCAAGGCCGACGUGUCACAAAAUCCUGACAUCAAGAGAAUUCAAGGUGUGAUUGCCCAUGUGUUGGGCCUGGACAUGAAGGAUUAUGAGUAUGAGAGCUUGCGAGCGGAUCGUCUGCGCGAGAGGUUGGGAAAUGAGGAAAAGAAGGUCCUCAUAAUACUGGACAACCUAUGGAAAGGGCUUGACUUGAAAUCUGUUGGAAUUCCUUGCGGGCAUGACAACAAAGUCAUGGGAUGCAAGUUGUUAUUGACGUCGAGAGACCGAAAUGUUUUGCAAAGGGAAAUGGGCUGUGACAAGGACUUCUUUCUUGAUAGGCUGGAGGAGAAAGAGGCAAAAAUAUUGUUUGAGAGGAUGGUGGGAGAUAAAGUUCAUGAUGAUGAGUUCAGAUCCAUGGUGAAUGAAGCACUCCGCAAAUGUGCAGGUUUGCCUUUGUUAAUUGUCACAAUGGCGAAACAUUUGAAAUACGGCCGUUUGCCUGAAUGGAGGAAUGCUUUAAAUCAAAUUGAGCGGUGUUCAAACAAAGGGUUAAGUGCAGUGAUCAAUACGAUGUUGCAAUUAAGUUAUGAUCAUUUAGAAAGCGAGGAAACGAAAAAUUUGUUACAACUCUGUGUUGCUUGUGGCGUCUCUAAUCCCUCCGUUGAAGACUUGGUGAGGUAUGGCUAUGGUUUAGGGAUAUUUCAAAAAGAUAUCAGCAUAAAAGAAGCUAGAGAUGAAGUGAGUACACUCAUCCACACUCUUCAAGCCUCCUCCCUUCUGGUGGACAAUGGAGAUGACAAUGCUUUCAAGAUACAUGACUUGGUUCGUGACUUUGUUGCUCAGUUCAUUUUAAAAGAUCAGCCUCUUCUCGUGUUGGAAAAUGAAGAAAUGUUGGCAACACAAUUGCGGAGGGAGAGGCUCGAAAAUUGUAAGGCGAUAUGCUUUCCCUAUAUUGACAUGAAGGAGCUUCCCAAAGAAUUAGAUUGCCCUGAAUUGCACAUCUUUUUGCUUUUCAACAACAAUAUAUCUCUUGAAAUUCCAGAUUCGUAUUUCAACUCUAUGAAGAAACUUGCAGUUCUAAAUCUAACUAGCGUACGUCUCACUCGUUCACCGACGCCAUUUCAGUUCUUGGAGAACUUAUCUACUCUGUGUCUUCAAAAUUGUUCACUAGAGGAUGUGGCCAUUCUGGGCAAGCUAAAAAGGUUACAAGUUCUCAGUUGUGUGAAUUCCAACUUUCAACAAUUGCCGGAAGAAAUUGGGCAACUAACAGAGUUGAGGAUGUUGGAUUUGAACUAUUGUUGGCAUCUUCAGAUAAUUGAACCGGGUGUUCUUGGAAGAUUGAUCAAAUUGGAGGAGUUGUAUAUGGACAACAGCUUUAAUCAAUGGAAUUUCGUGGAGCAAACUCAACCAACUAAUGCUAGUCUGAUUGAGUUGAAUCACUUGAAGUAUCUUUGCACUCUACAUGUCUCCAUUCUCGAUCCAAGUAUGCUCCCAGAGGACCUAGAUGUCAAGAAAUUAACCAAGUACAAAAUCCGAAUAGGUAAUACAAGACGCUGGAUCAAUGACCAAGGAUCGAGGAUUUUGGACCUCAAGUUGGAUCCAAUAAGUGAUGUUCUUCGAAAAAGAUGCAUGCAAAGUCUCCUAAGCAAAACAGACGAUCUGUUUUUGGCCGGGUUGAACGGAAGCGAGCAAAGCAUUUGUGCAUUAUAUCAAGAAGGCUUUCCAAAAUUAAAGCAUCUACUGGUCUACAAUAGUCUUUAUAUCCAACACAUCCUCCGAUGGCAUUCCUCCAAGUCCUUCAGUACAUUAAAAGUAAUUCGAGUCCAAAGUUGUGACAAGAUGGAAUUUUUGUUUCCUCUUUCAUUACUAAGAGGACUUUCACAACUGGAAGAGAUUGAAGUUGUCUCUUGCAAGUUAAUGCGUGGGAUUGUAGAUGCUGAUGAUUGUGGAAAAGUGGAGUUGCAAAAUUUGCGUGUAAUGAAAUUGCACGACUUACCAAAUAUCAAGAAUUUUUUCACCGUCGGGACAGCUCCUUUGAGUAAUACAUCAAAGGACCAAGUUGGCACUCAAAUUACAUUUUUCAAUGGGCAGCAGGUAACUUUCUAUCAAAAGAAUAUAAUAUUGAUUACUUUUUCCUACGUAUGCUAAUUAGAUGCAACACAUAUUAUGUUGCUUAUUCAUUUUGUUAUUUUCAUUUCAAUUUUUUUUCCUAAUAACGUUAUCCGUUCAUGCCUUCUCUGCAAUUCUUUUUAUUGUGUAGAAAUCCAAUGAAAUCCAUGUACAUUUAGUUUGUGAUAGGCUUUGAGUUAAUUUCAAUUUAAAUGCUGCAAGCAUAUCUAUAUUAAUAAGGUUUCAUAAAGCAAAUUUGAAGGGAAUUUCGGCACUAAAGUAAUAUCACAAGUAAUUUUAAAUCUUUUGAAAUAGAUUCUAUUGAAUUUACUUAUCAUAAUAUAGGUGACUCUCCUAAAAACUGAUACGAAAAAUGGGAAAGAGGACUGGGUUUUUUAAAUAAAAGCAACUAUGCUAAUCUAAUUGAUGCAUUAUAAGAGUAUGGAGUUUUGUGCAUGUUCAUGCAUACAUAGAUAUCUUUGUACGUACUUUUGAUAUCACAAAAACAAAUUCACAAUUUGUGUUUAAUAUCCUAUUAAAUUGGUUAUUGACAGUGAUUUACUAAAGGUAAAGAGAAGUUAGUAAACUAAGGAUGAUCAAUUGCCCAAUUAAAAAAAGCACAUGGCUAUUUUAUAUGGGGAAGAAUUGCUGCGAAUAGUGCCUUCUAGUUGACUAGAUAAGAUUGCCCUUUUAUAGUGGCACAAUAUCCCUGAAGUUGAUCAUGAGGCCUAAGACUCACACAGUACAUUAGCUUUCUCGUCAGUAAAGAGUCUUAGAAAUUUAGGUCGUAGGUCCCACACGCUGGUGUGUGACUUAUCUUCUUCCCCUGAUUUGAGCUUCCAUGGAGAGAGUGCUUUCAAAGAUAAUGGAACUAAGGAUAAACAAUUGUUAAAACUAAGGAUAGUAAUUUACUAACAUGAAAGAGAAUAAUUAAAACUAAGGAUAAACAAUUGCCCAAUUAAAGAAAGCUCACGGCCAUAUUUUAUACCCCCACACACAGUUUUAUUUAAUUAGACAAGAUUGCUCUUUUGUAUUGGCGCGGGCCUAAGGCUCAAGCCAUACGUAGCUUCCCUAUUAAUAAAGAGCGGUGGAGAUAUAACUGGUGGGUUCCGCAAGGUUGUGAUGUCAGAGUGUCUCUUGUUCAACCCAUGCUUUGAGCUCCCACGGACAGAGCUUGCUUUCAAAUAUAAACUAGAUCGGGAAAUUUUGCCUUGUGGCUUUGUUUUUUUUGUCUUUUGUUUUUUUUUUUUGCGUGGUAGUCUUUGAGGCUUUUAAUUUUUUGGGAUUCUAAUUCCUCACAAAAGAGUUACUCUUGCCUUGGUACUUCUUUUUAUUUUUAUAUUUUUUUGUGUAAAACCUAUAUUUGCAAAGAUCCAUGGAUUUAUAAUGAAAUACUUCUUAAAACUGUAAUAAAUCUCCUCCAACAUUAUAAAGCGGCGGUAGCAUACAAAGUAGUAGUUAAGGUUUGUCACGGAUGACAAUAGACUAAUGAACGAGGCACAAAAGUUAAACUUGUUGUAUAGGUGGGAGUGAGGGGUGAUGGCGAGAUAUAUGGAGAUUGAGAGUAACUUGGCAUAUGAAAGCUUUCUUAGAGUUGCAGCGAUGAACUUUCGGAAAAAAAAAAAAAAAAAACUAGUUACUCUUCGCGGAAAAAAGAAGAAGAGUAAAUAAAGCUUUCCAUUGUCAUGGGGACCAUGGGUCUCUUCACCUUUCAGACAUGUUGAUUAAUGAAAUUAUGACGACAAGGAUGACUAAUUAGGAUAGGCCAUAUAUGCAUCCGACUUGAAAGGAAUACUCAAGAUAAUUUACAAAUGAUAGGGAAAAGGAAGUUCAAAUAAUCUCAAGUAAUUUACUAUUUUUCAAGGAUAGUUGGGAUCUCAACCGGUGGUGAUGACUAAUGACUACUAAGUUAUUGUGAUAACCCAAUUGUUGACGUGUCUAAUUUCAUGUUAUUUUGUGGGUAAAUUAGUCCUUUUUUGCCUAAUAAAUUUGGAGAAAUCGAAGACAUCUGAGAAGGAAAAGACAAUAAAAUGCUCAUCUUGUUAGAUUUUAUCAAGGAAGCAGGCAAUAAUAGUGUGUGAAAAGUCCUCCUGACCUAAAUGAGAAUGAUGUCACGUUCAGCUAUCAACUCCCUAUGUCCGUAAGUCACGCUCAUACCAUUGCUCGCCCAAGAUUUAAUUUUUGAGUUAGGCUCAUAACUAGAUGAUAUAUAGUAGGACCAAUCUCACCUGAGACUAAUGGGACAUAAGCUGUGUAUAUCUCCAUCUAAUCGAUAUAAUUUGACAGUUAGAAAAAUAUUUCAUGCAUAAAUUGAUUGUUAUUAGUAACCGGAAUGAGAGCGAAUUCUUGAUGAUUGAAAUUCCUGAUAUUGCUAGUAAAAUACAAACAAAAUCCAAUCAUAAUAGCAUCCCUUUUUAUGUCGUAAAGAAAAGGUAAAGUUCAUUAGUUGUCUUUUAAGUCAUAAAUUAGCUUUUGUUUAUCAUAGAUUUUCAUACGUGUGAAAAUUAUCCUAAAGGUUGUACACUAUCUUGCUUAUAAAUUUCUUCGGCAACCAUUUAUAAUACCUGCUAUAUACGUAAAUUUCCUAACUGUCCUUUGUAAUUGUAAAUGCUAUGUUGAUGGAUUUGUCCGUUACAUUUCAAUCCUGUCCUUGUAGUCCUUGACAAUGGGAGGACUUCCCAAUCCAAAAGAAAUAUGCUAUCAAACUAAUUGUAUGAAAUCCUUAGUUUGUGAUAGGUUAUGAAUUAUCUCAAUUUACAUGUUGCAAGUAUAUUUAUAUCAAUAGGGUUUCAUCAAAACAAAAUGAAGGGAAUUUUGGCAUUAAAGUAAUUCCAUAAGUAAAGUAAUAUAUAAUCUUUUGAAAUAUGUUCCCUUGAAUUUAGUUAUCAAAAUUUAUUAUUAUCCACAAAAUGUAUAAUAUAGGUGACUCUCUUAAAAAACAAUACAAAGAAUGAGGAGGAGGACUGAAUUUUCAAACAAAAGCAGCUACACUAAUCUAAUUGAUGCAUGCCUUUUGUGUAUGGUGUUUAAAUAAGCACUUAAUCAUUGCAUAGGCCCAUAACUAUAAGAGUACAGAAUUUUGUGCAUAGUUUUUUAUAGUAAAAGUAGGCCUUGGCAAUUGUAUGAUUUUCAUUAUGUCACAACAAACUCGUCAUUGCAAAUUCAGAAUUGUUGUUCUUGGAAUUCCUAAGUGAUGUUCACCAUUUCUUUACUCCACACAGCAGAAUUUGAAAUCCCCUGUGGUAAAAUAAAUUAAUGUCUCGCUAUAUAAUUCAUGCGCAAGAUUCACCUUAAAGAUCAUCUUAUUUGGCGAUCACCCUUAGAUGCUCCUUUGGCGAGAUUGGGUCACGUGAAUAAGGCCAUGUCUGUAACAGCAUCAAAUAAUGGAACUUGAUGCCUUAAUGGAUAAUUCAAUAUCUUGAAGUCCAAAAAAAAUUAUAGAGACUUACUUCAUAAGUUUUGACGGGUUUUGUUUUUCAAUUCAGCUACUUAGUAUGUGUUAGUUUAAUUUCCAAAGCUUCAAGUGUUCCAUAUUAUAAUCUUCAAGAAAUUUGUGCCGAAUUUUCAGUUUUCUUAUUGUUGAGUCCAUCCAACUUAGAUUGUAACUUUUAUGUGGCUUCAAUAUUUUAUCAAGAAAAACCAAUGGUUGCCUAGUCUCGCAGGACCAUAUGUGGUCAUUGUGGUUUCUCUCCGCGGCAAUCUACAAAUCUAAAUAUCAAGUCCGUUCAACUAAAUGUCUUUGCACUUGGCUUUCAUAGUAUGUAUAGAUAUAAUUGAAUGCACUUUUAGCAUCAUGAACACAAAUCUACAUAUUUAUGUUUGAUAUCCUAUUAAAUUGGUUAUUGAUAAUGAUUUACUAACAUUAAACUAAGGACAAAAAAUUGCCCGGUUAAGAAAAGCGCACGACGAUUUUGUCCAGCAAAUGUUGAGGCGGCUAUUUUGUUGACCAGAAAAGAUUGCACCUUCGUAAGGGCGAUUAGCGCGAAAGUUGAUGGUGGGGCCCAAAUACUAUUGCAAUGUAUUAAUUUCCCCUUAGUCAGUAGAGGGUCCUGGACCUAUUUGUUGUGGGUCCCAUAAGGCAGUGUGUGUGAGCCUUUAGGUCUUCGCUUUUUCAUAAUCGCCUUAGUCUUUGGGGCUUUUAAGUUUUGUCGUAGUUCUCAUCACCGGCCAUGGAUAUCAAUUGAACUUCUUUUGGGUUGAAAUUUGCGGUGGAAAGUGUUGUUAAGUUUGCUUUAUUACACAGAGAGAUAAAUAAUGCUCCACUCGCUAAUCCAUUUCCGAAUGAGAAAUUCUUCUGAUGGAAUAAAACUAGCUCACUCAUAAGAUUAAGCUCAGUAUCGCAAGUUUUUUUUUUUUUUUGAAGGAAAGACUUGAAAUUAGAAAUGAAGUUAGUAUGGAGAUUUUUUUACUCCAUUUUUCGGUUUUAUUAUUCUUCUUUUUUUCCUUUUGUGCAACUUAAUAAUCCCCCUCUUCCCUUGGCACUCUUCUAUAUUUACAUCUUGAAAGUUCAUGAAUUCGAGAUUUAAAUUAAUUACCAUUUUCAUGAGUAAAUUCCGCAGGUUGCCUUUAAGAGAUUGGAGAAAUUAGAAAUCGAUGGCUUGGCUAACCUCAGGUAUAUAUUUUUCCCAUCCAUGGUUAAAUCUCUCACACAGCUGAAAGAAUUGACUAUAUCGAAUUGUGAGAAGAUGGAGGCGAUCAUUAUGGAGGAAGAAGGGUUGGGAAUGGAAACAUCAGAAAUUUUGGCAUAUCCUAUGUUAAUCGAUUUACGCUUAAAACGAUUGAAAAGUUGGAGGUGCUUUUCUCGUGGAAAGUGUAAGAUAAUUUUUUGUUUUUAUCACUAAAGAUUGUCUUGUAGAUAUAUUCAUCUUUGCAAUACAAAUGGUGAUAUUCUUUUCAUCCAAUGAAAUACCAAUUACAGGUGCACGAGAAAGUCAAAGUCAGGAUUGCGUCAGAUCACGCGCCACUGCACUCUUCAAUCAUGAGGUAUGUGAUUAACAUUAUGUCAAGAUAUGAAAUAUAUCGGAGACCAGCAUAGUCAAGAUAAAAACUAAGGAAGUUACUUAUAAUGUAUAAUUCGGUUAAAAUUUUUUAAUAGAAAAUGAGUGGGUUACAAACAUAAGUGUUCAGAGACAUGUAUGAGUUGCAAUUUCUCACUUUUAAAUUCUCUAGACAUAGUUUCCAUAAAGAUGGUUGAACAUCUCUUAUGGUACCUACACAAAGCAUUAACGGGUAAUACAACUAUUGAAUAGGAUCUCUAAAAGCUUUCCAAUAUUCACAAGAAACUUAAAACUCUGAACAACCUUACAUGUGUGGCUUAGACAUUGCACGCAUGUACAUUGAAAGCAACUGAAAAAAACAAUCAAGAGGAAAGUGAGCUGUAAGGUUCAAGAGGCUGGAGAUGAAGGACCUUCAAGACACUCACUUGAUUUCAUUUGCACUUACAAUAUCUCAUUUUCUCUCCUAGUUGAAGGAAGUUUUACUCUUUCAUACCUACACCAGCAAAGGGAAUCGAAGCCUUCUCCGUCGCCUAACUGAGCAAGACCUCUUGAGUCUUGGGCUUCAGUUAUUACCCCCUCUUAGUUUUUACAUGAACCACAGGACUAUUCUUAUAAAAAUUUUAUUAAAGAAAUAAAAUAAUUUUGCAAAUCAGCCAUUUCAGUUGAGUCAUUUGAAUUGUCAACCACAUAGCGGAAGAAUGUUUCCGUGGAAAAUGAAAUAGAGCAGCGUGUGGGUUGUUUGACUUUGACUAAACUAAAAGCAAUAUAGGCCGUUCACCUAAAAUGUUGUUUAUGCAGCCAAAAUAGGCUGUACAAAUGGGCCCUCCCAUGGGAUUAAUACGUCAACCUUCUUAGAUAUUUGUAAUCUAUUAUAACGAGAUAUUUAGCGCUGUUUUUCUAUAAUUUGACUCGAGAAUAUGUAUAUGAUCUAUCGUUUUCAUAUGAGUAUUGGACCUUCCAGCAUUACCAGAAAAUCAACUUUAAAAGGAAAAUUCAAUCGAUUAAGUAUAAAUAGUCAUUUCAAGUGUGGAAUGAUGCGAGUAGGAUUUGUUCAUUUGACCCAAGCAAUUCUUUUUUUAAUUGCUUUCUCUUAGCCUAACUAUGUAAUUGCUUUAGAGUGAUGUAAUAUUGAUUUGGGGCAUUUGGUAUUAGAUAAAAUCAUACCUCCUACUGUAAGGUACCAUUUGAUGGUUGAUUGAUUGCCUUUUUAAUCUCAGUCUCUCCAUCAUUUUCUUUCUAAUGGCUGAUAUUCUUCUUCAAGCAAUCCCUCAGUUGCAUUCUUCUUUUACUACAUCAAUUCAGUGACUUCUUUAAGGGUGAUUACUGUUUGACUUGCUUCUCGUCUCUUUAAACAAAUUCUUCCUCAUUCUUAAUUAAUUUACAAAGUGGUGCAAUUUCACUGAAGAAUUUCAUCCAUAUUGUAACUUAAAUGACCUUCUCUAAGUGGUUUAACAAUUGCUAUGUAUAGUAGCUAUUUCACUCUUGGGCUAGCAAGAAAAGCACAAAGGGAGAGAUUUUAUUUGAGUUUGGGAUCUAUGAAACAAUAACUCAUUAGAUGAUUGUUACAUGAGCAUAUCCAAAUUACCAUUUUGCCAAUAAACACAUUAUGGUUAGAAUUCCUACUUAGCACUUUUUGUUUUGUCUCUAGUGUACUCCAAUAGCCUUCCCAUUUUAGAGUCAUUGACAUUAGUAGUGAGAUUUUUUUUUUAAAAUUAUUUUCAUUUUAUUCUUUUUUUCUUUCGUGCAACUUAAGAUGGAAUUAUCAAUUCCAUGAAUUCGUAAUUUACAUCUUGGAAGUUCAUGAAUUCGUAAUCUAACUGAAUCAACAAUUCUAUGAGUAUUGCAGGUUACGUUUCCUAACUUGGAGAAUUUAUAUAUCGAGGGUAUGGAGAAUAUCGAGAUGAUAUGGGAUGGUCAAAUUCCUGCGAAUUCUUUCUCUAAACUAAAAUUACUUUCAGUGAAUGAAUGCAACACGCUUGUGAACAUUGUGCCUUCUUUCAUUCUAGGACAGCUUUUGAGCCUAGAAACUUUGAUGGCAAGAGCGUGUGAUUCCCUUGAAGUUGUUUUAAAAUUUCAACCACUAAAUCCUCUAUAUGGUAAUAGUGUUGCUCGUUCUCCAUUAAAAGAGCUAAAGUUAGAUGACUUAUCAAUGCUAAACUGUGUAUGGGAUAAGGAACUCUACCAUCAUAUUAAAUUCCAACGUCUACACUUGUCCUUUCGAGGAUGCACUAGGCUCGCCUGUUUGUUUUCGACCUCAAUAGCCAGAGAUCUAAUCCAACUUGAGGAGUUGGAGAUCAAUCAAUGCAACAUUGUGGAACUCAUUGAGAAGGAAGGACUAGAUGGGCUGAGCAUCAAUGUGGAAGCCAUAGAAGGCCCAAGUCAUGAGCUAAAAGUAGCAUCAUCCUUUCCAAGUUAUUUUCAACAUUUGAAGACUCUAGAUGUGUCACAUUGUCAUGGGCUGUCAAAUAUGUUCACAUCAACAAUGGCUACAAAUUUGGUGGAACUCACAAAAUUGAGGAUUAGUAAAUGUGAAAUGUUGACAGAAGUCAUUAGUAAUGAGGGAGGAAAGGAAGGGCAUGUAGUGGCUUUUAAUCAAUUGAAGUAUAUGGAGCUCGAUGGGUUGACUAGGUUGAGAUGUUUCAGUACAAGUGGAUACACUUUGAUGUUCCCUCUCUUGAAAGAUAUCAUUGUGAGUAGAUGUCCCAAGAUGAAGUUCUUCUACGAGGGACCAAUGGAGGUGCCAAAGAUGGAGAGAGUACAAGUAGGUUCGAAAAAAAGGUAUGGAGUGAAAAAGUGCGAGUAUUUUUGGAAGGGAAACCUCAACAUGACCAUCCAAAAUAUGUUUGAAGAAAUGGUACGCUUCACUAAAUUCUAUGCAAUUUGAUUUUUUUUUAAUCACCGAUAAAGUAAUUGCUUUUUUUUAUAACUAGAAUUUUACAUUUAAUGAUGCAUUUUCUAAUAGGCUACAUUUGCUGGGACUAUGUUUAUGUGGUUGUCUGAGUUCCCGGAGCUGAUUGGAAAAUGGCAUGGUGAACUUAAUCCUGUCACGUCAUCUUGGCAAUUAAAAACACUAGUGGUGGAUAAAUGUCCAUCAUUUGUUAACGCUAUUCCAUCCAGCUUUAUGCUUGUUUUAGAGAGAAUGACAGGAUUGCAAGUGCAUGAUUGCGAGGCUCUGGAAGAAAUAUUCGAUCUUGAAGGGCUUGAGGUUGUGGAUUGCAAUCAGAUGCUACCUCAGCUACAAUAUCUGUACUUGGUCAAUCUACCAAAGUUGAGGCAACUAUGGAAUAGAGAUCUUCAAGGAACGAUGUGUUUCAAUUCUCUAGCGCAUCUUAGCCUUUAUAAAUGUAGCAACUUGAGACAUGCUUUUGUUCCAUCAAUGGCUCGAUGCCUUCCCCAUCUAUGGAAGAUGGAAAUAAAGGACUGUGAUCAAAUGGAAGGAGUGAUCACAGAUGAAGAAGGGCAAGGAAGCGCGGUGGAGGAGAUUACAUUCCCAAAACUUAUGUAUAUAACUUUGGAAUGCUUGCCCAAUUUGACUAGUUUUCUCUUGUGGAAGAAUCAUAUGCUAGAAUGCCCUAAGUUGUCAAUGUUGAGCAUUGCCCAUUGCCCCAAGAUGAGAAGUCUAACUUGGCAAUCUUCGAUGGAGAUCGACAAUGGCACUCCUUCCCUUUUCCCUCCACAGGUCAGUCUCUCAAACAAAUGCAUUUUUGGCAUUUCAUUUGAACAUAUUUGUUUGCGUAUAAUUGGACAAUGCAUGAUGUGUAGACAAAAGUGCUAGAUAUAAUUGUUUGUAAUAUCAAUAAUCAUGCUUUGCUCAAAUUUGACCUGAUCUCAUGUUUCAUACCUUAACAAAGAUGAUCAGAAUAUUUGCCUCACCACAAUAAUCCAUGAUCACAUCCAUAAAAGUAUUAAUGCAAAAAAAUUCAGACAUUGAUAACCAUGUGCGGUUUUAAUAUCAUUUAAUUAUACAGAUCUAUGUACAUAAUCUAGUAAUAUUUACUUAACAGAUUAAAAUUUUUAUAAUCCUCAGCAAAUAUAAGUAUCAAUUGUACAUCUCCAUAUAUCUUUAGAAGUGUUAUUUAUGUAAGCUCAUAAAAUCAUAUUGUGUGUAGUACUUCAAAAUUGAUUAUAGAGGGAUUUUAAAAAAGUUAUGACAAUAAACAUAUGAAAACAUUUACUUUUUGCAAUUUCAACUAUAAAGAACAAAACUGAAAACAUAGAAUAACAUAUAAAAAUGGCAAAAAAAUAUGAAGUAUAGCCCACUUCAUAUUUUCUUACGUAGAAACAAACUGGCGUCGUUCCAUUAAACAUGAAGAAAAGGGGAAGAGAAACUUCAUAAUUAGAAAAGCCUAAUUCACAAAUUGCGUAGCUAUUAUAGCUCAUUGUACCAUGAUCAUCUUCCCACAUCAACAAAACUGGAGGAAUUAGAGAGAAUUGCUCUUUUAAUCGGAGUGCUCUAAACUUCAAUAAUGAUUAGUGCAAUGAACUUUUUUAUAUCUUAAUAAUAUUCAAUCCUCGAACUGGGUCUUGAUAAUAAAAUAAAUAAAAAUAAAAAGGCCAAUAUGCAUGAAGUUGUUCGUCUUCUUUGUUUGCAAAUUGUACUUGAAUCACUAUACUCCAACAACCUAUCAAAUUACGAACUUGUAUCAUAUAAUAAAUAUUAACUCUGGAUUAUCAUAUUGAGUGAGAAUUAGUGUGAUAUUGCGCACAAUUUAUGUUUGGCAAGAGAAAAUGCAGAUUGUUUUUUCCAGAAAAGAAAUGGCAAAAAAAAAGGAAAAAAUAAAAGAGAGAAUAGGACAGCUGGACAAUAAAUAGUAGCAAUUCCGUGGGUGGUUGCCGGCAUUGUGAGUCAUAUUUCAUAACUAGAUGAUAAUAUUUAGUCAAAUGUCCUAGCUAAAAUAAAAAUUAAAAAAUUUCGGAAUAAAUUAUCCAAUCAACAACACUACUGAAGAGAAAAUAUUAGGUGCAUUAAAUACACCAUGUUGGAUCCGUAUUAAAUCAUCUACAAAUGGACAUGUGCUAAAGCUGGGCCCACCUAUCAGUUGAACGAUCAAAAUAUUUGCUCCCCCUCCCUCCCUCCCUCCCUCCCUCUCUCUCUCUCUCUCUCUCUCUCUCUCUCUCUCUCUCUUUCCUUCUUUGGUGGCCUUGGGCUCUGUCUGUUGCAGUGCUGUUACGGUGCGCUCACUAGACAAAGGAAAACAAGAAAAAAGAAAACAAAAAAAGGAAGAAAUUAGACAAAGUCUAUUCGAUGAUUUUAGCUUCUCCCACUCUAAGAAAUGUUCGCUCUGAGUCAUUUCGUUUCACCUUGAUCCUCCUCUUCGCGACGAUGGGAAAAAAGAAAGUGAACCAAAUCUACAGAGUCAAGUAACCAGUAACUCUUCUUUCUCCCCCUCAUCCUCUUACCUUCUGUUUUUUUGGGGCGAUUGAUUGGGUGGUCUGUCCAAUGGUUGAAUCGGAAGCUUCGGAAUCGCUUCUCUAAAGCUCGCCUCCUCUCUGUGCGCGUGCUUCCAUGGGUUCCGAGUGAUUACAUGAACCGGAGCUUGUUGGUUAUGGUGGGUUGAAGUGGAUCUCCGAUGCAGAAGCGAUUUCGGCGUCGAUUUAAAAAAAUCUUAUCUUCAGCCCUCUCUCCCUCCUCCUUCGUCCACAGCUGCCCGACCUCUGCCCCUCCUCUGCUGUCGCCAACGGUGGAGUUACCGGCGCCUUGAUUAGGCUGACCCUCGCUAUGUCCAAGCCGAGCAUGGCCGGCUUCCUCUGUUUUCUCCGUCUCAUCAUUCUACAGAUCUCGAAAUCUGGCCGUCCAUAGUGACGGAGUUGCAGAUCUGGAAAUCGAUCACCGUCGCUCGUAGCCAUGGACGAGCCGCUGUCGCUGUAGCCAUGGUUGCAGAUCUGGAAGUCCUGUCGCGAGUAACGAUGGCUUAUGGACUGCCAUUGUCCCCUCCGUUGACGCCCACAGUCGGCUCGUGGUCGGCCUCGUCCAUGGCCGGUCACAACUGCUCGUGGUCGUUGCCCGUCCUGAUCUGGACUGGAGUCGUGCCUCCAGAUCUGGUUUCGCCCAUGGACGCAAGCCUAGCUCAUCCAUGGCUCACGAGGAGACUCCCGCACAGAUCUGGCGACCACUGCUUGUCCAUGGCUAUGAGCCUUGACGGCGAGUUUGAGAUCUCGACGGCUAUGGACUGCGAGAUCAAACAGCGAAAGAAAAAACAGAGAAACAGAUGUCAGGGAAGAAUGGCCAUGGAUGAGAGGGCCGGAGCUUGAAUGCGGCCAUGGAUGAGCGGCAUCAUGAACGGGCAGACCACAAAGACGACGGAGAGGGUUGGACGCCAAGCAAUGGUCGCCUUGGACGCGGCGCCGGGAACUCCGCCGGUGGCGACGGCGGAGGGAGGCGGGAAGGUUGGGCUCAAUGUGGAUGGAGAUGGAGAUGGAGAAGGAAAGUGAGGUGGAUUGAGAUUUUUAAUAUUUAGUCAAUGUCCUGGCUACAUAAAAAAUUAAAAAUAAUAGGAAUUGAUCAUCCAGUCAACACUUUCAUUCCGUCUCAUGAAGUUCUCCUCAUGUGAAGACUAAACGCAAUGAAUGACAACCUCCUCCCGGCACUUCUCUUUUAUGGGUCGAAUCCUCAGGCACUUGAAAAUGCACGAUGUCGACCCAAAUAUGAUUGUUUUGACCUUCUUCUUUUUUUUAUUACAGCUUCCAUGCAAGUUUUGUUUUGUUUUUUUUUUUUCCUGACGGAGGGAAUUUUUUUUUUUAUUCUCAUAAUUCUGCGCAAUUCUUUCUAUUGUUUUAUGUGAGUAGAAUGUUUAAUUAUAACAAGUAUCUACACAUUUGUUUACUUUUUAAUUGUAAGAAUUAUCAUUAAUUAUUUAUUUAUACUGUCAUUUGCAUGUAUAAGUUAUAUUUUAAUACCAAGCCCCGCAUUCUAAGAAUAUUUCAAAAAGUCAUUAUAACACUCAAUCAACAAUACUAAUAAAUUUGGGAAAGUAUGAAAAUAAUCAUCUAAUCUUUUGGUAGUGAUAAGUUGUAAUAGCGUUAAUUUCAUUUUAAUAUCAAAUAUGAGCUGUCAUAUACUAAUUGAUAGAUUUAAGGAAGUGUGGAAAGUCAAUUCUUUUUUUUUUUUUGGUGACAGGUCAUAAUUGCAUUAAUUAUAUUGUAACCAAAUGAAAAAUAUCAAUACUUACUUUUCAAUGAAUAAUUCAUUGGAGGUCAUGAUGUAUUAAAAAAAAAUCUUGAUUUUCUCCAUACAAACAAAAUGCGAUCAGCGGGUGCACACCCACUUUUUGUCAAGGGGUGGAUCACUCGGUACACUGCAAGGUUCUAUUUUAUUUUUCCACCUCAAAUUUGAAUAAAUAUUAUUUCAAGGAUGUUAUUAAUGGUCCAAUGUAAAACUAGUAAAUUGACCCAACUUGUGUUUGCUGAGAUCAUAACAUUAUGUUAUUUAUUCAAGUCGUUAUGUUGCCCAUGCCUAUUAAGAAAUUAUUUUCUUUCAAUACAAAAAAUUUCCAUGCAUAAAAAAGAAAAAGGUUGUGAACAAUUGAAGUUACUAUAAUUUUUUUUUUUAUAUCGGGUUCGCCAUAUAAAUUUCAUGACUCUUCUCUGCAGUGAAUUGUAUUAAUUUGAAGAUUCAUAAGUACUGUUCGCAAUUUAGUAUGAAUAAUUAGCAGUGCUCAUGGUAAAUAGAGGAAAUAAUGUUGAGCCAAGCAUUAGUUUCAUCCAUUCCUUAUUCAAUACAUACACUGCUUAAGUUCUUCGCACCCACUAUUCAUAUCCUUAGUUGACUAGCUCAUCAUCACCAUGCCCUUGCUUUUUCUCUAAUUGUUAUGCAUGUUCACCUUGAAGCAAACAAAUCUAAAACAUAACUGAUCUUUGCCAACUAACAUAACGGAAAUUUUCAGCUUGUAUCACUGAAUCUAAAUGUUGCUCUUUUCAAUAGUUCUAUCGGACUGCCUAGCAAGCUCCCUAAAAUUUUUGCCAGUCUUCGUGCUUAUUCAUUACAAAAAUACAACUUGUCAUGCCUCCAUGGAACCAACAUUGUUUUGCGGGAUUCAUAUUAUGUUCUUCUUCGUCUUUGUCCUCAUUUAAUUGCAUAGAGAAACAGUUGAGUGAGUUAUCAUUGAUGUUUAGUCAACGGCUCCAUUCAUGCAUUAGCAUAAAUAGGAGGGCUCUCAUUUCUUUCUCUUUCAAUUUUGCAUUGUAGGUUUUCUUAUGCUUUAGAUGCUCUUGCAUUCAACUGGAAAUAGCGCCUCUCUCUCUCUCUGUGAUUGUGACAUAAGAGCUACUAUAAAAAAGAAAAAGAAAAAUGAGGACUUAGGAGGAGGGGGAUUAGGAUGAAGUUGAAAGGUACAGAACCAGUCUUAGCAACCAUUUGAACGAACCCAAGUUCCAUGUGCAUAAGGCCUAUCAGCCUAAUUCCCGGACUUUUAAGUUAUCGCUAUGAUUUGCCAAGUAAUUAAGAAAAGUCAACAUUGUCUGGUCACUCCAAAAUCUUAUAAAUGCAUUUAUAAUUUCAUGUUUGUUGCAAUGCAUUAUCUCUAGCCUUAGUCUUCAAUCAACUUGUAUAAAGGCAUCAAUCAACCCCUCUCUAUUUAUGUCACUAAUGAGAUCUUGACUUCUCAUGAUUUGUGAGAAUGAGGGAAGUCUGGAAAUUUCUUCUUUACGGUCAUAACUCAAUGCAAUCACAUUCAUUGUGUCAUUUUUUUUCUCAAUAUGGCAGGUACAAUUUCCUCAACUUAUGCAGAUGGAUCUUUCCCACAUGGACAAUUUAAGCAAAAUAUGGACUGACGGUCCUCUAGAAACUCUGACUUUUGAUUGUUUAUGGGAAGUGAAGGUUCUGAAUUGUAAGAGCCUUGAAAAUUUGUUUCCAUAUUGGGUGGCUACAAGUUUAACCAAACUUGGAAAACUUCAAGUGGAGUCUUGUGAGAUUGAGGAAAUAGUCGCUAGUGGGGAUGACACUCCACGCUCCAAUACUACUCAAGAUCUUUUCCCAAAACUAACCUCUCUGGUGUUACAUGACAUGCCACGACUCAAGAGCUUUUGUCCUAACUUGCCUUUGAAUUUGCCAUUAUUGAAGGAAUUACAAGUGACUCAUUGUGAAAAACUGAGCAUGUUAUCCUUUGUGGCAUCCAUGAACAGAUGGGCUCAAAGAGAUGAUCAACAAGACCUUUCAGAUCAAGAAGCACACUCUUCAUUUGAGAGGGUAUGAUUAUAGUUGCUCUCCCUUAGUUUCUACUUUGUUCUUUAAAGCAGUCACUAAUAUCAUAUCCAUUGCAUAUCAUGUCGCGUUAUGAUGUUAUAGAAAACAUGAUCUCCCCUACCUAUUAGUUUGUCGACAACAUUAAGAUAUUUCUAAUAUCUUACGUACACUUCCAUUUGUGGACAUGCAUAAGAUAUUCCAUUACCUAGAGUUACAAAAAAAAAUUUACAGUAUUCUAUUGAUAACAGAAUAUAUUCCUAAUCUAACCUAAUGGUGCUCUUGGGCAACAUCAAUAAGGAUUUGACAAGAGGCCCUCUCCAUUAUUGACACGUGUUGCACACUUGAACUUUUCUUCUCUAUUUCAUCUUCUACAAACUCUAAAAAAAUUAAUUCAAACAAUUUUUUUUUAUAACACAAAUAACAUUAGUACCUUAGUGCACUAUUUUCUACUGUAUAUUUUAAUACACUAGUCGUCGUGUUAUCCUGUUAUAAUACUAUAGAAAACUAGAAUCCCUUUCCUAUAAGUUUGCAGACAACAUAAGAUAUUUCUUAUAUCUUAAGCAUACUUCUGAAUUUGUGGACCCCGUAUGUUUUAGUGACAUCUUGAGUGCAUCCCAUUACAUAAGAUUCCAAAGAAGAUAAAUUUUUGUCAACAAGAUAAGAUAUUCCUUACAAAAGAUGAAUUUAGUGAGUGCAGGGAUCUUGAAUUUAGAUUCACUCUAUCCACUUGACCAGACCAACCUCUACAUGAGACUUUUAAAAGCUUGAGUCUUGAACACAAGGUUCUUGAGAUAUAAUGAACUUUAAGAAGAGGACCACCUUCCAUGCGAAUCAUCUUAAUAGGUUUACCUUUUACAGCACAUGAUUUAUUGUCGAAACUUUGUUGAAUUUACUUCUCUUGUUGUAUUGGCAAUUCGACAGGACUUUCCCAACUUGGAGAGACUUUUAUUAGUCAAUAACAAUAUUCAGAUGAUACAAGAUGGAAAUUUUCCGGAUGACAUGUUUAGCAAGCUAGAAGCACUAACACUAGCAUGCUUUCAUGAUAAAAAGGCCGCCUUUCCUUCCAUAUUCCUCCUAGAGAGAUUUCAGAAUUUACAAAGCCUUGAAGUCUUAUGUAGCUCCUUUGAAGAUUUAUUCCCGAACGAAGGGCUUGUUGAAGAAAGGAAACAUCCGGUGCUUGAAAAUUUAAGAGAACUUAAGUUGAACAAGCUACACAACUUAAAGUGUGUGUGGAGAGAAGACUCUUUAGUGUCGAAAAUUCUUCAGAGCAUCGAAACAUUUGAGGUUUGGGAUUGUCCCUGUUUGACAACAAUAUUUCCAACCGAGACAUCCUUCCAGAAUCUGAGAGAUUUAGUGGUGAAGAAUUCCUCUAGAUUGGUACAUCUAGUAACGAUUUCGGCAGUCACAAAUUUGGUACAUCUCAAUUUUAUGACUAUAAUAGGAUGUGAAAGAAUGAAAGAAGUAGUGACCGACGAUGGAAGCAGAGAAGGAAAAGUGAUUUCUUUUGAAAAGCUAAUAUGGUUGACACUUGAACAUCUGCCAAACUUAGAAUGCUUCUCUUCCAUCCCAAGUUGCAUAUUUAGGUUCCCAUCUUUAAGGAGAAUUAAAGUGGAAGAGUGCCCGAAAAUGAAGAUCUUUUCUAAGGGUACACUAAGCACACCAAAACUAAAUUCCGUGACACUAUUCAGAUACAAGUGGAAAGGGAAUUGGGAGAAGGGUGAUGAUCUCAAUACAACCAUACAGAAGUUAUCAGCAUAAAUCAAUGCACAUAGAAUUGGUAAGAUCCAAUAGAUGUCAUUCUCUCAUCCAUUUUUUUUUCUUUAGUCUUUCGGCAGCGCCGCAACUUUUUAAUAUUUUUUUUUUGUGACUUUUCUAUUAUUGAUUUCGUCAAAUCAACGUCACCGUCAACCCUAUCGAUGAUCUCGGCUCAUCCUUAACUGAACAGUAGGAAGCAAAGCGGGUCUCUCCUUCUCCUUCUUGACGCCAAAGGCUCUUUCUCCAUCUUUCUUCUUCUUCUUCCUCCUCCGUGGAGCGAAAUUGGGGGAAGCCUCUGCUGCCUUCACAACGGACGGAGCAAAAAUGAAGCAUCAGGAAUUGCCAGGACUGCGAGAAGCGAAGCUGCAAUUAGCGGAGCGGAGCCAAGUAGAUUCAACCAGACGCUGUCGUUGUCGCCGUCGUCACCGCCGGAGGUGGCACAACCGAGUCUGGACAGUUAGUCGUCCACUCACUUCAUCAAAGAAGAAGAAGAUCACACUCUCUCUCCGCAUCUGUAUCCGACAAAUGGUAAGUUCAUGUUUCUUCCGAUUUCGGUGUAUUAUUGUGCGUGAAUUAGGGCUCUCUUCUUCAAAUUCGUUCCACAUUCGAGUCUAAAAGCAGGAGUUCCUCAAACUAGCAAUUUAUUGCCCUUAAAUCUACAUCUUCUGUGCUGCCCUCCCGAGCAUUGGCGAGAUUUCUGCGUGUUUGACCUCUCAUAGAUGGAGAUGAUAUAUUGUGUUCAAGGUCUCAUGUUGAAAUUUCUUUAGGGAGAGAUAUCUCUGUAACAUCAUAUACAAAUUUCUAUCAGGAAAAAGGGAGAAAUCAUGGAACUUGAAAAUAUUCCGAGAAUUCCAUGCCUUGUCAAAAAUCUGAAAUGUCACUUUUGCGCCUUGAUCGCAAUAUAGUUUGGAUUGUCUGAAGAAUCACCUGUAAUCUUGAUUGGUUAAGUGAUGCUGGAAGGAUAAAUUUAUCUCCAAUUUAUACUAAAAUCUUUUCAUAGCAAGUCAAAUUAAUGAAGUGUACUUAAACUGUCUCUAAAGUUAUCGUUUAAGUACAGGCUGGUCCAAACAUUUGAGCAAAUUGAGGCAUCCUGAGCUGAUUUUUUAAGGUCCCAUGCCCCCAAGGCCUCUCACUUCUUACAUCGGCCAACAAAUUUCAAAUGGAGCAUCCCAAUGGAGCAUCCCUUUUUCAAAGGUGGUGAGGAGGCCCUCUUAUGUUGACUUUGGCUUGGUAUGAUCCCACGCUCAUUGACCCAAACUCGCAUGUCUGAAAAUCAAACAUAUGGAUGCUGUUUAUAUCUUUGCUUAUACUCUAGUGUAUUUCCAAGUUGACUUAAUGCAGUAAACAACAUGACAUGUUAUAUUCCUUGAAUUGUUCAUGGGUAUAUGUUUGAAACCAGGUAUAUGUCUUAACAAUGGAGUAAUUGAAGCAGGGGAAACAAUGAAAGGACGGUUAGUGGGACUUAAACUGGUGGUUGAGGUUUGAAAGAAUAACAUUUGUCCCCUUUUUGUCAAUACACGUGUUGGAAAGCAAUUGCUGAGGCAAGUCCAAAGAAUUAGAAUCCAAUUCCUCUUAUAUGGAGGAACUUGACAAUGUUAUUCAAUGCUGUAAAAGUAGAAUAUAUAUGUAAAUCACACGAGGAGACUAGUUGAUACGGACAAGCAAAUUGCAAAGAAUGUCACUAUCUCCAUAACUAGAGGGAAAGACCUGAAAGAUAAGGGGGUGGCUAGUUAUGGUUCUGAAAUUUCAUUGUAGAUCUAAUGACUGAUAAUUUUGUUUCCAAAUAGGGGAUACUAUUUUAUUUUGUUACAUUAAUCGGAAAUUUGAGAAAAAAAGAUGAGUUUACUCUGUCAAAUUGAUUCAGUAUUUUGAUAAAAUUUGAGUUGCGCUUGAAAUAAUUGAACAGCUUAGAUUAAAAUUUUUCACUUCCAUCCGUGUUCCGGUCAUUGAUGUCUUUGCCUUUUCCCCUGCUCUUGUGGUUUGUGUGGCUUAAAUUCAUCGUUUCAAAUAUAUACGGGACAUGGAAGGCUUUUUCUGGUCAUGUACCCUAUUGCACCUAGGAGCGUAUAUUUUGUCAUUUGACUUUGGGUUGCAGUCUGAGAUUGUCUACUAUCACUAUAAGGUUUAUUGUCAAUUAAAACUCCUAAAAGUAGCAACUACUGCCUUAUAUUCACGCUGUGUGAUUAGAUUCUCUCAUUAGUGUAUGCUUAUGUUUUGGUCUUUCUUCACCAGAAGUUGGUUUUCAACCACAUAAAUGAGGAGACUACUCCUGUUCAAUUCAUCAGGCAACAUAAUCAGGAAAACAAGGUAAUUGCAACUCUCAGGUAUUCAGACAGGUCGUGGACGGUGAAGCUCAGGAGCCGUGGACUUUUUUUUUCGCUGCUUGACACCCAAUUGCUAGAGAAGCUCGUUUGCAUUUAAGAGAUGUUUGUGUGUUUGAGCUCAUUGAUAGGGGGGAUGUGUGUUUAGAGUCUACAUUUCCACUAGUACUGGUAAGGACUUGGUUUACGUUGACAGAAAUGAAUUUUGGAAGUGUCACUUUAGAUAGUCCAAAAUAAAUUCAGUAUUCAUAGUUAUAUCUCUUUGUUUAGUCUUGGUGAAUCAAUGAAGUGUACGUCUUCCAUUCCCAUUGGGUUUGUGAGUUUCACAAUAAUCCAGAUGCACACUCAUUAAUGCUACAUCCCAAGUCUAAAUUAACCAAAAAGAAUGUGCUUCAAUGUCAAAGCGAAAAUUAUAACCUAAACGCUUAGCAUGAGAAUUUAGAGGUGUGACUUGUUGGUUUCUAAGUUGCGCUUUUCUGCACAGUGUUGCAUUCUUUUUCUUGGUCUGUCUCAAAAGUUAUGAAAUUUUCCUGAUAAGAUUUUGUAUAUUGAUGGGUGACAUUACAAUUUAGGAGAUGCCAAGUGUAGCUAAUGUGUUUUGUCUAACGUGAAAAACAUGUAAACGUUAGUAACAUGAUUGGAUGCAUUGAUUUGUAGAUCGUUGUAACUUGACAGAAGAUUUACAGCAGUACCUAUGAAAACUCUCCUUUUUCUUUUGGACCAAACAAUCUAAAUGUCAAGUGAGCCCCCAUGAGCAGUUUUGCAUGGUUCCAUGUUUCUGUGGCCUCCCCUGCUCUUGAAAAAACUAGAAAAUUUGAAUCGAAGUAUCCAUCUCUGAAAUUGGUGAUGCGGCCACUAUUAUCAAGGAUAGAACUGUGGUGUGGCCCCUAUGUCCUUUCAUAAUUGGCAUAGCUCAACCAUGAUGCCUUCUACAUCUUUCCCUUUAGUUGACUCUUUUCCCAAGUCGUUUUAAAUUUUUCAUAGGAAUCACAUUAGAUGUUAUUUUCUUUGGAGUGUUCAUGGCUUUAUCUGUAAAACCGGGGCAGUUUUGAUUUUGAAAUUUUAUUUUUUAAAUUUAUGGAUUCAUAAGAUGACCAAUUCUAAAAUGAAAGAUUCUAUUCUCGUUUUUUUUUUCCAGUAAUCAGUUGUAAAGAAGAUUACAUUAUAUAUAGACUAAGAGGAUGUGGUGGGGACGAUCAGUGUUAGCAACUCUUGAACUUUUGUCAUGAGAGUUAAAAAAUUAUGUACACUACUGUAGAGUCUACAAGCACUGUAUUGUGAAAUCUUAACUUCAAGUUGCAGGUUGGGAUUGAAGACUUCUAUUACCCAGUUAACACUAUUAAUUGAACUCCCUGAAACUAGUAAAUACUAGCAUAAAUUUACAUUUGUUUGCGUUUUCCAUUUAUUAUUUCUUUGUAUUUAUUCUUUUCCUCAUUAUACUACAUUGGUAGUGUUCCUUGUGAAUUCAUAAAGAAACAUUCAGAAGAACUAGCAAAUUGCAACUCUUAGGUAUUUGAACAAAUUAUGGCUGGUGCAGCUCGAGACCUAUCAACUCCAUUAUGUAGCUGGUCGGGCCGCAUUUGUGAAAGAAGCUUGUCUGGAUGAAGGGGAUGUCCGCAUGUUUGAGCUCAUUGAUAGGGACGAUUUUAUGGUCAAUCUCCAUCUCCAAUUAUGCUAGUAAGGACCUCAUUUAGGUUGAUUGAGAUGGACAUUGGAAGUGUCGCCUGCAAGCUAUGACAAAUCAAUUGGAAGUGCACUUACUUUUAGCUUUGCGUCUCUUUCUUGACCUGCUUACAGUCUUACCAGAAUUCUCCUCUUUUUUUUUUCUUUGUGCAGGUCAGAACAGAUAGUCUAAAUGUCCAGUGAGCCCUCUUGAGCAGCCUUUUCAUGGUUUCAAUUGUCCGAGGCCUCUCACUGCCCUUUAGAAUGCUGGAGAAUUCAAGUUAGAGUAUCCCUUUUUCCAGAUGGUGACAUGGCCAUCUUUUCUUAAGAAAGAAAUAAUGGUGAGGCCCAGAUCUCCAUUCAUAACUGGCAUAUCUCAAUUAUGAAUGCCACCUAUUUUAUAUAUGUGCCCUAUUGUGCAAUUUUUUCCUGCAUUAAUUUGCUUUCUAUAGAAACACAGGAUAUAUUAUCUUCCUUGAAGUGGUCAUGGUUAUAUGUUUAAAACAGGCUCCUUAACAACUAAAGGGACUAGGGAAAAACAAUAAGUCAGACAGUAAUCAGGAAAUUACCUAGUGAUAGGUGGGUGUGGAGACAAGGUCAGAGGGUUGAGACAGGCAAUAACAACCAUAAAUUAGGAAUUUAAUGAUUUCUAAUUGAAGUAUAAAUUCUUCCCAAAGAUUACUACUUGGCACUUUCUCUGUCUUCUAGUUUAAGUAUAAAUUCCUUCCAAAAAUGACUACUUGGUACUUUCUUUGGCUGCCUAGGCUUGGGAAGAAGAGGCGACACGAAAUGUCCAGCUUAAGCAAUAGCUAUUGCAACAGGCCUAGGCUUGGCAUGACUAGGCUCACUGCAACAGCACGGCAACACUAAUCGGGAUAUUGCUUCCUGGCAACAAAUGGUUUACAAGAGCUACUAUUGCAAGCAAGUUCAAACUUGCGAUCAGAAAUGAAGUGAAGGUAGUGUGACCCUAGACCUCGAAAAUGAGUCCCACCACCUCCGUAGUAUGAAAAAAAGAAAGGCAGCUAAUUUUUUUUUUUGCCAGGCGAAUGAAGAUCACUUUUUGUGUAUAUGUAUCCAUCUAGGAUGCUAGGCGUAGCUUUUCAUGUUUGUUCAAUGCGUAUCGCAAUGUGAGAUUGGUGACUUGGAAAUCCACCAGAUUUGUGCAUGUCUCUAUAUUGAUCACACAUACUUAGCGUAGAGUCUAAGAGCACAGGAUUGUGAUAUUUUGAUUUCAGAUUGCAAGUUGUGACUAAAGACCAUCUCAUCAAGCCUUUUAGACUGCUAAUACGGAUCUCCAGAAAUUCCAAAUACUAUCAUAAAUGUACAUCUUGUUUGCCUUUUCACUUUAGUGUAUGCUUACAUUUCUUUGUCUUAUCAUACAUUGGCUGGUCAAAUGUCUUCAUGGGCAGAGCGUUCCUUAUAAAUUUAUAGAGACAUGCAGUCAAGAAAACCAGCAAAUUGCUAUUCUUAGGUAUUCAGACACAUUGUGGCUGGUGACCAUCAGGAGCUAUCAGCGCUACGCUGCAGUGAACUUCUCUAUUGGUUGGUCCAAGUUUGUGAGAGAAACUUAGUCUUGAAUGAAGGGCAUAUCUGCAUGUUUGAGCUCCUUGAUAGGGAUGAUUUUUAGGUUGAAUUGGGACGUGAACACUGGAAGUGUCACUUUAGGCCAUAUACUAGUUAGAAGCGAUCUAUGCCUCUUUUCUGUUGUGAUGAACCGGAUAAAAGUCCCUUUUAUUUCUGACUGCUUUUUUCUGAACUAGUUACAAUCUUAUAAUUUCUAGGCCUAGCCACUCCAUUUAUCGGAUAUUGUGAUGAAUAGCCUUGCACACAUUUUUUACUUUGGGUAUUUCUCUUGCGCUUGUAACGCUUUUAUCAUUGCCUUCUUGGAAAGGACCUUAGUUCAGCAUUAUCGUGGUUCUGGUUAUUCGACCUGGUUUCGUAGAACAAAUGAAAUUUAUGCAGUAUGCCAUCAGUCAUGGUCGCUUGAUAGUUUUCAAAAAUGGGAGAGAUAGACUCUAUACUCAUGUAAUUAUAUUUGAUUAAAGUGCUUAUAUAGAUACAUUAUCCCCUCAAGCAGGAUGAAAUAUAAAACCCAGAGGGCGAAUUCCUCUCGAGAAAAUGGGAAGAAUCUAAAGACCUCACAGUCCUUGAAGAUUCAGAGGGUUCCUGGCCAUGUUGGAAGCCAUUGGCUAAACUGCAUUUACCUUCUUAUCUGCCUUCUACGGUGAUGAAUUCGUUUUCAAUUUGUGAGUUUCAAAGUGAUUAAAUUGCACACUCAUUCUUUACCAAAAAAAAAAAAAAAUUGCACACUCAUUGAUGCGAGUUUUCAAAAUAAUAUGCUUGGAACCAAAAAGGACUAAGUUUCGAACGUCAAAGAGUGACAGAAGUUCCAAAUUGUUCCUCAAGAUUUGGAGGAGCGAGCACACGACAUAGUUUUCUUAGUCACUCUUCAAAUUUUUAAAAAUUUGAUGAGAAGCUUUUGGUAUGUUAGUUGAUGGCAUUGAUUUGGGUGUUCGAAGUUGUAGUCAAUCAGUUUUAUCUAAUACGAAGAGCGUGCAAACUUCUGUUUUAUGUUCACAUUCGUUGAUUUCCAAACUAUGCUGGAUCUUUUCAUAGUAAAUCGAAAAAAUUCACAUAUGUGCCCAUGAGAGUUCUUUUUUUAACCGGAGGUCAGACCAAACAGCCUAAAUGCCCAGUGAACCCUGUUGAGCCGGUUUUUCAGUGUUUUACUUGUCCAAGGCCUCUCACUGCACUUGAAAAAGCUUAGAGAAUUUGAGUCAGAAUAUCCCUUUUUCAAAAUGGUGAUAUGGCAAUUUCUUGUCAUGAAAGGAAAAGAACUGUACAUUCCUCAUCUCCAUUCAUCAUUGGCAUACUUCAAAUAUGAGACAACGUGACAUGUUAUUUUCGUUGAAGUGUUUGGGGCCAACCGACCAUCCUAAUGGCCGAGUAAUGGAACUUGGUAAAAUGGCAAUCAAAAUGGUAAUUGUGAUACAACCUUCAUGGUUGUGUGUGUCGAUUCAGAUUAUUAACUAGUUCGUCUACCUUGAAACAAUCUACUUCUCUAGUUGCUCCAUCAAGUUGUCUUUUGCUCCCUUUUUACAAGUGGAAAUCAAGAUGUGGAUUUUUUUAAAUAAUAUUUCAAUAUUUUUUGAAUUUUUUUUAUAAUUUUGUUAUUUUCUUUUCUUCUUUUUUUCUUGCCCUUAGGGUCGGCCUGGAUGUAGGCGCGCAGCACCUCACCCAGACCAAGUGAGGGCUGGUGAGGGUGUGCAAGGAAAAAAAAGCAACUAAAAGAACCAAAAGAAAAAGAAGAUAAAAAAUUCAAAAAAAUUAAAAUAUUAUAAAAUGUCCACAUCACUUUCAGCAGUGUCAUGUCAGCGCCAGCUGAUCAAUAUUAGUAGAAUGGACUUAACUGGCACAAAUGCGAAAAGUUUAGAAUUGUAUUGACAAAAAAAAGAAAGAUUCAAUUAGCACAAUUAUAAUAAGUUUAUGAGUUUUUUGAUAAUUCUCCCGACAUUGUUUUCUUAUUAGUGAAUUUUUUCUCGCAAUUCAAGGUACAAAACGGCAUUGUUCUUCAGAAAAGCUUGAAAACGUAUAUAUAUUAAAAUAAUUUUGUGAGAACGAAAUAUCUUUUUUAUCAAGGAAUAGAAAAGGAAAAGGAAAGAAAAGCAAACAAGAAAAUAAAAAUAAGAAAAAUUACUCUUUGCCAUGCCAACCCUAACCUAAAGGUAACAAACUGUCAACACGAUACAACUUUUAUUUAUAUCACAAGAUUUUAUAUGCUCUUCGUCCAUUUAUUACUUGUCAACUUUUCCGGACUUGAUACAUCAUGACCCUUUUCCUCUUUCUUUCUUGAUUCAACAAUAGGGGAAGAAAAAAACACAUUGGACCCUUUUCUGCAAAGAUGGACUCGCGGUCUUGUCCAAAUAUGAACUAAUCGAUUAAUUGCUCAUUGAAUUCAUGUUGCUCGCAUCUAAUUCUAUAGUCAAAAAACUGAAGCUAUGCUUCGGCAUUGAGCGUGCACAACUCUUUAAUUUGACCACAAGCGAAAUCCAUGCAAGUAGUACGGUCCGACUACCCCAGCACGGUAGCACACUUUCCACGGCCGAAGCAUCUGGCGUUGCUGUAAGAGGCACUGGUGCAUUAGUUGAAUCCCCCGAUCGCGGUGUCAAACCUAAGAUCGGUCAAGACUUGACCCGAAGCUUGUGCAUAAUCGUUCGGGUAUUGCAUGCCGUUGCAUAUCUUGCAUAACUUGUACAUAAGCAUCACAUCCAGGUCACUUCUUACAAGUCAGACCCCCACAGAAGCCCCAUGAACAUAAGUGUGAGUGUAAUGAGGUGGACAAGGUCAUCCUAGAGCCCGUUUCCUCCCGUUUGGUUCUCUUUGGUUUGCCACGAGGAAACACACAACACACAAUUGAGUUUGGCUAUAAAAAGGGUUUGUCUCCAUAGUGCUAUCCAUCAUUUAUUCUUUGUUAUUAGGCUAAGCCAUUACCAAGUUUAGUCAUUUAUGACGUCACAUGGAUUUUAAUUGAUAAAUUUCAGAGCUUUUUCUAUGAAUUAUUUGUUCUUUAGUGUAAUAUGUCGUUGCCGUCCUUGCAAACCCUAAUCUCAUAAUUUUUAAUGAAAUUUCCCCCCUCUCUCUUACUAUGCAUGAAAAAUUUAAAAUUGGGAUCCUUUUAAGUCUACGAAAUAAAUUCACAUUAUGAUAAAUGACUCACUUCUUCUUUGUCUGUCCUCUUUCUCCUCUUAUUUUGCAUAGACUUGUCAGCCUCAUGUACUAGUCUUGAAUAUAUUUCUAUAUGUGACAUUGUAAAUUUUAGGUCAUGUAAUUAAUGGAGUUCAUGAAUUUUUUUUUUUUUGAACAGAGAGUUCAUGAUAGUUAUAUAACCCAAAUAACACAAUACUUCUACUACUGCUAAUACUACUACUAGGAGUGUAUUAAAAAAAGAAAAAAGAAAAAAAAAGUCCGAAAACCCGGAUCGAAUCAUCCAAAUUGGCCUGAUAAAUUUGGGCUCAAAUAGUCUUGGGCCGGCCCACUGGCCUCAAACUAUCCUUGAGUUUGGGACUUGAAUGAUUGCCAAACUAGCCCAAUUCAUAGAUCAGAAACUGUACAUAUAUAUGGCCCCUAUGUCAAUUCCCAUUCCUGCUGGUUGAGUGCUUGACUUCUCUCGUUCUCCCAUCUCCCACGCUGGUUGAGAUCCGGUCACUGUUGAGCUGCCAUUGCCACCACCGUCAAGCCCCAUUUUUGUGGCCAUCAAUCCCCACACUCACCAUAUGCCCUCCGUCCAAGACAUCUCGCUCACUCCGUCAGUCCCUCUUCUGCUUGCUCACGUCUUAGUCUUCCUUACGCUCCCUCACUCUCUACCAGUAGAAAACAAGUACUUACCAGUUACUAGCUUGUUUUGAUGUCUUAAGGUUUUUUUUUUUUUUAAUUUUCGUACAUGCUAUUUGAAUUUUUUAUUUUAAAUUUUAAAAUGAUAGUUAGUCUCUCUUUAAAAAGAUGCAAUUAUCUCACGAUAAACUCUAAACUGGUACACAUGUGAUAAAUUUACAUUCUAUUAAAUUUUAUUAUCAAAUUAUUAAGUUAGAUGACACAUGCUAAUUGAUGGAGAUACCAAUUUGGGGUUUUCUCCUCCAUUUGUUACAAUCGUACUAGUUUGUGAUUUUUUGUAGUAUUAAUCCAUUUUAACGAAAACCAACAAAUAUUAAAUUAUCACAAAUGUAUCAGUUUAUGAUUUUUAAUAGUCAAAAUAUUAAUUUGCGGUAAAUGUGUGAUGUACCAAUUUGGGGUUUUGGUUAGUCAAAAAAUUAACUUGAGAUAAAUUUAUCGCGUGUAUACCAAUUUUAGAUUUUUUGUGACAUUAAUUCUUUAUUAUUAUUUUUUUGUUUAACAGUUUAUUAGUUACAUUUAGAUAGUAGAUGGUAGUGGAAAGUGGCCGUUAAUGACGAUUGGCACUUUUUAAGUGCUAAAUGACGAAAAUCGCCUCUGAAUUCGUCUAAAAUCUAACCCGAGCUAUCAUCAUAAUUUGGUUUUUAAGGCAAUCUAGAUCGAGAUAUCAAAAGAGGAACCUCUCCCUUAAAGAAUCUACAAACGUGGUAAUGCUAUUUUAUAAACCAUAUUCUCUAAUAUCUUUAUGUUCAAAUGAAAAUUUACGUAGAAUAAUAAUCGAGUUGGGAGAAUCAUUACCUACACCCAGUGCAAACUCUAUUCCUCUCACAGCAAGCAUGUAUGAAGGCCUAAUAAGAGUGAAAGUCAAAUUAUUCGUAAGUUGUUCGAGCUUGGGUUGAUGAUCAUUUGAGAAGUAAUAUUUAGUCGAGCUCUAACUCGAGCUACUUGAGUAUCUUGCAGAUUGAAAGCUCGAGCUCAUCAACACUCAGCUCAAUAAACUUUGUAAGCCUGAUUAAAAAAAGCAAUUGUUAAUAAAAUUAAAUAUUAACAUCCUCAUCUGCGCACAUGUAAUAUAUAGUAUAUCAUCUUUUUGUUUGAAUCAAGCUCCAGCAUUAAACUAAUGUUUGGGUGAGCUCAAAUCUUGUUUUAAACAUCGAGUAUGAAGUUGAGUGGAUCUCGAGUUUGGCAUUGUAGUGGCUCGGGUGGCUCAAUCAGAGAUCCCUAGGCCCCAGCCGUGUUGACAUCCAAUUCGAUUAAUAAGAGUCUAUGUGUCCAUUGAAGCAAUUAAGAAUUCUGACGUGCAAAAUUAUCAAGAAAUCUCAUUGCUCAAGAUUGGGUUGUGAUCUUCGUCACGCAAGUUUUAAAUCCCCUAUAAUUUUCAAUCCCUAUAUUAACCAAUAGCUUAGAUGAUAAAAGUAAGUGAACAUUAAUAAAUGUAGGAAAUCUUCAAAAGUCACCUUUCCUAGGUCCUAGCUGUAAUCUCGUGGGGGACGUAGCUUGGCUUAAAAAAUCCUUGCUGCAACUUUUCUCCGACAAAAUGGCACUCCAGUUCUCUCUCCUCAGUUCUAUGUAUUUGUUUGUUUACUGAAAAGAGGGCUUUUGCGGCAAUUUUUGUCUCAAUAUAAUUUAAUUUCGGAUAACCAUUUGACAAUUGAAAAAAUCCCUCGGCCGAUAAGAAAUCUUUAAUUUCAAAUGUCCGCCUUUGCGUUUUUCAUAUAUUAACUUGGAGUGUACAUAGAGAGAUCCUUGAUAAUUUCAACUUUUUGAAUUAAUUGGUAAAUCACUAAGCUCCGUCAUGCUAGUCUCUCUCAACAAGUACUUCUUAUUAUUAAAAAAAAAAAGAUCCAUUUUUAUUUCUCACAACUUCAAAUCUUAAAAAAUAAUUUUUUUAAUUUUCCUAGGUCUUUAAUUGAAAAAUUAACCCAAUUUCAUUCCGAUUAUCAUUAUAUAUCAUCAACAUAAACUAAACAAUCACGAUAAAUGAAUGUCCUCUCCUUGAAGUAAAUAGGGAAUAAUUAAAAAAAUCAACAAUUGUUAACAUCUGAGAAAUUAAAAAGGGAAGAAGAUCCGUCAGGUUUUCCAGUUCCUGCGUUUCUAGCAUUCGGUCACUCUCUGCUUCCUCUCUCUCUCUCUCUCUCUCUCUCCCUCCAACCCUCGAGCCGAGCUGCACCGCCUGAUAGGGGGCCUUCGACCGCUGCCGCCGCAUCUACGCCGCCGGGCCACCUCGGCGUUCGGCAGCAGCGCCGCCCCUCUCUCCGCCUCCUCCGAACACCCCCCCGCCCAAAAAAAAAAAAAAAAAAACCUAGUUUCCUGGCUUCGGUUCUCCGAGAUUGCUCGAAGAUGGACGAGGACCAGGAGAUGGAGAGGUUUGGGAUGGACAGCGAUUACGACGAUGGGCAGUGGAUCGACGGGGAGUUCUACUACCGGCGGCGGAGGGAGAAGCGCGCCCAGACCAAGGGCGACGUGCUCUACGGCGUCUUCACGUCGGGGGACUCCGAUUCGGACUACGACGACUCCUCUAAGAGGAAGCGGAGGAAGAACAGGGACCUCCUAUGUAAGGCCGAUCUGUCGAAGCCCGUGUAUUUCGUGUCCACCAGCACGAUCAUGCCGAACAGAGAGAUUGACGAGAACUCGAAGACAGAGAAUGAGGAUGACGAGUCCGCUGACGUGGAUGAGGAUAGGCCGGGCAUGGGGGUUGGUGCUGGGGUGGGUCUGGGGUUUAAGAAGCGAGACGAUGGUUUCGAUGAGAACGGCGAGGAGGAGGAUGGUUUCUUGCCGACGGCAUUUGGGCGGAAGAUCAAGGAGGGAGCGGAGAGGAGGAGAGAGCAAUCGAAAUUGGAGAAUAAAGCGCAACAAGGUGGGGCUAAGAGGGAUUCUUAUGAAUCGGGGAACGUGGGCGGCUUCGAGAAGUACACCAAGGGAAUUGGAACGAGGUUGCUCGAGAAAAUGGGUUACAAAGGGGGUGGUCUUGGGAAGAACCAGCAGGGGAUUGUGACACCCAUUGAAGCAAAGUUGCGUCCUAAGAACAUAGGUAUGGAUUUCAACGACUUACAAGGCAACUCCUGCAGAGGCACCUGUUGCCUCGUUGGAGCCAGAGGAAAAGAAGCCAUCACCUAAUGUGCCCGGUCAGGAGAAGCUUUGGUCUAAGCAAGCGACGCAGAAAAACAAAGCGAAAUAUAUUACAGUAGAAGAGCUGUUGGCGAAGAAGUAGGAUCAGGGCGUUGAAGUUGUGCAAAAGGUACUCGACAUGCGUGGACCUCAGGUUAGGGUAUUAGCAAACUUGGAGAAUCUGAAUGCGGAAGAGAAGGCGAGGGAGAGUGAUGUUCCUAUGUCUGAGCUCCAGCACAAUAUAAGGUUGACUCUGGACCUGGCUGAGUUGGAUAUUCAGAAGAUCGAUAGGGACCUUAGGAAUGAGAAGGAGAAGGAGAAGUUGCAAGCUGAGGCAAAACUCUAGAAGAAACAACUGAUUAACGUGAAGGAGACAAUGAAUACGCUAGGCCGGGUUGAGGAGGAAAAGUCAAUGGGACGUGCGAAGAAGGCUUCCUGAUGAUUAUAAACUUCGUAACUUAUCCUGCAUUGCUUGCUUAUUUGCACUCCCUCUUUGGAAUUCCACACAUGGGUUGGAAGUUGUUUCACGGUGGAAAUCUCUAUUGCAAGGACAGGAAUGUCUUGAUAUAUGGGAUUUGGGAUCCCCUUAUACCUAGUUAGUUUCAGAAGUUGUCUUGCCUGCUGUGUGAAUAUCAGGCAUUUGAAACUUGGGAGGCAAGGAAUCCGGAGCCAAUGCUUCGAUUUUUUGAAGAUUUAGUGAUUAGUCUUCUCGCAUGUGGGCGCAAAUUCAAGUUUGUCAAUUUCUUCUCAAGUGAAGGGCAUUUGGAAUUCAUUUAUUUAUUUAUUUUCUUCAUAUUAACUGAAUGUUGAUAUGCAUAACAAAAGCAAGUAUACGGGCAUCUUUGCGUCGCUGCGGCACGACUCUUCUUCAGCCUCUCUCUGUCGACAAACACAGCACCUGAGCCUCCGGCAGUGGCUUUUCGUCUUAGAAUCGGCAACAUCCCGGCGCUCUUGAACUCGAACUUGCUCUCCACGCUGGAUGAAGCUCGCUAAUUCUCUCUUUUUAUCUCUCUUCCUUGCGAGAGCUCGAUACCUCAUCCAAAGUGCAAUCAACGGUAAUGGAAAUUUGGAAGAUGGCGAGAGGAUGGGAGAAAAUAAAAGCAAAACGGAAAUCAAACAGACGAAAUUUGGAAUGAAUUGAAGACAAUUCUAGAGUUCAAUCGGAGAUGGAACGUCCCAGUAAUUGUUUUGACUGUUGAUUGAAGAAACUCCGUGGUCAAAUUCCGCUGCCACGGCAGCAAGGCGAGCGGCAUCUUCAAACCGGUAGCAACGCUUUUUGUGCUUCGAUCGGUGCUGGAAGCAACAAUCGUCAGAGAGCUCAGUCUUGAUGAAUAGUUGGUGGGUACUCCAUUCGCGGUUGGAUUCUCUCUCUCCAGAUUUUCUCCGACCAGAUGUUUUUUAGCAUCUAUUCUCUCUCUCGCUCCGGAUUCUCCUUAUUCAUCUCCACCAAUUCAGAUCUAUCUCGCGUCAGAUUCCCACAGUGAACGACACCAUCAGAUUCCAAAUUUUGAGUCGUGGCCACACUAAUUCCACUCUGAUUCUUGUCGUCGCUUUCCUGUCCUUGCACAUGUCUGGACCAGAUCUAUAUGUGGCCGGGCCAUCUCGAGCUCAUGCUGCCAUCGCCGCCAAACCAUCAUCAAGGGUGUUUCAUAUCCAAUUGAACUUCCGAGUCAAAAUUUCGAUUCACUCCAGAAAAUGUUCUGUCGAUUCUUGCUUCUUUCUGUUCGCUCCCACUUCAUGGCCAUCUUUCGAAUUCCUUUGUUUUGCCCAUUUAUGCCUUGCGCAAAGGGAAAGCGGGGUGUGUUCACUGCUUAAAAGAGCUUUAUCUGAUUGCCAAGGGUGAGGUUGGAUGGAUCAUCAUCAUCUGGACAGGAUCCGCCGAUUCAAAGGAUGAGAUUCUUUGGGUUCACUCUCGGCACUCCUGCCGGUCCGACAUAGUUUCAUCAACCAACCGCAACGGAGGGCAAUCUGAGUCAUCAAAAUCAUCCGAAAAGAUACGCCAAGCAUGAAGAUUGGCGGUGGUGAGCACGGAGAGAAAACAAGGAAGAAUAAAAGUCGCGAAGCAGUGGAUGGAGAUGAUUCGAAUUUUGCGUGGGGACUGGGGAAAACGGGGCAAACAAGGUGAAACCGGCGGUGGUUCUUUGGAUGAGAAGGAAGUAAAGUGUUGAAAUUUUUUUUAAAAAAAGAAAUAAAAGAAAAAGAAAUAAAAGACGAAAGGAAAAUAUAGAGAGCCCAUGAGAAAUCGGUCAAAAGGAAGACUUGCACGAAAAAUGUAAUCCGUCAUUAUAUUGAGCACCUUCAUUGCAAACUCGAUCCCUCCUCCACAGUGCAAUCGACGGCAAUGGGAAUUCGGCGAGAUAAUUGGAGAAAAAUGAAAUGAAAUAGAUAUCAAUAGACGUAGUCAAUAUGUAUCAAAAUUAAUUCUAGAGUCGAAUGGGAUAUGAAAUGACCUGGUGGUGAGUACCAAUAUUGACCUGACAGAUAUCAUCAUUGUUACAGAAUGGUCUCAAUCUCGAUUUCUCUUUGGGGCAACUCAACGAACACCUUCCCUAAUGUCCAUCUUCAUUUUUCAGCAAGUCUUCCUCCAUCAGGGUCGUUUCCUAUCCGAAUGAACUUCCGAGUCCAAUUUCGAUUCAUUCCAGUAUACGUUCUAUCGAUUCUUGCUUUCCUUCAUCUCCGCCUUUCGGAUUUCAAAUGCCGUUGCUCGCGUCCUUCGUUUCGUCUCUCUAUGCCGCACACAAUGGGGAUGUCUGGCUGGUGGAUAGGAUCUGCCGAUUCGAAGGAUGAGAUUCUUUGGGUUCACUCUCGGCCCUCCCGCCGCUUCAAGAAGCAGCAAGGACUUGCACAAAAGAUGGAAUAUCUUGAGAGCAAGAUUCAUCCCUAACUCAACCAUCAUUUUCUUUUUCUUUUCCUUGAAAAAGGCCAUCAAAAACUCCAAACGACGCCAUCAAGGACGCCCAUUGCGUCUCUUCGCUUCAAGUGCCUUUAUUGGAUCUCUCCCUCCAUCCCGACGCGCUCCCCGGCUCAGUGAGUUCCGAGUCGCUCCACCAUCACCCUCGCUAUCAACUCGCCUCGUGAUCGAUUCCGUCGCUCGCUGUCUUUAGAAACUCCGGUGAUCCUCUCUCUCUCUCUCUCUCUCUCUCUCUCUCUCUCUUUUCCUGUCCUUCUUCCGGUUCGAAUCAUGCAUUCGUUUUGUGGAUUCUUAGGUGUUUUGACGGAGGUUUGAAUCUGGUGUCCUUGAGUGAUGUUUAAUGCUAUUGUCGUUUUGCUCAUCGAUGGAGUUCAUGUCGGAUUUUUUUUCUUUUUUCCUUGUUUCGAACCGUGAAUCCGAGACCACUUGGAAACGAGCGAUGAUUGAACUGAAAACGUCCUGAGAAAUCGCCGCAGUGAGCGAAAGUUGUGCAGAGUUAAGCUCGGUCGAACAGUGGUUCGGUUUUCCUCUAUUUUUUGGCAUUAUAUAGUCACUUCUGGAUUCAGUUGUGGUGCGAGGGUGACUCGCUAGCCAUUCCUGAUCGGUCCUUCGGUUAACGCUUUUCUCUGUAUAGAUUUCUGAGCGGCUUGGGACUUGGAGAUGGGAGUAGCACCGAUGAGUUAUAACAUAAAAGAGGGGACGCUGGAGAUCGGCAUGGGUGAGCUUUCGGCCCUCUCCGCUUUCCAAAUUUUUUUUUUUUUUUUUUUGGAGCUACGGACAAUAAAGAUCUGCUGGGAUGCUUAAAUCUCGUAAUUAAGUUUUGUCUGUAUUGUGGGGAGUAGCUUUCUCUCCUUGUUCGUGGCUUAUUAUGUCUUUCGCCAUCUAAAUUUCACCGUGCUUGGAAUCAGAACUUUAGUCAUGGGAUAUUGUUGUUUUCGAGGCUUUCCAUAUAGCUUUCUCGUUUCUGAAAAGUUUAUGCUGCCCCUGUUAUGACAACGGUUAAUACAUUUAUUACUUAGAUCUACACAAUCUCUAUCAUUUCAUAUAUAUUGGCUGAGAGGUGAGGAAUGAUUUAGCUCUUGUCUGAGUCAAAUGUUUAGCAUGCCUUAGUCGCUGGGUCUUGUUAUUGGUUGUUCAAACAAUUGCUUCGCUACUUGCAGAGUAUAGGACCGUCUCUGGUGUUGCUGGGCCGUUGGUUACACUCGACAAAGUCAAGGUAAAUUUCACCAGUUAUAAUUUUAUGAGGUUCAGUGGACUCCUAUACUAACAUGUUGGAUUAAUUUUAUUGUAUAUCAGGGACCAAAUUAUCAAGAGAUAGUAAAUAUCCGCUUGGGUGAUGGAACAACUAGACGUGGACAAGUCCUUGAAGUUGAUGGAGAGAAAGUUGCUGUGCAGGUUCAGUCUCAGUUGCCAGCCUCUUCUUUUUUCCUUUAGCUCUCUUGAUACUGCAUUUUUGUUGUUUGGACUGCAAUACUUGGGUCAACUUUGUGUGCAAUACUUUUCAGCUGAUGACCCAGUGAAUUCUCUGUCAUUCAUUGCAAGCAUUAGAAAAAGCAGAACAUGAAGAGUAUUAUCUUAGGUAUAUGUGAUGAAAUGUGAGAACAUCAUAUGGGAUGAUAAUUGAAAUGUGAUAGAAUUUCUUGAGAACAAUGUUAAGAGUCUAAUUAGCAUUCCGUUUAGGCAAUUAUAGAUCCUCUUUGCUCUCGAGUGAUGGAAGUCUAGUCAUGGUGUGGGUUAUUUUGGCUCUGCAAAAGGCUAAUAAUCUUUCCUAUAUGUCUCUAAUUGUUGUCAAACUUCCGUAGGUUCUGUUAUUCACUAGUUUCUUUGUCAGUAAAAUUUAAAUAUAAGUAUUCUACUCAUGCUUGUGUGAUCGGUGGUUGUUCAUCUUAGACUUCCAGUACGUAAAGCUUUCUGGUCAUCCAUGUUUCACUCUCUUGUCGCUAGGUUUAUGAAGGUACUUCUGGGAUUGAAAACAAAUACACCAUUGUGCAAUUCAUUGGUGAGGUAAUUAUGCAUGCUGUUUGUUUUUGUUUUCCUAAUAAAACAAUGUUUCAUCAUUCUGUAGAAAGAAAGAGUUAGAUUUGUUUUUUUCCGUAUUUGGGAACUAAAUGCUCCUACAUGUUGGCAACAAGAUUUCACUUGUAGCAUGAGAAAUAAUUUGGCAUAUGUCUUGGGCUUGGCCUCAUGAAAGGCUGUCAAAAGUGCAUUGUUUUCCUACCUUUACAAAUCUUUUUAGCUGUGUCAGCAUUUACUCUCUUUAAUCUUGGAUAAAUAAAAAAACCUUUAGAAAUUUAUUGUGGAGUUCUCACAUUUUUCUUUUAAUGCAGGUUCUAGAAAGCCCAUUGAUAAUGGCUCUCCAAUUCUGCCAGAGGCUUACCUGGAUAUUUCUGGUGAGUUGUGUCAUUGUGAUAGUAAUUUUGAUUGGCCAUGGAGCCAUUUAUACUUCAUGGCACCUAUGGCAAUCCCAAGAUCCCAGUGAAAGAACCUUCCUGGAAGAGAUGAUACAAACAGGAAUUUCCUCCAUUGAUGUAACGAAUUCCAUAGCUCGUGGACAAAAGAUCCCACCUUUCUUUGCUGCUGGUCUUCCUCAUAACAAAAUAGCUACUCAGAUUUCCGCCAGGCUAGUCUUGUGAAGCGAUUGGAGAAGGCUGAUGGUAUUACCAAGAUAUAUGUUGCAUCUUUGUUGUAUACCAAUGUUAUAAUACCCUGCUCUAUGAGUUUUAUUGCCUCGAUAAUUUAAGGAACUACCAUUAGUUUUACAGAAUUUUCCUACGGUUUUGGAGUUCAGGUUCAGAAUUCACCUACAAUGUAUUUUAUCCUUUGACUAACUAGCUCCACUAUUAUAUGCUAGACUUCUCAAUUGCUAAAUGCAUUCUUUGUGAAGAUUUUUGAUCUUAUUUUAUUUGUUGUUUUUUUGAGAAUUCGAUGUUAUGAGCCUUCAUCUUUCUAUUCCAAACACUCUCUUUCAAUAUCAUUUAUGAAAAUGUGCUGCAAAUUUAUGUAGGAUGACAAAGAGGACAAUUUUGCCAACAAUGUUGCCAUAGUAUUUGCUGCUAUGGGAGUGUACAUGGAAACUGCACAAUAUCUCAAACGUGACUUGGAGGAAAAUGGGUCAAUGGAGAGAGUGGCCCUUUUUCCUUAAUCUGGUAAUAUCUAAUGAGCUAAUAGUUAAUUGUCUCGCAGAUUGUUUCUUUCUGGCAAUUUUUGCAAGUUCGUAGAUUCAGUUCGUGACAUAUAUCCUUGCUGAUUAAAGGGUUGUACGGAUGCCUGUAUUUCAUUUUACGAAGUUUGCUAUUUUCUUUAGGCCAAUGAUCCAACUGUUGAAUGCAUCAUCACUCCACGAGUGGUGGUCACAACUGCUGAGUAUCUGGCUUAAGAAUGUGACACAUCUAUAGUGAUUUUUUUAUUUAUUUAUUGUGAUGUCAGAAUUUCAAAAUUAUAUCCACUAUGGAUGAGGAUAGGCGGGGCUUGGGGGCCUUGGGAAGAACCAGUAGGGGAUUGUGACACCCAUCGAAGCAAAGUUGUGUCCUAAGAAUAUGGGUAUGGGUUUCAACGACUACCAAAGAAACCCCUGCAAAGGCGCCUGCUGCCUCGUUGGAGCCAGAGGAAAAGAAGCCAUCACCUGAUGUGCCUGGUAAGGAGGAGCUUUUGUCUAAGCAAGCGAACAAGACGAUGCUGAAAAACAAAGCGAAACACAUUACAGCAGAAGAGCUGUUGGCGAAGAAGCAGGAACAGGGUGUUGAAGUUGUGCAAAACGUACACAACAUGCGUGGACCUCAGGUUAGGGUAUUAGCAAGCCUGGAGAAUCUGAACGUGGAAGAGAAGGUGAGGGAGAGUGAUAUUCCUAUGUGCGAGCUCCAGCACAAUAUAAGGUCGAUUGUGGACCUAGUUGAGUUGGAUAUUCAGAAGAUCGAUAGGGACCUGAGGAAUGAGAAGGAGAAAGCUCUGAGCUUGCAAGAGGAAAACAGAAGCUACAAGCUGAGGCAGAACUCCAGAAGAAACAAAUGAAUAAUCUAGCAACUAAAUUGUGCACAUGGAACAGCGGAAGCACAAUCACGGUAGAGUCUGAUUCCGUUAGUUUGUACCCCACCUUAUGAUGCCAAAUUGCGCUGAGUUAGCAGCAUGUGAUUGGGGAGGGGUGGCCCAUAGCGCUGGAGGUGUGCAAGAACAUAGCUACAUCCGAGGGAUCGUUGACAACUGUGGACAUCGAGUCGAGGCUCGGCUCGGCUCUACGUCGGUCGAAGAGAGAGUGAUUUGGUAGAGUGAAGAUUGGCGGUUAGGUGGGGGAUGUUGAGCUUGGAAGCAGCGGAUUGAGCCCGUCGGUUUCCUUCUUGCAGUGUCAAUAGGAGCUUCGGUUCUGAGUCGGAAAGGUAGAACUUGAGCACCUUAGCUGUGUAGAAGGGAUUGAGCGGAGCUGCGGUGGCUCAGCAAUGGAUUACCGCUGGAAACAGGAUCACAAACUGCAAAACGAACACAUUUUCCAAUAAGAAAACUAUCACACCAGUCCCUGCGGAUUGGAGAUACACAUACAUAUGCAGGAUAUGCAGACAACUAGUUUGUCAACAUUUAAUUUCAUUAAAACCAUCCAUCUCCUUUUGAUAAGCGUUGACUUUGUUUUACGAUGAAUCGGUGCUUGUACAUCCCAGAAAACAACCCUUGGACCCGACAGAAAAUUCUCUUCAUGCUUUUCCCAUUUCAAUUUGUUCCUGUUCAAUUUGCACCACGCGCUCGCAGAAAUUUCAUGCCUCAGAUGCAAUUUUUUUCAGUAGAAAUCGAUGCCAUUUCCGUCUCUCUGUUCUCGAAGUACUGUAAAACUCCAAGAAACAUCUACCUCUUUCUUUCCCAAGCUAUUUCCCAGUCGAUGUUUCGCAAGUCAUCGAUCUCAUCAUUAGAAAUUCAUCGUCACCGCAAUCUUCCAGAUAUUGUGUUCUCAAAUUUAAACAGCAUCAUCCGUACUUGCGAACAGACCGGGAUGACACAGACAUACCUCGAUGUUGUUGAGGAAAGUAAGCGCGGCGGUGUCGGUGCGAGGCAGUGAUGAGUACGGUGGUGCAAUUGACAAGCUCCUGCAGCCGCAUGUGUGUCAGGUCGAGCUCCUCGCAGGCGGAGACGGCUCUCUUGUUGGGGAAAUCCGAUGUUGCCUUCUUCAAUAGGUCCGUGAGCGUAAGUUCUCCCAUCACUAACCACAGGGAACGAAUCGACGGCAAUCGGCUUCAGCCGAAACCAAUCCCCGAUCAAACUGAAGAGGGGCACCACAAUCGCUUGGCGAGACAAGAAUGAAGGAUCGACAAGAACAGGAAUUCGCACGUAUGCAUAUGAGAUGGAAAUGAGACCAGAGGGAGGAAGGGAAGGAAGUUGAUGCAAUCGAGGUGGCUCCGCGGCCAGUGCGAGCUCGGUUAAGGUGGCGACGGAGACUUAACGGAUCAAAGGCUGUAACUAGUCUCACUAAUGUCUUCGCAAGAAAAUGUUUCAAUAAACUAAUGAUAGCCACGUAAUCAAUACAUUUGUCCAUUCAGUGGACGACAAGUGGCACUAUGGCGGCCCGCUCUAUCAGCAAGUCUGCAAGUCCAUUCUGCACGACAAAAUAAAUGUCGUCCAAGUUUGAGAUAAGAAAUGAAAACCGCAGCAUCAGAAAAGGUCAUCACCAAAGGAUUAAAAUCCAGUCCAAGUUUGGGGCAAUGGCGAUUCUUGCACAGAUUGUAUAUAUGCGAAGAUCAAUGGCGAUUCUGACAGUCCAUUCUUUGCACGCACACACGCAGAUCUCCUGCUCCUUCACAACAAAAUACACAUUCAAAACUCAAUUAUGUUCAUACAGAACACUUUAACUCGAACCAGAGGAAUCAACAAGCCACGAGACAGCAAUUUUCAUGUCAUACGCCGAGCAUACGAGGUGAGAAUACUAACACUAUUUGACAAAUGAGCAUCCUAUUCUGACAAAGUCGGCCAUAAUAAGUAUUCAAAAAGUUGAGAACAAAUCGAAUUUAUGUAAUAUGAUUCUGCGGUUUGAGAAUUGAAUCGAAUUUACAUACUGAUCUAGUUCGAGCAUUUUAUCAAACAAGUAAUGUGCAUUUUAACCAAGGAGCUCAUACGCCAAUGCACAGCAAGGAUUGACUUUCAGAUCAUCACGAAAAUAACAGCACAAGUCCGAGUUGUUAAAUAAAGCUUCAAUCUCAACUGAUUUACUCACAGACAUUAGCUAAAGCUAACCGGCUCUGUUUCGUUCAUGAGCAGCAGAAACAGAGUGCGUGGGAUUUACCUUGAUGAGAGUGAGUUUUUCACUUCGGUCCGUGAUCAGAUCGGAGAAAAGUUACUGGCGCUCUCCACGUCGACGAUUGACCUCUGGCUCGUGCACGUUUGGGCGGCAUGACCAGAAAACAGAGCAGAAGGAGAGGAGGCCUUGCGGCAACGGAACCGGCAAUGGUGGAGCCGCUACGGCAGCGUUUCGACAGUGUCUAAAGGACAAUGGAGAAGGAGAACCGAUGAAGGAUCCUCUAGAAUUCCAAAGAGAGAGAGUUUCUUCGUGAGCUUCGGUGUGUGCGUUCUAUCGUGUCAUCGCUGAGCCUGUGGUGGCCGUCGAUGGUGGUGCGACGGUGGCUGUGGUGAUUGUAGACGGCCGACGGUGGUCUGGGCUUCGCCUUGUGGAUAAGGUCUGGGCUACACGAAUUAAACCAGGCCCAACAAACCGGACCAGGUCCUUUCGAUUAUGAUUUUUUCUUUCUUUCUUUCUUUUCUUUCUUCGUUUGUUAUUUAUUUUUAAUAUUAUUUUUUACUUUUUAUUUAUUUAUAUUUACCCAAAUGCAUGUUCGACUUGUUGGCAAAAAUUCAGGAGUCAAUAGGAGCAAUAUUCCAUCAUUUGGCCUAAGAACAACUUCACACCAAACUCAAUUACAAUUCAUUGUUUGUGCAAUAUUGUGACAUUAUUCCCUUAAAGAUUAGUCCUUGUACUUAACUCUUCCAUCCUUGAGUUGAAUUUGAGCGCUGAUAGCAUGGCUGCACUCGUACUUGAGUUGAUUUCUUGUAGAAUCGAUGCACACAGUACAGUUUGCAUCUCGAAGCGCAUUUUGCACGUUCUGUGCACGCAACACAUCGCGAUGGAAUCAUCAUGCUCCUGUAAUAGUUGUACACAUGACUUGCCAUCUUAAUUUAUCAUCAUAUAGGUGAUGCGUGUACUUUUAAGAUUGCCACUUUAUCUGUGUUCUUAGCACGUAUCUCAGUAUUGAUUUGUGCAAGUGGGUGGCACAUAUUCCGUCCAUGGUCUCCUCUGUUGAAUACUCUUGGCCAAGAGAUUACAAUGUCCUCUUUUGACUAACAUCCUCGUCUGUGCUUUGUCGUAUACGGUUUGUUAGGCAUUUAUACAGGUUAGAUACUUUUUGUGAUCAAGAGCAGUACAUUCCAUCCUAUAACAUCAAUUAUCUUGUGGGAUUGUGACGAACAUCACAUCAGGUCCGUUUUCACGUUCUCGUUCUUUCGCCCUUCGCCCGCCACUUGUAUCCGGCAAACUCAAUAAGAUAGCUCCACCACCCGUCAUUUCUCCGGCCUGCCAGAAUUUCUUCCGAUUUCCGUGUCUUGUUGCGCGCGAAUCAGUUGAAGUCGGAAGACGGUUUCGUAAAAAUCUCCCUUCUCAAUCUUCAUCGUCGUCUUCUUCUUCAGCUAGGGCUUUGUUUUCAAAUUCGUCCCAUGUUCGAGGUUAUCUCAUGUUUUAUUUUUUUGGUUAUGUUUUUCCACUCGCGCUAGUGACUUCAGAUCAUGGUAGGCUACCUUAGAGUGUCAAAAGGAAAAGUUCCGAAACUAGCUGAAAAAGACGAGGAUUGAGAGUGUAUAUAUGGGUCUUUCUUUAUCGAACUGGCUGUUUGAAAAUGCGGAUGAGCAGACCACUCCUUGUGGCUUCAUCAAGAAACAUCUUCAUGACAGCAAAGUAGUUGCCACUCUUCAGGCAUUUAGACAGAUCGCGGCCGGAGAAGUUAAGGAGCUAUGUGCACGUGGCAAUAAUAUCACGUCAAGUGUAGAUGUCUGCGUGUUUUGAGCUCGUCGAUGGAGAUGAUAUCGUGUUCAAAGUCUCAAUUUUCGGCCCUGCUGGUGCGUACCAGAAUUUAUUUGGGCAAAUCAACUGAAUCUUGAUAUGCAUGGCCAAGCAAUUUUCAAUCUAUGCUACAUCUUUUCAUAGUUAGUCAAUUCAAGAAACUUUCACGCCACUGUCUACUAAAUUCCUCAUCAUUUAAUUGGGAGAAAAGGUUAAUCAACUAAAUCUUGACCCUUAUCCCUACCAGUUUUGGAUCUAAGUGCAACUUGGUCUCCUUGUCAUGCAAUCCCCAUCGAUAUUGACGUCCAAGAACCACAUCUGUCGCUAGACGUUAGACGACGUGGGAACGUUAUUGGAGGGGCUUAUGACAUCUCAAAGUUAGAAAUUGGAUGGGAGAGAGGGACUUCAAGAUAAAUAUCCUUGUCCGAAUGAUCAUCACAUUAUACAGUUACUCAAAGUGUUAUUUUCGAGAGUGGGUCGGAUGGUUAAACCAUUGAACGGUACUACGGACAUCCAAUCAACCGAGUUUUAAAAAAGACAGAAAUUGGAGAAAAGGAAGAUAGUUUUAUUAAAUAAAGAGGCAAAGGUUUCGGAAAAUAGCAAAAAGUGGAUAAAAUAGCUAAAGAAGGUCCUACACACGUUCUCUGCCCUAUCGAACGCCAUUGCUCACCUGCUAGCUACAACGGCUACGCGCUUGCACCCUCUCUCUUGGAAAAAUGGGCUCUUGUGGGCACCACAUGCACCCGAGUCCCCAACUAGCCAGGUUGGAAGAGGAAAAAAUAAACAUAAAUGUUUUGAAAAAGCCUUUUUCUUAAAAAUAAUUGAUUAUAUCUCGAAUAGUCAGUCAAAAAAAUGUUUUUAUUACCAAUAACAAUUUAAUCAUUUUCAUUUAUUCAUUUUUGCAAGUGAUAAAAGCAAUUAUUUAUAGAGAAAUAUUUUUCAAAAUGUCAAUUUUUCACGAAACAAAUGAAUCGGUUUUCAUUAUUUUUAUUUAUUUAUUGCCAUCAAGUUCGUCUCACCAUUGACUAAUAAGUCAUAAUCUUACUUGACUCUAUCCUCUGAAACUUGAAAAAAAUACAAUAUUAAUACCCCAAAACUCCGGCAACUUUUUAGAAGCCCACAAACGAUAAUGUUACGAAAGAAAUUGGUAUAGCCUUUUCAUUUCCAGUUUGUUUCAUCUACAACAUUGCGACACCGAAAUCUACUUCCCGAAGUAAAUUGAGAGAUUCACGUGGUCGCAUUGAUGGCAAGCGUGCAGUGUAUCUGAUCCUUUGCGGUUCUUGAACUGCGACAAUUUGGUAUAGUAGAAUGAGGAAUAUUGUCUCUCUAAUAAACAUGAAGAAAAGCAAACCCAAAUAAUAAUCCAUUCAAACCCUAGAGCACCAGAGCAUGUAAUUAACAAAUUGAAUUCGACACGACUGACUAAUUACCCUUGUUGCCAAACGGAAUAACAAUUUAGAGAAUAGCGGUUAAGCUAUACAACAAUAGGUCACCCAUCAAAUUUUAUGAGGGCAAAGAGUGUCAUUGAAUAGCAAAAGCAAUUACUAAUUUACUAUUUCGUAACAAGACGAGCAUGUCCAUAAUCUGCCAAUGAUUGCUUACCCUUUCAAACAAAAUAAGGUAGGAAAAAAGGACGAAGGAGGCGUGAAGCUUUCUAAGGCUAAUACCAAACAUUAGCCUCAGAAAGCUUCACGCAAAUUAUCCACCCCUUGACGACAACGCAUACAAAUAAUGCAACACACUGCAUGUAAAAAUAAGCUGACUGCAAAUCUGAAAAAAGCAGAGGGUGAGGACGAACUUUGGUAGGAGGGACAUAUCGGAUAUGUUAGACAGUUCAUGAGAACCUCUCAUUUUGCACGCCACAGAUGAUUCUCACGUCCGAUAGAUCCUGAGGGUGAUGAGUGAUCUAAUGAGGCAGGAUCCAGUAAAGCUUCCUCUCGGUGGGAUGGCGACGUCUUCACAGGGGUUGGGAGUGUUGGGCACUGAAUCUUGCUACAGCUCUUCUUUAAACUAUAGGGACUGAUAUAUCGCCACAGCCGACACGCAGCGUAGCAAAAUUGAAUGUCGUAAAAUCCAUGACAAACCUGAGGCCAUAGAAAGCAGCGUUGACUUCAACUCCAACGAAACCAGCCUCUGUGAUUGCAGAAUCAACAACCCUCUCAGGUCCAUACUACUAAAAAGAAAAGAAGCUUUAGACACAUUGAAAGACUCUAGGAUCUGCAAACAUUUCCUCAUCAAACGCAGCAUUCAUGGCCUCUCUCACAAUCAUCUCUUUCCCAUAGUAUCAUAACUACGUAAAGGCAUUUCUGCAGCACAACUCUUCCGUGGCCUUUCUCUUGACAACAUAGCAUCCGAGGGCUUUUCGUAUUAGAAUCGAUAACAUCAUGCGCUCUUGAACUCGAACUUGCUCUCUCUCUCUCUCUCUCUCUCGAACGGGUAUCCUUGGAAACAAAGUCCAGCUUCGUCAUUCCAUCGAACACCUUCCUUGCAAACUCGAUUCCCUCCUCCACAGCACAACCAACGGCAAUUGAAUUUCAGAAGACAGCGAGAGAAUUGGGAGAAAAAACAAGAUCGAAACAGAAAUCAACAGACAAAUCUGGAACGAAUCGAAAUUCAUUCUAGAGUUCAACGGGAGACGACGAAUUUCGUCAUCGCUUCAAUGUUACGAGGAACCGGCUGUCUCUGAAGAUCUCUCGAAGCAAUGAUCGUAAGAGAUUCCAGUUGACAGGCUCACUCCCUCAUGGUUUCGUACAGAGAGAAAGAGAGAGAUUCUUCUCUGAAUUUUAGACACCUCGUUCUUUUCUCCUCUCUCUCUCUUUUAUUUUAUUUGCACUCUUGUUAUUUCUUUUUAUUUUGUUUUGUGUCUUUGAUUUGUAUUUUAUAAAUAAAAAAUAUACAAAUAAAAUUCAGCUUCUUCAAUGAAGGAACUGAAUUUUAAUAUUCUAUCCCCUCUUUUCUUUUAUUUGUAUUUUUGUUAUUUAUUUUUUAUUUUUUACAUCUUUAAUUUGCCGGUUAAACUAACGAUACAGUCAAAAAGUUGAAGCUAUGCUCCAAUACUGGAUGAGCAUCACUCUUUAAUUUGGCCAUAAGCGAAAUCCAUGCAAGUAGCACGUACCAACUAUGCCAAUCCAACAAUGCAUGCUCCUUGGCCAAAGCAUUGGACAUCACCAUAAGAACCACCGGCAUAGUGGUCUAAUCAUCGGGUCUCAAUGUCAGAUUUUCAAAAUAUCUUUCAGUUGGGCCCAAUUUAGGAAAUUUGGAUUUUAGUUAAAGCUGAGAUGGCCCAUAUCCGCUUUUUUUGUAAUUUAGAAAUAAUGUCUUAUUUUCCUUCUCACCAAGCCUCUUUCAUUUUCCCCGAUCUCUCGUUCUCUCUUGUCUCAUGAUCAUCGAGUCGUCCAGUCCCCACCAACCCGCCACCGCGCCACCUUCGAGCCCUGAGCUCUGCUUUCUCUCUCUCAGUCUUUCUUCUCGUGUCUCGCCCACAUGUCAGCGAGUUACAAAGCGAGAGAUGGGACGGACUCACUUUUUUGCUCGUGUCAUGGUCUCCCUCCCGCUCCCCCUCUCUCCAGCAAGUGGCAAAACAGGUUUUUACUAGCCUGUUCUGAUGUCUUCAAGGUUUUUGAAUUUAGGACGUGCUAUUUGAAUUUCUCAUGGAGAGUAAAAGCAAAAAAUAAAAUAAAAUAAACACUUUUUUUUUUAAAUAUCGGGCUGUGCCAGACCCUUGGAUCUGGGCCAUAUGGCAUGGCUUCAGUCCGGGCCAGGUCCUCAGUCACACAUUUUUGGACUGACCCUCGAAAUAAGAAAAAGGUUUCGCUCUGGUCCUUUGGCCACGAGGCCUUUAUUGGCUUCCACAGCUAAUAGGUGGUCCAGCGAAUGACCGCAGAGCCGUUGGAUAUGAUAAGGGACGCUAUUCUUCCAUAUCAGCUAACCUCACAAGUUUUCGGAGAACGGUUUGGUUUCGCCUCUUCUCUUUGUGUUUUUCCCCUUUCUGGGGUUCCUUUUUUCUCUCCCCUUUCUCUCAGCAUUGUGUAAUAUCAGCUCAUGCGAGCGAGCCAAUUGUGAGAAUUGCUUGUAAUUUUCUUGUUUUUCGUUUCUUUUCUUGGCAAAUGGAGCAACACCUAAAACUCCAAUCGCAUUUCAUUAAAUUGGGUAUCAUUCAUCCGGCCAAACCUACAACUUGAGGUGAGUUGUUUUCUUUCGUGACAAAAGCAGGAACACUAGCAUCUUACUAGUCAAAAGUUAAAAAGACUUUUAUCAAGAUACGAUAGUUGGAGCUAUAUAAUUCGUGAUAAAAUAUUGUGCUCUUCUAUUUCCUAUUGAUCGAGUGACAUGCAAAGACUAACAUAAUUUCUAAAAUAAAGGGUUUAUUGUUAUUAGCCCGUGAGAAGACCCAGGAAAAGGGCGAAACAAGAAUUGAAAACGUGUCGAAGAGGACAAAGGAAGAGCAAAUUCUUAUCUGGGUGCGGGGAAUCAUGACCAAAGGGGUUCUCAUCGUUGUCGUUAAUCGUUAAACGUGUCGUUAACGGCUCGAUCUCGGGUGCACGAAUCCGGAUCCAAGGCGAAAAGAGGGAAAGGGCCCCGUCCUGAGGAUGAUCGGGCGCGGGAGGAGGGAGGGAACCCGGUAAAAGCGGUAGGGUGGCGGGGCAGGGGAGUGCACCGGCAGACUACUCCUGUUCAAUUUCGAUUGGGUUUGUGAGGUUAAUAAUAAUUCAGACGCACACUCAUUAAUGCCACAUUCCAAGCCUAAAUGAACUGAAAAGGACGUGCUUCUGGAUGUCCUUAUCCUUUCUCGUUAUGUUGUUCUUCAUUUUGAAUUUGAAAUUAAGUGUCAUGACGUAGUUAAAAUUAUGGGUUUUAUUUUUCCCACGGGGAACACCAAAGAGGUUCAUGAGAAAAUGUAAUGAGAAUCUUCCAAUGGCCUGUGGAAUUGGAAAAAAUGUGAUGAGAUGAUUUGGUUAUCAAACGGUUGGGAUGAAUUCGUAGAGCGUUACUCUAUCUGCGAGGGACAAUUUUUGGUCUUCAAAUCUGAAGUGGACUCCAUUUUCCAUGUAAUCAUAUUUGAUAAAAGCAAGUCCAAGAUAGAAUAUCCACCAACAAAUGCCAAUGGUAGGAACCGACCCUCAGCAGUUGGGCAUUUGUCUGGUUGAAAGUGGAAGAUGCCGACGAUUUCCGUGAUGUUUCGGUCAAGCUUGAAGUCUAGGGGGAUGAAUUGCAUUCACCCAAGUGUCCUCGGCUUUGUAAGGCAAUGGAAUCUGAUCGGGUUUGCGAAGUUCAUGACGGUUCCUAUGCACACUCAUCAGCACAGAGUUUGCGAGGAGACGGAAGUUCGAACUACUUAUCAUGAGAUUUUCAAUCCAUUUGAUUGUGUUCUUGUGUUUGAUUCCAAUUCCGUAUUCCGUAUAGGAACUCUCCAUGUGAUUUGGCUAAGAGAGGGAGCGUUAAAGCUAACUCAUUCUUGUAGGGCCCAUUUGGUUCGGCUUUUGGAGAAUGCAUUUGCCAAAAUGCAAAUACCUUUGGGUGAAUAGGGUUUUCCGAAAUGCAAAUAUCGUUUGAUAAAAUUUGCAUUGAGAUAUAACUUUGGCCAAAAUACCGUUUGGUAAAAUUUGCAUCUGUAAAGGACUUUUAUUAAAUUAAAAAAAACAAAAAAAAAACAUUAGUAUUUUUUUUUUUGAAGUCUGGCCAUCGGAUUGCCGGAUCUGGCGGCCGGAUGGUCGGAUCUAGCGGCACGACCCCAGGCGACCUCAUGUGGCCGCUUGGGUCGCGCGACCCAGGCCAUCAAUCGCCUGGGUCACGCGACCCAGGCGUCGCCUGAGGUCUGGCAACGGUCACCGGGGUCGGGCGACCCUCAGGCGGCAGUCACUAGAGCCUCGUCGGCACGCGUGACCCCUUAGCUGAUGACCCGCCGGCCUCCGAUCAGCUUCUUCCGAUGGUGUGCGGUGGUUUUUGAGAAGAUGAACAAUACUGAACUUGCAUUCCAGAGAUGCAACUUCCCAAAAUACCUCCGGAGCUGCAUUAGACUAAAGGCCUUUAGAGCCACUUGGAGAUGCAAUUGCAUCUCGCCAAAGUCACUCAAAAAAACAAAUCAAACACAUUUGCAUUUGACCAAGGGACUUUAGAGUCCCAAAGGGCUUUCCAAAUGCCCAACCAAACAGGGCCGUAGUGUUUAUCUAUCUCUAGCUUUCCCAUGUGUGCAUAUGUAUGUUUUAGGGGAUCUCAUAAAUGUCAAGCCAAUGGAAACAAGCCGAAUGAGUCAUAUCGGAUUUGAUUGUGCUGAAAUUGACAUUGGUGUGCAUAUAGGCCUCGAAAGCUAGACUAUUAGAAAGACCCAGAUCCAUCAAAUUGGGGUUGAUGUGUCCGGAGAUAUGAAUUUCACAUAAUAAGAAUAGCAUAUGCCUAAGCUUUCUUCAUGUUCUAAUUUGUGACUGUUGCAGAUAAACUGAAACAACUGGGUUUGCGCAGAGUUGUCAAAUCAGCCAGCAAAAUUAAACCCGACCACAUUGCGGUGAGGUGAAUAUAUCUAAAGAAAAGCAAUGUGGUAUGAUCCUCAUGACAAUGACAACACUUGAAUUUAAAUCACAGAGUUGCUAGACUAUAUUAGCUCUAGAUUGAUUGUGCAUCAGGUCAUUAAUUUCUGUUUUUAUCCUUGACAUGCUUUGAAAAGGAUCCUCGUACUGUCUUGGUCAGAAAUCGUUGGUUGUCUUCUUCUUUCUGAUGACAAAACUGCAGAAAGUGCACUUGAGUAAAGAGUUCCCGGCCCAUUCCCAAAGAUGCACUUCAAGAAAAGCCUGUGGACUGUGGCUCUCAUAUAUCAGGACAAAUCAUGGCCGGUGAAGCGCAUUAGCCACGAACAUUAUGGAAAGUUAUCUGUUGGUUGGGCUACUUUCUCGAGAGAAACUUCUCUGAAGGAGGGAGGCUUGUGCAUGUUCAAGCUCUAUUAGAAGGGGCAACGUCGUGUUCAGAGUAUACAUCUUCAAGACCACUAGCCAGAGGUAGGUGAAAAAUCCUAUGCAAUAGGACACGGCAAAGGAAGCAUCACUUUAGCUCAGAAUUGCUUGGCUAAAAUCUGCUUCAAAUUUGACAAAUCAGAAAAAAGCAUGAGUUUUAUUCUAAUGAAUGGAAAGAUACCUUUAAUCGAUCCUAGUGUUACAGUCACCACGUGGGGAUGACCGAAUGAGUCAUGAGUCAUGAGACGGAGGAAGCUGAUUGCUUCUAGUACAAGUCACACAGCCUCAUUUCCUUACUCCUCCCAUAGUAGAUUUUCGUCGUCAUCGAACCACUCUCUAUAUUUCAAAACCCAAAAGGAAAUUUAUAUUCAUUUAAGCAAAGAGAGACAAUAAAACGAUGUAAAAGCCGUCCUUCAAGUCUAUAUUAAUCAAAAUAUCCAAUGCUCUCUAGUGAUUAAUACAUAGAUUCUAAUUAUAAUCGGACAUCUACCGAGCACAACCGAAAAAGAGUUCUAUAAGCUAGCAAUGACCUAAAAAAUAGUUCCACAAGAGGGCUCAACCUCCUCGACUUAUUAAAUGAAUCACGAGGCAAGGAAAAGAGAACUUGGGCAAUUAAUGGCAUUAAACGCAAUUAAUGCGAAUCAUGCAGAAAUUAUUAGAAGUAUAGUGAGUUGGGGCUUAGAUGGUGUUCCUUACUCAUGUCAAUUGGCAAUGAUAAAGAAAAGUAACUAACUUGUGUGAAAGUUAUCAAUCAUUUAAAAAUUUAGUGUCACUUUAAAACUUACAAAAUUUAUUAAUCAGAUAAAAAAAUUAAAAAAAAAAUGUACGAUUACAAAUUACUUUCAAUCUGCAGAGCGUUACUUACAAAUUUGAAAAACUCUUUUAUGCAUGUGACACUCCAAAUUCCAUAUGGAUUGGAAGAGGGAUAAUUGACCAAUAGAUAAGUGUGAACACAAACCACCACCGCUAGAUAUUCACCUCCUGAAAAACUUAUUUAGGGGCUUAGAUCAUAACAAAUCGGAUUGUUAAUAUUAGAAAAUUCCAUGCCUAACUUAUAGCUCGAACUUGCACAUUAAUUAAAGAUAUUUAACUUGGUAUUUGGCUCAAAUAAAAGUUGUACUCUACAAUGCUAACCUAAGAAAAGUAUAUAAUUCUCUCAAAUUAAGAUAGGUAAUUUCGCACAAAAAGUGUUAAGCGUGAUUGUGGUUGGUGGAGGAGAAAUACCUAUGUAGAUAAACCAAGAAAGCGAAUCUUUUUAAUACGAAAGUAAGUUAUACUAGCCAUUUAGCUUAAUUCUCCAAAAAAGUAUCAACUUUAUCUGGAGUAUUAAUUCAGGCAUAACCUUUUUUUUGUAACAAAAAAUCAUCAACUUCCAUGCCUAAAUCUGACUCCGAUUAGCUUUCCAUCAACUAAUGGUGUUAAAUGUUUGAUGCAUCAAUUUCACGUCAUUAUCUUUUUCCAAGUCAGAAUUCAUAUAUAUAUGCUGUCUUCUUUUUUCUUUAUUUCUUUUUUCCAUUUCCCUUUUUCUUUCUUCUUCUUCUUCCUUUCACUGGACGAUAACCUGACCACCGUGAGUCAGCCGUACGAUCCAAUCAACGGCCCAGCCCUCCGUCCACCACCACCUCGCCACCUUCCACAACCCCAGCCGUAUUCCUGUUUUUCCCAGCCUCUCGCCACAUAUCUCCACCACCACCGCCUCUACUCUUGGCCGAUGACCCCUGGCUUCCGAUGUCCAGUAGCCUGGCCGUGGCUUGUCCUCGCUGUCGUCGAGCUCGAGCUCGGCCGGCGCUCUCGAGCCUCAAAUUUUGGAUCUAAGCUCAAGCGAGCCCUAGAUUCGAGAUAGGGGGUCAGCUGGACCUCGGACUUGGGUUGAUUAAGGUCGAGCGGGGUCGACGGCAAUCACAACUAGAUUUUUGGAGGUUAAUAUCCGUUCGUCCAUGGCUUUUCAAUCCAAGUCUGUGCAUGUUGAUUAAUUGAAAAUGAGUGAAUCAGCAGAAAGUUUAGAUUUUUUUUGUUCAGAAUAAGAUCACGACCAGUUUCAUUUAAAAUAUAUGCAAUAAAAUAAAAUAAAAUAAAAUAAAAUAAAAUAAAAUGCAAUGACAGAAGAGAAGCAUUGUACAGUUAGUCACUUUGCCUUCAAGAAGCUGAAAAAAAAAGUUGGAAAUGGGCUCUGGAAUACAGAUUUAGCUCAUUCCACUGAAGAGUACAAAGAAAUGUGUGCAGAUGGAGUAGAAGGUCGCCGAGGUAGGAGGUCUGGAUGCUGGGGUUCCAUCCACGGUUGCCGCCGACAAAUGUGGUCGGUGACGGUGGCAGAGGCCGGAGACACUAUGGCGGCUGCAAGGAGGAAGUGGAGGAUGACAGGGUGGGAUGAUGGUGGCCAUGGACGGACAACCUUUAGGUAGCGAAAGGAAGAAGGAAGAUUAUAAAAAGAAUAAGAAAAGGAAAAGCUACAUAUAAUUCUGAUUUGGGAAAAAAGAAUGAGUGGAAUUGACAAAUGAGACGUUUGAGGUUGAUGAUGCUCUUUGGACGGACAAAAAGUUAACAGAGGUCAGAUUUGGAUAUGAAGUCAAAGUUGGUGAUUGUUUAUGAGAUACUAAAGAAAAAAUAUUUGGGGCCAGAAUUGAGAUUUGAACCUAAAUUGGUGCAAUUUUGAGGAAUUAAGCCCUUGCUAUUUUUUUUUUUUUGGACAAUAAGCCCUUGCUAUUUAGAAUCAUCGUUUUCGACUAUGUUUUAAAAAUGGUAGUGUCUAUAACAUGAUAACAACAUGAACAGUAAUAAGCAAGAGAAUGAAUUAGGGCAUAUUUAUUUUCGCGGCAGAAAAUGCUGCAGGCAGAGUCUUUCUAUUGAAGAGAUGAUCCUGCCCCCACGGACGAGGACACUUAACACCUACAAAACACAAACGGGGCGAGGGAGUUUCUAUUGGUGGGUUCCAUCAUCAUUAUAUUUAUCUAUGUGAUGUAGAUGUUUCCGUAAUGGGUUCUCCAUUCUUUUCAUUUUCUUGAGUUUAAGCUUCCAUCACUUAUCUGAAAAUGGAGAAGCUGGACUCAAAAAAAUUUUGAACUACUACCAAAUAAAAAAUUGUUGGAUGAUAAUUAAUAAUGUUUCAUUACUUUAAUAGUUUUGAUGGCUUAAAUCUAUUACCAAAAAAGUCAUAAACUUAUUUUUUUGACUAAUUGAGUCCUAAACCUUUUACAAUUAUUUCCGAUCAGUCCAUUCGGUCAAAAUUGGGUAGUCGGCACUGAUGUGGCUGUGACACCCCUCGACGGCCCCCGAUCCGAUUAGGGUCGUCACAGUUCGCUUACCAUUCACUUUCCUUAUUAACAUAUCACUCUGAUACCAUUUCAAUUGUAGCGGGUCCAUACAACCGUGGGGGUUUACACACAUUUUUUUUUUUGAUAGGUCCCUUGCGCAAUUCAUAUACGGAAGCACAUCUAGCAAACUCCCUUCCUUAUAUUUAGAAAACUAUGCACACCUACUAAACAUCUUAUAUAAGUUAAAGCCGUACACUUUUAUUUACAUAAAGCAGAUGGACAUCUUUAGUCGGUACAUCAAAAUGCCGUAGUUUUCUAUACUCGGCUACACUUCAAAAGAUGACCGACAUCUCCUCCCACAAUCGCAUGCUUAAGGUCCAUCAUCCAGUGUCGGCGUCCAAAGGUUCCCUCCUUUGCUAUCCUUCUCCUCGCGGUCAUAUCCAACCGCUCAAACCAUCUACUAAUCUGAAAUGUUGGUCCCCAAAAGGGGUGAGUACUACCACUCAGCAGAUAAGGAAUCCAAUAACAACUCAAUGCAUCAUGCAAAUCAUACAUGCAUUGCAGGCGUAACUUACCUUGCAGCCAUGCGUAAUACUAUCAUGCAUCAUCAUGCCUUAUCAUCAUGCAUAUCAUAUCAUCAUAUGUCAUCAUCAUAAUCAUCAUCAUGGCAUCAUUAUAUCAUACAUGUCAUCCUUAUCAUGACAUCAUCACAUCACAUAUUAUCAUCAUCAUCAUGCAUAUCAUCAUGCANNNNNNNNNNNNNNNNNNNNNNNNNNNNNNNNNNNNNNNNNNNNNNNNNNNNNNNNNNNNNNNNNNNNNNNNNNNNNNNNNNNNNNNNNNNNNNNNNNNNCAUCACAUAUCAUCACCAUCAUCAUGCAUAUCAUCAUGCAUAUCAUACCAUGGGUGAUCAUUAUAUCACAUCACAUAUCAUCACCAUCAUCAUGCAUAUCAUCAUGCAUAUCAUACCAUGGUUUAAUUUUCAUCUUUAUCUUUCAAUUUUGAUCACCACAUCACCCAUUCAUCAAUCUCAUCAUCAAUUUCAUCCCAUAUUUUACCCUCGCAUCCCAUGCGAGAAAAACCUCCGGGCAUGUAUCCAAGAUACAACCGGGCAUCCGGCCCCCCACAUUCCGGGCAUCUCGCAUCCCAACUAGCAUCACGAGGAACCUCCAGGCAUGUAUCCAAGAUACAACCGGACAUCUGGCCUUUACCCUUCUAGCCAGGCAUCCCGCACCCCAAUCCUGGUGUCGCGAGGAACCUCCGGGCAUGUAUCCAAGAUACAACCGGACUUCCGGCCCCCCACAUUCCAUGCAUCCUGAAUCUCCCAGGGAAUCUCUGGAAUUACGCCACCAGGCCACCAGACAUCAUCAUCCACCACAACCACAUCCUCAUUUACCAUCAUCCACAUAUACCAUUUCUUUAUCUCAAUUUAACAUGGCAAUUGGCAUGGUAUCAAACAAAUCACACUUGACAUGGAAUUCACACUUGCAUCUCAAUUCAUAUGUCAUACACAUGCCAAAACUUUAUCCCAUACACAUCUCAAUUCAAUACAUGUACAAGGACCAUGUCAUACGCAUACCAAGACUUUAUUACAUAUACAUCUCAAUCCAAUACAUGUGCAAAGACCUCAUCACACAUAUGCCACACAAAUAGAAUUGAAUCCAUGGCCAAAUAAAAAUCCAUUUUAUUUUAUUAUUAUUUUAUUUAUUUAUUUUCAUAAAUAAAUAUUAAAUUUAAUAUCUAUGAUUUUCCCAAAAUCAUAGUAUUCAAACAAUCACUAAACAAAUCAAUAGGAUCACAAUUUCAUACAAAAUUCAUAGCCAAAUUGAAUUUCUCAUAAUUUCACAAUUUCCACAAAAUAGCACAUGAUAUUCGGAUAAUGACCAGAAUUGCACAGUUUUCAAAUAAAUUAGAUUAAAAUACUCAUAUGGCCUUCAAAAAUUACGAAAUUUUACAGGGUGAUAGCCAAGACAUUUUCGUGCAACUUUCAUGAAGAACUCUAAGUCAGAUUAUUUUUAUAUUAAUUUAUACAUCCUCACGAAACUUCUGGAACCACUACCGCAUCGUCCAGAAUACACAUCUCCGAAAUAUUAAGGUUUCACCCAUCUAUUCUCUUUCUUUUCCUCUGAAAUUUGAGUAUGUUAUGUAUCAAGGUGUCCUUUACAAGUUUCAUGAAGAGAUCUAGGUCACAUAACCAAAUUAUGGUCACCAUUUAAGUCCAUCAAGUCUCGGGUGUCUCGGAACACAUCACCAGAAUCAUCGUCUCCAAGAUCUAGCCGAUUCACCAAGCUAUACUUGUUCUUUUUGCUUCAAAUUUGAGUAUGUUGUAUUUUAAGGUGUUACCUUCAACUUUCAAGAAGACAACAAAGUGAGAUCUCCAACAGAAAUCAACAUGCAAAUCAAGAAAUCAACAAGAGGUCAGUGAAAAUUUCGCAGAUCUAAAGUCUCCGUACAAUAUAACUUUUGACCCCUCAAAUAUCCAUCGUUUUCUACGAAUUUUUAGUAUGUCAUAGUACAAGACGUUAGCUUCAACUCUCAUGAAGACACCGAAGCCAAAAUCGAACCCCAAACUCACAUGAAACUCGAACAAGCUACUGACUUCAACAAACCGAACAAGAACAGUCACACGGUUUACAAAUAACCAACUCUUACCUCGGUUUUUCGCACAAAUCACACCUAAAAUCUAACAUGCAACCACCACAACAAACAUGCAAGAGAAGUUACGGACUCCACUUGCCUUAAAGGUGAACAAGCAACGACGAACGGCGACGGGACACGGCGAUCGGACGGCGAACGGACGGCACACCCCUCCGGCUCCGCCUCCUCUCCUCUCGGUUUCUCCCUUUCUCUCAAGCUCUCUCUCUCGCACACCCUCUCUUUGGACGAAAAGCAAAGAACCGGCCAUCUCUCUCUCCUCAUCCCUUUUAUAUCCCCUUAAUCCCAUGAUUAGCAAUGAUUACUUUGCCUACAAACCCACCAAUGCAUGCCAUUCCUUCAUGCCACUUGUCACACUAAUUUUGAAUUGAUUUGGGCUUGGGCUUAGGCCCAUCCGGCCACUCCCUUGGGCUGGUCGAAAUCCUCCUCUUCUUGGGCUCUAAUGGGCCGACAAGCUUGGCCCACCAAGCUUUAGGCUAAUGGGUCCAAGGCCCAUUCCAAUUUAACCUAUUUUUCCCUUCUUUUUUUUUUUUUGAAUUCCUUUCUAUAAAUAUUUCCAAAUUCAAAUUUCAUCUUGGCCAAAGUCUUGGGACACUUUGUUUAUUAAGAUUUAAAUUUAAAAUCUCAUGGCCAAUUAUUAAUCUAUAAAUUUAAAUACACAAAUCAUCAAAUUAAAAGUCAAAUUGGCUAAGGCAUAAGCCAAAAGAAAUUCUAUCACCUAAUUAGGAACUUCAACUCACCUUAUGGCUUGUCAUUAAAUUUGGGAUGCCACAGUGGCAGCCGGUCAGCGCUAAGUCUGGUGAGGGGAGCCCUGCCGGAUCUGGUGAGGGAGGCUCGUCGUCGCAUUUGGCGAGGCCCUCCUCACCGGAUCUGGCGAGGUCUCGCCUCGCCCGACGACCGUGAGGCAAGCCCUCACCAAAUCCGGUGAGGGGGCUUGCCCUCGCCAGAUCCGACGGGGGCUUGCCCUACCGUCGCUAGGCGUGAGCUUGCUGACUAGCAAGGCAAGCUCGCCGGAUUGCCUUAGUCUAGUGACCAGCCAACUUGGCCAAUCACUAGAGCCAAAGGAAGGAGGAGGGAGGAGGGAGGAAGAGGGAGAAGGGGAAAAAAAAAACAAAAGAGGAAAAAGGAAAAAGAAAAGAUAAAAAAUUAAUAAAAUAUUUCAAAAAAAAAAAUAUUAUUAAGAAAAGCUCGCUGGCAUUGGCCAAUCAAUUUUAGCAGGAUGGACUAAUCGGAAUAAUUGUAAAAGGUUUAAAACUCAAUUGGUCAAAAAAAUAAGUUAUGACUAAACUAGCACAAUUGCAAUAGGUUUAUGACUUUUUUUAGUAAUUUUCCUCUUAUUUAUCAUAAAUUCUAUUUCUUUGCAAUCAAGAUUAUCUGCGAAGAAUGAUGGAUUGAUGAGAUUUGUGGUUAUGAAGGGUAUUCGCCUACAAAAUUUCUUUCCUUGAACUAAAAGGAGGGUCUGAUCCCUCCGUGCAUAGAGAAAGGUAGAUUUGUGCCCUUGAAUCCAGCGAGGCUUAGUUUUGCUUAUCAUUUUUGUAAAUCCAAUGAGAUUUUGUUAUAUAUAUGGGGUUGCAGAGGAGGUGAUUGAAUAUAUGCAUGAUCAAGUGGCAUAGAUCAUUGUUUACUUAUUUAUCCAUAAAAUCUCACACACACUAAUCGUUUAUCGAACAACAUGCAUGGCAGACUAGAUCAGGCUUUCUGUUGCAUAAUUAUUUCCUAAUUCUCUCCGCUUGACUUUAGACCUAGCAGGAGGGCUUGAGAGAAUGUGAGUGUAUUCAUGCUUAUAAUCAAGUUUACUUAACACGAAUUCAUUGGCUUGAUGGGAUUAUUUGUAUAAGUGUAGUUACUUUAUGGAGAAGCUUGAGUUAUAUAUUAGAGAAGUAUCCGCAUUGUCUACGUGAAAAAUUUUCGAGGCUCCUUCCGUCGUAGCACUAAAUAUCUAAAGUCCAUAUGAAAACAGAAAUCUACUAUAGAAAAAGAUAUCUGCCUCUUUCUACUAGGCUUAAGCUCGUGUCCGGUUUCAUACAUCGGUCCAAAGCCCAAGCACCAAAUGGGUCCGUAGGGUCUAGCCCUCAACAUAAGCUAAGGUGAGCUCGUUCCUAAAACAUCCUAUCUUCUGGUCAUUAUUUGACGAUUUAAAGCCCAAAGGAGCAAUUAAUCCAAAAGGAAGACUUUCCCUGCUUGAGGAGCGAAGCUUCCCGCAUCUCGUAUGCUCUGAAUUUGAUUAUGCUUAUCAUUGUUUGUUGGGUGUAAAAUUUCCUUUCCAGAAAUUAUACUUUACGACACAAAUUAUUAUGCACCAACUCCACGUACAGAAUCAAUUGGAGAAUACAUAUCUACAAAAUUAUACAAUAACAGCUUUUCUCUAAGAUUGAAACACAACACUCUAAUAGCUAGAAAGGACUUCUCCUUGUUUCAAGAAUUAGAUUUGCAACGUUCUCUAGAAAAAAAUACAUAAAUAAUGUGGCCACGUAGGCUCCACCUGAGCUGAUAUUAUGCACUACUGACUAAAUAGAUUACUCAAAUGAGAAUAUUUUUACAUGCACUAAUUCCAAAAAAUCUUGACUAGACCUUAGAAUUUAGAUUGAGGGCAUGUAAAUCGCAAAAUAUGAUGAGUAUUAUAGGAUCAACGGCUGUGAUUCAUCUGAUGAGUCCGUGUAAGUAUUUGUCAUUCCAAGCAGGGAGGACGGACAAUAUUGUGAUCUUACAUGGGGAUUCUGGAAAAGGAAAAAGCGACACGACUGCAUUUUCAAAAAGCAAGAGAGGCUAAGGAUAACUAAGGAUGAAAGUAAAGUAGUGGGGACCAUAACUAUUUGGCAUUGCCUCAAAAAGGUCAAGAGAUCCAUCAAUUAGAUUGGGUUUUGGUGGAUUAUGAGUUGAUUCUAGUGCUUUGAAGCAGUGUGAAUUGGAUUCCAAAUAGAAAGCAAAAGAGGUGGAAAAAAGCAUACGUUGGUUAAAUUGAACAUCGACACCUCAUUCCAUCACUCAUCACUUUUGGAACUUGUGCCUAUGUAAGCUAUUUUGCUUUUUCUUAAAGUAUUAGACACAACAUGACCGCUUUAGCGUCCACAUUGGAACUAGCCAUCUUCUUUAAGAUUAGGAUAUCCAUUAAAAAUGACCAUGAACCUACUUUAAAGAUUCACCCACAUAAAGUCACAAUCCCUUUAUCAACUAAAAUUAAUUUUUUGAAAUUCUUUACCAUGGAGACUACGGGAGUCCGGAGCAAAAGUAAGUGACAAUGGAUGUCGACAUCGAACUUUUUCUAGUGGAAAAUAAAGCAUGCUUUUUUCUUUAUUUUUUGGGUACAGUAUUGCCGAAGGGAUAAGGCAGGUUCGUCAAAUGUAUGGCGCUUGGUCAAUUAGCUAUCCCAAGGUGGAUGUCUCCGUCGCUAAGAUUUGCAAAGCCUCAUUGAUAAUGACUCAAAUGGGCAUAGCUAAGACAGUGAACAGUCGAAAAUUAUUUGGUUACCCACGAACUUUUUAGAUGGUUGUACAAUUCCAUAUUAAAAUUAGAGUGUAAAUGUGACUUCUAUUGGUAAGGUAAGGUUUUAAAGAUUAUGGCAUUUUCACUUAAAUAAGUAUGAAAGCAGAGUACGAAGAUAAAGAGGAUGUUUCAUCUUUCAAUUGAAAAUUAAAACUGUCCAAGCACUAGAAAUCUGACCUUCAACAAGUCAGAGUACCACGGCUGGAAACAACUUAAUCCAGAAAUCGCGCAUCAUGGGGACCUCCAAAAGAAGGAAAAAAAGCACGUUAGAAACAAUUGGUGAAAGCGAAUGAUGAACCGACCGAACAACCUCUACAUAUAUGCAUAUAUUUCCAAAGAAUAACCCCGCAUGAAACAAGAAUCAUUUUCCCAGCUAGAACUAGGGAUGGCAAACAAAUAGAGAAGAUUGUGGAGCAGAUAAGAAAGCUCACAAUGAUUUUUCUUUAUGUGAGGAUUGUAGAAUCGAUAUUUCAUGGGAUUUUAAAUAGACGUGUCUACACGUGCAUACCCCUAAAUUACCAACAAAAAAAAAUGCUUACUUUAGGAAAAUGCUAACUAAAUUUGGUAACUUUUUUAUAUACACUUAUUCCUCAGAAACUAGUAGCUAUUAUGCAAAAGGUCCAUAUGACCUUAAUUUCAAAGAGAAUGUCCCACAUGACUUUAAUUAGUCAUAACAAUUUUCUUUUGUUAAUUAUUAGUCAUAAUUUUUUUCAUGUAGUCAUAAUAAAUAUAAGGAUUUAUGAAUAACAUGACAUCAUAAUUUAACAAUUAUGCUUGGCAAACGAGGUUAAACGACUUCAAUUUUUACUUAUGAAGUGAAUUUCUUCUUCUUUUCUCACUUAUAGGGAUGAUUAUGAGGGGCUCUCUUUCAACAAAUCUGUGAAAAAUUGAAGGACGAUUCAUGAAAAGUCAAAACUUAUUUUCAACUAAUGCUCAACAUUAGCUGGGUAGAGGGCUCCAAGUUGGCUCAAGUUAUAUAUGUCAAUAAAUAGAAUCUCAUCAAAAAUUGCCAUUCAAUAUAUAAAUCAAUAACACGGCCAUUUUACAUUUUAGAGCUAUUUCGAUUUGCAUACCAAUUCAAAAGUAAAACCUCAAUUUUUUUCCCAUUCAAUUAGCUUGAUUAUAAUGUUACUUCUCUAUUUUUUAAUAUGAUUUCAUGCCAACACGAGGAGUGGGCUUAGGAAUAGUACCUAAUCAAUCUCUUUGCCUUCUUUGUCCCUAAUCAUUCUUGCUUUGUUUCGCUCUUCCGUUAUUCUCUCUGUCUCUUUGUUUUUGUUUUUGUUUUUUUUUUUUUCUGGGUUCUUCUCCACUAAAAAAGAAAAUCAAAAAGAAAAAUGUAAAAUCGAUGAUACUGUUGAGGAAAAUGGGAAACAUCACAUUAAAUUCAUCUCAAGAAGUAAAAUUAUUGAUAUAAAGGUCUAAUUUGUGGUUAAAGAGCAAGAGCAAAAAAAAAAAAACACAUUAGAAAAAUCUCAUUUAUAUCAUCAUAGUAGGAGGUCCUUAGCAAGACCUUAAAAGGCUAUGACAUUCGGGAAAGACUGCAUAGAAGCGGGGAUCUAGGCCUCGAAAAACAUUCUAGCCCCAUUGCCAGACCCGGCCAUAACCCCUAUGGGGGUAGGGCUGGCAACUCUGAUCCCCGCGAUGCCUUCCCCUCUGAAACACGGAGGCAUGGUAUAGGGAAAUGAGGGGUCUCCCCUGAAAGGGGGAGGCGCCGGCCGGAAACAUCUCCCCUUUUCGGAGGGAGACCCAUCAUUUUCCUGCACCACGCCCCCAUGUUUCAAGGGGAAGGCGUCGCAGGAAUCAGGGCUGCCAGCCCACUCCCGAAGGGGUUGUAGCUGGGUCUGGCAAUGGGGCAAGUAUAUUUAUCAAGGCCUUGAUUCCAGCCUCUAUCCAGUCUUUUCUGGAUGUUAUAGCCUUUUAAAGUCUUGCUAAGGACCUAUGAGCAAGAGCAAAAAAAAAACAUUAGAAAAAUCUCAUUUAUAUCAUCAAAUGAUAAUUUUUUGAUGAUGUUCUACUUGGAAUAUGAGUGCAUCAACCUCGAACAAUCCACGUCUCUGCUGGCUCCAUCAAUUUGUCUUCUUGACUCCUUUGAAGUCAUGAUGUUGUUUUUUCUUGGAUUGCUACAAAAUUUAACAGUUAAUACUUUUGACAUUUCACACAUAAUCAAUGAUGAUAUGGACAUCCAUCUUCAAUCUUCCAUUGCUGCUUUAUUGCACCGAAAGGUGAAAUUCCCAAGACUAAAAGAGAGAGAUUCCUCUGGUGGGCCUUCCGUUCCACCGAAACCCUUGAAAAAUAGUCAGGAGGAUCUUCUAAAGUCGUUGUGAUGAUUUGGUGUAUACAUGCAUAUUCACACACAUUGCGCGAGGCUAUUCCCGCUCCCAAUUUAGCUUAAAAUCACGUCCUUUUAAGAAAAUUCAAUUAUUGAUAGACCUGCCUUUUAUUUAAAAAUAAACAAAUAUGCCUCUUCCAAUUUCUCUCUCAUCGAUUGUCUGGUCUAUUUUCUUAUUUACUACAGACAGUUGAUAAGAGUUUAUGGUUUCAAUCUUGUCAUCUACUCCUUUGAUUUCAAAGUUUUUUUCAUGUAAGAAUUUACCUAAAAAACGUCUUCAACCUAUGAAUCAUGCAAAAAAAAAAAAAAAAAGAGGCUGAUUUAUUUAAAAGAUUGGAGCAUAAGCACGUUUCGAAAUAUCAAAUUACACGUAUGCUUUCAUCGAGCUUUAGCCAUAAUUUUUUCAAUUUAUUAUGACCAAAUCUUCAAUUCUUCGAUCUAUCAUGUUCAAACUUUCAUUAUUUUGUAGAAGAGAAUAUUUCAACAAGUUAAUUUGGUAUAUUUUAUUUACGAACUUAUAAGUUAGUGACUAAUUGGUCAUAGACAAGGAUUUUGAGACAUUUAAAGUUAUUUUUCUUAUUGAUAAUUGGUUUUUCUGAAUUUAUCAUGCUAGUAAAUUUGGGAGAUCAUUGAGUGAGAGUUUCAUUUUGAGCAAUCUCAAUUUUUUUCACACUGCAUCUCUAGAGUUAUUUCAAAGUGGUGGUGCGGCCGUUUGAUAUGAAGAGAUUCAUGGAAAGGUCCCAAGCUUAAUUCAUUAGGAGCAUGUUUUCAAAUUGAAAAGCUUGCCUCGUAUUUUUAGUUUGUUUUUGAGUUUUGAUUUUGUUUGCUUUAUUCCUUAUACCUGUAGCUAGGACUUGAGAUUAUAUUACAUACCCCAUGAAUAGUUCAAGAGCAUAAAUUUUGAUAGUUUAAGAUUGAUGUCUUUCAGAUUUUGCACCGUAUUAUAUAGUUAAGGUUGCUGAUUAUAAUUCUUGAAACUAACAAAUUGUCGAGUGCUGUGAAAUAUACAUACAUACAUAUAUAUAUAUAUGUAUUGUGUGUUCUCUCAUUCUGUGUACUUGUAUUAUGGUCUUUCAUAUCCAUACGUUGCUUGUUAAAAUAUGCAUGCGGGCAAACAAUUCUCUUUACAUUCUUCAAGGAAUAUAUUCAGGGAAUAAUCAAAUCACAACUCUUAGACAUUUAGACAAAUUGUGCAUAGUGAAGUUGAAGAUCCAUCACAUCUUGUUGAAAAAUGAUGACUAAAUUACAUUUACCUUGUUCCUUGCCAAGAUCGAAUUGCAAUCACAAGAAUUUGGUGGUGUUACUUGUAGUUUGAUAAGCCAUGUUUUUGCUCACAUUGUGUUGUUUUUAAUUGGUAGUUAAAUCACGUCUUUUACAAAUGACAAGUAAUUGAAAUUAUGAGUUCCUACGAAUGAUAAGCAUUACGUGACGAAUGAUUUGAUGAUAGCAUUCGGGGCUCUUAGGUUAAACUUUUGUUUUCUAUUACAAUUUGAUUAAAAUUAUUAUUUUAAAGAAAGCAGCCAUGGAUUCUUACUGGAAUCCCAAUCCCCAUGAUUGAACCAUGCAGUCAAAAAUGGGGUCCAUAUGCCAUUAGAAGAAAGCUAUGCACGUUGCUCAUGCUUGCCUGUGGUCAUUCACUCGUGAAAGGGUUAAUAGUAAGAGAGUGAAUAAAACAGCCAAGAAUUUGCAAUAAUUUGACUAGACAUAAAAUAGUGGGAUGUCCUAUCUCCCCCUUGAGUCUACCUUAGUAUUAAUAUUACAAAAGCAUUGAUUAUUCGUCAAUGGCUUAGUAUAAGGAGCAUCAAACUCCCAAAACUUUUCUUACAAAUCUUAGUUAUUAUUAUUAUUAUUUUUUAAAUCAUAACAUUCAAAUAAUUGAAAAAAAAAAGUUAUGACACUCAAGUUUAUGUUUUUUAGAAGCCAUGGUACUCAAAUAAUUGAAAAAAAAAUGUGACCACUUUACAAAAGUCAUGACACUUCCGGUGUUUUUUAGCUAUUCUUUUUAGGAUUUUCGUCCUAUCGUUUUCUCAAUCUUUCUUUCUCAAAAGAAAAACAUUAACAGAUGCUGCCAUCGAGAAAAAUUCGAAAAAUCACAUUAAACUCAUAUCAAGAAGUAAUUGUUGAUUAAAGGGUCUAAGUUAUGGUUAAAAGAGCAAGGACAAAAGACAUUAGAAAAUUUCCAACCAUAUCAUCAUAUGGUAAUUUUUUACAACGUUCUACUUGGACUAUGAGUGCAUCAACCACGGACUAUCCACUUCUCUAGUGGCUCCAUCAAUUAAUCUUUCGACUCCUCUCUAAAGGGAAAGCCAUGAUGGCUUUUUCUUGGAAUGCUACAAAAUUUAAUUGUAAAUACUUUUUGGCCUUCGACGCAUAAUCAAUGAUGAUAUUGAUAUGCAUCUCCUAUCUUCCGCUGACAAUUGCUUCCUUGAACCGAAAGGUAAAAUUAUCAAGACUAAAGCAACAAGAUUCCUCUGGUUGACAAAUAGCUGUUGGGAUGAUUGGUGUGCACACACAUAUUUGGUGGAGCUAAUUAUGCACCCAUUUUACACGUGAUACUUUGCUAGGGUCAUUCCAAAUUUGUCUCUACGUAAUAUUUCCUUAAGAGAACCCAAGGACAAAAUGCUAGAAUAGCCAACCUCUUAUAUUUCCCCUUAUUUCACAUUUUUAGCUUGCCAUCACCUUUCUUUUGUCUCCUUAAUUUUUCCGUUUUCACAUGUAGUAUCUCUCUGUUGGAAAGAGCUUUGAAUUUGAUUAUGCUUGUCACUGUGUAUUUUGGGUGUAAAAUUUCUUUUUUGAGAAAUUAUACUUUUGAUACAAAAUUAUUCACUAAUUCACGUACAAAAUAAACAUGAGAGUCGAUAUCUAUAUAAUUAUGCAAUAACAGUCUCUUCUCUAUGCCCUGCCUCUAAGGUUGACACAUAGAAUUCUAAAUAGCUAGAAAAGACUUCUCCUUAUUUUAAGAACUGGAUUCUCAACGUUCUCCAUUAAAAAAAUGUGCCCACUUAGACUCCACCUAGGCUAAUAUUUUGCAUUACUAACUAGAUAGAUUAUUCAUAUAUCAUGAUGUACUUAUAGGCACUAAUUCCUUAUUAGCUACGUGAGUUAUACUCAAUCUAAUUACAAGGAGAUUGUCUCUCAUGACUUUAAAUUGUUUCUAUUUAGUCAAAAUGUUUUCAAACGGUCAUAAUUCAUAUAUGGGAUUAGGGGUAAAUUGACAUAUCCAACACAACAAUUUUUUAUGGGCAAGUUUGUCAUGUGAAACUAAUUAAGAGAAUUUCAACCAGCUUAAUAUUCAAAACAGAUCAGAGACCAAUAUUAUGCCUAUCUAUCAUAUGUCACUAUUAUUUUUAACGUUAUACUUAGCAUCUCUAUCUUGCACUUAUUGAAUAUUACUAUAUGAUAAUUUUAUGCUAACUUUGUCAUUUUCUUAAGAAAGGGUUCGGAAUAGAAAAUACACUACUCUUUACUAUAUAAAUUAUGCUUACAUAGCCCCAGAAUUGGAGCAAUUGGUUGGGUCAUUAGGGAUUUCCAACUUAGGAACUAGGGAUCGCUAGUUCGAAUCCCACAAACUACAUGCAAACUACUUUGGGUUGUAGUCACCUAAAUAGACCAAAGAUUUGAGUUUAACCGGUUCAUGGAAUUGGCAUGAUAUUUCAUGAGCUUCUAGGUAAAUGGCUCUCCACACUCCUACCCCUAUAUUACACACGCGUGUGCACACACAGAUUCACUUUAGGAGAAUGCUAACUUUACAUGGUAUGGCACUUACUUUAGGAGAAUGCUAAUUUUACAUGGGAUUUUUUAUAUGCACUUAUUCCUCAUAAACUAGGUAAUCAUUAUGCAUAAGAUCUAUGUCAACUUAAUUGCAAGGAGAACAUUCCUCAUGACUUUGAGGAAUAUUACCCAUCGAUCCUAAACAUAUUGUACAAAUGCCAAUUUAGUUCUAAACUUUUCGAUUUUACCAAUUUAGAGAUAAACAUUUGCACAAAAUUCCAAUAUAGUCCUUUUGGCCAAUUUCUGUUGUUGAAAUGGUUGUGUUACUUAGAAUUGUCAGUGAUUACUGGACUGCCAAAUCAAUAAUUUCAGGCAAAAAUUCAUCAAAAGGGUUUUCUUGGAAUUUUCCGUAAAUGUGUAAAACUAAAUUGACAAAAAAAAAAUUGAAAUGAUUUAAACUGAAUUAGCAUAUGUAUAAUAGAUUUUGGGACUGCUUAGAUAAUUUUCCCCAUGACUUUAAUUAGUCAUAAUAUUUUUUUUUAUAAAUUAGUCAUAACCUCCUUAAAUAGGCAAUACAAAUAUAAGGUUUAUGAGGUAAUUUGAUAUUCUAAUCUAACAAUUAUGGGUGAGUUUGAGAAAAGGAGCGAGGAUGUUAAGCAGCCACCCGGUGUUCCGGUUGAGCAAGCCAGCGAAGAAGACGCGUGAGUUUACUUUUUGCUUUUGUCCGAGUAUACGAGUAGUUAAAGAAAAUCAAUGUCGGAAUGCACUCAUUCGAGGAGCUAUGCGUAAUGACUCAGCAAGUUGCAUAUAAAGGAAACGCCUUCAUAGUUAGUGAUAUAUCCCCUUUCAACGAGAUUCACGUGGCACUCGGCAUAACAAUUUGUCAUUGUCCGAUAUGAUUGUCAUGAAAUGGGAAUACGCAAGAGUGAUUUUGAAAAAAUUCCACGAGUUCCAUAGUCACUUUGGUCGACAUCUAGUUCUAUUUGCUUACGCUUAAAUAUAUAUAUAAAAAAAAAAUUCUGCAUUUUGCUCUCCCUUGAGAAAAUUAAAAAUGGGGAAAAAUAGGUUUCAUAAAUUAUGAAAAACCAUAUAAUAACUCUACUUGUAAAUAAAUGUAUAUUUUUGAAAAUUUUAAAAAUCAACAUUUUAAAAAUAAAUUUGAAAAGGAAAAGCUCCAGACAGAACCAAACAUUUGGGAAGAAAAAAAAAGAAAAGAGGGUUUUUUUUUGGGGAGGUGGGGGGGAUGCCGGAGACUUCAAUAUGAAUGAGAGCCCACGGAGCAAAGUUAAUCCUGGCUGGCAAUAAUUUUGCAUGUUGAUUUUGUCAUGUAAAGAGUAGCAAUGGUCGCUAUGAUUUUGCGUUUUAAUAUUAUCAUCUAAAGAGUAGUAGUGUUCAAGAUAGUAAAUUAGUUUAAAAUGUUAAGAGGAUAGCAAAAAUUUAAUUUCCUCAGAAGUUCUAAUCUAACAAUUACAACUGCAGUUAUAUCUAACCUAACAAUCAUAAUUGGCUUUAUAAUCUAACAAUCAGCCUAAUUAUUAUGUUAAUUCUAAAUUUUUAACGUGAUUUCAUGGACCAGCACAAUGAGCUGGGAAGCACUAUUACCUAACCAAUGUUUGCCCAUUGGACGUGGAGGAAAAACUAGAUGCUUAAAUUAUGUUUGUCGAAAGCGGUGAAGGAAAGGAUGGAUAUCUAAUCAAUGUUUGUCCAUUGGCAUUGGAGGAAAGGAUGGUGAUUUCGACAUUGGUGUUGGUGACCUGCUCCAUGUAUUAAUAGAUUAUUUAUUAGAUUACCAUCAUUGUCUUGAUUGACGCGACCGACAACAAUCGUUUUUAAGUUUUUUUUACUUUUGGCCGGUGGAGGCUCUAAGGACUUGGAACCCUUUGCUCCCAACUUUUUAGCUUCCGAAGGAAUUGAGUGGAGUUUAUUAAAAGUCUUAACUGAGGUUAGAUUACCGAGAUCCAUAGUCCAUACACAUCCCAUCUUUCUUCCUCGUGAUUUGGGCCUUUGUUAAGAUUUUAAAUCAUUGGAACACUAGUAGUAACAUCUCAAUCGGUGUUGAUCAAAUAUUCCAGCAAAAAGUUACCAUGUCUCUUUCUCCAUUGAUUGCUCUUUGACGCCCCCCCUUCCUUCAUCUUUUCUCGCACUCGAAUUUCUUCGCCUUUUCCUCUUUCAUCAUUCUUGCUCUGUUUCACUUUUUCUUCUCCUUGCUAUGGCCCUACUCCGCCUCUUUUUCUGAAGUAUCUACGACUCUUUUUCAUCGUUCUCUCUCUCCCUCUCUUUUUCUCUCAACUUUUCCUUUUGAGGGGUUUUUAUCCGAACGUUUUCUCGCUCUUUCUUUUUUGGAAAAAAAAAAUCAAAGAAAAUGUCAGAUUGAUGCCGCUGUUGAGAAAAAUGGAAAAUUAUAUUAAACUCAAAUCAAUAAAUAAUUAUUGAUACAAAUGUUAAGAGUGCGUAACAAAAGUUUAAUCCCUUUAAUCGGAGAGGUUAUCAAGAGAAAGCUCAAGUUUGAGCUCAUUAACAUAUUCAAUUGACCCAUCUUAACUAAAAAAAAUGAGCUAAAAAGUUAUUGAUCAAUUAUGAUAUAUUAAUUGUUUAAUACGACAUCAAUUCUCCAUUGUGAAACUUUUCUAACCCAACUCAUACAUUCAUCUUAACAUUCGCCUCUCGCGUGUUGGCUUAGUAUUAUGCAUGCUUUCCCUUAAUUCAAGUAUCAUUCUCCAUUUACAUGACUCAAUUAGAAUCUCUGCUUUGGUGCGUGUGCUAACAAAAAUAACAAUAACGCCCAUCUUCAUCCCUAGUCUCUUUCUCCAAACCGAAUCAUGAAGGUUACCAUCAAGAUCACAUUUCUACACAACAACGCCCACCUUCAUUCCAAGUCUCUUUUGCUAGAUCGAACUAUGAAGGUUGCCCAAAAACUGCGUUGAUCACGAGAUUCCUUUCCUCAGAUAUUCUCCAAACAUUGGUAUACAUUGGGAUUGGCCAUUAGCUAUCAAUCAUCGGCUCUGGCAUCAUUUCUUAGGAGUGUCUAGUAGAAAUUUGAUACCGUUAACCAGAGAGAUCGCCAAAGAAAAGCCCAUGUUCGAGCUGGCCAAUAUGUUUUAUUGAAGCCAAGUUCACUCAAAAACUAGGAUAUAUUAAUUGCUGCAUACCAUACCAAUUAUCCGGUAUAAGACUUUCUAACAUAAGUCACGUGUAUAUCUCAAUAAGAAGGAUCUAACUAAUGGUUAAAAGAGUGAGAACGGAGAGAUAUUAGACAAACCCCAACCACAUCAUCAUAUGGCAAUUUUUUAUAACGUUCCACGCGGAGUAUGAAUGUGUCUACCUCAAAUCAUUCAUUUCUGUAGUGGUUCCAUCAAUUUGUCAUUUGACUCCAUUUUUUAGUGGAAGUCAUACUGAGGUUUUCUUGGAUGCUACAAACUUUAACAGUAAAUGCUUUUAGCCUCUAGCGCAUGAUCAAUGUUGAUAUUGAUAUGCAACUCCAAUUUUCCAACGAGAAUUGCUUCAUCAAAUGACUAGUGUGGCUGGUAAAAAAAAAAAGUGACUAGUGUGGGAUGUUAACAAAGAAGAGUUCCGCUAUAGCGUAACUGCACUAUCCUUUCCAAUAGCGACGGCGCAAAUGGGACCACGAGUUCUAUUAUGCUGGUAAUGCGCAACCGGAUUACAACUUUAAAAUGGGAAAUCUUUACGAGUAUCCUUAAAAUUUGUAUCCCUUUCUGAAUGAAAUGUCAGUCAAAAUGCCCUCCCUCCAAAUUGAGCACCAAGUAAAGUCAUCAAUCAUUUCUUUUCGUUUCUCUUGAAAGCAUAAAACAUUCAAUAUUAAUAUUAGUGUGCAACUAGCUUAUAACCGCACACAAUCUUGUCAUAACUAUAUACGUAUGUAUGUAUGCAAGCACACAUGAAUAUGUCUAAAAGUAUAUGCUUUUAAUUACCUCUUAUUUAGUUAGAUGUACAUCAUUAUCACAAAAAACUUUUUUUUUUCAAAGAAUUGGCAACCGGAUGAGUUUUGAAAUGACUUGCAUUUGCACUUCUGCGUUCUCUUUCAAAUGUUUUUUUUUUAAACUUUAUUAACAAAGAAAAAGCUUCACCACGUAUUGUUGCAACUGUUUCUUCCUACUUCCUCGUUAAUUGAAGAAUUAUUGUGUACAGCGGACUUAAAUAACAACGGCUCUAUACUUGGUUACCACGAAAUACUAUACAGCCUAUUAACAUAUCGUAAAAUAAAAAUAAAAAUCACCUUUAACCUCUUUCGGUUAAUUAAUCUAGUAAAAAUAAAAUGGGGGAUAUCCAAUCAUUGCAAAAUAACGUAAUAUAAGGUGUUGACUUGCAUAUUGAUUUUUUCUUUUUUGAGAAACCCCUUUUCAGAUAGGUGAAGUUCAUAUUAAAGGUAAAGUGAUUGAUGAAAAUAAUGCCAAUACCAAAACGAGACCAAAAAUAUGAUAGAGAAGGACUUUUAACACCAAAAGAAAUGGAAGUUGGGUUGUAUCGAAUAAGUAUGUAGCUUUUUUCUUUUUUUCACUAAACAGAGAGGAGAAUCAAAGUACCUAUCAUGGGCAGGGGUGUGGAGUUUAACUCUUAUAAGGAGGCUUAUGAAUUUUAUAACAAUUAUGAUAAAUAAGUAAGAUUUUGUAGUAGAGUUUCAAAAUUGUAGAAAAGGAAGAGUAGAGAGGAAAAGUGAGGCACAGUUUUUUGGGGCUAGCUCCAAAAAAAUAAAGCACCAACUUUAGUUUAAGAGACAAAUCUGACCGAAACUUUUUUUUUUUUUUUUGUCUUGUAAAAAAGCACAAAUUUUAGGUUAAGGGACAAAUCCAGCCUAAACUGUUUUUUUUGUCUCGUAAAAAAAUGUCAAUUUUCGGUUAAGUGACAAUUCUAGCUCAAGUUUUUUUUUUUCUCGUAAAAAAUUACAAACUUUCACCAUUAUUCAACUUUCUAUUUGAAGUUAACCUUGUUUCAAGAAAAAAAGGUUCUAGCCAUGAGCUUGGCGGAUCUUGUUCAUGGGGUCUCUCGAUGGGCGGUGGUCCAUAGCUUCAUUUUAAGACAAAAUGACAAAGUCUAGCCAGACUAAUUCAAUUUAGAGAUUUUUUGACUUGCUAGUGAAGUGUAGGAGAUGAUGAAUAAUUUACCGUUAUUCUCCAAGCUAUGGCUCAAACAAGAAGAUAAUGAAUAGUGUUUUAAAUCCGGCCAGCAAGUGCACAUGGAUUUAUCACUAAAAACAAUCAAUGGAUCUAAAUUAAAGGGGGCUAAAUUUAGGAUUUAAGUGAAAACUAGUGAUUUUUUUUAGACAAAAAAAGUUAGGAUCAUAAUUGUCACUCAUCCCAAAGUUAGUGUUCUUUAUGUGACAAAAAAAAAAGUUUGAGCCAAAUUUGUCACUUGACUUAAAAUUAGUGCUUUUUUACGAGACAAAAAAUAGUUUGGUUUAGAUUUGUUCAUUAACCUAAAGUUUGUGCUUAUUUUUGGAAUUAGCCUCAGUUUUUUUGCUGCAUUUGUCAAAGGCUCAAGAAAAAAAAAAUGGGUCAGUUAAGUCGAUUCAUUUGAAAAGGUUAGAAUUCAAUAUAUUUUUUUUAAUUACUCAAGCACAAAGAAUGAGAAGCCCCAAAAAUGUACAAAAAUAUCUUUAUUAGUCUAAAAACAACGGUUCUGGUGUUUUUCUUUUCUAUUUUAGAAAUAUAAGUCAUAUUUAUAAUAAAAUUAAUAAUCUCUUUUUAGUGAUAAUUUUCGUACUUGUGAUUCUUAUAUUGUAGCAUUCAAUUUCCUUCAAGUCAUUUUUCCCUUGCUUUCGUAAGGAUGGAAAUUCAAGAAAUUAAUUGGUGUUUAGUUGAGGCCUUAAUCAAGGUUAGGUUAUAGACAAGAAAAUCGAACAUGCACUCUAUUUUAGCUAAAUUUCCAUAUUGGUUAUGUCCAUAUUUUUAACCCACCAAUCAAAGAAUUGGUAAGGAUGGAAAUAAAUAAACUCUGACUUAAUAUAAACUCGCAUACAUUAAGGAAGCCAUUGCUCUCAAUUAACAAAGAAAUCCAAUGAGAUGUAAAUACUGAAUCAUUCCAAAGCAUGAGAAGAAAAUGUAACCUUAUCACUGCUGCGUCAAAUAAAUUUGUCCUUGUCUCUUUCACUUUUCCCAACCUAUAACAAUUGAAACGAGUAAUCUAAUAUCCGCCAACCUUUGUAUCACUUAUAUUAUGUUUGUGUAUAUGGGGCAGCGCACUAUCAUUUAGAUAUAGGAAAUGUGUGAUUACCUCUAUUUAAAAUCAAUUAAAUGGGAUUCCUAUCCAUGUCAAUAGUAUGCGAAUCAACCACCAAAAGAAGCAAAUCCAGACCAUGUAACUAGAGACAAUUUUUUUUUUUUUAAGAACUUCUGCGGAAUGCAAAAUACACUUGUACUUUACAAGAAAAAAAAUUAUGCUUACUUAACAUCACCAUCUUGCAAUUAUCAGACAUCAAUAAUAUUAUAAUUUUAUGUUAACACAGUCAUUUUCAAAAUGAUAUAGAAUGCAAAAUACACUCAUUCUUUAGAAUAAAAAGAAAAAAAAAAACAUGCUUACUAAAUCCCAGGAGUGACAUAGCUGAUUGGGAUGCUAGGGGAUUUCCAACUCAGGAAUAGGAGGUUGCUUGUUAGGAUCCCACAAACUGCUUUAGGUUUGAGCCAACUACACAGGCCAAAGCCCUGAGCUUAACCAAUUCAUAAAGCCUACAGGAUAUUUCAUAGAAUUAUGGGUAGAGAGGUCUCCAUACACAUGCCCCCAUAUCAUAAGAAAAAUUAUAUGCUUACAUUAAGAGUAUCCCAAAUUUAUAUGGUACUCUUUUUAUAUGCACUUAUUUCUCAUAAACUAGGUAGUUAUUAUGCAAAAGGUCCUGAUCAUAUUAAUUACAAAUAGAACUUCCCUCAUGACUUUAAUUAGUCAUCACAUUUUUUUGUUAAAAAAUUAGUCAUAAUAGUUAUAAAUAUAUGGACUUAGGCCUAAUUUGAAAUUCUAAUCUACCAAUUAUGUUGGUAAAAAGGAAACAACUUCAAUUUUUUUUUUCUUUAAAACAGAGUUCUUUUUCCCUUAAACGGAUGAUUCAAGGGGCUUUCUGUCAACAAAUAUGUGAAAAUUUUGAAUACUACAUAAAGACUCAAGAAUUAUUUUCAUCCAAUGGGCAAUAUCAAUUAGAUAUGAGGGUCUAAAUUAGCCCAAGUCUAUUUUGUCAAUACGUAGAAAACUUACAAAAAAUUGCAAUUCAACUUAUAAGUGAAUAUCAAUAAUAUAAUAAUUUUACAUUAAAAUUGUCAGUUCUUAAAAAUGAUAGAUAAUACAAAAUAUACUUAAUCUUUACAAUAAAAAUUUAUGCCUACUUAACCCCAGGAUUGGUUCAGCUAGUUGGGAUGUUAUGGGAUUUUCAGCUCAAGAACUGAAGAUCCAUUAGAACCCCACAAAUUGCGAGCAAACUACUCUAAGUUACAGCCUCUUACAUAGGUCAAAAGCCUAAGCUUAACUGAUUCAAGGAUUAUAUGAUAUUUUCUAGGCUUCUAAAUAGAUAGGUUUCUAUGCCUAUGCACUUAGAUUAUUAAAAGAAAAUGCUUACUUUGGGAGGAUGCUAAUUUUAUAUGAGAAAUUUUUCAUGUGCACUUAUUCCUCAUAAACUAGGUAGUUUUUAUGAGAAAAGGUCGUUAUCAACUUAAUUACAAAGAAUAUGUCCCUCAUCAUUUUAAAUAGUUAUAACCUUUUUUUUUGUUAGACAUUAGUCAUGGUUGGCAAAACAAUUAAACAACUUCAAUUUUUUUUCCUAUGAACUGAGGUUUUUUAUUUUAUUAUUAUUAUAAAUUUAAGACAUGAUUUGAGGGGCUUUCUGUCAGCAAAUUUAUGAAAAUUUGAAAGAUAACACAUGAAAUUAAGACUCAUUUUCAACUAAUGUUCAACAUCAAUUAGAUAUUAUGGUCUAAGUCAGCCCGAUUCUAAUAUGUCAUUAAGUAGAACAUUAUCAAAAAUUGAUCUUCAAUAUAUAAAUCAAUAACGCAGCCGGUGAAUCCAUUUUUGUGUUUAGCCGUGGAGGAAAGGAUGGUCCCUAAUGAAUGUCCAUGAGCGGCGGAGGAAAGGAUGGAGACAUAGACGUUGGUGUGGUGGCCGGUCAAUUAAUUAAAAAAUCAUCCAUUUCUCUUUAUAUAAAUGUUUUUAAAAAUAUAUAUAUAGUUCAGCCAUUUCUUUAUAUUGCUCGAUUGUUUCAUUCAUAGUUCAUUGCCUGACUGACAAGAGGACUAUGCAAGAGUCUUGGCAGUUGGGUAUUCCUUCCCAGUAAAAAUUAAUUCAUAAAAUGACAAAUAAAUUCUUAUUAAUUAUUGAUAUGACGAGUGAUGACUCUUGCAGCCUCUCAUAUCUCUUUAAAAAUAAUCUUAUAAAUGAACCAAAUGUCUGAGGAUUAGCCGACAUCCAAUAUCAUCAAUCAUGUUAGAAACUAUCAUCGAUAAAUUGUAUUAUACAUUUGGCUGAACAAAAUCGUGUUCUAUAAUUAAAAUACUAUUUUUGUACAAUCUUUGUUGGAACAUUUAUGGUACAGAAAAUUAUAUAAAAACUGCCGAUUAGUAAGGAUUUACACAUUGAAUGAUAUAUUUCCCUCUACUUUUUUGUAUGGUUGCCAGUAUAGAAAGUAAAGUUUAUUUAAGUAUCUCAGUUGGCUAAAUUCUCAUCAUGAAAGCACAAGGUCAUCAUAAUGUUUCGUGUGUUACUUGACUUUCACUGUUAUAAUGACUAAAAUGCUUAGUAGCCUGCAACAACUAAUUUCAUAUAUGUAUAUGUGUAGGCUAACCUCUUCCUGUGGAAGGUUAUAAAAGUGAAAAAAAAUUAGGGUUAUAAAUUAUCAAAAGCCACAUGACUUUAUUUGUCAAUAAUUGUAUAUUUUUGAAUAUUUUAGAACCGAUUUGUGAUAAUUGCAAUAUUUAAAAAAAACAUUAAAUGUAAAAUACUCCAAACAGACCCAAGCAUUUGAAAGAAAGGGGGGAAACUUCAAUAGGAACAAGAGAGACGCAAAAUAAUGUUAGCGGUGACUCGGGAUCGUUCCCCGUAUUAAUUUUAUCUUGGAAAGAGUAGCACUACUCAAGAAAAUAAAUUGAUUUAAAAUGUUAAUAAAGAAUGGCAAAAGUUUAAUUUACUUAGAAGUUUUGAUCUACAAUUCCAAUUCAAGUUACGUCUAAGGUAACAAUUACAAUUGACAUUAUAAUCUAACAAUUUGCUUAAUUACAAUGUUACUUCUGCAUUUUAAAUAUGAUUUCAUUGAUUCGCACAAGGAGCGACUUUAGGACUAGUACUUGAUCAAUGUUUGUCCAUUAAUGGUGGAGCUAAAGGAUGCGGAAACUUACCCAUUGGUGAUGAUGAUUGGUCAAGUUAAGAAACAAGAAAACCAUUUCUAUUACCAUAUUCAACUUUUAAUCAAAAAGUAUUGGGGGACACUGAAAGGAGAUAUCACCCAUGAUAGUAGUAAUAAUUUAUUUGCUUAUUUUGCUAGACUCACUAUGGGUUGAAAAUGAGUCUGGUGCAGACCCACGUAGGCUCACGUGGAAUUGGUGAUGCUUUUUUCAUAUCAUUUCAACUGGCUUAAAAAUUUCAAGUGUCGCACCAAAAUUUUGAUAAUGGGUUUCAGAUACAUACUGCCACCUCUAGAUGAAACUACAUGUCUUGUGGGUUUUGAUCCGUCCUCGUCCUUUUGUUCUCUUUAUUAAUUACAUUUGCUAUAGCGAAGAGUGACAAACUACAUAAAGUACCUAUUAUACAUGAGUGAUGAUUCAAAUCCAAUCAUUUUAAUAAUUGCGUUUUGAUCGAAGGUGUUAUAUACGAUUCGGAUUCUAAUCGUCACUCCAUGUUGAUUCACAAAAGUGCCCACAUACAAAUAUUGAUGAAAAUAUUAAUAUUAUGAACAAGAUUAAGGGAUAAUAUUACGAAAAAUCUUAAACUGAUACACAUGCGACAAAUUUACUUCGCAUUAAUUUUUUUAUCACAAAAAACCCCCAAACUGAUUCAAUUAUGAUAAAUUUAUUACAAACUAAUUUUUUAACCAUGAAAAAUCUCUAACUAGUACACAUGUGAUAAAUUUACUCAAAACUAAUUUUUUUACCGUCAAAAACCAUAAAUUGAUACAUUUAUGACAAAUAUACCCCCGUUAAAUUAUAUUAAUACUAGAAAAAAUUACAAAACCGAUACACUGUGACAAAUAGAGAGUAAAAUCUCAAAUUGGUAUACUUGCCAACUACCACAUGUCAUCUAAAUCAACAAUCUAACUUGAAAAUUUAACGAAAACUAACAGAUAGUAAAUUUCUCAUAGAUUUAUCAAUUCAGAGUUUUUUAUAGUUAAAAGAUUAUUUUUUUGUAAAUUUAUUAUAAGUGUACAGAUUUAAGAUUUUUUGUAGUCAAAAAAUUAAUUUGUGAUUAAUUUAUCAUGCGUACCAUAUUAAAGAUGAUAUUUGUCAAGUGCAUGGGUUGGUGUGGCCUCUCCUUAUCAAGUGGGCGCCAUUUAUUUUGCUAUUUGUUGCUCUUUCUUAAUUACAUUUUAUUAUAUCAAUCUGACACGGUAUAAAGUAUUCAUAUAAUUCUAGUCAAAUUAUUUUGUUACUUUAGAAGUUGGUAAUCAUUUGUAUUUUAUUUUUUUAAUCCACUUCAAUGAGCGUGCAAUUCAAAUAAUGCAAAGAAAUCAAUUUACUCCACAAUUGUGACGCAACGAACAACUGCCGUAAUUAAGGUACAUAUUGGUGUUUAGUUAUGGCCUCAACUAAGAUUAGAUUUUUCUAAGAUCUAAAGUCUGUUGUCCACGUGACUAGUGGAUCAUGCAUGAGUCUUGUGAGUUGGGUUUUCCUUCCCAAUGAAAAACUACUUCACAAAAUGAUAUAUGAACUCAUAUUUUUUAUUGAUAUAAAAAGGAAUGACUCUUGCAGCUUCUCAUAUAUUUUCAAAAAUCAAUUUUAUAAAAUGAACCGUGUAUCAUCAAUCAUUUUAGAAUUAUCAUCCACAGAUUGUAUCGUUGUUUAACUCAUAAAUGGAUUCCAACCUGAGUAGUGAACUAUCUUCAACCAAAAGAUAUAUCUUUUAUUUUUAUGAAAGGGGUUCAGUGGCGAUUUUAAACAUGAGUUGCAAUUGGCAUGAUAAUGAAGAUGAACAACGAAUUUAAAGGUAAAAGGUGAUAGUAAAUGUUGGAAAUUAACAUGACAUUAAAACUGAUAAAAGUACAUCAAAAAAUAUUCGGAAUCAUGAUGAUCCUUGCAAUAAUUAUAUGUUGCCAUUUUAUACUCCGCCAAUCAUAACCGCUUAUUAAGACUUAACCAUACUAGAUGCAGUUGUAACUGCAUUCCCGAGAUUUUAGGACUCCUAUCUACACAUCGAUCCUAUCCACAAGUUGUUACGACUCUUUAAGUGUCACUAGGUUAACCAUUGCUUGGUGCCCUUAUAUUUAGUCGACAUUUUCACUAUCUCCUUUCUUCUUAGUUGAUAAUUGUCGACCAGUCAUCGUGGUACAUCGACAAUGGUAUCUCUCAAUCGUCAAUAAUUACUGUCCAUUGUCAUUGAUAUGUGCUUCUAUUGUCCUUAACUUACCAAAAACCAUAUAAGUUGUCACAAACUAUAUACCCACUUAUAUCAACAUUAUGUCAUUCACAAAAACUUUAUCAUUUUUCAGUGUAAACAAUUAUACAUCUAGCUAAAGAAAAUCUAAUUAAGCGACUAUCAUGUGAUUUAAAUACAAUCUUUAUUCUAACAAUUAUGGUACAACAAAUUACAUAAAAUGUACAACCAAUCAUAUGGGAUUUACACAUUGAAUGAUAUGCUCCUGGCUACUUAUUUGUGUGGUUGCCAAUUUAGAAAGUUAACUUUACAUGAGUAUAUCCGUUGGCUAAAUUCUCAACAUGAAAGCACAAGGUCAUGGACUCAAUUUUGUAUUGCAUGCUACUCAACUUUCACUACUAUAAUGACUAAAAUGCUUAGUAUCCUGCAACAACUAAGUUCAUUUACAUAUUUACAUAAGCCAAACUCUCGUCAUGGAAGGUUGUAGACCUAUCAUGCAUUGCAUGUUGUGAUGCUACUUGACUUAUGCACCAUAUUUAUAGUGUCAUUAAUAAUUAUGUAUUUAGUCAUAUUUACUUAUGAAAAUACAUACCUGCGUAAUAUAACCCUCUUUAUAAUUUUCAUUCUAUAGAAAUUUUGUAACAAGGGAUAGUUUUUUCUCCUAUUGAUUUGCUAUCAGUUGUUUCUUUUACUUUUUAAAAUUUAUUGCAAAGCAUGUACUGUAAUUUCGUUUUUAUGAUGAUAGAUAAUUUUUUGAAUUCUCUAAUAUCAUAUAUUUGUCAAAUAUAGACAAUCAUGGACUAAAAGAUGUUUCUACAUUAAGCAUCUUAUUUAUCACAUACAUGAUAAAUAUUUAUAUUGUCGAUUUGUUAUAUAUAUUGACUAUCACAUCACGUAAUUUUUCUAAAAGUUUGUCAAUGAUAUACCUGAAGAAGGGGUGCCCAACGUCGAACGAGCGAUCAAAAAAGAUUCCGAAGCAUCUUCAUAGCACGACCCAGCAAUCAUGUUCUUUGGGGGUCCUCAGGCUAUAAAGCCGAUUUCCUUCCUUUUGGUCCGUCUGUAAAAGGCAACCAUACAUUUAUUUAAUUAUAAAAUUCGAAAGUUACUGUACACUUAGUUAUAUCUUAUUUUUGAAAUAUCUAAAGUCACGUAGUGAAUCCUAUAUAUAUAAAGUGGGUAUCCAUGCAUUAUUGAACUCCUUCGAGAGCUUGUCAAAAUUUGUAAAUCAAAAUAUUAACAGGGAUAUGUUAAAGUGGUCUUCAAAACCAAUUUGUUAAAGUGCAAAAUAGAACUGAUAUUCAAAUAAACAACAUAUGUUUAGGAAUUUGGGAUUUGUUAAAGUGACCAUUGAUAUCAAAUUGUUGAAUAAAGUUUACACGUGAUUGUGCUGGCUCAACUCUCAAGAGAGUUUUACCAUAUAUAUAUAUAGAGAUAUAUAUAUACAUAUAUAUAGAUGCUUUUCUAGUCAAAUCAAUUUAUUAAAACGACUCAAUUUGUCUACCAUUUAAAUACAAUGAGGAAAAACACAUUAAUUUAUCCAGGUCAAUCACAUGUUUUGAACAUUACCAGUCUCACAUAUGACUGAAAUAAUUUGUUAGUGAGAUUUGGUAAGUCCAAGCAAAAAGGAUUUUACCAUCCUUUAGGAAAGAGAUAUUAUCCGGUAGAGAGUAUUACUGUACUGCAUAUUAGUCGGGAAAAAGUUGUUUUCCGGGACAUUUUUCCUGACAUUCAAAGCUUACCGAAGGCUAGCUAAAAAAAAAAAAAAAAGCUUACCGAAUUACCAUCGGACAAUCCUCUAAAAAAAAAACCUUUAGGAGGACUUAUUCUGAGAAAGAAUAUAGAUGCCGUUUUCAUGUAUUUUUCUGAAGUACUCUGGAAGUUCCGAGGGACCACUUGUGCUUUUCUGCCUUGGCCAUAUGGUCCGCAUUAAAAAUUGAGUUGAUGGCAUACUGUAAAGUCACGUGGGUGCGGCCAGUCCUUGUCCAUUCAUUUUCUUAAAUCAUUACCUUUUAUUAUAUCAGUGCUGACACACUGUUUAAGUCGACUCAUUUGUUUACUGCUACUUGGACAGCUGAUGAUCAUCUCUUUCUUCCUCGAUUCAUCGCUAUUCGACGCUCCCCUUCCUUCGUCCUUCUUUCGCGCUCGAAUCUCUUCGCCUUGUUUGUCUCUCGCUUUGUUUCACUCUUUCUUCUCUUCAGCACAAUCAUUCUUCCUAUUCCUCCUCUUCUUCAGUAUCUUCUCCUUCUUUUCAUCAUUCUCUCUCUGUGUCUCUCUUUCUUUCUUGGGAAAAAAAAAUCAAAGAAAAAAUGUCGGUCGAUUCUGUCGUUUCUAUUGCGUAUGAUGUCUUCAAGAGCUAUGUAGUUGAUCCCGUCAAGCGUCGAUUCAGAUACGUGAUCUCCUCCAAGAAUUUCGCCGACGAUCUUCGGGUGGAAGUCCGGAACCUGGAGAACGAGGCUCAGAGGGUCCACAUUUUGGCAGAAGUGGCCCGAAACAACCUUCGGAAUUUCUAUGGUUACUUCCCAGAGUGGCAGCAAAGUACUGACAAGGCCUUGGAGGAGGCGGGAGACCUGUUGGGCGACAUGGGUGAGGCGAGCAAGACUUGCUGCCACGGGACUCUUCCCGACGCCAAAUGUCGCUAUCAGUUCAGCAGGAAGGCCGAGGACAAGAUCAAGGUCAUUAAGCAACUCGCUCAAAAAGGCAGCGGAUUCAAGGAAUUGAACGACAUCUCCUUCACUGAUCCUGCUCCGGGAAAUGUCACUGCUACGAAUCCAGCCAGGAGAGAAGGCGAAGAAUUCGUCCAGCCGACCCCUGCAACGGCCUCCGCUUCUUCUGCCUCGACGUCAAAUGAGCUUAGUAAGGAUGGCGUCUUCGAAUCCAGAACUGCGAUCAUAAGGGACGUAAUGGGCGCUCUUGCCGAUAACAGCAAUAGUGUGGUCGGGGUUCACGGGAUGGGUGGGGUCGGCAAGUCCACCCUUUUGGACGACGUGGUAAGCAGAAUAAGAGAAGAGAAGCGGUUCGAUCUGGUCGCCAAGGCCGACGUGUCACAAAAUCCUGACAUCAAGAGAAUUCAAAGUGUGAUUGCCCAUGCGUUGGGCCUGGACAUGAAAGAUUAUGAGUAUGAGAGCAUGCGAGCGGAUCGUCUGCGCGAGAGGUUGGGAAAUGAGGAAAAGAAGGUCCUCAUAAUACUGGACAACCUAUGGAAAGGGCUUGACUUGAAAUCUGUUGGAAUUCCUUGCGGGCAUGACAACAAAGUCAUGGGAUGCAAGUUGUUAUUGACGUCGAGAGACCGAAAUGUUUUGCAAAGGGAAAUGGGCUGCGACAAGGACUUCUUUCUUGAUAGGCUGGAGGAGAAAGAGGCAAAUAUAUUGUUUGAGAGGAUGGUGGGAGAUAAAGUUCAUAAUGAUGAGUUCAGACCCAUGGUGAAUGAAGCACUCCGCAAAUGUGCAGGUUUGCCUUUGUUAAUUGUCACAAUGGCGAAACAUUUGAAAUACGGUCGUUUGCCUGAAUGGAGGAAUGCUCUAAAUCAAAUUGAGCGGUGUUCAAACAAAGGGUUAAGUGCAGCGAUCAAUACGAUGUUGCAAUUAAGUUAUGAUCAUUUAGAAAGCGAGGAAGCGAAAAAUUUGUUACAACUCUGUGUUGCUGUUGACGUCUCUAAUCCCUCUGUUGAAGACUUGGUGAGGUAUGGCUAUGGUUUAGGGAUAUUUCAAAGAGAUAGUAGCAUAAAAGAAGCUAGAGAUGAAGUGAGUACACUCAUCCACACUCUUCAAGCCUCCUCCCUUCUGUUGGACAAUAGAGAUGACAAUGCUUUCAAGAUACAUGACUUGGUUCGUGACUUUGUUGCUCAGUUCAUUUUAAAAGAUCGGCCUCUUCUCGUGUUGGAAAAUGAAGAAAUGUUGGCAACACAAUUGUGGAGGGAGAGGCUCGAAAGUUGUAUGGCGAUAUGCUUUCCCUAUAUUGACAUGAAGGGCCUUCCCAAAGAAUUAGAUUGCCCCGAAUUGCACAUCUUUUUGCUUUUCGCCCGUAGUGGAUUUCUUGAGGUUCAAGAUUCAUAUUUCAACUCUAUGAGGAAACUUACAGUCCUAGAUCUUUCCGGAAUACAUCUCACUCAUUCACCAACCCCAUUGCAAUUCUUGGAGAACUUACAUACUCUAUGUCUUAGUAGUUGUUCACUAGAGGAUGUGGCCAUUCUCGGCAAGCUGAAAGGCCUUCAAAUUCUCAGCUUUGUGUACUCGAGAGUUGAACGAUUGCCAAAAGAAAUUGGGCAACUAGUAGAGCUGAGGUUGUUGGACUUGAACUAUUGUUCACAUCUUCAGAUAAUUGAACCGGGUGUGCUUGGAAGAUUGAUCAAAUUGGAGGAGUUGUAUAUGGAGAAUAGUUUUGAUCAAUGGAAUCCUGUGGAGCAAACUCAACCAACUAAUGCGAGUUUGAUUGAGUUGAAUCACCUGAAGAAUCUUUGCAUUCUACAUGUCUCCAUUCCCAAUCCAAGUGUGCUCCCUGAGGACCUAGAUGUCAAGAAAUUAACCAAGUACAAAAUCCGAAUAGGUUAUGCAACACGUUGGAGCAAGGACCUAGGAUCGAGGAUUUUGGACCUCAAGUUGGAUCCAACAAGUGAUGUUCUUCGAAAAGGAUGCAUACAAAGUCUCCUAAGCAAAACAGACAAUCUGUUUUUGGCCAAGUUGAACGGAAGCAAGCAAAGUAUUUGCGGAUUAUCUCAAGAAGGCUUUCCAGAAUUAAAGCAUCUGCUGGUCAUGUAUGGUUCCUCUAUCCAAUACAUCCUCCAGUGGCGUUCUGUUAGUACUUUUGAGAUGUUGGAGUCAUUAUUUCUCAUAGAGCUCAACAACUUGACAAAGAUAUGCUACAGCCAUAUUUCCUCCUCCAAGUCCUUCGGUAAAUUAAAAGUAAUUCAAGUCAAACGUUGUGACAAGAUGGAAGUUUUGUUUCCUCUUUCAUUACUGAGAGGACUUCCACAAUUAGAAGAGAUUGAAGUUGUCUAUUGCAAGUUAAUGCAUGGGAUUGUAGAUGUUGAUGAUUGUGGCAAGGUGGAGUUGCAAAAUUUGCGUAUAAUGAAAUUGCACCACUUACCAAAUAUCAAGAAUUGUUUCACCGGCGGAUCAACUCUUUCGAGCAAUACAUCAGACGACCAAGUUGGAACUCAAAUUGCAUUCUUCAAUGGGCAACGGGUAAUUUUCUAUCAAAAAAAUAUAAUUUUUAUUACUUUUUCCUACCUUGCUAAUUAGAUGCACAACAUAUCAUGUUGCUUAUUCAUUUUGUUAUUUUUAGUUUACUUCUUUCCUAAUAACCUUAUCCGUUCAUUCCUUCUUUGCAAUUAGAUAAAUCAGUCUUCAGUUUCCCUUCAUUGUGUAGAAAUCCAACUAAUUGUAUGAUAUCCAUGUAAAUUUAGUUUGUGGUAGGUUCUGAGUUAUUUUCAAUUUAAAUGCUACUAGUAUAUCUAUGUUAAUAGGGUUUAUUAAAGAAAAACUAAAGAGAAUUUCGGCACUAAAGUAAUUCCAUAAGUAAUUUUAAAUCUUUUGAUAUGGAUUUGAUUGAAUUUACUUAUCAAACUUUGUUAUUAUUCACAAAAUGGGAAGGAGGACUAGGUUUUUUCUUCUUCUUCUUCUUCUUUUAUAAAUAAAAGCAACUAGGCUAAUGUAAUUGAUGCAUGUCUUCUAUGUAUUGUGUUUAAAUAAGAAGUUAGUCAUUGUAUAGAUCCCAUAAUUAUAAGAGUACAUAGUUUUGUGCAUGUUCAUGCAUGUACAUUGUAUACAUAGAUACCUUAAUACGUACUUUUGGCAUCACAAAAACAAAUUCACAAUUUGUAUUUAAUAUCCUAUUAAAUUGGUUAUUGAUAGUGAUUUGCUAACAUUAAAGAGAAGUUAGUAAAGCAAGGAUGAUCAAUUGCUCAACUAAGAAAAGCACAUGGCUAUUUUACACGGGGAAAAUAUUGCUACGAGUGGGACCUUUUAAUUGACUAGAUAAGAUAGCCCUUUAAUAGUGGCCCAAUUAUCACUGAAGUUGAUCAUUGGCCAUGAGACUCACAAAAUAGAUUAGUUUCCCUGUCAGCAAAAAGCGGUGGAAAUUUAAGUCGUGGGUCCCACACGCUAGUGUGUGACUUCUCUUCUUCCCCUGCUUUGAGCUUCCAUGGAGAGAACGCUUUCAAAGAUAAUGGAACUACAUCAGAAAUUUUUUACAAAAAGCCUUUAUGGCUUUGCUUCUUUUUCUUUUUUACAUCAUAAUCUUGUACAGUAGAUCCUCUUAGUAUAAUCUUUACACCAAGCUUAAAGAAGAUGACAAAUCAUUCAAGCUCAACAAGGGUGAGAAAUUACAAAGUUGAUAAAGUAGUUUUGCACAAAAACAAUUAAUUGCAUUCAAUUGAAAUUGAAGGCGAUUAUUUGUAGUCUAUUCAAUUCUAGACUAGUAGGUGGAAAUAUAGUUAACAGUUAAACUAGCUUUAGUGAUAAUAUUUUAUAGGAGAUCCUUUUCCUAUAAUAUCUACACCAAGUUUAUAGAAGAUGACAAAUCAUGCAAUUUUAAAAAUGGAAGCAAUUACAGGUGAAAAUCUUUUGUUAUUUGUUUUUCAAAGAAAAUGAUGUUAGGCCACUGUAGAUAUAUUUUAUGGUCCUAUUUGCACUUAUACGGAUAAUAAUUUACUAACAUGAAAGAGAAUUAGUAAAUUAAGGAUAAACAAUGCCCUCUAUUAAGGAAAGCUCACGGCUAUAUUAUAUGGGUGAAAACUACCGCAAUUAGGGGGUUUUAUUUGAUUAGAUAAGAUAGCUCCCUUAUAGGAGCGCGGGCCCAAGGCUGGUGCCAUACGCAGUUUCCCUUGUAAGAAAGAGCGAUGGAGAUAUAAGUGGCGGGUCCCACAAGGCUGUGAUGUGAAAGUGUGACCUUUCAUCAACCCUUGCUUUUAAUAGAAACUAGAUCGCGAAAUUUUGCUUUGUAGAUUUGCCUCUUUUUUUUUUUUGGCGGUAUUCUUUGGGGCUUUUAACUUUGUGUGAUUCUAAUUCUUCAAAAAAGAGUUACUGAUGCUUUAGUACUUCUUUUUAUUUUUACUUUUGUGUAAAAUCUAGAUAUGCAAAGAUUCAUGGGUUUAUAAUGAAAUACUUCUUAAAAUUGUAAUAAGUCUCCUCCGACAUUAUAAAGUGGUGGUAGCAUACAAAGUAGUAGUUAAGGUUUGUCAAGAAUAACAAUAGACUAAUGAACGAGACACAAAAGUUAAACUUGUUGUAUAGGUGGGAGUGAGGGGUGAUGGCGAGAUACAUGGGAGUUUGAGAGUAACUUGGCAGAUGAAAGCUUUCUUAGAGUUGUAGCAAUGAACUUUCGGAAAAAAACUAGUUACUCUUUGCAGAAAAAAAAAGGAAAAGAAGAGAAUAAAUAAAGCUUUCCAUUGUCAUGGCGACCAUGGGUCUCUUCACCUUUCAGACAUGUUGAUUAACAAAAUUACAACAACAAGGAUAAUUAAUUAGGAUGGGCCACAUAUGCAUCCGACUUGAAAGGAAUACUCGAGGUAAUUUACAAAUGAUAGGGAAAAAGACGUUCAAAUAAUCUCAAGUUAUUUACUCUUUUUCAAGGAUAGUUGGGAUCUCAACCCAUGGUGAUGACUAAUGACUACUAAGUUGUUGUGAUAACCCAAUUGCUGACGUGUCUAAUUUCAUGUUGUUUGCGGGUAAAUUAGUCCUUUUUUGCCUAAUAAAUUUGGAGAAAUCAAAGACAUUUGAAAAGGAAAAGACAAUAAAAUGCCGUCUUGUUGGAUUUUAUCAAGGAAGCAGGCAAUAACAGUGUGUGAGAAGUCCUCUUGACCUAAAUGAGAAUGAGGUCACAUUCAGCUAUCAACUCCCUGUGUCCGUAGGUCACACUCAUAUACCAUUGCAAUCCCAAGGUUUAAUUUCUGAGUUGGGCUCAUAACUAGAUGAUAUAUAAUAGGCCCAAUCUUACCUGAGACCAAUGGGACAUAAGCGGCAUAUAUCUCCAUCUAAUUGUCAAAUAAUUGAUAUAAUUUGACAAUUAGAAAAAUAUUUCAUGCAGAAAUUGAUUGUUAUUAGUAACCGGAAUGAGAGCGAAUUCUUGAUGAUUGCAAUUCCUGAUAUUGCUAGUAAAAUACAAACAAAAUCCAAUUGUAAUAGUAUCCCUUUUUAUGUCGUAAAGAAAAGGUCAAGUUCAUUAGUUGUCUUUUAAGGUCAUAAAUUAGCUUUUGUUUAUCAUAGAUUUUCAUACGUGUGAAAAUUAUCCUAAAGGCUGUACAUUAUCUUGCUUAUAAAUUUCUUUGGCAACCAUUUAUAAUACCUGCUAUAUACGUAAAUUUCCUAACUGUCUUUUGUAAUUGUAAAUGCUAUGUUGAUGGAUUUGUCUGUUACAUUUCAAUCCCGUCCUUGUGGUCCUUGACAAUGGAAGGACUUCCCAAUCCAAAAGAAAUAUGUUAUCAAACUAAUUGUAUAAAAUCCUUGCAAAUUUAGUUUGUGAUAGGUUCUGAAUUAUCUCAACAUUGCAAGUAUAUUUAUAUUAAUAGGGUUUCAUCAAAACAAAAUGAAGGGAAUUAUUGGUAUUAAAGUAAUUCCAUAAGUAAAGUAAUUUAUAAUCUUUUGAAAUAUGUUCCCUUGAAUUUAGUUAUAAAAAUUUGUUAAUAUCCACAAAAUGUUUAAUAUAGGUGACUCUUAAAAAGCAAUACGAAGAAUGAGAAGGAGGACUGAAUUUUCAAAUAAAAGCAGCUACGCUAAUCUAAUUGAUGCAUGCCUUUUGUGUAUCAUGUUUAAAUAAAGCCCUUAAUCAUUGCAUAGACCCCAUAAUUGUAAGAGUACAGAAUUUUGUGCAUAGUUUUUUUUUUUUUUAUAGUAAAAGUAGGCCUUGGCAAUUGUAUGAUUUUCAUUAUGUCACAACAAACUCGUCAUUUCAAAUUCAGAAUUCUUGUUCUUGGAAUUCCUAAGUGGUAUUCAGAAUUCUUGUUAUUGGAAUUCCUAAGUGAUGUUCACCAUUUCUUUACUCCACACAGCAGAAUUUGAAAUCCCCUGUGGUAAAAGAAAUUAAUGUCUUGCUAAAUAAUUCAUGAGUAAGAUUCACCUUAAAGAUCAUCUUAUUUGGUGAUCACCCUUAGAUACUCCUUUGGUGAGAUUGGGACACAUGAAUAAGGCCGCGUCUGUAACAAUAUCAAAUAAUGGAACUUGAUACCUUAAUGGAAAAUUCAAUAUCGUGAAGUCCAGAAAAUUUUAUAGACUUACUUCAUAAGUUUCAACGGGUCUUGUAUUUCAAUUCAGCUACUUAGUAUGUGUUAGUUUAAUUUCCGAAGCUUCAAGUGUUUGACAUUAUAAUCUUCAAGAAAUUUGUGCCAAAAUUUUAGUUUUUAUUUUUUAUUUUUUUAUUGUUGAGUCCAUCCAACUUAGAUUGUAAAUUUUAUGUGGCUUCAAUAUUUUAUCAAGAAAUGGUUGCCUAGUCUCGUAGGACCAUAUGUGGUUAUUGCGGUUUCUCUUCAUGGCGAUCUACAAAUCUAAAUACCAAGUCCUUUCAACUAAGUGUCUUUGCAUUUGGCCUUUAUAGUAUUAUAGAUAUAAUUGAAUGCACUUUUGGCAUCAUGAACACAAAUUGACAUAUUUAUGUUUGAUAUCCUGUUAAAUUGGUUAUUAAUAAUGAUUUGCUAACAUUAAACUAAGGACAAAAAAUUGCCUGGUUAAGAAAAACGCACGACGAUUUUGUCCAGCAAAUGUUGAGGCGGCUACUUAGUUGACCAGAAAAGAUUGCACCCUCAUAGUGGCGAUUAGCGCUAAAGUUGAUGGCGGGGCCCAAGACUCCUGUGAUGUAUUAAUUUCCCCUCGGUCAGUAAAGGGUGCUGGACAUAUUUGUUGCGGGUCCCGCAAGGCAGUGUGUGUGAGUCUUUACGUAUUUGCUUUUUCUUAAUCGUCGUAGUCUUUAGAGCUUUUGACUUUAGCCAUAGUUCUUGGUGGACACUGGCAAUGGAUAUGAGUUGAACUCUUUUUGGGCCGAAAUUUGAGGUUGAAAGUGUUGUUGGGUUUUGCUUUAUUGUACAUAGAGAGAUGAGCAAUGCUCCACUCGCUUGUCCAUUUCCGAAGGAGAGAUUCUUCGAACGAAAUAAAACUAGCUCACUAAUCAAACUAAGCUCAGCAUUGCAAGUUAUUUAGCGAAGGAAAGAGUGGAAUUAGAAACGGCAUUAAUAUAGAGAUUUUUUUACUCCGUUUUUCUUAUUCUCUUUUUUCUUUUCCUUUGGAGCUACCUUAAUGAUCCCCCUCUCCCCUUGGCACUCGUAUGUAUUUACAUUUUGAAAGUUCAUGAAUUCAAGAUUUAAAUUAAUUGUCAAUUUCGUGAGCAAAUUCUGCAGGUUGCCUUUCAAAGAUUGGAGACAUUAGAAAUCAAUGACUUGGAUAACAUCAAAUUUAUAUUUUUCCCAUCCAUGGUUGAAUCUCUCACACAACUAAAAAAGCUGACCAUAUCGAAUUGCGAGAAGAUGGAGGCGAUCAUUAUGAAGGAAGAAGGGUUGGGAAUGGAAACAUCAGAAAUUUUGACAUUCCCGAUGUUAACCAAUUUAUGCUUAGAACGAUUGAAAAGUUUGACAUGCUUCUCUUGUGGAAAGGGUAGGAUUGAUUUUUUUGUUUUUAUCGCUAAUAAUUGUCUUGUAGAUAUGUUCUUCCCUACAAUACAAAUGGUGAUAUUCUUUUCAUCCAAUGAAAUACCAAUGACAGGUGCACGAGAGAGUCAAAAUCAAGAUCGCGUCAGAUCACGCGCCACUACUCUCUUCAAUCAAGAGGUACAUGAUUGACACUAUGUUAAAAUAUUAAAUAUAUCGGACAUAAGCAUAGCCAAGAUAAAAAUUAAGUUACUUAUAAUGUAUAUUUUGGUUAAAAUAUUUUAACAGAAAACGAGUGUCGUACAAGCUUAAGUGUUCACGGUUAUUGACAUGUAUGAGUUACAACUUCUUACUUUUAAUUUCUCUACAAAUAGUUCCCAUAAAGAUGGUUGAACAUCUCUUAUCGUACCUGCACGAAGCAUGAACAGGUAACACAAUUGCCAAAUAGGAUCUCUAAAUGCGUCUGAUGUUCCCAAAAAACUUAAAAACUCUCAUCAGCCUCACAUGUAAAUUUCCUAACCGUCCUUCAUAAUUGUAAAUGCUCUGUCAAUGGGUUUGUCCGUUAGAACAAAAUCCCAUCCUUGUCCUUGAUAAUGGAAGGACUUCCCAAUCCAAAAGAAAUAUGUCGUCAAGCUAACUGUAUAAAAUCCUUGCAAAUUUAAUUUGUGAUAGGUUCUGAGUUACCUCAAUUUAUUUAGUUUGUGAUAGGUUUUGAGUUAUCUCAAUUUACGCGUCGCAAGUAUAUCUAUAUUUAUGGGGUUUCAUCAAGACAAAUUGAAGGGAAUGUUGGCAUUGAAGUAAUUCCAUAAGUAAUUUAUAAUCUUUUGAAAUGUGUUCCAUUAAAUUUAGUAAUCAAAAUUUGUUAUUAUCCACAAAACGUAUAAUAUGGGUGACUCUCUUAGAAACCAAUACGAAGAAUGGGAAGUAGGACUAAAUUUUCAAAUAAAAGCACCUAUGCCAAUCUAAUUGAUGCAUGCCUUUCGUGUACCAUGUUUAAAUAAGCACUUAAUCAUUGCAUAUGCCCAAUAAUUGUAAGAGUAUAGAAUUUUAUAAGUUUUUUAGCAAAGGGAAGACUGGAAUUAUGGAGAUUUUUUUACUCCGUUUUUUUUAAUUAUUAUUUUCUUUGUUCUUUUCCUUUUGGGCUACUCAAUAAUCCCCCUCUCCCCUUGGCACUCACCUGUAUUUACAUCUUGAAAGUUCAUGAAUUUGAGAUUUAAAUUAACUACCGAUUCCGUGAGUGAAUUCUGCAGGUUGCCUUUCAAAGAUUGGAGACAUUAGAAAUUAGUGACUUGGAUAACAUUGGGUUUAUAUUUUUCCCAUCCAUGAUUGAAUCCCUCACACAACUAAAAAAGCUGACUGUAUCGAAUUGCAAGAAGAUGGAGGCGAUCAUUAUGGAGGAAGAAGGGUUGGGAAUGGAAACAUCAGAAUUUUUGGCAUUCCAGAUGCUAAUUGAUUUACGCUUAAAACAAUUGAACAGCUUGACAUGCUUCUCUCGUGGAAAGUGUAAGAUUGAUUUUUCAUUUUUAUUGCUAAAAAUUGUCUUGUAGAUAUAUUCAUCCCUAUAGUACAAAUGGUGGUAAUGACAGGUGUACGAGAAAGUCAAAGUCAGGAUUGCAUUAGAUCACAUGCCACAACACUAUUCAAUCAAGAGGUAUGUAAUUAACAUUAAUCAAAUUAUUAAACAUACCGGAGACAAGCAUAGCCAAGAUAAAAACUAAGUAAGUCAUUUAUUAUAUAUAUUUUGGUUAAAAAAUUUAACGGAUGAUGAGUGGUGUACAAGCAUAAUUGUUCAGAGUUGCCGAUAUGUAUGAUUUGCAAUUUCUCGCUAUUAAUUUCUCUAGAAAUAAUUUCCAUAAAGAUGGUUGAACAUCUCUUAUGGUAUAUACACAAAGCAUGAAUGAGUAAUACAAUUGCCAAAUAGGAUCUCUAAAAGCUUUCCGAUAUUACCAGUAACUUAAAACUCUCAACAACCUCACUUGUAUGGCUUAGACAUUGCAUGCAUGUACAUUGAAAGCAGUUGACAAAACAAUCGAGAGGAAAGUGAGCUAUAAGUUUCAAGAGGCUGGAGAUGAAGGGCCUUUUAAGACACUCACUUGACUUCAUUUGCACUAACAAGAUCUUCUUCUUUUUUCCUAGUUAAAGGAAGCUUUACUCUCUCUUAAUUGCAUUAGCAAAGGGAAUCGAAGCCUUCUCCGUCGCCAAACUGAGCGAGACCUCUCGGGUCUUGGGCUUCAGAUAUCACCCCUCUUAUUUUUUCCAUGAAUGGCAAGACCAUUAUUAUGGAACUUUUAUUAAAGAAAUAAAAUACAUUUUGCAAAAGCAACCAUUUUUGUUGAGUCAUUUGAAUUGUCGAGCGCAUAGCGAAAAAUGUUCCUGUGGAGAAUGAAAUAGAGCAAUGUACAGACCAGUUGACUUUGACUAAACUAAAAGCAAUAUAGGCCGUUCACCUAAAAUGUUGUCUAUGCAGCCAAAAUAGGCUGUACAAAUGGGCCCUCCCAUGGGAUUAAUACGUUGACCUUCUUAGAUAUUUUUAAUAUAUUAUAAUGAGAUAUUUAACACCAUUUUCUAUAAUUUGACUCCAGUUUAUGUAUAUGAUCUAUCGUUUGCAUAUAACUAUUAGACCUUCUAGCAUUAAUAGAAAAUCAAUUUUAAAGGAAAAUUCAAUUGAUUUAAGUAUAUAGCAGUUUGAAGUGUGGAAUGAUGUGAGUAGGAUUUGUUCAUUUGACCCAAGCGAUUCCUAUUUUAAUUGCUUUCUCGUAGCCUAACUAUGUAAUUGCUUUAUAGUGAUCUAAUAUUGAUUAGUGGCAUUCGGUAUUAGAUAAAAUCAUAUCUCUUACUGUAGUGCACCAUUUGAUGGUUGAUCUAUCACCUUUUUAAUUUCAAUCUCUCCAUCAUUUUCUUUCUAAUGCCUAAUGUUCUUCCUCAAGCGAUCCCUCAACUGCAUUCUCUAACGGUGAUUACCCAAUUGACUUGCUUUUUGUUUCUUUAACUAAAUUCUUCCUCAUACUUAAUUAAUUUACGAAAUGGUGCAGAUUCAUUGAAGAAUUUCAUCCAUAUUGUAACUAAUGUCAUUAGGUUAUUGUUAUAUGAGCGUAUUCAAAUUACCAUUUUGCCCAUAUUUAACACAUUCUGGUUAGAAUCCCUACAUAGAACUUUUUGUUUUGUCUCCGGUACAUUUCAAUAGCCUUCCCAUUCUAGAGUCAUCGACAUUGGUAUGGAGAUUUUUUUUUUUUUUUACUAUUUUCAUUUUAUUCUUUUUCUCUUUUGUGCAACUUAAGAUAGAAUUACCAAUUCCGUAAAUUUGUAAUUUACAUCUUGGCACUCUUCUUAUUUACAAUUUGAAAGUUCAUGAAUUUGUAAUUUAACUAAAUCACCAAUGCUGUGAAUACUGCAGGUUGUGUUUCCUAACUUGGAGAAAUUAUUUAUCGAGGGCAUGGAUAAAAUCGAGACAAUAUGGGAUGAUCAAAUUCCUACGAAUUCUUUCUCUAAGCUAAGAUUGCUUUCAAUGAAUGAAUGCAAAAAGCUUGUGCACGUUGUACCUUCUUUCAUUUUAGGACAGCUCUUGAGCCUGGAAAUUUUGAAGGCAAAAGCAUGUGCUUCCCUUGAAGUUAUUUUUAAACUCCAGCCACUAACUCCUCUAGAUGGAAAUAGUGUUGCUCGUUCUCCAUUAAAAGAGCUGAAGUUAAAUGAAUUAUCAAAGCUAAACUGUGUAUGGGAUAAGGAACUCUACCAUCAUAUUAAAUUCCAGUGCCUACGUUUGGUUACCCUUCAGGGAUGCACUAGGCUCACCUCUUUGUUUUCAGCCUCAAUAGCCAGAGAUCUAAUCCAACUUGGGAAUUUGGAGAUCAAUCAAUGCGGCAUUGUGGAACUCAUUGAGAAGGAAGGACCCGAUGAGUUGAGCAUCAAUGUGGAAGCCAUAGAAGGCCCAAGUCAUGGGCUAAAAGUAGCAUCAUCCUUUCCAAGUUAUUUUCAGCAUUUGAAGACUCUAGAUGUGUCAUGUUGUCAUGGGUUGUCAAAUAUGUUCACACCGACAAUGGCUAUGAAUUUGGUGGAACUCACAAGAUUGAGAAUUAGUAGAUGUGAAAUAUUAACAGAAGUCAUUAGUGAUGAGGAAGGUGGGGAGGGGCAUGUGGUGGCUUUCAAUCAAUUGAAGUAUAUGGAGCUUGAUGAGUUGACUAGGUUGAGAUAUUUUAGCUCAGGUGGAUACACUUUGACGUUCCCUCUCUUAGAAGAUAUCAUUGUGAAUAGAUGUCCUGACAUGAAGUUCUUCUUCGAGGGACCAAUGGAGGCCCCAAAGCUAGAGAGAGUACAAGUACGUUUGAAUGCAAGGUAUGAAGCAAUAAAGUACCAAUAUUUUUGGAAGGGAAACCUCAACAUGACCAUCCAAAAUAUGUUUGAAGAAAUGGUAUGCUUCAGUUGCUAAAUUCUAUGCAAUUUGAUUUUUUUUAUUAUGACCAAUAAAGUAAUUGUUUUAUUUAUUUAUUUAUAUGAUAACUAGAAUUUUAUGUUUAAUGAUGCAUCUUCUUAUAGGCUACAUUUGCUGGGAGUAAGUUUAUGCGGUUGUUGGACUUCCCGAAGCUGAUAGUAAAAUGGCACAAUGAACCUAAUCCCAUCACAUCAUCUUGGCAACCAAAAUCGCUAGUGGUGGAUAAAUGUCCAUCAUUUAUUAAUGCUAUUCCAUCUAGUUUGAUGCUUGUUUUAGACAAAUUGAGCUUUUUGCAAGUCCGUGAUUGUGAGUUGCUUGAAGAAAUAUUUGAUUUGGAAGGUUUGGAGGCUAUGGAGAGCACUAGAGUACUACCUCAGCUACAAGAAUUGAACUUGGCCAAUCUACCAAAAUUGAGGCGACUAUGGAACAAAGAUCUUCAACAAUCGAUAUGCUUCAAUUCUCUAGGUAGUCUCAUCCUUUAUAAUUGCAACAACUUGGGACAUGCUUUCGCUCCAUCGAUGGCUCGGUGCCUUGCCAAUCUUCAAAAUAUAAAAAUAAAGGAGUGUGGUCAGAUGGAGGGAGUGAUCGCAGAGGAAGAGGGGCAAGGAAGUGUAGUGGAGAAUAUUACAUUCCUAAACCUUUUGCGGAUGGAACUGAAAUGCUUGCCCAAUUUGACUUGUUUCCUAUUGGGAAAAAAUCAUAAGCUGGAAUGCCCCAAAUUACAAACGUUGAGCAUUGCCUAUUGCCCUAAGAUGAGAACUCUGAUUGGGCAGUCUUGGAUGGAGAAUGACCACAACGCCCUUUCACUUUUCACUCCCCAGGUCAGUCUUUCAAACAAAUGCAUUUUUGGCAUUUCAUUUGGAACAUAUUCUCAUAGUAUUGGACAAUGCACGGUACAAUGCAAAUUUUUUUCUUUGCGCGGGUUUAUGUACAUAAUCUUCUAAUAUUUAAUACGAAAACUAAAAAUAUUCUAAUCCUCAAUAAAUAUUACUAUUAUAUGUACAUCUCUAUAUCCUAUUAGAAGCGUUAAGUUGGUGUAAGUUCAUGCAAUCAUAUCAUGCGCAGUACUUUAGAAUUAGUUAGUGAGGUUCCUAAAAAAAGUUAUCACAAUAAAAAAAAUUAUUUUCUGCAACUUCAAUUAUAAUGAACUAAAUAGCAAAAAUAGAAUAACAUCUAAAAAUGGCAAAAAAAUAUGAAGUAUCGCCCACUUCAGAUUUUCUUGCACAGAAGCAAAUUGGCGUCAUUCUAUUAAAAAAUGAAGAAAAUGGGAAAAAGAAAACUUCAUAAUUAUAAAGCCUAGUUCACAAAUUGCUUAGCUAUUAUGAGCAUAAUCAUCUCCCCAAUCAAUGAAAUUGGAGGAAUUAGAGAGAAGUGCUCUUUCAAUUGGAGUGCUCUAAACUUCGAUAAUGAUCAGUUAGUCAACUUUUUUAUAUAUUAAUAAUCACCAAUGCUUGCACUGGGUUUUGAUUAUAAAAUAAAUAAAAAUGGAAAGGCCAAUAUGCAUGAAGUCAUUUGUCUUUUUUGUUCGUAAAUCAUACUCAAUCGCUGUACUCCAACAACCUAUCAUAUUACGUACGUGUAUUAUACAAUAAAUAUUAACUCUAAACUAUCAUAUUGAGUGAUAAUUAGUAUGAUAUUGCACACAAUCUAUGUUUAACAAGAGAAAAUACAGAUUACCUUUUUCAGAAAAAGAAAUGGCGAAAAAAAGGAAAAAAUAAAAGAGACAAAAGGAUAGCUGGAUAAUAAAUAGUAGCAAUUCUUUGGCGGUUGCCAACAUUGCAAGUCUUAUUUCGUAACUAGAUGACAAUAUUUAGUCAAUGUCCUGACUAAAAUAAAAUUAAAAAUCGGAAUAAAUUAUCCAACCAACGCCACCACAGAAGGGAAAAUAUUAGGAUUCGUAUUGAAUCAUCCGCAGAUUGACACGUGGCAACGCCGGACCCACUGCUCUCCUCUUCCUGUUAUGGCUCUGCUCCCUCACUCUCUUUCCUCAGCGAAGGUGCAUCUAUACGUGAACCACACCACCGCCUUGGCCUCCAUCAGUUGCGGUGAAAAUAGAAAAAGGAAGAAAUUAGAUCAAGUCUAUUGGGUGUUUUAGACUUUUCCCCCCUUAAGAAUUGUUCUCUCUCAGCCAUUUCGGUUCACCUUGAUCCUCCUUUUCGCAACGAGGAAAAAAAAAAGUUGAACCAAAUCUACACAGUCAAAGUAACAAUAACUCUUCUUUCUUCCCCUCGCCCCCCUUCCUCUACUUUCUUUUUUUGGGGCGAUUGAUUGGGUGGUCCGUCCAAUGGUUGAAUCGGAAGCUUCGGAAUCGCUUCUCUGAAACUCCCCUCCUCUCUGUGCGCGUGCUUCCAUGGGUUCCGAGUGAUUACGCGAACCGGAGCUUGUUGGUUAUGGUGGGUCGAAGUGGGUCUCCGAAGCGGAAGCGAUUUCGGCGAUGAUUCGGUCGGGGCGUUGAUUCUGGCGAAGAAAAAUUAAAAAAAUCUUCUCUUCAGCCCUCUCUUCCUCCUCCUUCGUCCCACAGCCGCCCGACCUCCGCCCCUCCUCCCCUAUCGCCAACGGCGGAGUCACCGGUGCCUUGAUUAGGCUGACCCCCGCUAUGUCCAAGCCGCGUAUGGCCGGCUUCCUCUGUUUUGUCCGUCUCAUCAUUCUACAGAUCUCGAAAUCUGGCCGUCCAUAGCGACGGAGUUGCAGAUCUGGAAGUUGACCACCGCCGCUCGCAGCCAUGGACGAGCCGCUGUUGCUAGAAACAUGGUUGCAGAUCUAGAAGUCCCGUCGCGAGCAACGACGGCUUAUGGACUGCCAUUGUCCCCUCCGUCGUCGCCCGCGAUUGGCUCGUGGUCGUCGCCCGUCCAGAUCUGGGCUGGAGUCGUGCCUCCAGAUCUUGCAGAUCUAGAAGUCCCGUCGCGAGCAACGACGGCUUAUGGACUGCCAUUGUCCCCUCCGUCGUCGCCCGCGAUUGGCUCGUGGUCGUCGCCCGUCCAGAUCUGGGCUGGAGUCGUGCCUCCAGAUCUAGUAUCGUCCAUGGACGCAAGCCUAGCUCGUCCAUGGCUCGCCAGGAGGCUCCUCCACAGAUCUGGCGACCGCAGCUUGUCCAUGGCCAUGAGUCUUGACGGCGAGUUUGAGAUCCCUUCGUCCAUGGACUGCGAGGUCAAACGGCGAAAGAGAGAACAGAGAAAUAGAUGUCAGGGAAGAGCGGCCAUGGACGAGAGGCGUCAUGAAUGAGUAGACCACAGAGACGAUGUAGAGGGUUGGACGCUCGGCAAUGGUCGCCUUGGACGCGACGCCGGCAACUCCGCCGGUGGCGAUGGCUGGGGGACGCGGGAAGGUUGGGCUCAAUGUGGCUGGAGAUGGAGGAGAAAGCGUAGAUGGAGAAGGAAAGUGAGGGGAAUUGAGAUUUUUUAUAUUGAGUCAUCUGACCAAAAAACAGUCAAUAUUUAGUUAAUGUUGUAGCUACAUAAAAAAAUUAAAAAAAAAAUGGACUCAAUCAUCCAGUCAACACUUCCUUUCCGUCUCAUGAAGUUCUCCUCAUGUGAAGACUAAACGCAGUAAAUGACGACCUCCUCCGGCACUUCUUUUUUUGGGUCGAAACUGAGGCACUUGAAAAUGCGCGAUAUCAUUUUUUUAUUACAGAUUCUAUACAAGUUUUUUUUUUCCCCUAACACACGAAAUCCUUUUUUUUUCCUUAUUCUAAUACUUUUGCGCAAUUCUUUCUAUCGUUUUAUACUAGUAGAAUAGAAUGUUUAAUUAUAACAAGUAUCUACACAUCUGUUUACUUUUUAAUUGUAAGAAUUAUCACUAAUUAUUUAUUUAUAAUGCCAUUUGCAUGGAUAAGUUAUUAUAUAAUACCUAGCCCCACAUUCUAAGAAUAUUUCAAAAAGUCAUUAUAACACUCAAUCAACGAUACUAAUAAAUUUGGGGAAGUAUGAAAAUAGUCACCUGAUCUUUUGGUAGUGACAAGUUGUGAUAGAAUUGUUUUCAUUUUAGUGUCAAAUAUGAGCUGUCAUAUAAUAAUUGAUUUCUCCCACAUUAUUAGAUAAUUUAAAAAACUCAUAAAAAUCCUCAAUUAAGAAUAUUGAUAGAUUUAAGGAAGUGUGGAAAGUCUUUUUUUUUUUUUUUUGUGACAAGUCGUAAUUGCAUUAAAUAUAUUUUAACCAAAUGAAAAAUAUCAAUACUUACUUUUAAAUGGACAAUUCGUCGAGGUCAUGAUGUAGCAAAAAGAAAAAAAGAAAAAAAAGCACUCUUGAUUUUCUCCAUACAAACAAAAUGCAAUCAGUGGGUGCACACCCACUUUUUGCCAAAGGGUGGACCACUCGUACGCCACAAGAUUCUAUUUUUUUUUUUCACCUCAAAUUUGAAUAAAAUAUUAUUUCAAGGAUGUUAUUAAAGGUCCAAUGUAAAACUAGUAAAUUGUCCCAACUUGCUUUUGCUGAGAUCAUAACAUUAUGUUAUUUAUUCAAGUCGUUAUGUUGCCCAUGCCUAUUAAGAAAUUAUUUUCUUUUAGUACAAAAUUUUUCCAUGCAUAAAAAAGAAAAAGGUUGUGAACAAUUGAAGUUACUAUAUUUAUUUUUUUAUAUCCGGUUCGCCAUAUCCUUGACCUUAGCCAUCAGUCAACUUGUAUAAAAGCAUCAAUCAACCUCUCCCUAUUUAUGUCCCCAACAAAAUCUUGAGUUCUCAUGAUUUGUGAGAACAAGGGAAGUCUGGAAAUUCCUUCUUUAAGGUCAUAACUCAAUGUAAUCACAUUCAUUGUGUCAUUUUUUUUCUCACUAUGGCAGGUACAAUUUCCUGAACUUAGGUCGAUGGAUCUCUCCCACAUGAACAAUUUAAGCAAAAUAUGGACUGACACUCCUCAAGAAACUCUUACUUUUGAUUGUCUAAGGAAAGUGGAGGUUCGGAAUUGUAAGGGCCUUGAAAAUUUGUUUCCGUAUUGGGUGGCUACAAGUUUAACCCACCUUGAAAAACUUCAAGUGGAGUCUUGUGAGAUCGAGGAAAUAGUCGCUAAUGGGGGUGACACUCCAAGCUCCAAUACUACUCAAGAUCUUUUCCCAGUACUAACCUCUUUGGUGUUACGUGACAUGCCACGACUCAAGAGUUUCUAUCCUAACUUGCCCACUUUGCAUUGGCCAUUAUUGGAGGAAUUACGAGUGAUUCACUGUGACAAACUGAACAUGUUAUCCUUUACGGCAUCCAUGAACAGUUGGGCUCAAAAAUAUGAUCAACAAGACCUUUCAAAUCAAGAAGCACACUCUUCAUUCGAGAGGGUAUGAUUGUAGCUACUCUCCAUUAGUUUCUACUUUGUUCUUUAAAGCAGUCAUUAAUAUCAUAUCCAUUGCAUAUCAUGUCGCGUUAUAAUGUUAUAGAAAACAUGAUCUCCCUUACUUAUUAGUUUGUCGACAACAUUAAGAUAUUUCUAAUAUCUUAAGUAUACUUUCAUUUGUGGACAUGCAUAAGAUAUUCCAUUACCUAGAGUUACAAAAAUAUUUAUAGUAUUCUAUUGACAACAGAAUAUAUUCCUAAUCUAACUGAAUGGUGCUCCUUGGUGACAUCAAUAAGAAUUUGACAAGAGGUCCUCUCAAUUAUUGACAUGUGUCGCACAUUUGAACUUUUCUUCUCUAUUUCAUCUUCUACAAACUCUAAAAAAACACCAAUUGAAACUUUUUUUUUAAACAAAAAUAACAUCAGUAUUUAGUGCACCAUUUUCUAAUGUAUUUUUUAAUACACUGCACAGUCAAGUCAUCGUGUUGUAACAUUAGUAACAUUAGUACCUUAGUGCAUUGCAUAGUCGUCUUGUUGUCCUAUUAUAAUAUUAUAGAAAACUAGAACCCCUUUCCUAUAAGUUUGCGGACAACAUAAGGUAUUUCUUAUAUCUUAAGCACACUUCUAAAUUUGUGGACCCCAUAUGUUUUAGUAACAUCAUGAGCGCAUCUCAUUACAUAAGAUUCCAAAGAAGAUAUAUUUUUGUUGACAAGAUAUUCCUAACAAAAGAUGAAUUUAGUGAUUGUAUGGGUCUUGAAUUUAGAUUCACAUUAUCCACUUGACCUGACCAACCUUCCAUGCAAAUCAUCUAAAUAGGUUUACUUUUAACAACACAUGAUUUAUUGCCAAAACUUCGUAGAAUUUACUUCUCUUAUUGUAUUGGCUAUUUGACAGGACUUUCCCAACUUUGAGAGACUUUUAUUAGUCAAUAACAAUAUUCAGAUGAUACAAGAUGGAAAAUUUCCCGAUGACAUCUUUAGCAAACCAAAAGCACUAACACUGGCAUGCUUUCAUGAUGAAAAGGCCGUUUUUCCUUCUAUAUUCCUCUUAGAAAGAUUUCAGAAUCUACAAAGUCUUGAGGUAUUCUGUAGCUCAUUUGAAGAUAUAUUCCCGGACGAAGGGUUUGUUGAAGAGGGGAAACAUCUGGAGCUUGAAAAUUUAAGAGAAAUUAAGUUAAACAAGCUAUGCAACCUGAAGCGUGUGUGGAGAGAAGACUCUUUAGUGUCGAAAAUUCUUCAGAGCAUCAAAACAUUUGAGAUUUGGGAUUGUCCCUGUUUGACGACAAUAUUUCCAACUGUGGCAUCCUUCCAAAAUUUGACGAAGUUAGUGGUGAAGAAUUCCUCUGGAUUGGUACAUCUAGUAACAGUUUCAACGGUCACAAAUUUGAUGCAUCUGGAGAGGAUGACUAUAAUAGAAUGUGAAAGAGUGAAAGAAGUAGUGGCCAAUGAUGGAAACGGAGAAGGAAAAGUGAUUUCUUUUGGAAAUCUAAACUUUUUGACACUCCAAGAUCUGCCAAACCUAGAAUGCUUCUCCUCCAUCUCGAGUUGCACCUUCAAGUUCCCAUACUUAUUGAGGAUUAUAGUGGAAGAGUGUCCGAAAAUGAAGACCUUUUCUAAGGGUACGCUAAGCACACCACAACUAUUUAUGUUGGCUAAUGCGGUGAGCCUAUUCAGAUACAAGUGGAAAGGGAAUUGGGAGGAGGGCGAUGAUCUCAAUACGACCAUACAAAAGUUAUGGGCAUAAACAAAUGCACAUAGAAUUGGUAAAUAUUCAAUUGAUGUCAUUCUCUCAUCCAUUCGUAUUUUUCUUCUUAUUUUUUGGUAGCACGGUAAGUUUUUAAAUUUUUCUUUUUGUAACUUUUCUAUUAUUGAUACCGUCGGAUCAAAGCAUCAUCAACCCUUUUCUAUCGAUCGAUCGAUCUCGCCUCCUUCACUGAACAGUAGGAAACGAAGCAAGGCUCUCCUUCUCCUUCUUAACGCCAGAGGCUCUCUCUACUGCGUUCACGGAGGACGGAGCGAAAAGUAAGCGUCGGGAAUUGCCAGGACUUGAGAGAAGAUGGCAUUGCCAAGUCUGGACAGUCAGUCCUCCACUCACUUCAUCAAAGAAGAACAUCAUUCCCUCUCCGCAUCUAUAUUCGACGAAUCGUAAGUUCACGCUUCUGCUCACAUCAUUUCUCUCGUCUGCUAGAAUUUCUUCCCGAUUUUCGUGUCUUAUUGCACGUAAUUUUCUUCCGGUGUUCGUAGAGACCUUUCCUCAAUCGUCGUCGUCUUCUUCAGCUAGGGCUCUGCUUUUUAAAUUCGUUCCGUGUAAAUUUCUCAGUCCGCUACUUCAGAUCAUGGACCAAUAGAGGUCCUUCACUGACAUCAUCAAAGAAGAAGAUCAGUCUCUCUCUCUCUCUCUCGCUCUAUCGCUCUCUCUCGCACUUGAACCCGGCAAACUCGUAAGUUCACUUUUCUCCCAAUUUUGUUGUCUUAUUGCGCAUCAAUUAGGUUGAAGUCGGAAGCUGGUUUCGUAGAGACCUUCCUCAAUCCUCGCCUUCUGCUUCAGCAAAGGGCUCUGUUCUUCAAAAUUCAUUCCACAUUAGAGUCUAAAAGGAUAGCAAUUUUAUCUUAACAAUGGAGUAAUUGAAAUAGGGAAAAGAAUGAAAGGACUAUUAUUGGGACAUAAGCUAGUGGUUGGAGGUUCGAAAAUAUAACAAUCGUCUCCUUAUUUAGUGGAUAGAUGCGUUGGAAAAGCAAUUCCUAAGGAGUCUUAGAAUUAGAAUCCAAGUCCUCUUAUAUGGAGAAAUUUGACAAUGUGAUUCAAUGUCGGAGAAGUAGAAUAUAUAUGUUAAUCGCACAAAGAGAGUAUGUUCAUAUGGACAAGCAAAUUGCAAAGAAUGUUGCUUCCUCCAUAACUAAAGAGAAAGACCUAAUUGAUAAGGGGCUGGCUUGUUGUGAUUAUGAAAUUUCGUUCUAGAUGUAAUGACUGAUAAUUUUGUUUUUAAAUUGGAGAUGCUGUUGUAUUUUAUUAUAUUAAUCAGAUUUAGGGAAAAAGAAAAGAUUUUACUUCGUCAAAUUGAACCAAUAGUUGAUAAAACGNNNNNNNNNNNNNNNNNNNNNNNNNNNNNNNNNNNNNNNNNNNNNNNNNNNNNNNNNNNNNNNNNNNNNNNNNNNNNNNNNNNNNNNNNNNNNNNNNNNNGAUUCUUUUUCGCUGGUCGGCCCAAAUUUGGAAGAGAAGGUCAUCUGCAUGUAGAAACUCAUUGAUAGGGAUGAUUUUCUGUUCAGAGUCCACAUAUUCACUAGUGCUGGUUAGGACUUGAUUUACAUUGAUCUAGAUGAACUCUGGAAGUGUCACUUUCACUGGUCCAAAAUGAAUUCAGUAUUCCAAAUAAUAACUCCUUUAUAUAGUCUUGAGGAAUCAAGGAAGUGUACUUCUACGCCGAUUGGGUUUUAUGAGGUUGAUCACAAUCCAGAUGCACACUCAUUAAUGCCACAUUCUAAAUCUAAAUGAACUGAAAAGUAUGUGCUUCAAGACAUCCUUUUUGGUUUAUGCAUUCUUCAUUUUGAAUUUAAAAACAAGUCUCAUAGGCUUAUUAAAAAGGUUCAAGAGGAUGCUUUUGAGAGAAUGGUGCAAUUAUUUGGCCUGUAGAAUUGGAAAAAUGUGAUGAGAUGGUUUGGUUAGCAAAUGGUUUGAAUGAAUAUGCAGAGCAUUACUCUAUCUGUAAGGUUCAAUUUUUGGUCUUCUAAUAUGAAGGGGACUCCAUUUCCCGUGUCACCAUAAUUGAUGAAGGGAUGUCCACGACAGAAUAUCCACCAAUCAAUGUUGAUAUGAGGAACCAAGCCUCAGCAAUUAUGGAAUUGUCUUGCUCAAAGUGGAAGAUGCCUUCGAUUGCCAUGACGUUUCAGUCAAGCUUCAACUCUGGGGGGAUAAUUUGCAUUCAACCAAGUGUCCUCGAUUUUGUAUGGAAAUCGAAUUUGAUCAGGUUUGCAAAGUUCAUGGCGGUUCCUAUGCACAUUCAUCAGCAGAGUUUGGGAGGGACAAAAGUUACAACUGCUCAUCACAAGAUCUUCCAGGUGUGAUUCUUAAUAUUAGCUAAUUCUUCCAUUGAUUGUGUGUGUGUGUUGAGACUAAGUGUGCCGGCGAUUGCUGUGAUGUUUCGGUUGAGCUCGAAGUCUCCAUUGAUUGUGUUGUUUCUCAUGUUUGAUUCAAAUACUGUACAGGAACUGUCCAUUUCGUUUGGCUAAGAGAAACUGCAUUAGAGUUAAUGCUAAGAGAAACUGUGUUAGAGCUAACUCAUUCUCUUAAUGUUUCUGUGUGUGUGUGUGUGUGUGUGUGUGUGUUUUUCUGUGUGUGCGUGUGUGCAUGUGUGCGUGCGCGCGCGCGCGCGUGUGUUGAGACUAAGUGUGCCAGCAAUUGCUGUUUCGGUUGAGCUGUGUGUGUGUGUGUGUGUGUUGAGACUAAGUGCGCGUGCGUGCGCGUGCGUGCGUGCAUGCACGUGCGCGCGCGCGCGCGCUUGUGUGUGUUGAGACUAAGUGUGCUGGCGAUUGCUGUGAUGUUUUGGUUGAGCUUGAAGUCUUGGGGGAUUAAUUGCAUUCAGCUUUGCAUGGCAAUGGAAUUUGAUUAGGUUUGCAAAGUUCAUUGAAAUUCCCAUGCACAUUCAUUAGCAAAAAGUUUGGGGAGGGACAAAGUUCAAACUGCUCAUCACGAGAUUUUCUGAGAGUGAAUCUUAAUAUAUUAGCAAAUUCUCCCCUUGACUGUGUUGUUCCCAUAUUUGAUUCGAAUAUCAGGUAGGAACUCUCCACGUCGUUAGGCUAAGAGAAACUGUGUUAAAGCUAAUUCAUUAUUGUAAUGUUUCUUUGUCUAUAGCUCUCCCGCCUGUACAUAUGUAUGUGUUUGGGGAUCUCAUAAAUAAUGGAAACAAAGCAAGCCAGUCAUAUCAGAUUUCAUUGUGAUGAGAAUGGAUUUGUGUGCAUAUAGGCCUCAGGAAGAUAGAACAUUAGUAAGACUCAGAUCUAUUGAUUUAGGGUUGCCGUGUCGGUAGAUAUGGGUUUUACAUAACAAGAAUAGAAUAUGCCUAAAACGCUAAAGCUUUUUUCAUGUUCUGUUUGUGGCUGCUGUAGGUAAGCUGAGAGAGUCAGGCUUGUGAAGAGCUCUCGAACUAGCCAGCAAAUUUGUACUCGAUUAUCCUUUCUUCCAAAUUGCGGUGAGGUGAAUAUAUCUGAAGAAAAGCAAUAUGGUAAGAUCCUCAUGACAAUGACAACUCUUGGAUUUAAAUCACAUAGAGUUGCUAGACUAUGUUAGAUCUAGAUAUUUAAUCACGUGGCCAAAAAAAAAAAAAAAAUUGGGUCCUUUACAUGCUUUGAAAAGGAUAUUCAUACUGUCUUCCUCAGAAAUCGUUGGUUGUUUUCUUCUUUCGGAUGACAAAAUUGCGAAUUGUCUCCUUGAGCAGAGAGUUUCUGGUUCAUUCCUAAAGACGCAUGUUAAGAAAAGCCCGCAGACCAUGGCUCUCAUAUUGCAAGACAGCAUGGCGUUGAAGCUCACCAGCCGUGAACAUUAUGGAAAGCUAUUUGCCUACAGGGCUGCAUUCAUGAGAGAAACUUCUCUGAAGGCGGAAGACGCGUUAUGUGUUUGAGCUCUACUGAUAUGGACAAUAUCAUGUUUGGACCAUCCAACUUCAGAACCAUUGAUAAGACUUGGCUGAAUGAUAAUACUAUGCAAUACGAUAUAGCAGAGGAAGUUUCGGCUUAGCUCACUUUUGGUGAGAAUGUGGCUUUCAGAAUGGCUAGGCUAAAUUCUGCUUCCAAUUCGGCAAAAUGGAUAAAAGCAUGAGUCUUGUUCCAAUGGAUGAAAUGGUCCUGAAUGUGUACAAUGCCUUUCUUUGAUCCUAGACUUAAUAAUCACCAUGAGGGCACGAGUUGUGAGUCGGAGGAAGCUGAUUCCUACUUUUGACUUUGUAACUUCCAUUUCAGGAGACAAUCCCUCAAAUCUGGGGCUUCUUCAAGGUUUCUAGUGGCACAACCUGACCUUUAGAAUUGUAGAGGGUAGUAACAUCGGAUACACUUCCCCUAAGCCAUAUACCAAGUCUAAAUUUCAAGGUGUAACCAUGACUUUACAAGCUCUGAUGAACUUAAUCAGAUUCUGUUCAUUGUCUCUUUUUGAUUUUUUCAGGAUUUCGUGAUCAGUCUUUUCGCAUGAGAGAAGUUCGUUAGUUUCUUCUCAUAUGGAAAGCAUUCAGAAUUUAUUCUGUCAAAUUAACUGAGUAAUGAUAUGUAUAGCAAAGCAAUUUCCAAUCUAUGCUGCAUCUUUUCAUGGUUAGUCAAUUGAGGAAAUUUUCACAUUAAUAUCUACUAAAAUUCCUCAUUGUUCAACUGUGGAAAAAAGGAUUUCUAGUCACCCACCUUUCUACCCUCGGCCAUGCCGCCAAAUGAAAUGAUAUCAUAGGAUUUAUAUAAAGAAGUACCCCAGAGUGGAAGGAAUAGCUUCACUAUUUCUAUUUUUAUAGAAAUGGGAAGUAGUCUAUAUGUAGAUUGAGCCAUUCUGAGUUGGUUUUUCCUGGUCUUACACUUCCUAGAGCUCUCAUUACACGCCUAAAUUAGCUUGCAAAUUCGGUUUAUAGAUGUCCUUUUUCAAAAUAGUGAUCCCGCAUUUUAUAUGAAUAGUUUAGUAAGAUCUUGAGCUUAAUUCGUCACCAAUACCUAAAGCUUAAUUAUGAUUGCUAGUGCCUACAAUAUGACGACCGUUCUAGCAAUUGAUGUCCACUUGUUGGAGUAUUUUUUUCCCCAUUUAUACAGCAUUUAUAAUUGAAGCCAAUAGAACGCUAGAACAACAUUCACUAAUAACACGUAAUAAAAAAGAAUGUUAGCUAGAAAUAUCUUUUAAUCCUUUAGCACUUUCAAAAGGAUAAAUUAAUCCUUAAAUUUCCUCGACCUCAAAUUAUUACCUUCUUGUUUUUUGCCCUCCAAUUUUAUCCUUUGAUUUCUCAUUCCACAUAACAAUUGCAUAGCUUGGUUGUUCAAACAUGUAGAUUAUUAUCAUAUUUCGGGUGGAUUCAUUAAGCAACAUAUUCGAAAAAAAAAGCAAAGAGCAACUCUUAGGUAUUCUGGCAGUGAAGCUCGUCGGGAGCUAUAGACUUGUAAGAGGGGCUUGGUCUCUAUAUUUUUCUUCUGGUUGACAUGCAUUUCCGAGAGAAACUCACACGCAUGUAGGAGACGGUUUGCCUAUUUGAGCUAAUUGAUAGGGAUGAUGGUAUUUGAAGACUCCAUUUUGAGUUUGCAUGUUUCAGCUAGUUGACAGGGAUGAUGGUGUUUGAGACUUCAUUGUAUGAAAUGAGUACUCCCAUGUUUAGUCGUGCUGCAUCACUGACAAGUAAAUUUCCUUUUCUUUGUUAAUUGAAAAUAAACUCAAAAAGAUUUUAUGAAGACUUUGGUGCCUCGAUUUGUAACACAACGAUUUAGGCAGGAAUUCUAGGUAGUUAUAUUUUCAUGAAUUUCCACUUCUUCUUAAUGUUCACAAGAGUUACCACCUUAGUAGAAGACAAUGACAAUAUCAAAAUGGAUGAGUCAUUUAUCCAGGUUAGAGUCAGGACAACUAAACUGAACUCUAUCAUUAGGUCCCUCAUAAAUGAAUGGACUAAGAUGAUCACCUAAAUGCUUGCAUUCUUUGCAGCAACAGCUUCUCAUUACUAUAUGCUUAUCACAACUUGCGACUCAGAUACCUCUAUGUAAUGACAUGCUUUUCCUUCUCCCCAACGUGGUGUCAUAGAAUCCACAAAGAAUCCUUUUUAGAUCUUCAUGAUUUUUAUUUCUAGGGAGUUUUUGUGUUGAUCCGCUGUCACAUAACACGUGUAUAAUCAACGUCAACAUUGCUUAGGAGUGAGCUUUAGGAGGUCACCAAUUCUCUACACCGCUUUGUAACAGAACGAAACAACAUAUAAUAUUGAUACUAAUAACCAGAAAGCAAAGCAGACCCAUAUAAAAUUUCAUUGAACCCCUAAAACACCAGAGCACAUAAUUAACAAAUUUGAUGGGAUCAUCGACUAAUUUAAAGAACAGCGGUUAAGCUAUGCAACAACAGGUUACCUAUAGUAUAGGUCCUAUACGAGGGUUAGGAGUGUCAUUGAAUAGCAAAAGCAAAUUACUACUUCGAAAAGAGACGAGCAUGUCCAGACUCCAGAAUCUGCCAAUGGUUGCUUACCCUUUCGAACAAAGUAAGGCAGGAAAAUAGGACGCGGGAGACGUGGAGCUUUCUCGAUCCUUCUUCUUCUUCCUCGGGAGCGAAACUGGGGGAACCUCUGCUUCACUCCAUGGAGGACGGAACGAAAACGAAGCGUCGGAAAUUGCGAGGACUGAGAGAAGCGAAGCUGCACUUAGCGGAGCGGAGUGAAGUAGAGGGGGGAGAGAGAGGGAGACUCAACCAGAUGGAGUGUUACUGUCGCCGCCGUCGCCGCCGCCGCCGCCGCCGCCAGAGAGAAGACGAAAGUGCGACGCCGGAGAUGGCAUAACCGAGUCUGGAUGGACAGUCCCCCACUCACUUCAUCAAAGAAGAAGAUCAUACUCUCUCUCUCUCUGACGAAUCGUAAGUUCAAUGCUUCUGCACCCACCAUUUCUCCCGUCCGCCAGAAUUUCUUCCGAUUUUCGUUUCUUAUCGUGCGUAAUUUUCUUCUGAUUUGCGGAAAACCUUUCCUCAAUCGUUGUCGUGUUCUUCAGCAAGGUCUCUGCUUUCAAAAUUCGUUCCACAGUCGAGUCUUGUCCAUGUAAAUUUCUCAACCCACUGCUUCAGAUCGUGGACCAAUAGAGGUCCUCAAUCGUCGUCGUCGACAUCUCGCGUGCUUCUCUUGUGAGUAUGUGUAUGGUUUUUCUUUAUCAUACUGGCUGCUUUGGAAGUGUGCAUGGAGCAUUUAGUCAGAUCAUGGCCAGCGAAGAAAAGGAGCUAAUCCGCACAAGCAUGUGGCGUUCUUCUCUGCCAAUACGCAAGCAUUUGUGAUAGAAUCACGUAUGUGUAGGAGAUUUCUUACGUGUGUGAGCUCAUUAUGGAGAUGAUAUAAGGAGUCGCUUUUAUGCUUUGUUCUUAAUAAACUUCAGAGUGCUCAUCGUCAUGAGAAUUUGGAGGGAUGACUUGCGGUUUAACAUAUUGAGUUUCUGUUGUAUAACUCUCUUUCCGUCGCUCUUUGCAAAUUCUAGAAAAGUUUCUAAGAAGCUCUUGUUUGAAUCUUGAUUGAUUACGUCAUGAUUUGUACAUAAACUAUCACUAAAGUUAUCAUUUUUCAAGUACAGGGAGGACCAAACAGUUAGAAGAUUUGAGGCACCCGGAGCUGGUUUUUUAUGGUCCCACACACCCAAGACCUCUCACUGGUCUUUAAUUGGCCAACAAAUUUCAAACGGAGAAUCCCUUCUUCAAGGUGGUGAUGAGGCCAUCUUCUGUUAACUAUGGCAUGGUAAGAUCCCAAGCUUAUUUACUCAAACUGGCAUGACUGAAAAUCGAAUAUAUCAAUGCUGUUUAUAUCUUUGCCCAUACUCUAAUGUAAUUCCAAGUUCACCUCAUUAAACCACGACAUGUUCUUUUCCCUGAAGUGUUCAUGAGUAUAUGUUUAAAACCAGGUAUACAUCUUAAUGAUGGAGUAAUCAAAGCAGGAAAAAGAAUGAAAGGAUAGUUAUGGGGACAUAAGCUGGUGGUUGGAGGUUCGGAAAGAAAACAGUCGUCUUCUUUUUUUUUUUGGAUAGAUGUGUUAGAAAAGCAAAUGCCGAGGCAAGUCUUAAGAAUUAGAAUUUGAGUUAUAUGUUAAUCACACAAGGAGACUAUGACAUGAACAGGCAAAUUGCAAAGAAUGUUGCUGUCUCCAUAAACUCUGGACUGCUCAUUAUCAUGGGAAUUUGGAGGGGUGUUGCGGUUUAACAUGUCUUGUUUCUGCUUGCCUAACUCUCUUUCUCUUGUUCUCUUCAAAUUCUAGAAGAGGUUUUUUAAGAAGCUCUGGUUUUAAUCUUGAUUGAUUACGUAAUGAUGUGGGAAUAACUUCCAACCCAUGCUAUAUUUUUUCAUGGCAAGUCCAAUUAAUGAAGUGUAAACAAACUGUUGCUAAAGUUGUCAUUUUCCAAGCACAGGAAGGACCAAACAGUUAGCAGAUUGAGGCAUCCUGAGCUGGUUAUUUUAUGGUCCCACACACCCAAGGCUUGUCACUACUCAUAAAUCGGCCAACAAAUUUCAAAUGGAACAUCCCUUUUUCAAAGUGGUGAUGAGGCCGUCUUAUGUUAAGUAUGGCUUGGUAAGAUCCCAAGCUUAUAUCCUGAGACUGGCAUGUCUGAAAAUCAAAUAUAUUCAUGCCGUUUAUAUCUUUGCCUAUACUCUAGUGUAUUUUUCCAAGUUUACUUAAUUGUAUAGUAAACCAUAUGAUAUGUUAUAUUCCUUGAAGUGUCCAUGGGUAUAUGUUUAAAAUCAGGUAUAUAUCAUAACAAUGGAGUAAUUGAAGCAGGGAAAAGAACGAAAGGACAGUUAUUGGGACAUAAGCUAGUGGUUGGAGUUUCAGAAAGAUAGUGAUUAUCUUCUUUUUUUGUGGAUAGAUGUGAUGCAAAAGCAAUUGCUGAGGUGUCUUAAGAAUUAGAAUCCAAGUUCUCUUAUAUGGAGAAAUUUGACAAUGGAGAAAUCAGGUAUAUGUAAAUCGCACAAGGAAACUAUGUGGAUAUGGACAAGCAAAUUGCAAAGAAUGUUGCUGCUUCCAUAACUAAAGAGAAAGACCUAAGAAAUGAGGGGGUGGCAUUUUAUGAUUCUGAAAUUUUGUUGUAGAUCUAAUGACUGAUAAUUUUGUUGUCAACUAGGAUAUACUGUUGUAUUUUGUUAUAUUAAUCAAAUUUGGGGAAAAAAGAAGAUGAUUUUACUUUGUCAAAUUGAACCAAUAGUUUGAUAAAACCUUAUUUGAGCUGCGCUUGGAAGAAUCGAACAGCUUAAGUUUGACAUUUGACAUAUAUGUGCCAGUCAUCGAUGUAUUUGCUUUUUCCCUGUGAUUGUGGUCUGUGUAGCUGAAAUUCGUAUAUAUAGGACAUGGAAGGCUUCUUCUGAAUGUUUCCCUAUUGCACUCUAGGAGCAUAGAUAUUGAUAUUUGACUUUGGAUUGAUGACUUGCAUCAUAUGGUUUAUAUUAAAACUCACGUUGUGCGUGAUUUGAUUCUCUCAUUAGAGUAUGCUUAUAUUUUGGUCUGUUUUUCACCAUAUGUUGGUCUUUCAACCAUGUUUAGGGGCAGUCUGCUCCUAUUCAAUUCAUCAUGCAACAUAUUUAGGAAAUCAUGUGAAUUGCGACUUUCAGGUAUUCAGUCAGAUCAUGGAGGGUGAAGCUAAGGAGCUAUGGAGACGCAAUAUUGGGGCGGGGGGUUGUUUUUUUCUAUUGGUUGGCCCACAUUUGCAAGAAAAAGUCAUCUGCGUGUAGAAAUUCAUUGAUAGGAUAAUGUGGUGUUCAGAGUCUAUGUAUCCACUAGUGCUACUUAGGACUAUAUUUACAUCAAUCGAGAUGAACUCUGGAAAGGUCACUUUGGCUGGUACAAAAUGAAUUCAGUAUUCCAAAUAAUAACUGCUUCAGAUAGUCUUGAUGGACCAAGGAAGUGUACUUCUACGUUGAUUUUGUUUAUGAGGUUGAUAAUAAUCCAAAUGCACACUCAUUAAUGCCACAUUCCAAAUCUGAAUGAACUGAAAAGGAUGUGCUUCAAGAUGUCCUUUUUGGUUUAUGCAUUCUUGUUAUAUUGUUCUUCAUUCUGAAUAUGAAAUCAAGUCUCAUAGGCUUAUGAAGAUUAUACAUUUUAUUUUUUCCCACAGGGAAUACCAAAGAGGUUCAUGAAAAUAUGGUGACAAUCUCUCGAAAGGAUGAUUUCUGAGAGAUUGGUUUGGCCUGUGGAAUUGGAAAAAUGUGAUGAGAUGGUUUGGCUAUCAAAGGGUUGGAAUGAAUUUGCAGAGCAUUGCUAUAUCUGUGAGAGUGUGAGGGCCAAUUUUUCGUCUCAAAUCUGAAGAGGACUCCAUUUACCAUGUAAUCAUUUUUGAUAAAAGCAUGUCCGAGAUAGAAUAACUGCCAAUCAAUGUCAAUAUGAGGAACCGAGCCUCAGCAAUUGUGGAAUUAUCUUGUUAAAAGUGGAAGAUGCCUGCAAUUGCCAUGAUGUUGCAGUUGAGCUUGAAGUCUUAGGAGAUGAAGCCAAGUGUCCUUGGCUUUGUAUGACGAUGGAAUUUGAUCAGUUUUGCGAAGUUCAUGGCAGUUCCUAUGCAUGUUCAUCAGCACGGAGUUUGGGGAGGGACAGAAGUUUGAACAGCUCAUCAUGAGAUUUUCCAAGUAUGAAUCUUUUUAUAUUAGCUAAUUCUCCCAUUGAUUGCGUUCUCUCAUUUGAUUCGAAUUCCAUACUGGAACUCUCUAGAGCUAAAUUCAUUCUUAUAGUGUUUCUUUGUCUCUGGUUCUCCCAUGUGUGCAUAUGUAUGUGUUGGGGCUUCUUGUAAAUUCAAGCGAAUGGAAACAAGCCAAACUGGUCAUAUCGGAUUUGAUUAUGCUGAGAAUUGUAUUGGCAUGCAAAUUGGCCUCAGGAAGCUACACUGUUAGUAAGACUCAGAACUAUUGAUUUAGGGUUGCUAUGUUGGCAGAUAUGAGUUUCACAUAACUAGAAUAGACUAUGCCUAGAAAGCAAAAAAUUUCUUCAUGUUCUUUUGUGACUGCUGCAGGUGUAAGCUGAGAGAGCCGGGCUUGUGCAGCGCUCUUGAACCGGCCAACAAAUUUAAACCUGAGUAUCCUUUGUCCGAAAUUGCAGUGAGGUGAAUACAUCUUAAAAAAAGACAAUGUGGCAAGAUACUCAUGACAAUGACAACUCUUGGGUUUAAAUCACAGAGUCGCUAGACUAUGUUAGCACUAGGUUAAUCGCGCAUCAUGUCAAUAGUUUCUGUUGUUAUCCUUCACAUGCUUUGAAAAGGAUCCUCCCACUAUCUUCCUCAGAAAUCAUUGGUUGUUUUCUUGUUUCUGAUGACAAAAUUGCAAAAUGUCUGUACUUGAGUAGAGAGUUCCUGGUUAAUUCCCAAAGACGCAUAUUAAGGAAAGCUCAUAGAUCACUGGUUUCAUAUUUCAAGACAAAUCAUGGCCAUUGAAGCUCAUCAGCCACGACCAUUAUGGAAACUUAUCUGCUCGUUGGGCUGCAUUCAGGAGAGAAACUCCUCUGCAGGUGGAAGACGUCUGUGCGUUCGAGCUUUAUCGGAAGGGACAAUAUCGUGUUCAAAGUAUCCAUCUUCAGAACCACUGAUAAGAUUUGCGUGAAUAACAAUACUAUGCAAAUACGAUGCAGCAGAGGCAGCAUCGGUUUUAGCUCACUUUUAGUGAGAACUAAACAGACAGAAUUGCUAGGCUGAAUUCUGCUUCUAGUUCGGCAAAAUAGAUAAAAGCAUGAGUUUUGUUCCAAUGAAUGAAAUGGUCCUGAACGUGUACGAUACCUUUCCUUGACCCUAGACUUAAUGAUCACCAUGUGGGCGGGAGUCGUGAGUUGGAGGGAGCUGAUAACUAAUGUCAGUUCUGUAAUGUCCAUUUCUGGAGACAAUCUUUCAAACUUGGUGCUUCUUUAAGGUUUCCGGUGGCUCGAUAUGACCUUUAGAAUUGUAAAUGGUAGUAACGUCGAAAACACUUCCCUUGAGCCAUAUACCAGGUCUGAAUUUCAAGGUGCGACCAUGAGUUUACAAGCUUCGGUGGACUUACAUCAGAUUCUUUUCAUCGUCUCUUUCUGAUUUCUUGAAGAUUUCGUGAUCAGUCUUUUAGCACGUGGGCGCCAAUUGAAGUUUGUUGAAGGGCUUUCGGAAUUUUUUAUUUUUUAUUUUUCAUAUUAGCUGAAUGUUGAUAUGCAUGACAAAGCAAAUAUGCUGGCGUCUUUGGGUCGCUGCGGCACGACUCUUCCGCAUACUCUCUCGACAGAUACAGCAUCCGAGCCUCCAGCAGUGGCUUUUCGUCUUAGAAUCGGCGCUCUCAGAACUCGCUCUCGCCGCCGGAUAAAGCUCGCCGAUUCUCUCUCUCUCUCUUCCUUACAAGAACUCGAUACCUCCUCCAAAGCACAACCGACGGCAAUGGAAAUUUGGGAGACAGCAAGAGGAUGGGAGAAAACAAAAGCGAAACAUCCUGGAGAUGCAACGUCCCGGCAAUUGCGAUUGUUGAUCAAGGAAACUCCGUGGUCAAUUUCGCUGUCGUGGCAGCAAGGCGACUGUUAUCUUCGAACCGGUAGCCACACUGUUUGUGCUUCAGUCGCUGCUGGAAGCAACAAUCGUUAGAGAAUUCAAUCUCGAUGAAUCGCUGGCGGGUGCUCCGUUCGCGAUUGGACUUUCUCUCCAGAUUUUCUCCGACUAGAUUUUUUUUUUUUUGCAACUUCUCUCUCUCUCUCUCUCUCUCUCUCUGGCUCUGGAUUCCCCUGAUUCAUCUCCACCAAUUCAGAUCAUGCCCACGGUGAAGCACACCAUCGGAUUCCAUAUUCGAGUCGUGACCACUCCGAUUCGAGUCGUUGCUUUUCCUGUCCUUACCCAUGUCUGUCGCCGGGCCAUCUCAAGCUCACGUGGCCAUCGCCACCGAACCAUCAUCAGGGCCGUUUCAUGUCCGAUUGAACUUCCAAGUCAAAUUCCGAUUCACUCCAAAAUACGUUCUGUUGACUCUUGCUUCGUUCUGUCCCGCUCCCACUUCAUCGCCGUCUUUCAAUUCCAUUGUUUCGCCCAUCCAUGCCACACGCAAAGGGGAUGCGGAGUGGUUUGUUCACUGUUUACAAGAGUUUUAUCCGAUUGCCAAGGCUGAGGUUGGAUGGAUGAUCAUCAUCUGGAUACAAUCCACCGAUUCGAAGGAUGAGAUUCUUCGGGUUUCGCUCUCAGCUCCCCUGCCGGUCCGGCCUCGCUUCAUCAACCGCGGCAGCCGAGGCCAAUCUGGGUCGUCAUUAUCAUCCGAGACGAUAUGCCAAGCGUGAAGAUUGGCGGCGGUGAGCACGAAGAGAAAACAACGAAGAACAAAAAGGAGCGAAGCAGCGGAUGGUGGUUCUUUGGCUGAGAAGGAAAUAAAGUGCUGAAAAAAAAAAAAAAAGAGACGAAGGGAAAAAAUAGAGUGCCCACGAGAAAUCGAUCAAAAGGAAGACUUGCAGAAGAGAUGUAAUUCGUCAUUCCAUCGAGCACCUUCCUUGCAAACUCGAUCCCUCCUCCACAGUGCGACCGACGGCAAUGGAUCUUUGGAAACAGAUAUCAACGGACGAAGUCAAAACAUGUCAAAAUUAAUUCUAGAAUCGAAUCGAAGAUGAAAUGACCUGGUGAUAAGUACGACCGUCGAUCUGACAUAUAUCAUGAUCGCCCGAAUGUUAGCGAGGAACCGGCUGUCCAUGGAUAUUUCUUAUGGUGCGAUCUUCGUUCCUCCGUCUGUUGUUACAGAAUCGUUUCACUUUCUCUGUCUCUCUAAGCGCAAUUCAACGAACACCUUCUGCUCAGAGGACGCAGCACUCAAUGACCAGGAAACUCCGUCUGUCAAGUUCUUCGCCAUGCAUCGUUUUCUCUUUGUCCAUCUUCAUUCUUCACUAAGCCUUCCUCCAUCAGGGUCGUUUCCUAUCCGAUUGAACUUCCAAGCCCAGUUUCGAUUCAUUCCAGAAUACGUUUUGUCGAUUCUUGCUUCGUUCUAUUCUCUCCCACUUCAUCCCCGCCUUUCGGUUUCCAAAUGCCGUCGCUCGCGUCCUUCGUUUCGCCCGUCUAAGCCGCGCACAAAGGGGAUGUCGGGCUGGUGUAUAGGAUCCACUGAUUUGAAGGAUGAGAUUCUUCGGGUUCACUAUCGGCCCUCCUGCCGGUCCAAGAAGCCCGUUGAAAGGAAGACUUGCACAAAAGAUGGAAUUCCUUGAGAGGAAGAUUCAUCCCACGACUCAAGCCAUCAUUUUCAUUUUCUUUUCCUUAGAAAAAGGCAUCAAAAACUCCAAACGACGCCAUUGCUGCGUCUCUUCGUUUCACAUACCUUUGUCGGAUCUCUCCCUCCAUCUCGAUGCCCUCCCCCGCUCAGUGAAUUCCGAGUCGCUCCACCAUCACCCUCACUGUCUACUGCUGCCUUGAAACCGAGUUGCACUCACCUAUUUCCAGUGUGAGCCUUGUGAUUGAUUCCGUCCCUUGCCGUCUUUAGAAACUUUCGGUGAUAAUUUUUUUUUUUUUUUCCUUCUUCCGGUUUAAAUAGCGUUUUCGUAUUGUGGAUUCUUACAUGUUUUGACAGAGGCUUCAAUCUGGUGGCCUCGAGCCAUGUUUAAUGCUCUUGUCAUUUUGCUCGUCAAUGGAGUUCAUGUCAGAUUUUUUUUUUUCCUUUUUUCCUUGUUUACAAUCGUGAAUCCGAGACCACUUGGAAACGAGCGAACAUUGAACUGAAAAUGUCGUGAGAAAUCGCCACAGCGAGCAAGGGUUGUGCAGAGUUAAGCUCAGUCAAACAAUGGUUCCGUUUUCCUCUGUUUUUUGGCAUCCUAUCCUAUAGUUACUUCUGGAUUUAGUUGUGGUGCAAGGGUGACUUACUAGCCAUUCCUGAUCAGUCCUUCGGUUAAUGCUUUUCUCUAAAUCUCGACUUGAGGAAACCUCGGAACAUAAGUUUUUGCAUUUCCUCAAAUAAUUUCAGUAGUUUGUCUCAAUAUUUUCUGUGCUAAGCUAGCUUGACAUUCUAUAUGGAAUCCAUCUACAAUGUUAUAAUCUCUUCUGCUAUAUGUGAGAAUACCCUAGAGUUGUGUAAUGCGGUCGAUGGUAUGAAAAGUGCUAGGUAUAAACAAUCGGUCUACCAACUUGGUGUGCAAAUGAGAUUUUUCCCAUCAUGUAGUCUUUUUGUACAAUCAAGUUACUAAACUUUGAUUUCAAUUGCCUGAUGCACUAACAUUAUUUUCCCCCCUAUCCAAUCAAUGCAUUACGAAGACUUUUCGAACAAUUUUUCUACGCAUUAUUGACGUGGUGUCUUACAUAUCUGAUUGGAGAUGCUAUUACAACGACAUGAUGCCAUAUGGGUCUCAAUUAAGAAAAAAGCCAAAAACAAAAAGUUUAAAAAAAGAUAGGGUUACGUGGCCCUUGUGUUACGAGGGGAGGUUCUCAAGGUGUAAGCCGAUCAGGAGGAAGCUAAAGUGAUCAUAAGUAUCUAAAUCUUUUUUUAUCCCCAUUAGAUUUUCUAAAGAUUUCUUUAAUUGAGUCCAUAAUUACUAUUUUCAUUUCAAUUUGCCCCGCAAAUUGAUGAAGGUCAAUAAGCGAUUUUAGAGUCAUGAAAAAUCUAGUUGCUAGAAGCAAGCCAAACCAACACAAUGGUAAUUUCGUCACAUAUUUUUACCGACACAAUCGUAAUUUCAUCACAUAUUUUUACGCUCAAGGGCAUUGGUUUAUUUACUAAAAUAAUCAUUACUUAUUGAAGUUUGCCUCCACUAAGAAAAAUCUCUAGAUGCAUCCAUGGAUCAACCAUAAUUUGGUCGGGUUUCGAUUAAGUUACAAUUUCUGAAGUUCAUUCCGCGAUUGAAAUGAGAAUUUAAUGAUUGAUUGCAAAAAUGCGCUAUAUAAUUCAGUCAUCACAAUUGAUUUACCCUAAAUAAGUAGGUCUUAUAUUUUGAAGGUCAGUCUUAGUGCGUUUAAUAUUGUUCUUUAAGUAAGUAAUAGUAAUAUUUGUGUUCUUUUGGAUAUAUAACGCAAUUCCAACACAAGUCCACACUUUAACUUCUGGCCUAGCCUCAUCCGAUCAAACUUUCGCAAAAUUCCCAUCAAUCAAUCUCAUUUUCCUCUUCAACCGAGAGGCCACUCGUAGCCACAAUCACCGCCUUCUCCCCAUCUUCAGUUGAAUGAAAACCUGCUGAAUGAGCGUCAUGCGAUCUUUUGCGGCCAUUUUGGCUCAGUCUUUGAAAGUUGAGCUGAAAACUUUUGGGGAAUAAAUAUCUGAAAUCAUUUGAUAUAGGACUACACACUCUGCUUCUGCUUUGGAAUCGUAGGUAAGUGUUAGUUUUUGAAUUUGUAUGUCAGAGAGAUGAACUACACACGUAUCCAUAUUCAACUGUUGAAGUUUCUGCUGUAGGCAAAGGUGAAAUCAAGACUUGAUUACGUGCAAAUGUUCUGCCUGGGUUUUCUCAUGUGAAACCAAACAACCUCAGUGUAAGCUGUGAUUUCUCCUAUAAUAGGUCCAGAAGAAAAUAGAAGAAAUGAUAGCGUAAAAUAUAAAUACUUUUUUUCUUUUGGGCGUUCCGAGAAAUUACUCGAAAGAGCUCUAUCUUUUGACAGGUGGCUAAAAAUCUGUUGUUUUAACCUGGGCCAGAUUUUUAACUAGUGCCAAUAUACAGGAUGCGGUGGCUUCUCAAAGAAGGUGUUGUAGCACUUUUUUGUGUUCUCAUUUUGACAUCUGUCAAGCUAAAAUAGAAUGUGAUGAAUGGAAAUUCACUAGCAUAUCUACAAUUUUCUUUUUCUUUCUAUAACAUUUCAAACUCCUUCGUUUAUGAUUGUUUUCUGUGAUUAUGUUUGUCUCCCAGUUACUGAUUAAUGUCUCUUUUUAUGUUACAUGGACUGCUGUGAACGGACUCUUUUUGUUUUCUCUUCCUAUUUUGGCUAGAUUGAAAAGUCUUCUACUGUGUUGAUACAGCUGUAGUGUUGCAUGCUCCAAUAUUUUCGGACUUGCUGAACGGUAGUUCUUCAAUUUAUAGCAUCGCCUCACUUCUUGCAUUGUAUCAAAUUAGGUGCUUUGAUGGUGGGUAUCUACUAUUCAUAACUAUCAAUUUAGUAAACAUCAAUUUUGUCGCAAGAAGCGUACUAUGUAUGCUAGUGCUUCAUUCUCUCUUUCUUUGGUUCUUGUAGGUAUUGGUGGCUGCUACUAUUGGUGCCUUUUACUUUGCAUAAACAAAAGGGAUACACGCUUACUUACUUCGAUUAGCUCCCACCUGAAGUAUCCGUCUCCCUCUGCACUCCCACCCUGUUCUUUGCUUAUCUUCCUAUUUUAUCAGUUUCUCAAUUAAGAGUAUUUGAAACUGAGCAAGAAUAGACUUGUGGUCACUCUUGAUGGUGAUAUUUUGUCUAAUCCAUGUCGUACCACAUCAUUAGUACGCUCAGUACUUCGUCAUGAAGCAACCAAAAACAGCAUGUAAAAGGGACAUCCUAAUUAAAGAAGGAACCACAAGGGCACUUCAAGGCUAGUAUCGCUAGUGCCUGCACAGCAAAAGGAAGAGAACUAUAGAGGGUAUAUCUAGGAAAUGUUCCAAUAUUCAAUGAGGUAAACCCAAUAUAGCUAAGAAGUUCACCCAGACUGCAAACCUAGAACAUCUGAAAAGCAAUGAAUGAUAUAUGUAUCCAGCCUCUGUAGUAUGUAGCGUUCAGCAGGAAAGCUAUGUCUAGAAAUGAAAAGCAUGUAGAAAACUACGUUAAUGAACAUGCCUCAGAUGGACAGCAAAGCUGAAUGAUUGCUUAGUUGAGCAGAACAUGCCUAUGUGAUUUAAUAACUUGCACAAUACCAUGUUAGGAGGGUAAAGAACCCAUGCAUGCACAGAAGUUAUAUGCCCUAUACACUUAAAACAUUUAGUGGACUGGUGAACCUCCCCGUUUGUCAUGAUUCUGAUCUUUUUUUUUAAAAAAUAUGAUCUGCGUGUGGAAUGAGCUACGAAACAAUUCUCGUUCAAUUGAUCUUACUGGAGAAUUAUCUGAUACUUCGGUUUGGCAAUGAUCUUGAUGCAAAAUCCUGCUGCAAUAUCAUCACCAUUUAAAAGAAAGGAAAAAUGAUAUAAAUAUAAUGGAUUGAAUCUAGCAUCAAUUGAAAGUCAAUCAACAAAUGUCCAAUUCCACGACCUCAAUUUCACCUCAGAAGCAGCUAAGAAAACUUAUAGGAAGAGGAGGGAGGAGCUGUGCAGUGAAAAGAGGAGGAACAGCUUGCUGUAGGAACUACAGUGGCAUUGCCAUGGUGGUAAUCAAUCCUCAGGUACAUUGGAGGUCGCACUUCCACCUUGUUCUUUGCUUCAUUUUUCUUUCAAUUUAUAUCAGUUUCUCAAGUAAGAGUAUUUGACACUGAGCAAGAACAGACCUGUGAGCAUGAACAAAAUGAUAACCCAUGGGGUGGUCACUCUUGCUGGUGAUAUUUGUAAAAUCCACGUCAUACCUACAUUGUUAGUACACUCAGUACUUCCUCAUGAAGCAGCCAAAAAGCUACAUAUGAAAGAGACUUCCUUAAAAUAUAAAAGAAACCACACGGGAACUUCGAGGCCGGUAUCAUUAUGCCUGCAAAGCAGAAGGAAGAGAAUUAUGGAAGAUACAUCUAGGAAAUGCUGCAAUAUUCAAUGAGGUAAACCCAACGUGGCUAAGAAGCUCACCGAAACUACAAACCUACAAAAUAUGAGAAGCCAUGGAGGAUACAUAACCAAGCCUCCGUAAUAUGUAGCGUUCAAUAGGAAAGCUACGCCUAGAAAUGAGAGAAUUUGCUCUAAGGAUUGGAAGCACAUAGAAAAGUGCUUUUCCAGACGCACCUCAGAUGGACAUCAAGUUGAAUGAUUAGCUUAGUUGAACACCCCUCUGUGAUUAAAUUCCAAUCAAACUGGUCAAAACACAUUAAUAACUUCCACAAUGCAACGUUAGGAGGGUAAGGAACCCAUGCAUGCACAGGAGAUAGAUGUUCAAUGCAUACAUUUAAAACGUUUAGUGGACCAUGUGAACCACCCUAUUUAUCAUGAUUUUGAUCUGACUACAUCAGCAAUCGAACAAACAUUAACAUAUAAGUGAACAAGAUUACAUGAUACAACCUCUUGGUUGAAGUGAUUCAUGCAGAACCAAAACAUACCCUCCAAGUUCUCAGUCUGUUCCUGUUUGUAAUGCCUAGCAUGGCAAUCACAAAAAUGGUGACUACAUUCCCACCAAACACUACGACUGUGGACACCAUUAAGGAGAAGCCAAUCCAAGAAUAGUGAAACUGCCAUACUAUUCCAUUUAAACUAGAAAAGACAAUGUAUCAAAUUUAAAUGAUAUAUAUUACUAAAGCACUCGAAAAAUCUAUUUUCAUCCUACACCUGAAAAGCCACAAACAGAGCUGCUCAAUCAAAAUCCCCUAAAACAACAUAUGCUCCAUUAACUAGUUAACGAACAAAUGAAACUACUUAAACACUAAUCAUCAUAUUACUUACUUCCAUAGAGAAUGGGCCAUAGGGACAAGAGAGAAGUGUGCGGUGAAAGCUUGUUUAAGUGCUGUGAUCAUUAUUUUUCUCUAUAGUUGUAGCGGAACUUAGCACUUGUGGAUAUAUAUUAAAACCAGUCACUGUGAGAGACAGCUCAAUGAUCACCGAGUCGAACUAAAAGGGCUUAACCAAAAAUUUGAAAGGCAAGAGCAUCACAUGAUCUGUUCUAAAUUUAGCAUCAAAAGUCAUUGCAUCCAACACAUAUCUAAAUAUACAAAAAUUACAUAUUGAGAAAAGAUUCAUUGAUGAAAAUAUGUAGAUUGAAGCCCCGAUCAAGAUAAUGACAAAAGAUCAGAAACACCACAAGCGCAAGCCGAAAGUGAUUCGUCAAAAAAGCUAUGGUUUGCAAGUAAAGCGAUUGGAAUGAGCUACGGAACAAUUAUCAUUCAACUGAUCUUGUCGGAAGAGUUUUUCAAUACUCCGAUUUGGCAGUGACCCUAAUGCAGAAACUUGCUGCGAUAUCAUCACCAAUUAAAAGAUGCAAAGGAAAAAAUGAUAUCAAUAUAACGGACUGAAUCUAGCCAUCAUCAAAAUUCAAUCAACAAACGCCAAAUUCCAAGACCUCAAUUUCGCCUUAGAAGCAACUAAACGAAAAAAAAAAAAAAACCUACGGGUUGGGGAAGGGGGAGGAGCCACGUGGUGCUAAGAGGAGGAACGGGCCACCCUAGGGACUACGGUGGCGAUGCCAUGGUGGCUCUCGAUCCUCAAAUACAUCGGAGAUCGGACAUCACAAUGACGGCGACGACUUGGUGUGAGACAGAGCAGAGGAAGAAAUGGAGGAGUUUCCAAGAAGUGCAGCAGAAGGGAUCGGAGAACAUGAAAUUGAAAAGGAAAAAAGUAAUCCUGAUUCAUUUGGGACUUUUUUUUCUUACCCAAUAACAAAUUUCAAACAAAAUUGCUUCAAUUUAAAUCGCUAGAAAAUGUCCAUUGCAAUGAAUAUUGACCAGUUGGCGAGUUUGAAUUCUUAUUUGAUAUUGACGUGAUCAUUCCACACUCUUAUUUACAACAAAAUCCGCUCUAAACUAGUUUUUUUUAGAAAAAAGAUGAUCUCGUUUUAGAUUUUUAUUUGAAAUUUUUCUUAAAUUAUGUAAUGGCUAUUUUAGGGAGAAAUGCUGACUCAUGCGGUCCUCAAACAUGAAAAUGAGAAGGGUGAGGGGGAUUCUGAGGGUGGGCCCCACCAUCAUCAGGAAGCUUGACAAUAUAAAAAUGGAAGAGCUGGACUUCAAAGAUUUGCAUAAAGGCUUGUUCGGUGAUGGUUAUUGAUGUUUCGUUAUUUCAAUUUUUGAUGACUUGGCGUGAGAGGAAGGAGAUGAAGCGAUGGAGGAGUUUCUAAGGAGUGCAACGGAAGGGACUGGGAAGAGGAAACUGGAAAGAAGACUUAAUCCCAGAAUUUUCUUUAAUUUUGUUGUAUUAUAAAUUUCAAACAAAAUUACCUCAUUAAAAUAGUGAGAAUGUCCAUUGCAUUACAAUGAAAAUUUGACCCAUGGACGAACUCGAAUCCAUAUUUAAUAAUUUCUUUUCAUUAAAGGUCUUUGUUUGAUAUUAAUUGGAUCAUUUCAUGUUUUUAUUUAAAAUGAAAUCUAUUUUGCAUUUUUUUUAUAAAUAAAUGACUUGAUUUCAGCUCUCUAUUUGGAAUUUUUCUUAAAUUGUGUAAUCGCUAUUUUUAGCACCGGAAAAUGCUGGCACCGGGGGGGGGGGGUUCCCGAUGGUGGGCCCAUCAUUAUCGUCUAUCCACGUGAGGUGAAACUCUCCGUACAUUUCUUUUUCUUGAUUUUAAACUUCCUUGGAAAAUAGUUUUCCAAAAAAAAAAAAAACUUGGAAAAUAGAGGAGCUAGUUUGACUCUUGGACUUCGACUUGGAAAAGCUUUUGGACUAUUAUCAAAGAAAAAAUUGUUGGAUGAUGAUUAUCGAUCUUUUGUUAUUUCCAUUUGGAAGGGUUUUGAUACUUUAUAAUCUUAUUUAUGUUGAAGUCUUCUUCUUUUCAACUAGAAUUAUCUACAUGAAAUGAUGAUUUUAAAAGAUACACAAUUUUUAAAAGGCAUUUGCUUAUAAAAUUUCUUGCCUUAAAUCAAAAGGAAGGUUAAUGCAAUCCAUUCGUCCCCUCAAGGCUCAAAUCCAACAAGAGGAGGGGGAGGAGCCGUGUGGUGGAAAGGGGAGGAACAGGUUGCUGUUGUGGCUACGGUGGUGUUGCUGCAUGGCUGCCAAUCCUUAGGUACAUCAGAGAUCGGACUUUUCAAUAGUGGCGACACGCUGGUGUCAAGGGCGAUAGCAAUGACUUGGCGCAGAAGGGAGGAGGGGAAGAAAUAGAGGGAUCAGAAAACAUGAAAUUGGGCCACAAGCUUAGACUUUUAUUUGAGGUUAAUUUGGCAACUUUAUAUCCGAACUUAUGAAGCAAAAUCGACACUUUUCUUUUUCUUGCUUUUAAGCUUCCUCUAUAUGAAAAUGGAGGAACGACUUGAACGAUUUGCAGAAAGAUUUCUCGACUUUGACCUAGAAAAACUUGUGGACUAUUAUCACAAGAAAAUUUAUUAGAUGAUGAUUAUUGAUCUUUCGUUAUUUCAAUUUUGAAGAGCAUCGAUGCUUUAGGAUCUUGUUUCUUUUGAGUUCUUCUUUACAACCACAAUUGUUUGCAAAGAGCAUUCAUAUGAUACGCAUGGCAAAACAAUUACCAAUCAAUGUUAUAUUUAUUCAUGAUUAGUCAAUUAAACAAUUUUUACACAAUUUCUAUUAAGGCUUUGUUCAUUUCGCGAAAAAUAUCCCGUUUCUAAAAAGUGUUUUCCAAGAAACCUUUUUUUAGAAAAAUGAUUUUUUUUUUGUAUUUGUUUGAAACUUGAUCAUGAACUAGAAAAUAUUUUCCGUUGUUCGGUUUGGAAAAUUCAAUUUUUUUUUGGUCGAUGGAAAAUUCAAUUUGAUUUCCCUUUGUUCAUUCAUUUUAACAAAUUUUUUAUUUUCUUAAAAAAUCUUUUUUUUUGUUUUUAUUUUUCUUUCUAUUUUUUUUCUUUUUUCUCUUUUCUUUUCCUCCUCCUUUCCUCCUCCUUCUCAAGUCAAUCGCCAUGGCCACGGCAAUGGCCGGUGAGCUCCAGGUCUCGAGCCUUGCCAAAUCAACAAGCGAGAGGCUCACACUCGUCGACUUGGCAAGGCCCAAGCUUGAGGGCUUGGGUCUCACUAAAUCGGCAACCGAGUGAGUUGCUCACCAUAGGCUUGCUCGAUUGGCGAGUGGUGAGCCUAACUCGUUGAUCUGGUGAGGCCUGAGGUCAGCAAACUAGGGACUUGCCUAUGGCUGGUACAAAAGAAACAGAAAAAAAAAAUUAAUUAGAAAAUAAUUAAAAAAAGAAAGAUAGAAAGGAUAACAUGGGUGUGAGAUAAGAGAGAGUGAGUGAGAAAAAUAUUUUCCCAAACUUAAAAGGUAAAAAAUAUUUUCCCUAUUAUAGAAGACCUUUUUUUCAUUGAUAAAAAAUAUUUCCCAGUUUAGUUCAUUUUCUGGAAGUUGUUCUUUACGAAAUAAAUGAAACUUAAAUUCCUCAUUGUUCCAUUGUGGAAAAUGGAUUUCAAGUCACGCCCCUUACCCUCGGCCAUGCUGCCAAAUGAUAUCAUAUCGUAAGAAAGUCCCCCAAUGUGGAAGGAGCAGCUUUACUAUUUCUAUUAUUGUAGAAAUGGGAAGUAGUCUAUGCAGAUCGAGCCAUUCUGAGUUGGUUUUUCAUGGUCUUCUACUUCAAAGACCUCUCAUUACUCCUAAAUUAGCCCACAAAUAAUUUUAUAACUAUCCUUUUUCAAAAUGGUGAUCCCGCAUCUUUUAUGAGUUAUCUGGUAAGAUCUUGAGCUUAAAUCGCCAUUGGUAUACCUAGAGCUCGACUAUGAUUGCUAGCGCUUACAGUACCAUGACCGUUUUAGUAGUUGAUGUCCACUCAUUGGAGAUUUUUUUUCAUCUAUAUUGUGUUUAUAAAUAAUCCAAUAGAAAACUAAGAUGAUACUCAUUAAUAACAUAUAUUAGAAAAUGAUGUUAGCUAUUAAUAUCUUUCAUCCUCGAGCACUUUCAAAUAGAUAAUCCUUGGAUUUCUUUGACUUCAAAUCAUCACCUUCUUGCUCUUUGCCCUCUUAUUUUAUCUUUUGAUUUCUCAUUUCACUUAUAUAAUUUCAUAGCUUGGUUGUUCAAACAUGUAAAUGUGCAGAGUAUUCCUGAUGUAUUCAUUAAGCAACAUAUUCAGGAAAAGCAAAGAGCAACUCUUAGGUUCCGACAUUGAAGUUCAUCAGGAGCUAUAGACUCAUCAGAGGGGCUCUGUCUCUGUCCUUUUGUUCCAGUUGAUGUGCAUUUCAGAGAGAAACUCAUCUGCGUGCAGGCAAUGUCUGCAUGAACGAAUGAACAAAGAUAAUCACCUGAAAGCCUGCAUUACUCGUUACUUGGGUACCUCCACGUAACAAUGUGCUUUUUCUUCUCGACAUUUAUCAAAAAUCCACAAAGACACUUCCUCAUAUCUCUAUGUUUUGUAUUUCCAGAGUCUUUAUGCUAAUUUGCGAUCAUAAGAUACAUGUAUACAAAAACAAAUGCAGCAAUUGGCCUAUCAUCAACAGAGAAGUUGCCUAGCUCACUAAUUUCCUACCCCCCACCCCUUUUUUAGGAUAGAAUGAAACAACACAUAAUAUUGAUACUAAUAACCAUGAAGCAACGCAGACUAAAUUAAUCCAACCCCUAGAAUAGCAGAGCACGUAAUCAACAAAUUGAAUUCAACAAGACUGAAUCAUAGACUAAUUACCCUCAUUAUCAAAUGGAACAACAAUUUAGAGAACAGCAAUUAAGCUAUGCAACAAUAGAUCACCCAUCAAAGUUAUGAGGGCAAAGAGACAUCGAAUAGCAAAAGCAAUUACUACUUCAGAGCAGGACGAGCAUGUCCAGAAUGUGUGAAUGGUUGCUUACCCUUUCGAACAAAAGAAGUAGACAUGAAAAUUUCUGAGGCUAAAACCAAAAAUUACAAGCUGAGUUAAUCAGAGCAAUAAUGAUGGUCCCAUCUUGCGUCAACGAUGUUAUCAUGGGUAUAUGUGCCAUGUAUUAUCUCAUUUUUCUGUGCUUAUGUUGAUCCCGUCAUAAAACUAAUAUCAACUGAAAAGGAGACUUCGAGUAAACACCGAUUGAAUUUGCGACCACGCAUAAUAUUCACGCCUUGACAACAACGCAUUCAAAUAAUGCAACUAAACAGUCUGUGUUAAGAAAUUAGUGACUGCCAAUCUGAAAAAACCAGAGGAUGAGGAAGCACUUUGGUUGGAGGGACAUACCAGAAAUGUUGCACGGAUCAUGAGCAACUCUCAUUUUGCACACCCUGGGCCAUUCUCGCAUCUGAUAGAGUCAGAGAGUGAUGAGCGAUCUAACGAGGUCAGAUCCAGUAAAGCUUCCUCUAGAUGGGAUGGCGACAUCUUCACGAGGCUUGGGAAUGAUGGGCACUGACUCCUGCUGCAGCUCCUCUUGAAACUAUAGGGACUGAUGUAUUGCCAGCCGACAUGUAGUUCAUCUUUUCAGCAGAAUUUAUAACUUGUUCAACUGCCUACAUAGCGAAAUUGAAUGUCAUAAACUCCACAACAGGCCUGAGACCAUAGAAAGCAGCGCCGAAUUCAACUCCAGCAAAACCAGCCUCUGUGAUCAACAACCCUCUCAGGUCCAUACUUCUGCCAAAAAAAAAGAACCUUUAGACACAUCAAAAGACUCUAGGAUCUGCAGACAUUUCCCCAUCAAACGCAGCAUUCAGAGCCUCCCUCACAGUCAUCUCUUUCCCCGCAGUAGCAUUACUACGUAAGGGCAUUUCUGCGGCACAUCAUGCACUCUCGAACUCGAACUUGCUCGCACGCCAGAUAGAGCUCGCUGAUUCUCUCUCUCUCUCUCUCUCUCUCUCUCUCUCUCCUUGGAAACAGAGUCCAGCUUUGUCAUUCCAUCAAACACCUUCCUUGCAAACUCGACAGAUUUUUCUCCGACCAGAUUUCUUUUUCGCAUCUCUCUCUCUCUCUAUACAUAUACAUAUAUCCAUAUAUGUAUAUGUAUAUCAUCCCCACGGUGAACAACACCAUCAGAUUCCAUACUCGAGUCGCGGCCACUCUGAUUCAAGCCGUCGCUUUCCUAUCCGUGUCCAUGUCUGGACCAGAUUUAUCUUUGGCCGGGCCAUCCCGGGCUCACGCCGCCGUCACCACUGAACCAUUAUCAGGGCCGUUUCAUUUCCAAGACGAAUUUCGAUUCACUCCAGAACAUGUGCUGUCAACUCUUGCUUCGUUCUGUUCGCUCCCACUUCAUCGCCGGUUUCCACCGUUUCGCCCGUGCACGCCACGCGCAAAUGGGGAUGCGGGGUGGCGUUCGCUGUUUACAAGAGCCUUUUAUCCGAUUGCCAAGGCUGAGGUUGGAUGGAUCAUCAUCAUCAUCAUCAUCUGGAUACGAUCCGCCGAUUCGAGGGAUGAGAUUCUUUGGGUUUCGCUCUCAGCACCUCCAACGGUCCCGCGUCGCUUCGUCAACCGCAGCAGCCGAGGCCAAUCUGAGUCGUCGUCGUCGUCAUCCGAGACGAUACGCCGAGCUUGAAGAUUGGCGGGGGCGAGCAUGAACAGAAAAGCAAAGGAGAAUUAAAAAAGACGCCGGUGGUUGUUCUUUGGAUGAUUAAGGAAUUGAGUUUGAAAAUAAAAUAAAAUAAAAUAAAAGGGCAAAAAGAAACCCACCGUCCUUUUCGGAAAAGCCGGCAAAAAAUGUCAAAUUAUAUUCAGUUUUCGUCGUGCUGAUUUUUCUUUUUGUUAUGUCAAAAGCUCAAAAUUAUAUCCCUCUAAAUUUUUUUCUUCGUGUCAAAAAUCCUAAAUUUAUAUUAAUAUGACACAUUAAACUUCUAUCAAAAUUUCGUUUGAUAAUUUUCUAUAUUUUUUUUUGGUCGAAGUUGUUCUUAUUCAAUUUUACGUCAAUAUCAUUUACCUUCAAUUUUCUAACAAUACUUAUUGAUAGAGAACAAACGUGUCACAUAAGUAUAAUUUGAAAUCUUUGAUGAUACAAAAAAAAAUGAGAUAUAUGUGUUAAAGUGAGCAUAGUUUUGGAUAUUUGAUGGCUUUUGCCCUUUUUUUCUCAGCUUCAUGAACAAUCAGUCAUAACUCAGAACCAAGAAAACAUUAAUCUCUCUCAUGAAAGCAAGCAUUAACUUGUCGCCUGCCUGGCGAGUUGUUCUUGUCCCUUUUACCGUUAGGAAGGCGUUUUUUCUUUAGAUUUGCUCAUACGAUGAAUUUGCAGCUUAAAAUCUGCUUAUGUAAAUCGCACAAGUCUAUCAACCGCAACUUGUUCUCACUUGAAUAAGCAGUGUUUUAAUGUCACUUGUGAAAAGAAAAUUCCACUUUUAUCUCUCGAACUUCAAUUGAGUAGAAAUAUAUUUAAUGCCGAUAGCUAAUUCGACUUAAGAUUUCUAUUUAAAUUCCUUCUUAUUGAAAAAUUGACCCAAUGUUAUUGCUUGUUAAGGGCGGACAACGACCAAUGGCGUCGGAAAUGAUUGGAUUCCAAGAUUUCAAGAAAUCUUCGACUGGGAAUGGAUCGUCGUUUUAUUACCAUAUAGGGUGGGCUAGAGAAGCCGAUUGGGCUUGAUGGACCUGACGAAAUUUUAUCUCGUGAGAACUAUGUGAAUUGGGCCACGAACCAGAAAAGCCUCCAUUUUGAAACCCCAUUAUAUUCUAAAUGUUUUUUUGGUUUCUAAAUUUGUUUAUUCUUUAUUUGUUUUUUUAUCUAUUCUUUUUUCGCUCUCUUUUGUUGUUUUUGCUAUUUUCUAUUUUUGUACUUUCAUAGGAAUAACUGCUUGAAUUGUUGACAAAAAUUCAGGUGUUAACAACAUGCGUGAUAACACUAAGGUCAGUGCCAUGGAAAGCUCGGUAUUUUCAUAAAUUGAUUGAUUAACAAGUGCCUUUUGCAUUGACUAGCACAUUCCCCAAAAAUAUUUUCUGCAAAACCAAAAAUCUUAAAGAGGGCGGGAAGAAAAAGCUCCUCCCUCCUAAAAAUAAGCCAAAUUUAAGAGUAUAAGAAUCAAAAUUAAAUUCUAUAUCGGCAUUACCAACAAUUUUUAUUAAAUUGUUACUCCCCCAUCUCCUUGCGGACUCAACUCUAGCUCUGAUACACAUGAAGUAAUUUGAAUGUGAUAAUUCUUAUUUUUGGACCCAAGAUCUACCAUUAUUUAAAAUGGAGGAGUAUCAGAGAAAGCUUCUCUUGCUAGUGCAAAAAUGUGAGCAAAAUCAUGAGAUAGGGCUUCGCUUCUGAGCCAAAAGAGGGUCGGCUAGCAAGUCCAAGUUGAAGAUCGGUAGCAUGGAGCUUCUUCCGUCAACAAAGCCCUAAAUCCAAAAUGUUCAAGCACCACACUGUCAAUUUAUGGGGAAAUUUGAAGAGAUAAGGCUUCUUGAAUAUUCUAUCUGCGUUGCUUCAACUGAUUAAGUAUAGAUAGAUUCUCCAAUUUUUCUUCGAACAAAGGAUUUUACCAAUCUUCUCUUUCUGAUGGUAACAACUAGAGGUGUCAAUGAGGUUGGUUUUCAAUGGGCUUGUUGUCAAUGCAUAUUGUAAAUCUUGCUAUGAGAAUGAGUAAUUUGCUUUUGAUGCUUGAUUGUGCAUUGCUUCCCGAAAAGACCUAAUGCAAAGAUACUUAAUGUUUUAUAAGAGAUGAUUGUGGAUUUAUUCGAAUAGAAGGAGAAGGUUUGACUGAUAGAGGCUAGAGAAAAAGUGAGAUCUUGAGAGGAUAACAAAUCUUGAAGAGAAGAUUUGGAAGAACAAAGUUUUUUGAAGAGGAUAUAUCUAGAGGGAAAUCUUGCUUCUUAUCAACAUGAGUCAGGGAUGGAAUGACUACGUGAUUGGAAUUUGGUUUGAGUUGGAGAUGUCAAAGAGAGAAUCAAAGGAGAGGACUCGUGUUGGAAAGAUAGUUUUACUUGUGACGUUUAUACUAACAAUCCUAAGUGUUGAAGUAAAAAUAAAAAGUUGUUUGACAAUCACUAAAUAUUUGGAAUUCCUUUCCAAACAUAGAACUAUGAUCAUAACCAGUAGGCCAUAAUCAUACAAUUGGGAAAUUCUAAUUAUUAUCAAUUGUUUGAAAGGUCUUGUGUUGAUUGCUUACUGGUUAGGUGGUGUUUUACGGCUUUGCUCUAGGAUUGGCAAACGGUUUGGCUCGGCUUGAGCACAACACGGCCCUCAGUAGCCAUUUGGUUGGCUCCGAAUAAUUAAAAAUGGCCCAAAGGGCCAGGCCCUUGGAGCAAAGAAUUUUUUUUUUUAAAUGCUGGCAUGAAAUGAGCACUUUAGUUUAGUCAUUUAGAAGUCUGGACAUGAUUUGAGCAAAAAAGUCAUGAAUACUUAGAAAAAAUGGAAGAGUCUAAUCUAAUGUAAAGGAACUUCUACGCACUCCUUUAUUAUCUUAGCACUAAAUAAUUCAUGAGCAUUUAAAAAAAUGUUUUAUCAUAGAUAUUACUUUAAAUUAUAUUGUAUUGGACAAAUCAUAAUAUUCAGGUAUACACAUAAUUGAGCAGUACAAAUAUAAUGAGUAGGCUAAACUCAUCCAUGAAAUGUAUGCUGACUCAACAUAAAUUUGGAUACAUUGCACUCAUGAAUUAUUGCUAAAAAAAAAAAUUGAUAACAGCAGAUGCACUAAACCACUUGACUUUGUCUGGGAGCACAUGAGAUUUGCCACAUAGUUAGUCAUAUUAAUUACACUAAAUGUUUCAUAAGAUCCAUAUAAUUUCAUAAUUUAAUACUACAUAACUUUAUUAUGUCUUUAGCUCAUUCAAAGAGAAUCAACAAAGUGAAUUAGACUAUGGGCGUGCAUGGAAACGUUUCUAAGAAACGUUUUCGGCACACUUCUGUACGGAAAGUGUGCCCGGGAACAAAAAAGGAACAGAAACGCGUUUGGUUGCGUUUCUGUUUCUUUUUUGUUUUUUUGUUUCUGAAACGAAAUAAGAACAAAAAAAAAAGAAACAAAAAAAAGUUGUUUCUUUUGAAAAGAAACACUUCUUCAACGGAACAAAAGAACAAAAACCAAAGAAGCAAAAGAACAAAAUCGGAACAAAGGCGACGAACUCUUCUCCUUCGUGCGUGCUCGUCGCUCCUCUCGUCGGCUGAAGCUUCAUUCUUCCUUUUCCGGCGUCUCUCCCAUCUCUCCGGCGGCUCCCACUCGGCUGACUCUCCGGCGAUUCCUCACUCCGGCGACUCCAGGUACGUUUCCGGUCAGCGUUGCUCCCCGUUCGGCCCUCCUCCUCCGGUCAGUGUCACUUCCCGUUCGGCCCUCCUCCUCCGGUCAGCGUCGCUCCCCCUUCGGCGCUCCUUCUCCGGUCGGCACUGCUCCCCCUUCGGCGCGGCAAGCCGUCCCUCGAGCGAGCGUUGCUCGCCCAGAUCUGCCGCGCCGAAGGGGAGCAACGCUCACUCGAGCUGCAGCUCGAUCUGCAGCUCGUCGAGCUCGCCCUUCGCUCGCUCGAGCUCCAGCUGGUGCGAGCUCACUCGAGCUCAAGCUCCAGCUGCUGCGAGCUCGAGCUGCAGCUCGAUCUACUGCGAGCUCGCUCGAGCUCGAGCUGCAGCUCGAUCUGCUGCGAGCUCCAGCUGCUGCGAGCUCGCUCAAGCUCGAGCUCCAGCUGGUGCGAGCUCGCUCGAGCUCGAGCUGCAGCUCAAUCUGCUGCGAGCUCGCUCGAGCUUGAGCUGCAGCUCGAUCUGCUGCGAGCUCGAGCUGCUGCGAGCUCGCUCGAGCUCGAGCUGCUGCGAGCUCGCUCGAGCUGGAGCGAGAGCUGCUGCGAGCUGCUCGAGCGAGAGCUGCUGCGAGCUGCUCGAGCGAGCAGCAGCAGCUCGAGCUGCAGCUGCUGCUCCAGCAGCUCCUCCAGCAGCUGCAGCAGCUCCAGCUCCAGCUGCAGCUGCAGCAGCAGCUCGAGCUGCUCGAGCGGCAGCAGCAGCUCGCCUGAGCUGCAGCUGCAGCUGCUGCAGCAGCUCGAGCUGCUCGAGCAGCAGCUGAUGCAGCUGCUCACUCGUGCAGUUGCAGGAGCAGCUCGCUCGAGCUGCUCGUGCAGCUGCAGGAGCAGCUCGUGCAGCUGCAGCAGCAGCUCGCUCGAGCUGCUUGUGCAGCUGCUGCAGCAGCUCGAGCUACUCCAUUCUCAAUCUCAUGUUGAAUGAGUCUAACUGUCGUUCCUCCUGCGUCAUCAUUUUGAUGCUCUCCGAUGCAGUCGCUUUCGCCUGCUCAUUUUCCCGACUCGAGCUUGAGCCCAUCUGAAAAUUCUAACUUUCUCGCCCUGCCGUUUUCAGGGUGCCCUGUCUGAAGCGGGGCGGCAUCAGGUUCACGAUCAACGGCUUCCGAUACUUCAACCUGGUGCUGAUCUCCAACGUGGCGGGCGCAGGGGACAUCGUGAGGGUGAGCGUCAAGGGUUCGCGCACGGGAUGGAUGAGCAUGAGCCGCAACUGGGGCCAGAACUGGCAGUCCAACGCCGUCCUCGUCGGCCAGUUCCUAUCGUUCUGGGUCACCGGCAGAGACCGCCGCACCUCCACCUCCUGGAACAUCGUCCCCGUUGGCUGGCAGUUUGGCCAGACCUUCACCCACAAGAACUUCAGGGUUUGACUCCAGCGUUGACCGGGGCUCAUUUUAUCAAGAUUUUUAUUUAAGGGAGACAACAUUAGGGUCCGAGACUGAUGGUUUUCUGAUUAUUGUAAGGCAAGUGAGGUAUAGAAAUGUAGCUGAAGUGGCCGCACGAACGCAUUGUAGCCCGCAGCUUAUGAUAGUGAUAGAGGGUGUGAUAUAUUUAUACUUUUGAUAUGGGUGUAUAAGUCUCGAUGACCCUAUUAUAAAUUAUAAUCAUAUGAUUUGAGAAAGUUUGUGUUUUCGUGGUCUACGUUUGGUAUUUGGAAUGGUGUUAUCUUGCUUAAGAUUGAAGGUUGGACUAGCUUAAAAAAUGUAUUUUAGUUGACUGAAAAGUGAAUAAUGUCCAUCAUGUGUUUGCAAAGUGCACCGUGUCUAUGCGAGAUAAUUACUAAAAAAAACAAAAUCCUAAAUUCAUAAUGCAUAUGUCAAAGUAAUCCUAAACUUUAUUAAUUUAGUCAAUUUAACUAUAAAUUUUUUUUUAUGAUUUAUCAAUGUAGUCAUUUCAGUUAAUUUUGGUUGAAAAUCAAAGGCGUGGACAAAAUAAAAUUAAUGAGCAUUUUAUAAGAAUGACAAUUCAAUAUCAAUUUUAAAUUUAUUAAAAAAAUAAUAAAUAAAAAAAACAGAAAUUUUUUUGUCGUUACCAAACGUGUUUCUGUUCUUUUUCUAUUCUAGGAACAAAAAUUGACUGCAGUUAUCAAACAUGUUUCUGUUCUUUUUUUAUUCCAAGAACAGUUUUUUUUUACACUUACCAAACGCGUUCUUUUGUUCAGAAAUUGUUCCCCGGAACAGAAACACUUUUUUUUGUUUCUGUUCCCAGGAACAAAAAAGAAACAGAAUUGUUUCCAUGCGCAGCCUAUAUCUCCUGGAUGAAAACUGGCCUUAAGUUCUCUUGGGAAGCAACUUCCACAUGUCGCUUCUUGGUGGCCUGUGUUCCUCGAACCACUAUCAAUCCUUUUUUCGCUUCUUUUUAGGGUUUUACUGUCAAGCAUCUUUGCCUCGAUCACCGCGUAAUCUAUUUGUCCUUUUUUCAGACUAUAAUGUUAUGAAUAUCUUCAUAGGAUUCCCAAUCGAUAAAGCUCUGUCAUUGGAAAAAAACCAUGCGCGUUGCUCGGGUCCACAAGAUGCAAUAAUUUGACUAGUUAUUAGAUAUAUGGGGUGUCCCUACUCCCUCUCGAGUCCACAUUCAUAUAGUUAAGGUUGUGAAUGUACAUAUUAUUGUGUUCUCUCAUUCUAUGUGCUUAUAUUAUGGUCUUUCAUACUUAUAUGUUACUUGUUCAAAUAUGCAUGUGGAUAGACAAUUCUCUUUGUAUUCUUCAAGGGAUAUAUUGAGGGAAAUAAUUGAAUCACAACUUUGAGUCAUUUAGACAUCAUGCACGAUGAGAUUGAGGAUUCAUCCCAUCUUAUCAAAAAGAUGAGGACUAAAUUACAUUUUCAUUUUUCUUUGUUACAUUCAACUGCAAUCACAAGAGUUUGGUAAAGUUGCUUGUAGUUUUAUAAGUCCUUUUUUCCUUCAUAUUGCCAUCUUUUAAUUGUUGUUUAAUUAAAUCACAUCUUUUAUAAAUAGCAAGUACUUGAAAAUAUGAAUUCCUAUCAACAAUAAGCAUUGCAUGGUGAACGAUUUGAUUAUUAAAGUUACUGUUUUCAAGAAGGCAGCGAUGCAUUAUUACCACCGUCCCAUGAUUGUACCAUGCUUGCAAAAGUGAGGUCCAUACGUACUCUUUUGUCUAAUAGAGCUUUGUGGUUGGAAAAUAGCUUUGCUCGUUCCUCGAACCCCUCAUCACUCCUUUUGUCACUUCACUUUAGUGACGCAUGGUCAACCAUCUUUGCCUCUGUCACCGAGCAAUCUGUUUGUCCUUUCUUGGACUUUAAUGAUAUGAAUAUCUUCAAAGGAUUCGCAAUUGAUUGUCCUGAACCAAUCGUAAUGAAGUAUACUAUACAUGAUUCAAGUUUCCACAACAUCCUUUCAACCAUUAUCUACUAUUCUUGAAAGGAAGAGUAGUCGCACGGAUACAAAGAUUUAAACCACAAAAAUUAAUGCAACAAAGUAAUGGGCUCAAAGUUACUUGUAUGAUCUCAGCCAUUGAAUGAAAAAAAAAUUGACAUCGAUUGUUGGAUUUGGCAUGACCAUUUUGUCCUACCAAACCCUGCAGCGCGUAUCUGACGCCAAAAGUAGUAAGCUACGUUAUAUCACCAUUAUGCUAAUUCAAUUUGUGAACCAUAGUUUGGGUUCUCUAGCUUUAACCUUCUGAAAUGAGGCAACUACAACUAAAAUUCAAUGCACAGCACACUGCUUAUGAAAAUUGAUAUUAUCAAGUUGCAGAAUUUAAAACUCCAUAGUUUUCUUCCUCUCUUUUUUCUGCACUUUGGUUUGACUAUGAGUUAUUGUAUAAUAAAGAAUUAAUUGAAAAAAGUUUCUUGAGAAGCUGUGGAAAUGAUCUCUCCAACUCAAUGCUUUUCAAGGCUCUGGUCAGUUCAACCGGGACUGUAAAACUAGAAAAGCAAAACAAUAACAUCUUCUUAUUGUGGAAAGGGUGUCCGGGAUUUACGGAGCAUUACUCCAUUGGUCAUGUUCAUCUCAUAGUUUUCAAAUAUAAAGGGAACUCCUCUUUUCACCUAAUAUUAUUCAACGAGAGUGUGUAGAGAUAUUAUGAUGAUAUACAGCUGCACAAAAACGCAACUAAUUUAAACUAAGCGUGCAAUUCAGUGAUAUUGUGAACAUUCUCAUGGCUACUUAAUACGUGCAUGAGUUCAAUCAAACAUCGGCAUGGCUUUGGCGAUUUAUUAAAUGAGAUUAGCAUAGAUUGACAUGUAGCUCCAAAAUUAUGGCACCCCAUCAUUCAAUUUCACUUCCUACAAGGUCAUAUUAGUAUAUAAAAAAUAGCAAUAUGGACUAGUCACAUAAUGAUAUGAAAAAAAUUAAUUGAAAUAUGAAGAACAAAAAAAUGUCGUAACAAUUAGCCUUGUCCUGGUCACGGAUCAGGCUCUGUCCAGUUGUGACUCAUCUAGUCUAGUGAUGUCCAUGAUAUGAAGGAAGUUCUUAAUCUCUACGCGCAAAAACUAAUCGAUAAAAGAUAAGUCUUCGAUCUCCAAAGGAUGCGAAAACAUGAGUUAGACUUUAAAUUUUAUUAUUGGUCGAAAGCUAGACUUUAAGUUAAUGAUGAUUUGAAAGAUUUAAACAAUAAUUUAUCUAGAACGAGCGACUGAUCUGAAGAUAUCAUCUAGAAUAAGACGCGAAAAGGCUCCAAAUCCUCCUCAGAUCGAUUGUGCGGCUCCCUUUUUCCUCUCGAUGUGUCUUUUCCCCCUUGGCUUUUCUCGGAUUCCCUUUCUAUUUCGGUGUCUGCAUAAGGCCGGUCGCGUCUCCCUAAGUGAAGAGGUUGAUUAGUCUAUUCAUGCUAGGAUCUCUGCCUUCAUUUCCUUGAAAUGGACGAGAGAUCUUUUGAAUCCCUUGCACGCGGAGCUGAAUGGUGCUUCUUACAAUUGCCAAUAAGUACGUUCCGCGUAUAGUAAAUAAUUAAUGGAAAAUCAGGAUAGUCCGCUGAACACAGUUUUUUUUUUUUUUUUUGGUGCUUCGAGAAAACGUGAAGGCUUCAUUCUUUUUUUCUCUUUUUGCCAGAGAUCCCCGGCUCUCCCUUCAAUUUUAGUCAAACCUCUUACUCAUUCUUCCCCUUUGUCAAUUGCAUGAAAGUUACUCCCUUCCUUUGUCAAUUUCAGCAUCCCCACGUCCCACAAAUGCCUUGAUUCAAACUCUGCUUAAGCGAGGAAUCAUGCCCAAGUAUGGUAUGAUUCCUUGCCAAUAUGAUUCCACAUUAAUCCGUACCAUAAUGACUUAAAAUUCUUGCUUGAAAUUUUGAGUUUAUUCUUACAACUAUUGUUGGCAAAAAGAAAAAAAAAAAUGAAAAAUGAAACAACUUCAAAUUUUCCUUAUAAACCAAGUUUUCCUUCUAUUUAAAAGCGUGAUUUGAGGGGUUCUUCGUCAAAUAUGUGAAAAUUGGAGAGACAAUACAUGAAAAGUCAAGAAAGGGUUUAAUUAGUCCAAGUCAAAUAUGUCAAUAGGUAGAACACUAUCAAAAUUCAAUAAAUAUAAAAUAUAUAUAUAUAUAUAUAUAUGCAUAUAACAUGGCCAUUUUAUGUUUUAUUAAGUGUUUUCUUUAUUUUUGAUUUAGAAUUUUAUGUUCUUUUGAAAUAAAAAGUCUAACAACAGAAGUUUCCAAUCGAUUAUAGCAUUAGGAAAAGAAUAUCAAGCAAUGUCUAAUUUAUGACAUGUAGCAGCUCUCUAUAUGGUGGUGGGAUUAUUACCAGAAUAGUAUGGAACCUAUUGCAAUUAUGUGAAUCAAUUCUAAACUUUUUUUUUUUUUGAUAAAUUCAGUCCCAAACUUUUUGAAUUUGUGCCACUUCAAUAUAUCCAAGCAAUUUUAGCCGACCGACACCGACAUGAACUUUCUUAAAUAAUUGUUUAAUAAUUUUUUUUAUAUUUUUAUAUUUUCUUUUCUUAAAAUUUCCCCCCUUUCCCUUAAGGCCAUGACAGCCUUGCUCACCUAGACUGGGUGAGGGUUGGGACGCCCUCGUCCAAUGCUAGUGAGUGCAUCUCGGCCAUCACCUGCUGACCCUUGCUGGCCCUAAGCUAUGUAGCACGGACACUCUCCGGAAAGUUUCGUGUUGUGUCCGACACUCCGACACAUGUCCGACACGCUCCGACACGUGGUCAAUGAGUGUCGAAAAAUCCAACAUGUCGUCAACUCUCUCCAACACACUCUGACAUGCGAGUCCAUAAUUCCGACACUCGAUUCCGACACGCACGGGGUUAAUUUUAAAAAAAUUAAUACUUGAGGGGUCAAAAUAUAAAUAUACACAAAAUAAGUAAUAAAAUUGCUAUAAAUAUACACGCAUGAGGUCAAUUUUUUUUUCAGUUUUUUUUAGAAUUUUUUAUUUUUUUAAAAGUCUUUUACUAUGAAAGAAGUAAUAAAAAAUGCUAUAUGUGAUAAAUAAAUAAAUUUAAAAAUAUCAUUUCAGCAUUUUUCUUUAAACAAUAUUUUUUCCUCUAAGUUUUGUGUAUUAUUGUAACAAAUUAAAAUAAUGAAUGAUAUUAUUUGAUAUUUUUCGUGUAAAUUAAUUCUAGGCUGUUAUUAUUAUUAUUAUUAUUAUUAUUAUUAUUAUUAUUAUUAUUAUUAUUAUUAUUAUUAUUAUUAUUAUUAUUAUUUAUGUAUUUAUAUAUAAAAAUAUAUUUAAUAUAUAAUGUGUUGGCGUGUCGUGUCGUGUCUUGUUAUGUGUCGCAUGUCCAUGUCGGUGCUACAUAGGCCCUAAGUGAAAGGGGAAAAAAUUAAAGAAAAGAAAAAUGAUAAAAGAAAAUUCAAAAUUUAUUAAAAUAUUAUUUAAAAAAGUCUACGUCAGCGCUGUCAAUGCCAUGUCAGCACCAGUUACCAAAAUUGGCUAAAUGGAUUAAACUGGCACAAAUGCAAAAAAAAAUUGGGAUUAAAUUGACUAAAAAAGAAUUUAUGAUUGAAUUGACAUAAUUGCAAGAGGUUUAUAAAUUUUUUUUUUAUAGUUUUCUCUAUAUAAUAUAUAGUAGAAACUAAAGGCAUGUAUGACAAAAUUUUUGGAACAAAAAUCAAUUUUUUGCCAGAAAUUGAUUUCUCAAUUUAUAUUCCCUGGACAAGUUUCUAAGUAGAAAAACACGCUUGAUAAUGAUUCAAAAUUUCUAUUUCUAGAACAUAAAUUCGUUUGAUGACAUAAUAAAAUUUCUAUUUCUAGGGGACGAUGAUAGGCAUUUGGUAGUGGGCAGUUGGUAGCUAGCGUCUGGCCCGGCAACUGGGGAUGGGCGUCUAAUGAUCAACGUUCGGCGUCAAGCAAUCCGGAGUCAAGCAAUCCAACGUUUUGAGGCGGCCGGAUGGUCAGCGACGAGCUUCCUGCACUCCACGGGCGGCGGGUGAAUGUUAAGCAGUAACGAGAGUGAAUGAUGAAAAGAGUUUUCAUUUCUCAUUUUUGUUCUAGAAAUAGAAUAGUUAAAAAAAUUUAGCUUUUGAUUUAUGCUCCAUAUCUAUUUAUGAAAUAAAAAUCAGUUCAAAAAAUCGAAAAAUGAAGUUACAUUAACAAAUGAAUUUCUAUUCUAAAACUAUUUCGAGUAAUAGAAAAACAAAGAAAUAGAGAAAUGGAAAUAUUGUCAUGUAUUUGAUGAUGCUUGUUCCUUAUGUAGGCAAUGGUAUGAUGAUAGCAUUCGAAACUCUUACUCUAUACUUUCGUUUCCUAUGAUAUUCUUUUCUAAAUUAUUAUUUCCAAGAAACUAGCCAUGCAUUAUUAACCGAAUCCCAUGAUUAAACCAUUCAUGCAAAACUGGAGUCCACAUGUAUUCUAUUGUCAGAUGGACUUUGUCAUUGGAAAAAUGCUAUAUGUGUUGCUCAAGUCCAGGAGAUGCAAUAAUUUGUCUAGAUGUUAAGUAAAUGGGGGUGUCCCCAUUCCCUCUCAUAUCCCCAUUUAAUGAAGAUGGUGCUGGAUCUAUUACUACCUCAUUCAUUAGUAAUUUGACUUGAGAUUAUAUUAUGUGCCAAAUGUAUAGCCCAAGAGCACAAAUUUUGAAAGUCUAAGAUAGAUGACUUUCAUAUUAUGCACCCUAUCAUAUAGUUAAGGCUGUGAAUUAUAACUCUUGAAAGUAGCAAAUAUUGUUAAGUGUCGUGAAUAUAUAUAUGUAUGUAUGUAUGUAUGUAUGUAUGUAUGUAUGUAUGUAUUGUUGUGUUCUCUCAUUCUACGUGCUCAUAUUAUGGGCUUUCGUAUUCAUACAUUGCUUGUUCAAAUAUGCAUGCAUACAAUUCUCUUCGCAUUUUUCAAAGGAUAUAUUGAGAAAUAAUCGAAUUGCAACUCUUAGGCAUUUAGGUAAAUCGUGCAAGGUGAAGUCGUAGAUACACUACAUCUUGUAAAAAAAAUGAGGACUAAAUUGCAUUUACAUUGUUCUCUAUUAAGUCCGAACAAUCACAAAAGUUUAGUAGUGUUGCCUAUAGUUUUAUAAGCCAUGCAUUUUAAUUGGUGUUUCAUUAAAUCACAUCUUUUACAAAUGGUAAAAGAUGGUAGCAUUCAGUAUUUUUAGUCUAUACUUUUGUUUUCUAUGACAUCAUUAUUAAAGUUAUUAUUUCCCAUAAGGCAGCCAUUCAUUUGUUACCACAAUCCCAUGAUUGAACCACGCAUGCAAAAGUGGGGUCCAUAAGUACUCUUUUCUCUGAUAGAGCUCUCUUGUUGGAAAAUAGCUAGGCAAGUUGCUCAAGUCCAGAUAAAGUAAUAAUGUAACUAGACAUUAAGGGCGCCAAUAGUAAUCAUUAUAUUCUAGAAAUAAGUUUUUAUUCCAGAAAUAGAUUUUCCUAUUUCUACUCUCCGAAUGAAUUUUAAGCACAAAUAUGCAUUUGAUAACAUGAAAUUUCUAUUUUCAAAAUGAAAAUUCGUUUGAUAUCGAUACAACAUUUUUCCUUCUUAAUUGGCAGUAGCGAAGGACAAACGUCAAACGGCGGACAGCAGCGACAUCCAGUAGAUGUCGAAUGGCGGACGGUCAUCAACAGACGAAGACCAACGACUUGCAGAUGGCAGUGGUGCGACCAACAAUUGGUAGCGGCAAACAAUGACUGGUGGUGGUGGACAACGAGCAGCGAUAGGCAGGCCGCUAUCUAGUAGCAAUGAGGAGCGAUAAGAAUAAUUUUUAUUUUUCAUUUUUAUUCUAGAAUUAAAAAAGUAGAAAAUUUUUAUUUUUCAUUUCUAUUCCAAACUUAUUUCUAGGCUAAAAAUUUGUUUUAGAAAUAGAAAAAAAAAGGAAAUUAUGUUACCAAACGGAUGGUUAUUAUACGCAUCCUAAAUCGUGGUAUGUCCGAUCUCCUCUUGAGUCCAAGAUGCUUUUUGAAAAUGCUAAAUAGACGAAAGUGGAGCAUCAAACACGAGAUUUUGGCUACAAUGUGGAAAUAAAUUAAUAAAUUAAUGAUAAGCCAAGAUGGUUAUAACGAGAUCUUUGGCGGCAAAAUGUGCAGUGAAAUCAUGAAAGUUUGAUUGUUAGGUCCAAGCACGCCUCAUGUAGCAAGCAACCACUCAGACCCUAUCAACUUUUUCCAGUAAAAAGUAGGUAUGUUUUGACGCCGCCCUUCCUUCUUCGUCUCUCUUCGUCCUUGCUCUAUUUCACUCGUUCUUCUUCUCGGCACAACUAUUCUUCCUCCUCCUUCCUUCUUUCUCUUCUGCAUCUGCUCCUCCUUCCUCCUAUUGUCCCAAUGGCACGAUAGACAUAUGACGCGGGCACAUUUCGCACUAGACAAUCUACAGUCCUAUGUAUAUGGUCCACAUCAUCAUCAACUCCAUUUACAUGUUUGACAAAAAGGAUUUGAAAGAAUUAAGUAAAUAUAUAUAAUAUAGGUACGCAAUUGGAAGAAAAAAAAGUUCAAAGACCUACUGAUAAUUUUGGCAAAAAGUUCAAUUACUACUAUGCCUAAAUCCCUUAUUAAGUAUCAAAUACUGCUUCAAAAUUAGUUCGAGCAAUCAUCUAUUUUUUUGAAAAAUGUAAUUAAGACAACUAUUUCUUUUAUAUAAAAUAUGCAUUGCAGCUCACAAGAUAUUACCAUCGUUUGAGGUACACUCGUUUUGGUGAUGAAGUGUCCAGAAUAGCUUUAUUUAACAUGUUGCCUUAUUGAUUCGUGCCCAAUGCGCAGAGUCUGCAAAGUACUACUUUGCGGGCCAAUGCCGACACAUGUCCCUCUAACCUCCGUUGAUGUACCAUCAAGUUCCUAUCAAUCUUCACCAAAGAAGAUGAGUUUGCCCGAGAAUCCUCAAAAGGUGCGCCCAUGAGAGGGCAUUGAGUAUAUUCAAAGGAUCAAUAAUAUGAUUCUAGCGGAUCCAUCGGUAGAGACUUUUGAAGAGUGUGAAAUGGAAUAGCUCGUCAAAAUAUUUAAAAGAGAAAAGGACAAAAGUUUUGACAGCUCGACGGGUACUUCGAGUGAACACCAACACCACAUUGUGUGUACCGUGCAAGGCUUCUUGCACGGUGCCUUAGAAGCCUAUUUUAUUGAGUCCACUAUGCAUUAUUGGCGUGAGAGUUGCUCUCUUUCUCUGAAGAAAAAUCAAAGAAAAUUGGCCAUCGAUGUUGCUGUUCCAGAAUAAUAGGAAAAAUUACAUUAAACUCAUAUCAAUGACUAAUUUUUGAAAUAGCAAUAACAAAGAGACAUUAACAAAAUUCCAACCAUAUCAUCGUAUGGUAAUUUUAUGAUAUUUAUUUCACAUUCUAAUAUGAUAAUUAUGGUUCGCCUAAGAAUUAAAUAACUUCAAUUUGAUUUUGUCAAUUGAGUUUUUUUUUUCAAGUAAAGAGAAGCCUAGAGGGCCUUUCUAUCAACAAAUCUGCGAAAGAUUAUACAUGAAAAGUCAAGAUUUAUUUCCAACUAACGGUUAAUAUUAUUAGACAUAAGGAUCUAAGUUAGCCCAAGUCUAAUGUGUCAAUCACAAGAACAUUAUCAAAACCUGCUAUUCAAUGUAUAAUCUCCACAAUGGCAAAUCAUCGAGAGCAACUCAUCUCUUAAACUCUUAAGGGGACAUCACAUAUCCUCACACAACAAGGGUUAAUUAAAGUGAAGGGAAAGCUUGUUCAUUUGGGCCUCAUCAAGAGAGUUGUAAGUUUUAGCUUGAUAAUUGGUGACUCUUUUGCUUAAUGGAUCAGUGAUUCAUUGCCCUGCGAGGAGAGAAGUGGGAAAGCAAUGUUUCUUGACAGUAAAAGGACAGAGGCCAGACAAGUGAAGGCACCCGAUCAGUUCAUGCAUUUACAAAUACUUAGAUGUUUGUCUGGUAGUUGUGGACGAAAGGACAUGAAGGUAAACAUUGGUGAUGGUGACUGGUCGAGUAAAGGAACAGUAAAAUGCAAAAAUCCAUCGCAGCCUCUACAACUACUCUCUCUGUAUCCCUCUCCCACCACUAACCCUAAUUAAACCAAUCUUUUGUAUAUUUAGACAGUUGUCCAUGAGCAGUGGAAGAAAGGACAUGUAGACUUGGACACUAGUGAUGGUGACUAAUCAGGAAACAGUAAAAUGCAAAAAAAAAAUCGUCCAUUUUUCCAUAUAUAUGCUUUUUAUGAGUCAUCUAUUUCUAUCACUGAAUCUUUUAUCGGUCUAUUAUCUUUCUUGUCUCGAUGAAGUGACUGACAUAUGGUGGCCUUUUUGUAUUUUUAUUUUUGGCCAGUGACGACGUGGGGGUAGUCUGCUCAUCACUCUACUUCCCAAGUGGAAGCUCUGUCCAUACCCUAUCUCCUCUUUCCUCCUUGGGUUUUUGUAAGGUUGAUCGGUUCCUGGUUCAGUCCGGUUCCAAGGUGGAAUUGGGAACCGGACCGGAAGAAUCGGUUCCCAAUUUUGGGAACCGUAGACCGGACCGUUGGUCUUAGGACCGAGAACCGGACCGGACCAUCGGUUCCGGUCCGGUCCAGUCCGGUCCAAAAGAAUUGACACUUUAUUUUUUCACUAAGGAAUGAUCAUUUACUAAAGAAUAAUCAUACUCCGGACCGAUCAAUCAAAUUCGGUUUCCGAGCAAUCUAAUAAAACUACUCACACAUGUUUCCACGUGCAAAAUAUUCAAACUUCACUUGUGUGAAUAUUAAUCAUAGUUUAUGUGUUUCAUGCUUAAUUUUAAGCAUAAAACCCAUAAACAAUCUGAUUAAAGGUUGUGUUUGGUUUAGGUUUUAUAGGCAAUCUCUUUUCUAUAUUUCGAAUGUUUAGUCAAUAUGAGACUUUUUAAGGUUUGAAGUGCCUUGUCGUUUGCAAGUGAAGGGAGCAAGAGAGAGAGAGAGAGUGAGCAUGAGGAGAGUUUUAUCUAUAAAUAAAGAGUAACAACAAGAGUUUUGGUAGUCUCUUGGCCACAUAAGAGGUUGUUACAUAAAUUGCAAUUCCGAUUGCAAUAAGUUUUAUAUAUAAUAUUAAUAUAUUAUAUGUGUUUAUAUAUUAUAUGAAUAUAAAUUAUAUAUAAAAAAAUUUGGUCCGGUCCAGUUGGUCCGGUUCCCACCUUGGAACUAGGAACCAGACCAACCGGCCGCCGGUUCCAAGAUUAGGAACCGGGAACCGGACCACCGACCAUGGGAACCGCCCAAAACCGACCGGUCCGGUCCGGUUCGGUCCAGUUCCGGUUCGGGCGGUUUCCGUUGCACACCCCUAGGUUUUUGAUUCAUUCCCAAAUUUUCAAAUAGCUGGAUAGCUAGUAUUAAAACUCAGCCAUUUAUUAUAAAUUGUCCCAGCAAAAUGUUGCUGUUUUUAGACGCUACCAAUCCUUCAAAAAAAUUAAAAGUGAAAGAAAAAUUAAGUUUAUAAAUUAUGAAAACCCACAUAACUUUACUUGGCAAUAAAUGUAUGUUUUUGAAAGUUUUUAAAACCAAUUUGUGAUUACUGCAAUAUUUAAAAAAUACAUGUUAAAAGUGUAAGACUUGCCACAUAUCCCAAACAUCUAAGAGAAAAGAGGGAAACUCUAAGAAUGAGAGACCACAAAACAAUGUUAGUGAUCACUCGAAUUGUUUCCUAUAUUAAUUGUGUUGUAAAGAGUAGCAUUAUUAAAAAAAAGUAAACUGAUUUAAAUUGUUUAAUCUACUUAUAAAUUUUGAUCUAACAAUUCUAAACGAAGAUGCAAUAAUUUAACUAGACAUAUGAUAACGGUGCCUCCACUCCAUCUCAAGUCCACUUUUACCAAAGAUGUUCUAAAAGAAAAGCCAAAAAGACGAAAGCAUUGAUUUUUCAAUAAUGACUUUGCAUGAGGAGCAUCACACAUGAGAGACUUUGGCUACAAUGUGGAUUUGAUAGUUAUACUUGUUUUUUCUACUUUUGCUAUGAAACCUUUUCAUAAAAAAUGAUUCGGCAUUUAUCUGUUGAUUAGCGACUAUUCCUGCAAAAAAAGUUGCUAUGCGAUUAUUUUUCGACACUAGCUUUCCUUCAUCCACUUCUCUACUGGCUCCAUGAAUUUGUCUUGGAUGCUUCACUGAGAAUUGCUUCAUUAAACUGAAAGCAAAAAUUCACAAGGCUAUAAGAGAUAUAUUCCUCUCGUGAGCCUUCCUUCCCACCAGAACCUUUGAAAAAUAGUGAGGAAAAUCUUCUAAAGUCAACUAUAUAUAUAUAUAUAUAUAUAUAUAUAUAUAUAUAUAUAUAUAUAUAUAUAUAUAUAUAUAUAUAUAUAUAUAUAUAUAUAUAUGGACACACAUUUCUCACCCCAAUUUAGUUUAAAUCACAUCCCUUUACGUAAGCUGGCCAAAAUAUCCUCCACACGCAGGUGUAUCCUCAAGCAUUAACAGAUCCGCCUUAUUUUUUUUCAAAAAAUAAAUUUGCCUUUUUCAUUUUCUCUCAAAUCUAUUGUCUUGUAUCUUUUCUUAUUUACUGUAGAGAUUCUGAUUUAAAUCUUCUCACUUACUCUUCUGAUUUAAGAAUUUUUUUUAUAUAAUAAUUUAUCUAAAAAACAUCUUCUGCCUAUUAAUCACAAAAAAAAUGGCUGAUUUAUUUCAAAGAUUGGAGCAUAAGCAUGUUCCGGAUUAUCAAAUUGCAUUUACGCUUUUGUUGAACUUUUGCUAUAAUUUUUCAUAAACAUCACGACCAAAUCUUCGGUUCUUAGAUUCUUCACAUUUGAAGUUUCAUCAUUUUGUAGAAGAGGUCGCCUCAACUAGUUAACUUUGUGGGAGAUUUGCUUUAUAUGAGUUUAUAGGUUGGUGAAUUUAAGAUAAUUCUCUUCAUUCAAAUGGUUAUGGCCAAUGGUAUUGAGACAUUUAAAAUUUACUUAAUUUUUAUAGCUAAUUGAUUAUUUUACGUUUUAAUGCUAGAAAAUUUGGGAGAUCAUUGGAUGAGUGUUUCAUUUUGAGGAUUUUUUAUUUUAAGUUUGGUUUCUCUGCAUCUCUACGGUUAUUUUAAGAACGAUAGUUGUUGCUAAACAUAAGAAACACGGAAGCUCGUUGUUUCAUUCAACUUGUUGACUAUCUAAAAUACAAUUUCGUGUUGAGUAAAAGAAAUCAACAGUUUAUAAAAUAUGGAUUUUAUAUUGAAAAACUAAUGGCCACCUAGGCUCCACCUAAACUAAUAUUGUGCACUCCUGAUUAGACAGGUUACUUAUAUAACAUAAUAUUCUAUUUACUCCAUAUUACUUUUUUUAAUAACGGGUAUCGAUGCAUUGGGGAUAAAGUGACUAUCAUAAUCAAAUUGCUUUUAGAUUGCGUUUUCUUUUAGAUAAAACAUAUAAAAAAAAGAUAAAAAGAAAAGGAUAAAAAAAUCUCAUUUGUGUCUAUAGUAGGAUUACUUUUAGGGAUUAAUUUGAUGGAUGUUUUCGUCUUUAAUAUGCUAGAGAAUUUUUUAGUAGAUAAUUUUCUUUAGCCGAAAUUAGAUUUUGGCUUUUAUUUUUAGCUCACAAGAUAUUCAUGUCUCGCGGUUUAAUAUCGAUGAAAAUGUUAAUAUUAUAAGAAAGAAUAGAGAUGCCUUCUCAUGUAUUUUCCAAGGUGCCACUUGUGCUUUUCUGCCGUCGUAUGUGGGGCGCAUUAAAAAUUGAGUUAAUGGCAGACCGUGUAAAGUUACAUGUCACGUGUUCAAUUUGUCAAAAGGCAAAAUGUGGUAAAAGUUAGAACUCCGUGUCACGUGGGUGUGGCCAGUCCUCGUCCAUUGAUUUUAUUUAUUCCGAGGGCGAUGGUUUGAGUGGAAUCAUUUGUUUACAACUUCAACAGCUGAUAAUCAUCUCCUUCUUUCUCCAUUCGUUGCUAUUCGACGCGCUCCUUCCUUCAACCUGCUUUCGCGCUCAAUCUCUUCGCCUUGUUUGUCUCUCGCUCCGUUUCGAUCUUUCUUCACCUCGGCUCAACCAUUCCUCAUCCUGCUCCUCCUCUUCUUCUUCUUCAGUAUCUGUUGCUCUUUUUCAUCAUUCUCUCUCUGGCUCUCUAUUUUCUCGCUCUUUCUUUCUCAAAAAAACAAAAAAUCAAAUAAAAAUGUCGGCCGAUUCUGUCGUUUCUAUUGUAUGGGAUGUCUUGAAGAUGGUAGUUGUUCCCAUCAAGCGUCAAUUCGGAUACGUGAUCUCAUCCGAGAACUUCGCUGAGGGUCUUAGGAAGGAAAGCCAGAAUCUGGAGAACAAGGCUGAGAGGCUCCACAAUGCCUCGGAAGUGGCCAGAAACAAUCUCCGGAAUUUCUACAGGGAGUUCACGGAGUGGGAGGCAAGUGCUGAGGAGGCUUUGAAGGAGGCAGGAAUCCUAUUGGACGACUUCGAAAAGGCUACCAAGACCUUGCUACGGGACUCUUCCCGACCCCUAUUGGCGCUAUCAGUUCAGCAGGAAGGCCAAGGGCAAGAUCGAGGUCAUUAAACAACUCACUCAAAAAUGCAGUGAAUUCAAGGAAUCGAACAUCUCCUUCACCGAGCCUGCUCCGGGGAAUUUCACUGCUCUGACAUCUCCUUCAAUGUCGAUUAAUUUUAGGGACGAUGCCAUCUUCGAAUCCAGAGCUCAAAUCAUAAGGGACAUCAAGGAGGCUCUUGCCGAAAAUAGCAAUAGCGUGGUUGGGGUUCAUGGGAUGGGUGGGCUCGGCAAGUCCACCCUUUUAGAGGAAGUCAGAAGGAUAAUAAGCAAAGAGAAGUCGUUUGACUGGGUCGCUAAGGCCGACGUGUCGAAAAAUCCAGACAUCAAGAGGAUUCAAGGAGAGAUUGCGGACGCGUUGGGCCUUACUGACAUAAAGAGUAAAGAGUCCCUUACCGGGCGAGCGGAACUUCUGCACAGUAGGUUAAAAAAGGAGGAGAGGGAGAAAAAGAAGGUGCUCAUAAUACUGGAUAACCUGUGGAAGGAGCUUGACUUGAAAUCAGUCGGCAUUCCUUGCAGACAUGACAACAAAGUCACAGGAUGCAAGUUAUUGUUGACGUCGAGAGAUCAAAAAGUUUUGCAAGACAUGCACAGUGACGAGGACUUUCGCCUUCUGGGACUGUGGGAGAAAGAGGCAAAAAGAUUGUUUGAGGGAAUAGUGGGAGACGAAGUUCAUGAGGACGAGUUCAAACCCUGGGUGGAAGUAGCACUCAACAAAUGUGCAGGUGUGCCUUUCCUAAUUGUCGCAAUGGCAAAACGCCUUAAAAAUGCUGCUUUAUAUGAAUGGAAAGACACUUUGAAAAAUAUCAAGAAGUUUCAAGAUAAAAAAAUCAAUGACUUGAUAGAUCAGAUGUUGCAAUGGAGUUAUGAUCAAUUAAAAGAGGAGGUGAAGUCAUUAUUACGACUUUGUGUUGUUUAUCAUAUCUCCAAGCCUUCUCUUGAAAACUUGGUGAGGUUUUGCGUUGGGUUGAGGUUAUUUAAAGAAAUUGACAGCAUGGAAGAUGCUAGAAAUAGGUUGAGAUCACAUAUCUAUACUCUUCGAGCCUCCUCCCUUUUGUUAGACAGUGAAGAUGUUGAUGGUUUCAAGAUACAUGACUUGGUUUGUGAGUUUGUUACCUCAGUCUCUUCAAGAGAUCACCCUCUUCUCAUGUUGAAAGAUAAAGUCAAGUCAGUAACAGAGUUGUUGAAGGACAAGCCCAAUAAUUAUAGGGCAAUGUGCUUUCCCUUCGUUGACAUGGAGGAGCUUCCCCAGGAGUUAGAUUGCCCUGAAUUGCAGGUUUUUUUGUUGUUCACAAACAAUAAAUCUCUUCAUGUUCCAGAUUCAUUAUUUUACUCUAUGAAGAAAGUCAUGGUCUUAAAUCUUACUGGAAUACGUCUCACUUGCUCCCCUUCACCGUUUCAAUUAUUGAAAAACUUAUACACUUUGUGUCUUGACAAUUGUUCAAUAGAUAAUGUAUCCAUUCUUGGCGAGCUAAAAGGGUUACAAGUUCUUAGCUGUGUGAACUCCAACCUUAAAAAAUUGCCGAAAGAAAUUGGGCAACUGACAGAGCUAAGGUUGUUGGACUUGAACCAUUGUUCACAUCUUCAAAUAAUUGAACCGGGUGUGCUUGAAAGAUUGAUCAAAUUGGAGGACUUGUAUAUGGAGAAUAGCUUUAAACAAUGGAAUGCCAUGGAGCAAACUCAACCAACUAAUGCCAGUUUGAUUGAGUUGAAUUGCAUGAAAAAUCUUUUCACUCUACAUGUCUCCAUUCCCAAUCCGAGUAUGCUCCCAAAUGACCUAGAUGUUGAGAAAUUAGAAAAGCACAAAAUCCAAAUAGGAAAUGCAAGGCGCUGGUGGAAGCACAAAGGAUUGAGGAUUUUGGACCUCAAGUUGGAUCCAAAAAGCAAUGUUCUUCGAAAAGGAUGCAUACAAAGUAUCUUAAGAAAAAUUGACGAUUUGUUUUUGGACAAGUUGAAUGAAAUUGAGCAAAGUAUUUGCGCAUUAUCUCAAGAUGGUUUUCCGAAAUUAAAGCAUCUACUAGUCCAAGAUAGUCCCUCUAUCCUUUACAUCCUCCGAUGGCAUUCCUUUGGUGCUUUUGAGAUGUUGGAGUCUUUACUUCUCAUAAAUCUCAUCAACUUGGAGAAGAUAUGCUAUAGCCAUAUUUCCUCCUCCAAGUCCUUAGGUAAAUUAAAAGUAAUUCAAGUCAAAAGUUGUGACAAGAUGGAAGUUUUAUUUCCUCUUUCGUUACUAAGAGGACUUCCACAACUAGAAGAGAUCAAACUCGUUGAUUGCAAGUUAAUGCGCAGCAUUGUGGAAGUUGAUGAUUGUGGCAAAGUGGAAUUGCAUAAUUUGCAUGUAUUGGAAUUGCAUGGCUUGCCAAAUAUCAAGAAUUUUUUCAUAGCCCGGACAACUCCUUCAAGUAGUACAUUAGACGACCAAGUUGGCACUCAAAUUGCAUUCUUCAAUGGGCAACAGGUAACUUUCUAUCAAAAGAAUAUAAACUGUAUUAUUUUUUCCUACCUUUGCUAAUUAGAUGCAACACAUCUCAUGUUACUUAUUCAUUUUGUUAUUUCCAGUUCAUUUUAAUCCUAAUUACCUUAUCCGUUCAUGCCAUCUCUGCAAUUAGAUAAAUCAAUCUUCUGGUUCUCUCCAUUGUGUAGAAAUCCAACCAAUUGUAUGAAAUCCAUGUAAGCUUAUUUUGUGAUAGGUUUUGAGUUAUUUUCAAUUUAAAUGCUGCAAGUGUAUCUAUAUUAAUAAGGUUUCAUAAAGCAAAACCGAAGGGAAUUUCGGCACUAAAGUAAUUCCAUAAGCAAUUUAAAAUCUUUUGAUAUGGAUUAAUUGAAUUUAUUUAUCCAACUUUGUUAUUAUCCACAAAGUAUAUAAUAUAGGUGACUCUCCUAAAAACCAAUACGAAUAAUGGGAAUGAGGACUGGGUUUUUUAAUAAAAGCAACAUGCUAAUUUGAUUGAUGCAUGUGUUUUGUGUAUUGUGUUUAAAUAAAUGGUUUGUCAUUCCAUAGAACCCAUAAUUAUAAGAGUACAGAGUUUUUUGCAUGUUUAUGCAUGCAUGUUGUAUAUAUACUUUGUACGUACUUUUGGCAUCACAAGCACAAAUCCAUAAUAUGUGUAUAUCUUGUUAAAUUGGUUAUUGAUAGUGAUUUACUAACAUUAAAGAGAAGUUCGCAAACUAAGGAUGAUCGAUUGCCCAACUAAGAAAAGCACAUGGCUACUUUGCACGGGGGAAAAUUUUGCUGCAAGUGGAGCCUUUUUGUUGACUAGAUAAGAUGGCCUUUUGUAGUGGCACAAUUAUCACUGGAGUUGAUCAUGGGCCCAAGACCCAAAAAUAGAUUAGCUCCUGUCAGUAAAGAGUGGAAGUAAUUUAAGUUGAGGGUCCGACACACUAGUGUGGGACUCAUCUUCUUCCCCUUCUUUGAGCUUCCAUGGAGAGAAACCUUUCAAAGAUAAUGGAACGACAUCGGGGAAAUUUUAAAAGAGCCUUUGUGGCUUUGCCUUUUUUUUUUUUUUUUUAAUAUUGUAAUCUUGUAUAUUAGAUCCUUUUGAUAUAACCUUUAUACCAAGUUUUAAGAUGACGACAAAUCAUUCAAGUUCAACAAUGGGAAGCAAUUAAUCAUUAGGGUUUGUUUAGUGGUCACCCUUCCUACAUGGAAAUGGGGAGAUGGGAGGGUCAAAUCCCUACUUUCUUAUUGGAAUUGAGGUGUGGAUGUUUUAAUUUUAUCUGUGGGUUUCAACUUCUACACCCUACAAGGAGGGCAAAAGUUUAAGAGUGAAUGUUAGAGUAGGAAUAUAGUAGUAUCGAUUAAAAAAAAAAGUAGUGCAAUUACAAUGUUGAUAAAUUAGAUUGUCACGACAAAAACUAAUGGCAUUCGAUUGAAAUUGAGGUCGAUUAUUUAUAGUAUAUUAAAUUCUAGACUCGUAGUGGAGGAAACAUAGCUAACGGUUUAAGUAGCUUUAGUAAUAACAUUUAAUAGGAGAUCCUUUUGGUAUAAUCUUUACACCAAGUUUAAAGAAGAUGAAAAAUCAUGCAAGUUCAAAAAGGGGAGCAAUUACAGGCGAAAUUUCCUUUCUUAUUUGUUUUUAUCAAUAAAAAUGACGUUAGGCUGCUGUAGAUAUAUGUUAUGGUCCGAUCUGCACUUCUACGGAUGGUAAUUUACUAAAAUGAAAGAGAAUUAGUAAAUUAAGGAUAAACAAUGGCCCCAAUUAAGGAAAAGCUCGCGGCUAUAUUUUAUAUGGGGGAAAACUACUGAAAGUAGAGGGUUUUGUUUGAUUAGACAAGGUUGCUCUUUUAUAGUGGCGCGGGCCCGUGGCUCAUGCCAUAUGUUAGUUUCCCUGUUGAUAAAGAGCGGUGGAGAUAUAAGUGGUGGGUCCCACAAAUUGUGAUGUUAGAGUGCGACUUUUCUUCAACGCAUGCUUUGAGCUCCCAUAUAGAGAGCUUCCUUUCAAAUAUAAUGGAACUAGAUCAGGAAAUUUUGCAACGAGCCUUUGUGGCUUAGCCCCUUCCUUCUUUUUUUUUUUUUUUUGGGCGGUAGUCUUUGGGGCUUUUAACUUUCUAGGAUUCUAAUUCUUCAUAAAAGAGUUACUCUUGCCUUAGUACUUCUUUUUAUUUUUAUUUUUUUUGCAUAAAACCUAAGUAUGCAAUGCUCCAUGGGUUUAUAAUGAAAUGUUACAUAAAACUUAAUAAAUCUCCUCCGACAUUAUAAAGCAGUAGCAGCCUACAAAAGUAGUAGCCUAAGAUUGGCUUGUCGGGGAUGACAAUAACCUAAUGAACGAAAGACAAAAAAUUUAAACUUGUUUUAUGGGUGGGAGCGAGAGGUGAUGAUGAGAUAGCGCAAGCAACUUUGCAAAUGAAUAAUUUCUUAGAGUUAUAGCAAUGAACUUUUGGGGAAAAAAAGAAGAAGAAAAUAAAGAAAAUAAAGUUUUACAUUGUCAUCAGAUACAAUUGGAUCCCUUCAAGCUCAAAUGUUAUGGUUUCAAACAUGUUCACUGUGGAUUUAGACUCACCUUAAAGAAAUUACGACAACGAGGACUAUCAAUUAAGAUAGGCUACACAUGCACCUGAAUUUAAAGGAACACUAGAGGUAGUUUACAAGGUAUAGGAAAAAAGAAGUCCAAAUAAUCUUAAGUGAUUUACUAAUUUUCGAGGAAAGUUGGGAUCUUAGCUAGUAACUAUGACUAAUGAGUACUUAGUUAUCGCGAUACCACAGCUGCUGACGUUUUCCAACCAAAAAAAAAGACCGCUAACAUGUCCAAUUUCAUGUUAUUUCGGGCAAAGUAGUCCCAUUUUGCCUAAUCAAAUCGGAGAAAUUGAAGACACUUAAGACGAAAAAGACAAAGAAAUGCCCGUUUUGUAGGAUUUUAUCAAGAAGCAGACAAUUUCAGUGUGUGACAAGUCAUCUUGACCUUGCGAACCAAAAAAAAAAAAAAAGAGUCCUCUUGACCUAAAUGGAUGAGGAAUGAUGUCAUGUCCGGCUAUCAACUCCCUACGGUCAUAACUCUUAUUCAUAUACCAUCAUUUGUCUAAGGUUUAAUUUUUGAGUUGUGCCUGUAACAAGAUGAUAUAUAGAUAUAGAAGGCUUGAUCUCGUCGAGAUUAAGGGGACAUGAGCUGUAUAUAUCUCCAUCAAAUUGAUAUAAUUAGAUAGAUAUUUUGUGCAUCAAUUGAUUGUCAUUAGUAACCGAAAUGAGUGCUAAUUCUUGAUGAUUGCAAUUCCUGAUUUUUGCUAGUAAAAUGCGAGCAAAAUUUAAUCGUAACAGCAUCCCUUGUAAUAUCGUAACUAAAAGGUAAAAUUCAUUAGUUGUCUUUUGAGGUCAUAAAUUAGAUUUUGUUUAUGAUGGAUUUCCUUACAUGCAAAAGGUAUCGUACAGGUUGCAUAUUAUCUUGCUUGUAAAUUUCCUUUAGCAAACAUUUAUAAUACCUGCUAUAUCGCGUAAAUUUCCCUAUUGUCCUUUGUAAUUGUAAAUGCUAUUUUUGAUGGAUUUGUCUAUCAGAUCUCAAUCCCAUCCUUGGAGUCAUUGACAAUGAAAGAACUUCCUAAUAUGGAAGAGAUAUGGAGCAAUGAAUCUCCACCGGAGCUGAGCAAUCUCCGAUCUCUCCAAGUGAUGCUAUGCAAAUCUCUCUCGAAGGUUAUCAACUUUGGGUCGCUAGUAAAACUACACAAGUUGCACUAUUUAUGUAUAAGAGAUUGCAAUUCGGUGCAAGAAAUUUUUGAUCUUGACAGACCAAAUGCUAAUGGAGACGUUAAGACUUUGUCUUCGGAGUUAACCACCUUGGAAUUAUAUAACUUGGGGAGCUUGAGGUGCAUAUGGAAUAAGAAUCAUUGCGGAAGAGUGAGUUUCCUUCAUUUAGAGAGGUUGGAGGCGCAUGUUUGUCCCAACCUCAAGUUUAUGUUUUUCCCAUCCAUGGUUAAAUCUCUCGGACAAUUGAGAGAUCUAUCAGUAAAACAUUGCAAUAAGAUGGAGGCAAUCAUUAUGGAGGAGUUGGGAUUGGAAACAUCAAAAACUAUGGUAUUCCCAAUGCUAACAAACUUAAAUUUACAACAUUUGGAAAGUUUGAUGUGCUUCUCUCGUGGAAAGCGUAAGAUUGAUUUUUUUUGUUUUCGUCAUUAAAGAUCUUCUUAUAGAUAGAUUUCAGCCUUGCAAUACAAAUGGUGACAUUCUUUUCAUCCAAUGAAAAACUGAUGACAGGUUCACGAGAAGCUCGAAGUCAAGACCACAUCAAAUCAAGCUCCAAUGCGCUCUUUUGUCAACAGGUACAUGAUUUACGUUAUGUCAAAAUAACAAAUAUAACAAAAGUAUUAAAUAUGCGGGAGAUCAAGCAUAGCCAAAAUAUUUUAAAAGCAAACGAGUAGCAUACAUGCAUUAAGUGUUCAUAGUUGCCAGCAUAUAUGAGUUGCAAUGUCUUAUUUUUAAUUUCUAUGGAAAUAGUUUUCAUAAAGGUUGUUGAGCAUCUCUCAUGUUACAUGCACAAAGAAUGAUGGCCAAUACAACUGCCAAGCAAGAUCUCUCAGAGCUUUUUAAGAUUCAAAAGAAUCUUAGAUCUCUCAUGAGUCUCACAUGUACGGCUUAGCCAUUGCAUACAAGUACAUUGAAAAAACAAUCGAGAGGAAAGUGAGCAGUAAGGUUUGAGAGGUUGGAGACGAAGGGCCUUUGAAACACUCACUUGACUUCAUUUGCACUUACAAGAUCUCUCUCUCUCUUUUAACUGCACCAGCAAAAGGAAUCUGAGCCUUCUCAGUCGCCAAACUAAGCAAGAUCUCUAGGGUCCAAGGCUUUAGAAAUCACAAUUUUAAUUUUUACAUGAACCACAAGACCAUUCUAAUGAAAUUCUUGUUAAAGAAAUAAAAUACACUUUGCAAAUUAUCCAUUUCAGUUGAACCAUCUGACUUGUAGAGUGAAUAUCGGAAGAACGCUUGAGUGGAAAAUGAAAUAGACUAAUUUACGAGGGUUCACUUUGACUAAACUAAAAGCAAUAUAGGCCGUUCACCUAAAAUGAUGUUUUUGCUGCCAAAGAGGCUUUGAAAAUGUGCCCUCCCACAAGAUUAAUACGUCGACUUUCUUAAAUAAUUUUACUUUUCUAUAAUGAGAUAUUCAUGAAAAUCUUUGACUAUUUGAUUCGAGUAUAUGUAAAAUCUGUUGUUGGCAUCUAACUAUUGGAUUUUCACUGAAUUUUAAAAGGAAAAUUCAAUCGAUUAAGUAUAUUGGAUUCUUUGAAGUGGAGAAUGAUGUGAGUAAGAUUUGGUCGUCUAACACAAGCGAUUCCUUUUUCAAUUGCUUUUUCUUAGCCUCACUUUUUAAUUGAUUUAAAGUGAUAUAAUAUUGAUUAGAGCCAUUCUGUAUUAGAUAAAAUCACACCUGCUACUAUAGUGCACCUUUUGAUGGCUGAUUGGUGAGCUUUUUAAUCUCAAUCUCUCUGUCAUUUUCUUUCUAAUUCUAAUAUUCUUCCUCAGGCCAUCCUCAGCUUCAUUUUUCGUUCACUACAUCAAUUUAGUGACUUCUAAGUUCUAAUGUUAAUUACCCUUUUGACGUGGUUCUUGUUUCUUUAAAUAAAUUCUUCCUCAUCUCUAAGAGAUUUAACUAUUGCUACAUAUACUAGCUAAUCCAUUAUUUUAGGGAAGUAACUAAAUUGAAGAGGGAGAGAUUUUAUUUAAAUUCGGGUUCUAUGGGAAACUAUUGUGAUUAUAAUUUUUUUUUUUUAUGAGCAUAUCCAAAUUAAAAUUUUGUCCAUUGUCAAUAGAAUCUGGUCAGAAUAGAAUUCCUACUUUUUUAUUUGUCUCCAAUAAUUCCAAUAGCCUGCUCACCAUAGAGUCAUCGACAAUAGUAUGAAGAUUUUUUUUACUACCUUUUUUUUUUUCCUUUUGUGGAACUUAAGACAUAAUCGACAGUUCCACAAAUUCAUAAUUUACAUCUUGGAAGUUCCUAAUUAACUGAAUUACUAAUUCUGUGAUCGAAUAUCGUAGGUUGUGCUUCCUAGCUUGGAGACAUUAAAUAUCACUGGCUUGGACAACAUUGAGAUGAUAUGGGACAAUCAAGUUGCUGCAAAUUCUUUCCCCAAGCUAAAAUCGCUUUUUGUGGAUAAAUGCAAUAAGGUUGUGACAGUUGUUCCUUCUUCCAUUUUGGGACAGCUCUUGUGCCUAGAAAGUUUAAAGGCAAACACAUGUGGUUCAUUGGAAGUUGUUUUUGAACUUCGGCCACUAAAUUCUAUAGAUGGACCUCAAGUUGCUGUUCCGUUAAAAAAGCUGAUGGUAUCAAGAUUACCAAAGCUAAAGUGUGUAUGGAAAAAAGAACUCACCCAUCAAGUUAACUUCCAAUGCCUACAUUCUAUUAGCGUUUUCGAUUGCAAGAGCCUCACCUCUCUAUUUCCAGCCUCAAUAGCCAAAGAUCUAGUCCAACUUGAGGAGUUAGAGAUCAAUGGAUGUGGCAUUAUGGAACUCAUUGAAAAGGAAGAAGGACUAGUUCCCACGUUUGAUUUCCCAAAGUUAACCUCCCUCAAGCUUAAGCAUCUGACAGAGUUGAAGUGCAUCUACACCGAAACACAUGUUUUACAUUGGCCAACAUUGAAGACCUUGCAAGUCUAUGACUGUAACAAAUUGGAGAUCUUUGCUUUGCAACUUGAGAAUGAGAUGCUACUUCAUAAACAACCCCUCUUGCUGAUAGAAAAGGUAAGACCUGAGAUUAUCUGUGUUUGCUUUGAUGGUGAAUAUUUGAAGUGAUGAUUAGCGUCAACCAAGCAUCUCAUACAAGCAGCUCUUACAUGCGAAGAUGUAAAUUGUACGACUCUCCUUGAAUCCAUAGAAAUAUUACAACAUUGAAACGUCAUAUGUUCUUCAAGUAUUAACUGAAAAUUCUUGUCAAUGUCUAAUGUACCGAAGGAAUACUCGUUGAACCCCUUUCAAAAAAGAUUUAGGCUAAUUUCGAUGGUUCUCUCUCCUAAAUGCCACAAAGAUUGAAAAAACGUGGCAUAUGUCGUGAUAUUAACAUGGUACAAGUGUAUUUGAAUCGUAAGAGAUUAAUGAUAUUAUGCUAAAAAGGGAAAGAUGGGACAUUAUUGUUAACAUUAUUGUUAUUAUUCACAAAAUGUAUAAUAUAGGCAACUCUCUUAAAAACCAACAUGAAGAAUGGAAAGGAGGACCAUGUUUAAAAAAAAAAAAAAUACUAUGCUAAUCUAAUUGACGCAUGCCUUUUGUAUAUCAUCUUUAAACAAGCAAUUAGUCAUUACAUAGACCUCAUAAUUAUAAGAGCACGGAAUUUUGUAAUAUGUUCAUGCGUGCAUGUAGUAUGCAUAGAUAUAUUUGUACGUAUUUUUGGCAACACAAACACAAAUCCACAAUGGCUGCUCGAUAUCUUAUUAAAUUUGUUAUUGAUAGCGAUUUACUAACAUUAAAGAGAAGUUUGUAAGCUAAGGACAAACAAUUGCCUGGAUAAGAAAAACGCACGACUGUUUUGUCCAACGAAAGUUGACGCGGCGGGAGAGUGGGGGGGGGGGGUGGUGGGGGGCGGCGCGGGGGGGAGGGGCGCAAGACUCCCUCAAUAUGUUAAUUUUUCCUCUGGGUCUGGGACAUAUUUGUUAUGAGUCCCACGAAGGUGUGUGUGUGCCUUUGCGUUUUCGCUUUUUCUUAACCGCCUCUUUGGGGCUUUUAAUUUUUGCCAUUGUUCUCAUUGGACACUAGCAAUAGAUAUCAGUUGAACUUUUUUUUGGGCUGAAAUUUGAGGUUGAAAGUGUUGUCAAGUUUGCUUCAUUAUACAGAGAGAGAUAACUAGUGCUCCACUCGCUAAUCCAUUUUUGAAGGAGAAAUUAUUGGUAUGGAAUAAAACUAGCUCAUCAUCAAAUUAAGCUCAGCAUUGCAAGUUUUUUUUAGCUAAGAAAAGACUGAAAAUCAGAAACAACGUUAGUAUGGAGAUUUUUUUUACUCUGUUUUAUUGUUUUAUUCUCUCUUAUUUUUUUCCCUUUUGUGCAACUUAAUAAUUUCUCUCUCCCCUUGGCACUCGUGUAUAUUUACAUCUUGAAAGUUUAUGAUUCAAGAUUUAAUUAAUCACUAAUUUCAUGAGCAAAUUCUAUAGGUUGGCUUUCAGAGACUGGGGACAUUAGAAAUCAGUGGCUUGGAUAAUCUCAAGUUUUUAUUUUUCCCAUCCAUGGUUAAAUCUCUUGCACAACUGAAAAAGCUGACCAUAUCAAAUUGUGAGAAGAUGGAGGCAAUCUUUAUGGAGGAAGAAGGGUUGGGAAUGAAAACAUCAGAAUUUUUGGCAUUCCAGAUGUUAAUCAUUUUACACUUAGAACAAUUGAACAGUUUGACUAAACUAAAAGCAAUAUAGGCCUUUUACCUAAAUCGUUGUUUAUGCACCCAAAGAGGCUGUGGAAACGGGCCCUCCCACAAAAUAAAUACAUCGACUUUCUUAAAUAAUUUUAAUUCCUAUAAUGGGAUAUUCGGGAAAACCUUCGAUUAUUUGACUUGGGUAUAAGUAUGAUCUAUCCUUGAUAUCUAACUAUUGGAUCCUCCAGCAUGGAUAAAAAAAUCAUUGAAUUUUAAAAGGAAAAUUCAAUCGAUUAAGUAUAUUUAGUUCUUUCAAGUGGGGAAUGAAGUAAGUGAGAUUUGUUCGUUUGGCCCAUUCAAUUCCUUUUUUAAUGGCUUUCUCUUAGCCUCACUCUUUAAUUGCUUUAGAGUGAUAUAAUAUUGAUUUGAGGCAUUUGGUAUCGGAAAAAAUUACACGCCUUAAUGUAUUGCACCUUUUGAUGGAUGAUUGGUUGGCUUUUUAAUCUCAAUCUCUCCAUCAUUUUAUUUCUAAUUGCUAAUAUUCUUCCUCGAGCGAUCCACUGCAAUUUUCUUUUACUACAUCAAUUCCCUAACUUCUAACGUUGAUCACCCUUUUGACAUGGUUUUUGUUUCUUUAACUCAAUUCUUCCUUGUCUGUAAGUGAUUUAAAGUACGAUCCAAUAUUAUUUGUUUUGCUUUGAUGGUGAAUAUUUAAAGUGAUGGUUAAACCAAGCAUCUCAUACAAGAUGCUUGUACAAGCGAAGAUAUAAACUGUACACCUCUCCUUGAAUCCAUAGACAUAUUGCAACAUUGAAACAUCAUAUGUUCUUUGAGUAUUGAUUGAACAUUCUUGUCAAUGUUUGAUGUGACAAAUGCAUACUCAUUGAUCCCCUUAAAAAAGAGGCUAAUUCCAAUCAUUUAGCUCUCUUUUAAGUACCACAAAGAUUAAAAAAACACGUGGUAUGUGGUGUGAUCUUACCAUGGCACAAGUGUGUUGUCUAAUUUGAACCCUAUAAAAAGUGUUGAUCUUAUGCUAACAAAGAAAAGAUGGACAUUAUUGUUGACAUUAACGAUUGAAAUUAGUGCAAUUGUGACUAUAAUUGAUGCAGGAGUUAUUUUCACAAGGCAUAUAUCUUUAGAAAUGUGAAUUUAAGGAGUUAAUCAAGUUCAAAUAUGGAUACAAGUCAAAUAUAAAAUAUCAGCGAUAAUGUUUGUUUCAUGAGGGCACAUUUCUUUCCAUUGAAUCACGAGACUCGACAUUUUAAAAUGCAAUUAUUGUGCUCGAUAUGCAGGAUUCAAGAUAUAUUCAACAUCUGCAAACUCUAGAUGUGUCACAUUGUGAUGGGUUAUUAAAUAUGUUCACACCGAUAAUUGCUGAAAAUUUGGUGGCACUUACAAAAUUGAGGAUAAGUAAUUGUAGAAUAUUGACAGAAGUCAUUAAUGAUGAGAAAGGUGGGGAUGUCCGUGUGGUGGCUUUCAAUCAAUUGAAGUAUAUGGAGCUUGAUGGGUUGAUAGGGUUGAGAAGUUUCAGUUCGGGUGGAUACACUUUGAUGUUCCCGCUCUUGGAAGAUAUCAUUGUGACUAGAUGUCCCAACAUGAAGUUUUUCUCUUAAGGACCGAUGGAGGCAUCAAAGUUAAAGAGAGUUCAAGUAUCAAAGGAAGUGUGGUUUUGGGCAAGAAACCUCAACAUCACCAUCCAGAAUAUGUUUGAAGAAAUGGUACGCACUAGUUACCAAAUUCCAUGUAUUUUGAUGGUUUUGAUCACUAGAUGAAUAAUAGCUUUUUGCUAGCUAGAAGUUUAUGCUUAACGAUGCAUUUUUUUCAUAGGGCACGUUUGCUGGAGUAGAGAAAAUGUUGCUAUCUGAGUUCCCUGGGUUGAUUGGAAAAUGGCACAACGAACUUAAUCCCAUCAAGUCGUAUUGGCAACUAAAAUCAGUGGUGGUAGAUAAAUGUCCAUUUAUUAACGCUGUUCCAUCCAGAUUAAUGCUUGUCUUAGACAAUUUGAGCUAUUUGCAAGUGCGUGAUUGUGAGUUGCUUGAAGAAAUAUUUGAUUUGGAAGGGCUGGAGGUUGUGGAAAGCACUCGAGUACUGCCUCAGCUACGGGAAUUGAACUUGGUCAAUCUACCAAAAUUAAGGCGACUGUGGAACAAAGAUCUUCAAGAAUCGCUAUGCUUCAAUUCUCUAAAAAGUCUCAUCCUUUAUAAUUGCAGCAACUUGGGACAUGCUUUAUCUCCAUCAAUGGCUCAAUGCCUUGCCAAUCUUGAAGUAAUGGAAAUAAAGGAGUGUGGUCAAAUGGAAGGAGUGAUCGUAGAGGAAGAAGCAAAGGGAAGCGCAAUGAAGAAGAUUACAUUCCCAAAGCUCCAGUGGAUGAUGAUGGAAUACUUGCCCAAUUUGACUUGUUUCCUCUUGGGAAAAAAUCAUAUACUGGAAUGCCCCAAAUUACAAAAGAUGAUAAUUGCCCAUUGCCCCAAGAUGGAAAGUUUGAUUAGGCAAUCUCAGAUGGAGGAUGACCACAGCACCCCUUCAUUUUUCACUUCCCAGGUCAGUCUUUCAAAUAAAUGCGUCUUUGGUGUUUCAUUGGGACUUGUUCUCGUAGUAUUGGACAAUGCACGAUAUGAUGCAAAUUUUGUGCUUGUGCCAAUUUAUAUACAUAAUCUUCUAAUAUUUAAGAUGAAGAUUAAAAAUAUUCUAAUCCUCAAUAAAUAUUACUAUUAUAUGUACAUCUCCAUAUCCUAUUAGAAGUGUUAAGUUGGUGUAAGUUUAUGAAAUCAUAUCAUAUGCAGUACUUUAGAAUUAAUCAGCGAGGUUCCUAAAAAAGUUAUCACAAUAACCAUAUAAAAACAUUUGCUUUUUGCAAUUUCAAUUAUAAAGAACUAAAACAGAAAACAUAGAAUGGCAUCUAAAAAUGGCAUAAAAAAUAUUAAGUAUCGCCCCUUCAUAUUUAUUUGCGUGGAAGCAAACUAUUGUCAUUCUAUUAAACAUGAAGAAAAGGGAAAAGUAAAACUUCAUAAUUGUAAAAGCCAAUUUCACAAAUUGUUUAACUAUUACAGCUCAUUAUACCAUAAUUAGUGGAGCCAACUUUUGUAUUUCUUAAUAAUCAUCUAUGCUUGAGCAAGGUCUUGAUAAUAAAAAAAAAAAUAAAAAUAAAAAAGGUCAAUAUGCAUGAAGUGGUUUGCCUUCCUUGUUCGUAAAUCAUAUUUGAAUAGCUAUACUCCAACAACCUAUCAAAUUAUGCACCUGUAUUAUACAAUAAAUUUUAACUUUGGUUUAUCAUAUUGAGUGAUAAUUAGUGUGAUAUUAUGCACAAUCUAUAUUUAGUAGGAGAAAAUGCAGAUUACUUUUUCCGGAAAAAGAAAUGGCUUAAAAAAGGAAAAAAUAAAAGAGAAAAAAGGACAUCUGGAUAAAUAGUAGCAAUUCCAAGGGCGGUUGCUGACAUUGCAAGUCUUAUUUCAUAACUAGAUGACAAUAUUUAGUCAAUGUCCUAGUUAAAAUGAAAAUAUUAUAAAUCAGAAUAAAUUAUCCGACCAACAACACCACCCAAGGGAAAAUAUUAGGGGCAUUAAAUACACUGCAUAGGAUUCGUAUUGAAUCAUCCGCAGACUGACACGUGGCAACGCCGGACCCACUUGUCAGUUGAGCGAUUAAAAUUUUUGCUCCCCCUUUCUCUUCAAUAACAGCCCAUCAUAGGGGAAGCUCUGCUCUCCGCAACAACUUGGGCGAAAUGAGGUUCUACCGGGAAACCAUGGAUUUUUUAGUUUUCGCCAUUGGUUACUGGUCUGCUCUCCUCCUCCUGGUAUGGCUCUGCUCCCUCUCUCUUUCCUCCGCGAAGGUGCAUCUCUAUGCGUGAACCACACCACAGCCUUGGCCUCCAUUAGUUGCUGUGCGCUCACUGGACAGAGGAAAAAAAAAAACCAGAAAAAGGAAAAAAUUAGACAAAGUCUAUUUGGUGUUUUAGACUUCUCCCCCCUUAAGAAUUGUUCUGUCUCAGCCAUUUCGGUUCACCUUGAUCCUCUUUUUCGCAACAAGGAAAAAAAAAGUGAACCAAAUCUUAGAGUCAAGUAACAGUAACUCUUCUUUCUUCCCCUCGCUCCCCUUCCUCUACUUUCUUUUUUUGGGAAGAUUAAUUGGGUGGUCCGUCCAAUGGUUGAAUCGGAAGCUUCGGAAUCGCUUCUCUAAAGCUCGCCUCCUCUCUGCGCGCGUGCAUGCGUGGGUUCCGAGCGAUUACGCGAACCGAAGCUUGUUGGUUAUGGUGGUGGAUCGAGGUGGAUCUCCGAUGCGGAAGCGAUUGCGGCGUCAAUUUUGUCGGGGCGUUGAUUCCCGGCAAAGAAAAAUUAAAAAAAAUCUUCUCUUCAGCCCUCUCUUCCUCCUCCUUCGUCCACAGCUGUCCGACCUUCGCUCCUCCUCCGCCGUCGCCAACGGCGGAGUCACCAGCACCUUGAUUAGGCUGACCCUUGCUGUGUCCAAGCCGAGCAUGGCCGUCUUCCUCUGUUUUGUCCGCCUCAUCGUUCUAUAGAUCUCGAAAUCUGGCCGUCCAUAGCGACGGAGUUGCAGAUCUGGAAAUCAACCACCGUCGCUUGUAGCCAUGGACGAGCCGCUGUCGCUGUAGCCAUGGUUGCAGAUCUGGAAGUCCCGUCGCGAGUAACGACGGCUUAUGGACUGCCAUUGUCCCCUCCGUCGACGCCCACGGUCGGCUCGUGGUCGGCCCCGUCCAUGGCCGAGCCACCCCUCCAUCGUCACAACUGCUCGUGGUCGUUGCCCGUUCUGAUCUGGACUGGAGUCGUGCCUCCAGAUCUGGUUUCAUCCAUGGACGCAAGCCUAGCUCGUCCAUGGCUCGCGAGGAGGCUCCCCCACAAAUCUGGCGACCACUGCUUGUCCAUGGCCAUGAGCCUUGACGGCGAGUUUGAGAUCUCGACGGCUAUGGACUGCGAGAUCAAACAGCGAAAGAAAAAAUAGAGAAACAGAUGUCAGGGAAGAAUGGCCAUGGAUGAGAGGGCCGGAGCUUGAACGCGGCCAUGGACGAGCGGCGUCAUGAACGGGCAGACCACAAAGACGACGGAGAGGGUUGGAUGCCAAGCAAUGGUCGCCUUGGACGCGGCGCCGGGAACUCCGCCGGUGGCGACGGCAGAGGGAGGCGGGAAGGUUGGGCUUAAUGUGGAUGGAGAUGGAGAUGGAGAAGGAAAGUGAGGUGGAUUGAGAUUUUUAAUGUUUAGUCAAUGUCCUGGCUACAUAAAAAAUUAAAAAUAAUAGGAAUUGAUCAUCCAGUCAACACUUUCAUUCCGUCUCAUGAAGUUCUUCUCCUCAUGUGAAGACUAAACGCAAUAAAUGACAACCUCCUCCGGCACUUCUCUUUUUUGGGUCGAAUCCUCAGGCACUUGAAAAUGCGCGAUGUCGACCCAAAUUUGAUUGUUUUGACCUUUUUUUUUUUAUUACAGAUUCCAUGCAAGUUUUGUUUUGUUUUUUUUUUCCCUGAUGGAGGAAUUUUUUUUAUUCUCAUAAUUCUGCGCAAUUCUUUCAAUUGUUUUAUGUGAGUAGAAUGUUUAAUUAUAACAAGUAUCUACACAUUUGUUUACUUUUUAAUUGUAAGAAUUAUCACUAAUUAUUUAUUUAUACUGUCAUUUGCAUGUAUAAGUUAUAUAAUACCCAGCCCCGCAUUCUAAGAAUAUUUCAAAAAGUCAUUAUAACACUCAAUCAACAAUACUAAUAAAUUUGGGAAAGUAUGAAAAUAGUCAUCUAAUCUUUUGGUAGUGAUAAGUUGUAAUAGCGCUAAUUUCAUUUUUAUAUCAAAUAUGAGCUGUCAUAUACUAAUUGAUAGAUUUAAGGAAGUGUGGAAAGUCAAUUCUUUUUUUUUUGGUGACAGAUCGUAAUUGCAUUAAUUAUAUUGUAACCAAAUGAAAAAUAUCAAUACUUACUUUUCAAUGAAUAAUUCAUUGGAGGUCAUGAUGUAGUAAAAAAAAAAUCUUGAUUUUCUCCAUACAAACAAAAUACGAUCAGCGGAUGCACACCCACUUUUUGCCAAGGGGUGGAUCACUCGGUACACUGCAAGAUUCUAUUUUAUUUUUCCACCUUAAAUUUUAAUAAAUAUUAUUUCAAGGAUGUUAUUAAUGGUCCAAUGUAAAACUAGUAAAUUGACCCAACUUGUUUUUGCUGAGAUCAUAACAUUAUGUUAUUUAUUCAAGUCGUUAUGUUACCCAUGCCUAUUAAGAAAUUAUUUUCUUUCAAUACAAAAAAUUUCCAUGCAUAAAAAAGAAAAAGGUUGUGAACAAUUGAAGUUACUAUAAUUUUUUUUUUUAUAUCCGGUUUGCCAUAUAAAUUUCAUGACUCUUCUCUGCAGUGAAUUUUAUUAAUUUGAGGAUUCAUAAGUACUGUUCGCAAUUUAGUAUGAAUAAUUAGCAGUGCUCAUGGUAAAUAAAGGAAAUAAUGUUGAGCCAAGCAUUAGUUUCAUCCAUUCCUUAUUCAAUACAUACACUACUUAAGUUCUUCACACCCACUAUUCAUAUCCUUAGUUGACUAGCUCAUCAACACCAUGCCCUUGCUUUUUCUCUAAUUGUUAUGCAUGUUCACCUUGAAGCAAACAAAUCUAAAACAUAACCGAUCUUUGCCGACUAACAUAACGGAAAUUUUCAGCUUGUAUCACUGAAUCUAAAUGUUGCUCUUUUCAAUAGUUCUAUCGGACUGCCUAGCAAGCUCCCUAAACUUUUUGCCAAUCUUCGUGCUUAUUCAUUACAAAAAUACAACUUGUCAUGCCUCCAUGGAACCAACAUUGUUUUGCGGGAUUCAUAUUCUGUUCUUCUUCGUCUUUGUCCUCAUUUAAUUGCAUAGAGAAACAAUUGAGUGAGCUAUCAUUGAUGUUUAGUCAACGGCUCCAUUCAUGCAUUAGCAUAAAUAGGAGGGCUCUCAUUUCUCUCUCUUUCAAUUUUGCAUUGUAGGUUUUCUUAUGCUUUAGAUGCUCUUGCAUCCAACUGGAAAAUAGCGUCUCUCUCUCUGUGAUUGUGACAUAAGAGCUACUAUAAAAAAAAAAAUGAGGACUUAGGAGGAGGGGGAUUAGGAUGAAGUUGAAAGGUACAGAACCAGUCUUAGCAACCAUUUGAAUGAACCCAAGUUCCAUGUCCAUAAGGCCUAUCAACCUAAUUCCCAGACUUUUAAGUUAUCGCUAUGAUUUGCCGAGUAAUUAAGAAAAGUCAACAUUGUCUGGUCACUCCAAAAUCUUAUAAAUGCAUUUAUAAUUUCAUGUUUGUUGCAAUGCAUUAUCUCUAGCCUUAGUCUUCAAUCAACUUGUAUAAAGGCAUCAAUCAACCCCUCUCUAUUUAUGUCACUAAUGAGAUCUUGACUUCUCAUGAUUUGUGAGAAUGAGGGAAGUCUGGAAAUUUCUUCUUUAAGGUCAUAACUCAAUGCAAUCACAUUCAUUGUGUCAUUUUUUUUCUCAAUAUGGCAGGUACAAUUUCCUCAACUUAUACGGAUGGAUCUUUCCCACAUGGGCAAUUUAAGCAAAAUAUGGACUGACGGUCCUCUAGAAACUCUGACUUUUGAUUGCUUACGGGAAGUGAAGGUUCUUAAUUGUAAGAGCCUUGCAAAUUUGUUUCCAUAUUGGGUGGCUACAAGUUUAACCCAACUUGGAAAACUUCAAGUGGAGUCUUGUGAGAUUGAGGAAAUAGUCGCUAGUGGGGAUGACACUCCAUGCUCCAAUACUACUCAAGAUCUUUUCCCAGAACUAACCUCUCUGGUGUUACAUGACAUGCCACGACUCAAGAGCUUUUGUCCUAACUUGCCUUUGAAUUUGCCAUUAUUGAAGCAAUUACGAGUGACUCAUUGUGAAAAACUAAGCAUGUUAUCCUUUGUGGCAUCCAUGAACAGAUGGGUUCAAAGAGAUGAUCAACAAGACCUUUCAGAUCAAGAAGCACACUCUUCAUUUGAGAGGGUAUGAUUAUAGUUGCUCUCCCUUAGUUUCCACUUUGUUCUUUAAAGCAGUCACUAAUAUCAUAUCCAUUGCAUAUCAUGUCGCGUUAUGAUGUUAUAGAAAACAUGAUCUCCCCUACCUAUUAGUUUGUCGACAACAUUAAGAUAUUUCUAAUAUCUUACGUACACUUCCAUUUGUGGACAUGCAUAAGAUAUUCCAUUACCGAGAGUUACAAAAAAAAAUUAUAGUAUUCUAUUGAUAACAGAAUAUAUUCCUAAUCUAACCUAAUGGUGCUCUUGGGCGACAUCAAUAAGGAUUUGCCAAGAGGUCCUCUCCAUUAUUGACACGUGUUGCACACUUGAACUUUUCUUCUCUAUUUCAUUUUCUACAAACUCUAAAAAAAUCAAUUCAAACAAUUUUUUUUAUAACAAAAAUAACAUUAGUACCUUAGUGCACUAUUUUCUACUGUAUUUUUUAAUACACUAGUCGUCGUGUUAUCCUGUUAUAAUACUAUAGAAAACUAGAAUCCCUUUCCUAUAAGUUUGCAGACAACAUAAGAUAUUUCUUAUAUCUUAAGCAUACUUCUGAAUUUAUGGACCCCAUAUGUUUUAGUGACAUCUUGAGUGCAUCCCGUUACAUAAGAUUCCAAAGAAGAUAAAUUUUUGUCAACAAGAUAAGAUAUUCCUUACAAAAGAUGAAUUUAGUGAGUGCAGGGAUCUUGAAUUUAGAUUCACUCUAUCCACUUGACCAGACCAACCUCUACAUGAGACUUUUAAAAGCUUGAGUCUUGAACACAAGGUUCUUGAGAUAUAAUGAACUUUAAGAAGAGGACCACCUUCCAUGCGAAUCAUCUUAAUAGGUUUACCUUUUACAGCACGUGAUUUAUUAUCGAAACUUUGUUGAAUUUACUUCUCUUGUUGUAUUGGCAAUUCGACAGGACUUUCCCAACUUGGAGAGACUUUUAUUAGUCAAUAACAAUAUUCAAAUGAUACAAGAUGGAAAUUUUUCGGAUGACAUGUUUAGCAAGCUAAAAGCACUAACACUAGCAUACUUUCAUGAUAAAAAGGCUGCCUUUCCUUCCAUAUUCCUCCUAGAGAGAUUUCAGAAUUUACAAAGCCUUGAAGUCUUCUGUAGCUCAUUUGAAGAUUUAUUCUCGAACGAAGGGCUUGUUGAAGAAAGAAAACAUCCGGUGCUUGAAAAUUUAAGAGAACUUAAGUUGAACAAGCUACACAACUUAAAGUGUGUGUGGAGAGAAGACUCUUUAGUGUCGAAAAUUCUUCAGAGCAUCGAAACAUUUGAGGUUUGGGAUUGUCCCUGUUUGACAACAAUAUUUCCAACCGAGACAUCCUUCCAGAAUCUAACAGAUUUAGUGGUGAAGAAUUCCUCUGGAUUGGUACAUCUAGUAACGACUUCAGCAGUCACAAAUUUGGUACAUCUCACUUAUAUGACUAUAAUAGGAUGUGAAAGAAUGAAAGAAGUAGUGGCCGACGAUGGAAACAGAGAAGAAAAAGUGAUUUCUUUUGAAAAGCUAAUAUGGUUGACACUUGAACAUCUGCUAAACUUAGAAUGCUUCUCUUCUAUCCCAAGUUGCAUCUUUAGGUUCCCAUCCUUAUGGAAUAUUAAAGUGGAAGAGUGUCCAAAAAUGAAGACCUUUUCUAAGGGUAUACUAAACACACCAGAACUAGAACAUGCGUCAUUGUUCAGAUACAAGUGGGAAGGGAAUUGGGAGAAGGGUGAUGAUCUCAAUACAACCAUACAGAAGUUAGCAGCAUAAAUCAAUGCACAUAGAAUUGGAAAAUUCAAUUGAUGUCAUUCUCUCAUCCAUUUUUUUUUUCUUUAGUCUUUCGGCAGCGCCGCAACUUUUUAAAAUUUUUCUUUUUGUGACUUUUCUAUUAUUGAUUUCGUCAAAUCAACAUGACCGUCAACCCUAUCGAUGGAUCUCGGCUCAUCCUUAACUGAACAGAAGGAAGCAAAGCGGGUCUCUCCUUCUCCUUCUCCUUCUUGACGCCAAAGGCUCUUUCUCCAUCUUUCUUCUUCUUCUUCCUCCUCUGUGGAGCGAAAUUGGGGGAAGCCUCUGCUGCCUUCACAAAGGACGGAGCAAAAAUGAAGCAUCAGGAAUUGCCAGGACUGCCAGAAGCGAAGCUGCAAUUAGCCGAGCGGAGCCAAGUAGAUUCAACCAGACGCUGUCGUUGUCGCCGUCGUCACCGCCGGAGGUGGCACAACCGAGUGUGGACAGUUAGUCGUCCACUCACUUCAUCAAAGAAGAAGAAGAUCACACUCUCUCUCCGCAUCUGUAUCCGACAAAUCGUAAGUUCAUGUUUCUUCCGAUUUUGGUGUCUUAUUGCGCGUGAAUUAGGGCUCUAUUCUUCAAAUUCAUUCCACAUUCGAGUCUAAAAACAGGAGUUACUCAAACAAGCAAUAUAUUGCCCUUAAAUCUACAUCUUCUGUACUUCCCUCCCGAGCAUUGGCGAGAUUUCUGCGUGUUUGAGCUCUCAUAGAUGGAGAUGAUAUAUUGUGUUCAAGGUCUCAUGUUGAAAUUUCUUUAGGUAGAGAUAUCUCUGUAACAUCAGGUACAAAUUUCUACCAGGAAAAAGGGAGAAAUCAUGGAACUUGAAAAUAUUCCGAGAAUUGCAUGCCUUGUCAAAAAUCUGAAAAGUCACUUUUACGCCUUGAUCGUAAUAUAGUCUGGACCGUCUGAGGAAUCACUUGUAAUCUUGAUUGGUUAAGUGAUGCUGGAAGGAUAAAAUUUAUUUCCAAUUUAUGCUAAAAUCUUUUUCAUAGCAAGUCAAACUAAUGAAGUGUACUUAAACUAUCUCUAAAGUUGUCGUUUUUUAAGUACAGGCAGGUCCAAACAUUCGAGCAGAUUGAGGCAUCCUGAGCUGGUUUUUUAUGGUCCCAUGCGCCCAAGGCCUCUCACUGCUUUUACAUCGGCCAACAAAUUUCAAAUGGAGCAUCCCUUUUCCAAAGGUGGUGAUGAGGCCUUCUUAUGUUAAGUUUGGCUUGGUAUGAUCCCAUGCUUGUUGAGUCGAGCUCAUGUCUGAAAAUCAAACAUAUCUUAGCUUAUACUCUGGUUUAUAUGCAAGUUGACUUAAUGUAAUAAACCACAUGACAUGUUAUUUUCCUUGAAUUGUUCAUGGGUGUAUGUUUCAAACCAGGUAUAUAUCUUAACAACAAAGUAGUUGAAGUAGGGAAAAGAAUGAAAGGACGGUUAUCGGGACAUAAGCUGGUGGUCAAGGUUUGAAAAGAUAACAAUUAUCUCCUUUUUUGUGGAUAGAUGUUUUGGAAAGCAAUUGCUGGAGCAAGUGUUAAGAAUUAGAAUCCAAGUACUCUUAUAUGGAGAAAUUUGACAAUGUUAUUCAAUGCUGUAAAAGUAGUAAUUAUAUAAAUCAUACAAGGGGACCAGUUGAUACAGACAAUCAAAUUGCAAAGAAUGUUGCUCCCUCCGUGGCUCAAGGGAAAGACCUAAAAGAUAAAAGGGUGGCUAGUUAUGAUUCUGAAGUUUGAUCGUAGAUCUUGAUGACUCUUAUUAUUAAUGUCAAACAGGAGAUACUGUUUUAUUCUGUUAUAUUAAUAAGAUAUUUGAGGAAAAAAAUAGAUGAGUUUACUUUGUCGAAUUGAAUCUGUAGUUUGAUAAAAUUCGAGCUGCAGUUGAAAGAAUUGAACAGCUUAGAUUGAAAUUUUCACUUCCAUCCAUGUUCCAGUCAUCGAUGUCUUUGCCUUUUCCCCUGCACUUGUGGUUUGUGUGGCUGAAAUUCACGGUCUCAAAUAUACAUAGGACAUGGAAGGCCUUUUCUAGUUAUGUACGCGAUCGCACUCCAGGGGCAUAUAUCUUGACAUUUGACCUUGGGUUGCAAGUUGAGAUUGUUUACUCGUAUUAUAUGGUUUAUUUUCAAUUAAAACUCCUGAAACUAGCAACUACUGCCUUAAAUUCGUAUUGUGUGAUUAGAUUCUCUCAUUAGUGUAUGCUUAUGUUUUGGUCUUUCUUCACCAUAAAUUGGUUUUUGACCAUGUAAAUGGGGACUCUGCUCCUGUUCAAUUCAUCAGGCAACAUAAUCUGGAAAAAAUGUAAAUUGCAACUCUCAGCUAUUCAGACAAGUCAUGGACGUUGAAACUCAGGAGCCAUGGACGUGGACACAGGGGGGCCUUUUUUUCUGCUGGUUGGCCCACAUUUGCUAGAGAAGCUCAUCUGCAUGUAGGAGAUGUUUGUAUUUUUGAGCUAAUUGAUAGUGAGGAUGUGUGUUCAGAGUCUACAUUUCCACUAGAGCUGGUAAGGACUUGGUUUACAUUGAUUGAAAUGAACUAUGGAAGUGUCAUUUUCGCUCAUCCAAAAUAAAUCCUGUAUUCAUCGUCAUUUCUUCUUUGGUGGUCUUGGUGAAUCAAUGAAGUAUACUUCUUCCAUUCCCGUUGUGUUUGUGAGGUUCGCAAUAAUCCAGAUGCUCACUUAUUAAUCUGCAUCCCAAAUCUAAAUGAACCAAAAAGGAUGUGAUUCAAGAUUAGAGCAAAAGUUAAAGCCUGAAACGCUCGUCAUGAGAAUUUAGAGAGGCGUGACUUGUUGGUUUCUAAGUUAUGUUUAUGUGAACAACGACACAUUCUUUUUCUUAUUCUCUCUCAAAAUUUGUGAAAUUCUCCUAAUAAGCUUUUUGUAUAUUGAUUUUGUGGCAUUAUGAUUUAGGAGGUGCUAAGGGUAGUAAUCAAUUAUGUCUAAAAUGCAGAACAUGUAGACAUUAGUACCAUGAUCACAAGUACUGAUGUUUAGAUCAUUGUAACUCAAUACAAUGUCGACAGUGGUACCUGCGAGAAUUUUCUUUUUUCUUUUGUGCCUAUCGAUCUGAACAGUCUAAAUGUCAUGUAGCCCUCCUGAGCAGGUUUUGUAUGGUUCCACGUGUCCAUGGCUGGCCACUGCUCUUGAAAAAACUAGAGAAUUUGAAUUUGAGCAUCCACUUUUGAAAUUGGUGAUUUGGCCACUUUUAUUAAAAAGAGAAUUGCAGUAAGGGCCUAUUUCCUUUCAUAAUUGGCAUAUCCCAACCGUGAUGCCAUCUACAUCUCGCCCUGUAGUCUACUAUUUUCCCAAGUGGUUUUGCUUUUUAUUGGAGAUGUUGUUUUCUUUGAAAUGUGUAUGGCUUUAUGUGUAAAACUAGGGCAGUUUUGAUUUUGAAUUUUUUUUUUUUUUUUUAAUUAUGGAUUCAGAAGAUUACAGAUUCUUAAAUAAUAGAUUGUACUUUCCUCACUACUCAGGUGUAAAGAAGAUUGCUUUUGUUCAUUGACUAAGAGGAUGUGGUGAGACAAUCAGUGUUAGCACACCUGAAGCGUUAUCAUGAGAGUUCAAAAAUAGUGUACACUAUUGUAGAGUCUAUGAGCACUGUAUCGUGACAUUUUAACAUCAAAUUGCAAGUUGGGAUUGAAGACUUCUAUUUGUCAGUUAACACUGUUAAUUGAAUUUACUGAAACUAGUAAAUACUAGCAUAUAUUAACAUUUUGUUUGCCUUGUCUUUUUAUUGUUUGUUUGUAUUUAAUCUUUUCCUCAUCAUGCUACAUUGGCGGAGUGUUCCUUGUGAAUUCAUCAAGAAGUACAUUCAGAAGAACCAUUAGAUUGCUACUCUUAGGUAUUUGAACAAAUCAUGACCAGUGCAACUCAAGACCUAUCAACACCAUUUUUUAGCAAACAUCUCUGUGGUUGGCCCAUGUUUGUGAGACAAGCUUAUCUGGAUGAAGGGGAUGUCUUCGUGUUUGAGCUCAUUGAUAUGGAUGAUUUUAUGGUCAAAGGCUCCAUCUCCAAUUAUGCUUGUAAGGACCUCAUUUAGGUCGAUUGAGAUGAACAUUGGACGCAUCACUUGAGGCUGUAUAUUAGUGAAGCAAUUCCUGCCUCACUUAUUCAGUUGCGACAAAUCAAUUGAAAGUGCGCUUACUUUUGGCUUUGCUUCUCUCUCUUGACCUACUUAUAGUCUUAUCAGAAUUCUCUUUUUUCUUUUGUCCAGGUCAGAACAGACAAGUCUGAAUGUCCAGUGAGCCCCUCCUAAGCAAUUUUUUCAUGAUUCCAAGUGUUCGAGGCCUCUCACUGCCCUUGAGAAAGCUAGAGAAUUCAAAUUGGAGUAUCCCUUUUCCAGACAGUGAUGUGGCCAUCUUUUCUUAAGAAAGAAGUGGUGGUAAGGCCCAGAUCUCCAUUCAUAACUGACGUCUCAAUUAUGCAUGCCACCUAUUCUAUAUAUGCGCCCCACUGUGCAAAUUUUUCCCACGUUAAUUUGGUUUUUAUAGAAACACAGGACAUGUUAUCUUCUGUGAAGUGAUCAUGGUUAUAUGUUUUAAACAGGAAUCUUAACAACUGAGUAAAGGGACUAGGAAAAACAAUAAGUUGGGACAGUAAUCAGGAAAUAACCUAAUGACAGGGGGUGCGGAGACAGGAUCAGAGGGUUGGGAAAGGCAAUAACAACCAUAAGUUAGCAAUUUAAUAGUUUCUAAUUGAAGUAUAAGUUCCUCCCAAAGAUGACUACUUGGUACUUUCUCAGGCUGCCUAGGCUUGGGAAGAAGAGGUGACACGAAAUGUCCAGCUUAAGCCAUAGCUACUGCAACAGGCCUAGGCUUGGCAUGACUGAGCUCACUGCAACAGCAUGGCAACACUAGUCAGAUAUUGCUCACUGGCAACAAAUGGUUUACAAGAGCUACCAUUGCAAGCAGGUUCAAACUUGCAAUCGAAAAUGAAGGGAAGCCAAUGUGGCCUAGACCUCAAAAAUUAGUGCCACCAACUCGAUGGUAUGAAACGAAGAAAAGAAGCUCACUUCUUUUUGGCCAGGCAAAAGAAGAUCACUUACUUUCUGUGCUUGUGUGUCCAUUUAGGUCCCUAUGUGUAGCUUUUCAUGUUUAUUCGAUGCAUAUUGCAAUGUAAGAUUGGUGACUCAGAUAUUCACCAGAUUCAACUUGUCUCUAUAUUGAUUACACGUACUUAGUGUAGAAUCUAAGAGCACAGGAUUGUGAUAUUUUGAUUUCAGAUUGCAAGUUGUGAUUAAAGGCGAUCUCAUCAUGUCUUUUAGACUGCUAAUAUGGACUUUGGAAACUAACAACUACUAGCAUAAAUGUACGUUUUGUUUGCCUUUUCGCUUUAGUGUAUGCUUACAUUCCUAUGUGUUAUCAUAUAUUGGCUGGUCAAAUGUCUUCAUGGGUAGAGUGUUCUUAUGAAUUCAUAAAUACAUGCAUUCAAGAAAACCAGCGAAUUGUGACUCCUGGGUGCUCGGACACAUUGUGGCGGUGACCAUAAGGACCUAUCGAUGUUGUAGUGAACUUCUGUGUUGGUUGGUCCAAGUUUGUGAGUCAAAGUUGUCUUGAGUGAAGGGGAUGUCUACGUGUUUGAGCUCACUAAUAGGGACAAUGUUUAGGUUGAAUUGGGAUGUAUUUUGGAAGUCACUUUACUAGUUGAAAGCAAUUUCUGCCACUAUUCUGUUGUGAUGAAACCGGAUAAAAGUGCACUUAUAUUUGUAACCGUGCUCUGUUCAGGUCUAGUUACGAUCUUAUCAUUUCUAGGCUUAAACACAUUUUCUACCUUAGGUAUCUCUCUUGAGCUUGUCGCGCUUUUAUCAUCGCCUUUUUGGAAAGGAUCUCUGGUUCAGCACUCGCCCUGGUUACUGAACCUGGUUUUGUAUUACAAGAGAAUGUCAAAAGUGACGUGCUUUAGUUCUAGAAAGGAUGUGGAAAUUUAUGCAGCAUACCAUGAUGCAGCAUACCAUCCCUCAUGGUCACUUGUUAGUUUUCAAAUAUGGGAAAGACAGCCUCUAUACUCAUGUAAUUAUAUUUGAUAAAAGUGUUUAAAUAGAUACAUUAUCCCCAAGUAGUGAUGAAAUUGAAAACCCAGAGAGUGAAUUCCAUAUACAUCUUGCCCUAUAGUCCGCUGUUUUCCCAAAUUGUUUUGGUUAGUCAUUGGAAUCACAUGGAUAUUAUUUUCCUUUAAGUGUAAAUGGCUACAUGUGUAAAAUUUUGGUUUUGAAAUUGCAUUUUGUUAAUUUAUGGAUUCUUAAGAUUACCAAUUUUAAAAUAAAAGAUCGUAUUUUGUUUUAAUACUAAUCAAUUGUAAAGAAGAUCACUAUUAUUCAUAGGCUAAGAGGACGUGGUUGAGAGGAUCAGUGUUAGCAACUCCUGAAGUGUUAUCAUGAGAGUUCAAAUAUAGUAUAUACAAUUGUAGAGUCUAUGAGCUCUGUCCUAUGACAUUUUGACUUCAGAUUGCCGGUUGAGGAUCAGUUAAGACUGUCGAUUGAAACUCUUGAAGCUAGUAAAUACAAGCAUUUAUUUGCAUUUUGUUUGCCUUUUUCUCUUUAUUGUUUGUUUGUAUUUAUUCUUUUCCUCAUCAUAUAUUGGUUCACAAAUAUCUACCUCGCCAAGAGUGUUCUUUGCCAAUUCAUAAAGAGAUACAUCUAGAAGAACCAGCAAAUUGUGACUUAGGUAUUUAAACAAAUCAUGGUUGGCGCAGCUCAAGACAUCUGUUAUCCAGCAAACAUCUCUGGUGGUUUUGCCCACGUUUGUGAGAGAAGCUUGUCUGAAUGAAGGGGUUUUCGUGUGUUUGAGCUCAUUGAUAGCGACAAUUUUAUGGUCAACUCUUUAAUUUGACCGUAAGUGAAAUCUCCGCAAGCAAUGCAAUGCGACUGUGCCAGCCACGCUCCCUGGUCGAAACUGGUGCAGUAGUUAAAUCCCCAGGUUGUAGUGUUAAGACCUCACAUUAGUCAAGACUUGAUCCAAGCGUAAUCAUCUGUGAACCGGACGCCGUUGCAUAUCUUGGACAUAAGCGUCACGUCCGGGUUGCUUCUUACAAGACUUGGACCCCCACAGAAGCCCAGUGAACAUAAGGGUGAGCGCAUGUGAUGUGGCCAUGGUCAUCCUAGAGCCCUUUUUUCCUCCUUUUGGCUCUCUUUGGUUUGCUACAGAGAGACACACAAUUGAGUUUGGCUAUGAUAAGGGUUCGUCUUCAUGGCGCACUCCAUUUAUUUGUUGCUCUUGGGCUAAGUCAGUCCCAAUUUUAGUCAUUUAUGACGUCACGUAAUUUUUUUUUAAUCAUUUAUGACGUCACAUAUUUUUUUUUUUUUUAAUAACUUCAACGGUUGUUUCUCCGGAAUUUUUUUUUUGUCAGUCCUACUCUAAUCUUACUCUACGCUCAUUCUCAGACUUUUGUCCUGCCUCUUGCAGGGCGUGGAAGUCGAAACCCACUCCUAAAACUCACGCAUCCCCACCCCAUCCCCUCCUGAGAAAGUGGAGAUUUGAACCCCUCACCUCCCCCUUCCAUGUUGGAAGGGUGGCCACUGGGGGCUGUUUCUAUGGAUUACUCACCCAUUAAUGUACUUUGUUGUUGCCAUCCUCACAAACCAUAAUCUCAUAAUUUUCAAAGAAAUAUUUCCCUCUCUCUCUCUGACUAUGCAUGAAAAUUCAAAAUUGAGAUCCUCUAAGUUUAGGAAAUAAAUUUACGCUACGAUAAGGGAGUGAAUAAUAAUCAUUUUGUUCUAGAAUUCGAUUUUUUGUCAUUCCUUGGACGAAUUUAUGAACAAAAAUAUGCAUUUGAUAACGACAUAAAGUUUCUGUUAUUGAAAUAGAAAUUCGUUUAACAUAAAAUUUCUCCCUCCUAAGCAACUAGCAGGUGGCGGCCCUAAACAAACCAUUUCACUUUUAUUUUUUAUUUUUAUUUUUUUUCAAAAAUAGAGAAGUAUAAAAUUUUUACUUCUCAUUUAGUAUUUCUAAGCUAACAAUUUGUUUUGGAAUUUGAAAAAUGAAAUUACAUUAUCAAACAAAUUUUUGUUCCGAACUCGUUCCUAUAUCAGAAAAAUAACAAAAUAGAAAAACAAAAUUGUUGUCAUGCGAGUACCCUAAAUGACCCACUUCACUAUUAUUUUCUUCUUUCUUCUCCUAUUUUGCACACACGUGUUUGCUUCACAUAUGAGUCUCGAAUAUAUUUCUACAUGUAACAUUGUAAGCUUAGGUCAGGUAAUUAAUGGAGUUUGUAAUACUUUUAUAAUCCAAAUAACACCAUACUUUUGUUGCUGCUAACACUACUACUAAGAGUAUUAAAAAAGAAAAAAAAGAAGCCCAAACACCUGGAUUGAACCACCCGAACUAGCCUGAUAAUUUUGGGCUCAAAUAGUCUCCGGCCCGGCCACUAGGCCUCAAACUAUCCAUGAGUUUGGGACCUGAAUGAUUGCCAAAACCAACCCGAUUCAUAGAUCGGAAACUGUACAUAUGUAUGUCCCCCUAUGUCAAUUCCCUUUCACCUGUUGAGGGCUCAACUUCUCUCAUUCGCUCAUUUCUCACGUUGAUCGAGAUCUGGCUGCCACCAAGCUGCCAUCGUCGCCACGGUCAAGCCCCAGCACUCGCCAUAUGGCCUCCGUCUAAUAUGUUUCACUCACUCCCUUAGUCCCUUUUAUGCUUGUUCGCAUCUUGAUCUCCCUUGCGCUCCCUCGCUCUCUACUAGUAGAAAACUGGCCUUACUAGCUUGUUUUGAUGUCUUAUGGUUUUUUAUUUUUGUACAUGCUAUUUGAAAUUUUUAUUUGAAAUUUUUAAAUAAUAGAUAGUCCCUCUUUAAAAAGAUGCAAUUACCUUUUUAUUAUUUUUGUUUCACAAUUAAUUAGUUACGUUUAGAUUGUGGAGAGAAGUAGAGAGUGGCCAUAACUGACGAUUUUCAUUUUUUAAUUACAAAAUGACGAGAAUCGCCCCCGAAUUCAUUUAAAAUUUAAUUGGAGUUAUUAUGAUAAUAGGGUUUUUGAGUUAAUUUAAAUUGAGAGACAUAAGAGGAACCUCUCCGUUAAAGAAUUGACAAAUUUGUUGAUGUUUUAACAAAUCAUAGCCAACUAGUGUUAGCACAAGAUAUGAUCCCUCAUCGAGCUAAUUGAGUUGGGAAAAUUGUUACUUUCACCUGGUGCAUACUCUAUUCAAGAAUUGUUUGAACUCGGGUUGAUGAUUUUUCGAGAAUUAAUAUCUAGUCAAGCUCUAACUCAAGCUACUUGAGGAUCUUGCAAAUUGAAAGCUUAAGUUCGCCACUACUCGGCUCUUAAAAUUUUGUAAGCCUAAUUCAAAAUAUUUGAUUGGUAUGUAAUUAUACAUAGACAUCCUCAUCCACACACAAGUAUAUUUAGUGUAUCGACUUUUCGUAUGAAUCAAGCUCUAGCAUAAGCAUGAAGUUAAUACUUGGUCAAGCUCAAAUCAAACACUGAGUAAGGAGUUGAGCCAGUUUCGAGUUUGGCACUGUGGUGGCUUGAUUAGACCCCUAGGUGCUAGCCGUUUUGACAUCCAAUUCGAUUAAUAGAAGCCAACGUGUUCAUUAAAGCGAUUAAGAACUCUGACGUGCAAAAUUCGAGUGCAAGGUUAUUGUUGGGAAAUCUCAUUAUUCAAGAUGCACUCAUGAUUUUCGCAAGUUUCAAUCCCACUAUAAUUUUCAAUCCCUAUAUUAACCGAUAGGUCAAAUGAUAAAAGUAAGUGAACAUUAAUAAAUGUAUGAAAUCUUCAAAAGUCACUUUUCCGAAGUCCUAGCUGUAUUAUCCAUGGGACGUAGCUUGGCUUCACAAAUCCUUGUUGUAACUUCUAUCCGAUAAAAUGGCACUCAAGUUCCAUUUACUUGGUAAUGUUUAUUGAAAACUGGACUUUUGCUGCAAUUUUUGUCACAAUUUCCCUUUAAUUUUCAAUAACCAUUUGACAAUAGCAAAAUUCCUCGACCAAUAAGAAAUUUUAAAUAUCAAAUAUCCUCUUGUUUAUUUUUCAUAAAUUAACUCAAAAUGUACAUAAAAAGAUCCUUGAUAAUUUUAACUUUUGAAAUUAUUUGGGAAAUCAUUAAAUUUGCGUUGCGUCAUUUCCUCUUUUAACAAAAACUUCCUAUUGUUGAAAGGAAAGUUUCGCUAUUAUUUUUUGCAACUUAAAAUCCUAACAAUUUUUUAAUUUUCCCAAGUUUUUAGCCGAAAAAUCAAAUUUCAUUCCCAAUUAUCAAUAUAUAUCAUCAACAUAAACUUAAAAAAAAAAAACAUGAUAAAUGAAUUUCCUCUCCUUGAAGUAAAUAGGGAAAAAUAAAUAAAAUAUCAACAAUUCUUUACAUCUGAGAAAUUAGAAAGGGCAGAAGAAGAAGAUCCCCUAGGCUUUCCAGUUUUGCGCUUCAAGCAUUCGAUCCCCCUCUGCCUUCUCUCUCUCCCCCCAACCCUUAGGCCGAGCUGCACCGCCGUGUCGCGGCCUCGGACCCCCCGAGCUUCACCCCCGGGGGCCCCCCUGGGGGUGGGGGGGGGGGGCCCCCCUUUUUUGGGCUUUUUUUCCCCCCUCCCCCCCCCCCCCCCCCCCCCCCCCCCCCCCAAAAGAAAAAACCUAGGUCCCUCGCUUCGGUUCUCCGGGAUUGCUCGAAGAUGGACGAGGACCAGGAGAUGGAGAGGCUCGGGGUGGACAACGAUUACGACGACGGGGAGUUCUACUACCGCAGCGGAGGGAGAAGCGCGCGCAGACCAAGGACGACGCACUCUACGGCGUCUUCGCGUCGGGGGACUCCGAUUCGGACUACGACGACUCCUCCAAGAGGAAGCAGAGGAAGAACAGGGACCUCCAUGGUAAGGCCGAUCUGUCGAAGCCCGUGAAUUUCGUGUCCACCGGCAUGGUCAUGCCGAACAGAGAGAUUGAUGAGAACUCGAAGACGGAGAAUGAGGAUGACGAGUCCGCUGACGUGGAUGAGGAUAGGCCGGGCUUGGGGGUUGGUGCUGGGGUGGGUUUGGGGUUUAAUAAGCGAGACGAUGGUUUUGAUGAGAACGGCGAGGAGGAGGAUGGUUUCUUGCCGACGGCAUUUGGGCGGAAGAUCAAGGAGGGAGCGGAGAGGAGGAGAGAGCAAUCGAAAUUGGAGAAGAAAGCGCAGCAAGGUGGGGCUAAAAGGGAUUCUUAUGAAUCGGGAAACGUGGGUGGCUUCGAGAAGUACACCAAGGGAAUUGGAAUGAAGUUGCUCGAGAAAAUGGGUUACAAAGGGGGUGGUCUUGGGAAGAAUCAGCAGGGGGGAUUGUGACACCCAUUGAAGCAAAGUUGCGUCCUAAGAAUAUGGGUAUGGGUUUCAACGACUACAAAAGAAAUUCCUGCAAAGGCGCCUGUUGCCUCGUUGGAGCCAGAGGAAAAAAAGCCAUCACCUGAUGUGCCCGGUCAGGAGAAGCUUUGGUCUAAGCAAGUGAAGAAGGCGAUGCUGAAAAACAAAGCAAAAUAUAUUACAUCAGAAGAGCUGUUGGCGAAGAAGUAGGAUCAGGGUGUUGAAGUUGUGCAAGAGGUACUCGACAUGCGUGGACCUCUAAGGUUAGGGUGCUAGCUAACUUGGAGAAUCUGAACGUGGAAGAGAAGGCGAGGGAGAGCGAUGUUCCUAUGCCCGAGCUCCGGCAUGAUGUAAGGUCGAUUGUGGACCUGGCUGAGUUGGAUAUUCAGUAGAUCAUUACGGACCUGAGGAAUGAGAAGGAGAAGUUGCAAGCUGAGGCAGAACACCAGAAGAAACAACUAAAUUACGUGGAGAUAAUGAAUACACUAGACCGGAUUGAGGAGCAAAAGUCGAUGGGAACAUUGACGUUAGACUUGCUAGCCAAGUCUUUUGGUGACAUGCUAAGAAGGUUUCCUGAUGAUUAUAAACUUUGCAACUUAUCCUGCAUUGCUUGCUCAUUUGCACUCCCUCUGUUUAUCAGAGUAUUUAAGGGAUGGGAUCCUCUUCGGAAUCCCUCACAUGGGUUGGAAGUUGUUUCACGGUGGAAAUCUCGAUUGCAAGGACAUGAAUGUCUUGAUAUAUGGGAUUUGAGAUCCCCCUGAUACCCAGUUGGUUACAGAAUUUGUCUUGCCUGCUGUGUGAAUAUCAGGCAUUGACACUUGGGAGGCAGGGAAUCCGAAGCCAAUGCUUUGAUUUCUUGAAGAUUUUGUGAUCAGUCUUCUCGCAUGUGGGCGUAAAUUCAAGUUUAUCAGUUUCUUCUCAAGUGAAGAGCAUUUGGAAUUCAUUUAUUUAUGUUUUCAUAUUAACUGAAUGUUGAUAUUAAUGACAAAAGCAAGUAUGCUGGCAUCUUUUGCGUCGCUGUGGCAUGACUCUUCUGCAGUCUCUAUCUCUCUCUCUCUCUCUCUCUCGACAAACACAGCAGCCGAGCCUCCGGCAGUGGCUUUUUGUCUUACAAUCGGCAACAUCCCGGCGCUCUUGAACUCGAACUUGCUCUCCCCGCUGGAUAAAGCUCGCUGAUUCUCUCUUUUUAUCUCUCUUCCUUGCGAGAGCUCGAUACCUCAUCCAAAGUGUAAUCAACGGCAAUGAAAAUUUGGAAGAUGGCGAGAGGAUGGGAGAAAAUGAAAGCAAAACGGAAAUCAAACAGACGAAAUUUGGAAUGAAUCAAAGACAAUUUUAGAGUUCGAGAUGGAACGUCCCGGUAUUUGUUGACUGUUGAUUAAGGAAACUCCGUGGUCGAGUUCUGCUGCCACGGCAGCGAGGCGAGCGGCAUCUUCAAACCGGUAGCGACACUUUUUGUGCUUCGGUCAGUGCUGGAAGCAACAAUCGUCAGAGAGCUCAGUCUCGAUGAAUAGUUGGUGGGUACUCCGUUCGCGGUUGGAUUCCCUCUCUCUCUCCAGAUUUUCUCCGGCCAGAUGUUCUUUUGCAUAUUUUCUCUCUCUCACUCCGGAUUCUCCUUAUUCAUCUCCACCAAUUCAGAUCUAUCUCGCUUCAGAUUCGCACAGUGAACGACACCAUCAGAUUCCACAUUUUGAGUCGUGGCCACACUAAUUCCACUCUGAUUUUGUGUCAUCGCUUUCGUGUCCUUGCGCGUGUCUGGACCAGAUUUAUAUGUGGCCGGGCCAUCUCGAGCUCAUGCCGCCAUCGCUGCCAAACCAUCGUCAAGGGUGUUUCAUAUCCAAUUGAACUUCUGAGUCAAAAUUUCGAUUCACUCCAAAAUAUGUUCUGUCGAUUCUUGCUUCUUUCUGUUCACUCCCACUUCAUCGCAAUCUUUCGAAUUCCUUUGUUUCGCCCAUCUACGCCUCGUGCAAAGGGAAAGCGGGGUGGUGUUCACUGCUUAAAAGAGCUUUAUCCUAUUGCCAAGGCUGAGGUUGGAUGGAUCAUCAUCAUCUGGACAGGAUCUGCCGAUUCGAAGGAUGAGAUUCUUCGGGUUCACUCCCGGCACUCCUGCCGGUCCGAGGUCGUUUCAUCAACCAACCGCAACAGAGGGCAAUCUGAGUCAUCAAAAUCAUCCGAAAAGAUACGCCAAGCAUGAAGAUUGGCGGUGGUGAGCACGGAGAGAAAACAAGGAAGAAUAAAAAGUCUCGAAGCGAAGCGAAGCAGUGGAUGGAGAUGAUUCGGAUUUUGCGUGGGGACUGUGGGGAAAACGGGGCAAACAAGGUGAAGCCGGCGGUGGUUCUUUGGAUGAGAAGGAAGUAAAGUGUUGAAAUUAAAAAAAAAAAAGAAAUAAAAGAAAUAAAAGACGAAAGGAAAAUAUAGAGAGCCCAUGAGAAAUCGGUCAAAAGGAAGACUUGCACGAAAAAUGUAAUUCGACAUUAUAUCGAGCACCUUCAUUGCAAACUCGAUCCCUCCUCCACAGUGCAAUCGACGGCAAUGGGAAUUUGGAAGACGGCGAGAUAAUUGGAGAAAAAUGAAAUGAAAUAGAUAUCAAUAGACGUAGUGAGUAUGGAUCGAAAUUAAUUCUAGAGUCGAAUGGGAGAUGAAAUGACCUGGUGGUGAGUACGAAUAUUGACCUGACAGAUAUCAUCAUUGUUACAGAAUCGUCUCACUCUCGAUUUCUCUUUGGGGCAGCUCAACGAACACCUUCCCUAAUGUCCAUCUUCAUAUUUCAGCAAGUCUUCCUCCAUCAGGGUCGUUUCCUAUCCGAUUGAACUUCCGAGUCCAAUUUCGAUUCAUUCCGGUAUACGUUCUGUCGAUUCUUGCUUUCCUUCAUCUCCGCCUUUCGGAUUUCAAAUGACGUUGCUCGCGUCCUUCGUUUCGUCUCUCUAUGCCGCACACAAUGGGGAUGUCUGGCUGGUGGAUAGGAUCUGCCGAUUCGAAUGAUGAGAUUCUUUGGGCUCACUCUCGGCCCUCCCGCCGCUUCAAGAAGCAGCAAAGACUUGCACAAAAGAUGGAAUAUCUUGAGAGGAAGAUUCAUCCCAUAACUCAGCCAUCAUUUUCUUUUUCUUUUCCUUGAAAAAGGCAUCAAAAACUCCAAACGACGCCAUCAAGGACGCCCAUUGCGUCUCUUCGCUUCAAGUACCUUUAUUGGAUCUCUCCCUCCAUCCCGACGCGCUCCCCGGCUCAGUGAGUUCCGAGUCGCUCCACCAUCACCCUCGCUAUCUACUCGCCUCGUGAUCGAUUCCGUCGCUCGCUGUCUUUAGAAACUCCGGUGAUCCUCUCUCUCUCUCUCUCUCUCUCUCUCUCUCUCUCUCUCUCUCUCUCUCUCUCUUUUCCUGUCCUUCUUCCGGUUGGAAUCAUGCAUUCGUUUUGUGGAUUCUUAGGUGUUUUGACAGAGGUUUGAAUCUGGUGUCCUUGAGUGAUGUUUAAUGCUAUUGUCGUUUUGCUCAUCAAUGGAGUUCAUGUCGGAUUUUUUUUUUCUUUUUUUCCUUGUUUCCGACCGUGAAUCCGAGACCACUUGGAAACGAGCGAUGAUUGAACUGAAAACGUCCUGAGAAAUCGCCGCAGUGAGCGAAAGUUGUGCAAAGUUAAGCUCGGUCGAACAGUGGUUCGGUUUUCCUCUAUUUUUUGGCAUUAUAUAAUCACUUCUGGAUUCAGUUGUGGUGCGAGGGUGACUCGCUAGCCAUUCCUGAUCGGUCCUUCGGUUAACGCUUUUCUCUGUAUAGAUUUCCGAGUGGCUUGGGACUUGGAGAUGGGAGUAGCACCGAUGAGUUAUGACAUGGAAGAGGGGACGCUGGAGAUCGGCAUGGGUGAGCUUUCGGCCCUCUCCGCUUUCCAAAUUUUUUUUUUUUUUUUGGAGCUACGGACAAUAAAAAUCUGCUGGGAUGCUUAAAUCUCGUAAUUAAGUUUUGUCUGUAUUGUGGGGAGUAGCUUUGUCUCCUUGUUCGUGGCUUAUUAUGUCUUUCGCCAUCUAAAUUUCACCGUGCUUGGAAUCAGAACUUUAGUCAUAGGAUAUUGUUGUUUUCUAGGCUUUCCAUAUAGCUUUCUCGUUUCUGAAAAGUUUAUGCUGCCCCUGUUAUGACAACGGUUAAUACAUUUAUUACUUAGAUCUACACAAUCUCUAUCAUUUCGUAUAUAUUGGCUGAGAGGUGAGGAAUGAUUUAGCUCUUGUCCGAGUCAAAUGUUUAGCAUGCCUUAGUCGCUGGGUCUUAGUUAUCAGUUGUUCAAACAAUUGCUUUGCUGCUUGCAGAGGAUAGGACCGUCUCUGGUGUUGCUGGGCCGUUGGUUACACUCGACAAAGUCAAGGUAAAUUUCACUGGUUAUAAUUUUACGAGGUUGAGUGAACUCCUAUAUGGACAUGUUGGAUUAAUUUUAUUGUAUAUCAGGGACCAAAGUAUCAAGAGAUGGUAAAUAUCCGCUUGGGUGAUGGAACGACUAGAUGUGGGCAAGUCCUUGAAGUUGAUGGAGAGAAAGUUGCUGUGCAGUUUCAGUCUCAGUUGCCAGCCUCUUCUUUUUUCCUUUAGCUCUCUUGAUACUGCAUUUUUGUUGUUUGGACUGCAAUACUUGGGUCAACUUUGUGUGCAAUACUUUUCAGCUGAUGACCCAGUGAAUUCUCUGUCAUUCAUUGCAAGCAUUAGAAAAAGCAGAACAUGAAGAGUAUUAUCUUAGGUAUAUGUGAUGAAAUGUGAGAACAUCAUAUGGGAUGAUAAUUGAAAUGUGAUUGAAUUUCUUGAGAACAAUGUUAAGAGUCUAAUUAGCAUUCCGUUUAGGCAAUUAUAGAUCCUCUCUGCUCUCGAGUGAUGGAAGUCUAGUCAUGGUGUGACACCCAUCGAAGCAACCAGCAGGGGAUUGUGACACCCAUCGAAGCAAAGUUGUGUCCUAAGAAUAUGGGUAUGGGUAUGGGUUUCAACGACUACCAAAGAAACCCCUGCAAAGGCGCCUGCUGCCUCAUUGGAGCCAGAGGAAAAGAAGCCAUCACCUGAUGUGCCUGGUAAGGAGAAGCUUUUGUCUAAGCAAGCGAACAAGAUGAUGCUGAAAAACAAAGUGAAACACAUUACAGCAGAAGAGCUGUUGGCGAAGAAGCAGGAACAGGGUGUUGAAGUUGUGCAAAACGUACACGACAUGCGUGGACCUCAGGUUAGGGUAUUAGCCAGCCUGGAGAAUCUGAACGUGGAAGAGAAGGUGAGGGAGAGUGAUGUUCCUAUGCACGAGCUCCAGCACAAUAUAAGGUCGAUUGUGGACCUAGUUGAGUUGGAUAUUCAGAAGAUCGAUAGGGACCUGAGGAAUGAGAAGGAGAAAGCUCUGAGCUUGCAAGAGGAAAACAGAAGCUGCAAGCUGAGGCAGAACUCCAUAAGAAACAACUGAAUAAUCUAGCAACUAAAUUGUGCACAUGGAACAGCGGAAGCACAAUCACGGUAGAGUCUGAUUCCGUUAGUCUGUACCCCACCUGAUGACGCCAAAUUGCGCUGAGUUAGCAGCAUGCGAUUGGGGAGGGGUGACCCAUAGCGCCGGAGGUGUGCAAGAACAUAGCUACAUCCGAGGGAUCAUUGACAACUGUGGACAUCGAGUCGAGGCUCGGCUCGGCUCUACGUUGGUCGAAGAGAGUGAUUUUGGUAUCGGCAAAGUGAAGAUUGGCGGUUAGGUGGGGGAUGUUGAGCUUGGAAGCAGCGGAUUGAGCCCGUCGGUUUCCUUCUUGCAGUGUCAAUAGGAGCUUCGGUUCUGAGUCGGAAAGGUAGAACUCGAGCACCUUAGCUAUGUAGAAGGGAUUGAGCGGAGCUACAGUGGCUCGGCAAUGGAUUACCGCUGGAAAUAGGAUCACAAACUGCAAAACGAACACAUUUUCCAAUAAGAAAACUAUCACACCAGUCCCUGCGGAUUGGAGAUACACACACAUAUGCAGGAUAUGCAGACAACUAGUUUGUCAACGUUUAAUUCAUUAAAACAAUCCAUCUCCUUUUGAAAAGCGUUGACUUUGUUUUACGAUGAAUCGGUGCUUGUACGUCCCAGAAAACAACCCUUGGACCCGACAGAAAAUUCUCUUCAUGCUUUUCCCAUUUCAAUUUGUUCCUGUUCAAUUUGCACCACGCGCUCACAGAAAUUUCAUGCCUCAGAUGCAAUUUUUUCAGUAGAAAUCGAUGCCAUUUCCGUCUCUCUGUUCUCGAAGUACUGUAAAACUCCAAGAAACAUCUACCUCUUUCUUUUCCAAGCUAUUUCCCAGUCGAUGUUUCGCAAGUCAUUGAUCUCAUCAUUAGAAAUUCAUCGUCACCGCAAUCUUCCAGAUAUUGUGUUCUCGAAUUUAAACGGCAUCAUCCAUACUCGCGAACAGACCGAGAUGACACAGACAUACCUCGAUGUUGUUGAGGAAAGUGAGCGCGACGGUGUCGGUGUGAGGCAGUGAUGAGCGCGGUGGUGUGGUUGACAAGCUCUUGCAGCUGCAUGUGCGUCAGGUCGAGCUCCUCGCAGGCGGAGACGGCUCUCUUGUUGGGGAAAUCCGACGUUGCCUUCUUCAAUAGGUCCGUGAGCGUAAGUUCUCCCAUCACUAACCACAGGGAACGAAUCGACAGCAAUCGGCUUAAGCUGAAACCGAUCCCCGAUCGAACUGAAGAGGGGCACCACAAUCGCUUGGCAAGACGAGAACGAAGGAUCGACAAGAACAGGAAUUCGCACGUAUGCAUAUGAAAUGGAAAUGAGACCAGAGGGAGGGAGGGAAGGAAGUUGAUGCAAUCGAGGUGGCUCCGCGGCCAGUGCGAGCUCGGUUAAGGUGGCGACGGAGACUUAAUGGAUCAAAGGCUGUAACUAGUCUCACUAAUGUCUUCGCAAGAAAAUGUUUCAAUAAACUAAUGAUAGCCACCUAAUCAAUACAUUUGUCCAUUCAGUGGACGACAAGUGGCACUAUGGGGGCCCGCUCUAUCAGCAAGUCUGCAAGUCCAUUCUGCACGACAAAACAAAUGUCGUCCAAGUUUGAGAUAAGAAAUGAAAACCGCAGCAUCAGAAAAGUUCAUCACCAAAGGAUUAAAAUCCAUUCCAAGUUUGCGGCAAUGGCGUUUCUUGCACAGAUUGUAUAAAUGCAAGGAUCAAUGGCGAUUCUGACAGUUCAUUCUUUGCACGCACACACGCAGAUCUCCUGCUCCUUCACAACAGAAUACAAAUUUAACUCGAUUCUGUUCAUACAGAACACUUUAACUCGAACCAGAGGAAUCAGCAAGCCACGAGACAGCAAUUUUCAUGUCAUACGCCGAGCAUACGAGACGAGAAUACUAACACUAUUUGACAAAUGAGCAUCCUAUUCUGACAAAGUCGGCCAUAAUAAGUAUUCAAAAAGUUGAGAACAAAUCAAAUUUAUGUAAUAUGAUUUUGCGGUUCAAGAAUUGAAUCGAAUUUACACACCGAUCUAGUUCGAGCAUUUUAUCAAACAAGUAAUGUGCAUUUAACCAAGGAGCUCAUACGCCAAUGCAAAGCAAGGAUUGACUUUCAGAUCAUCACGAAAAUAACAGUACAAGUCCGAGUUGUUAAAUAAAGCUUCAAUAUCAACUGAUUUACUCACAGACAUUAGCUAAAGCUAACCGGCUCUGUUUCGUUCAUGAGCAGCAGAAACAGAGUGCGUGGGAUUUACCUUGAUGAGAGUGAGUUUUUCACUUCGGCCCGUGAGCAGAUCGGAGAAAAGUUAAUGGAGCUCUCCACGUCGACGAUUGAUCUCUGGCUCGUGCACGUUUGGGCGGCGUGACCAGAAAACAGAGCAGAAGGAGAGGAGGCCUUGCGGCAACGGAACCGGCAAUGGUGGAGCCGCUAUGGCAGCGUUUCGACAGUGUCUAAAGGACGAUGGAGAAGGAGAACCGAUGAAGGAUCCUCUAGAAUUCCGAAGAGAGAUGGUUUCUUCGUGAGCUUCGGUGUGUGCGUUCUAUCGUGUCAUCGCUGAGCCUGUGGUGGCCGUCGAUGGUGGUGCGACGGUGGCUGUGGUGAUUGUAGAUGGGGGACGGUGGUCUAGGCUGCGCCUUGUGGAUAAGGUCUGGGCUACACGAAUUAAACCAGGCCCAACAAACCGGACCAGGUCCUUUCGAUUAUGAUUUUUUCUUUCUUUCUUUUUCUUUCUUCGUUUGUUAUUUAUUUUUAAUAUUAUUUUUUAUUUAUUAUUUAUUUAUAUUUACCCAAAUGCAUGUUCAACUUGUUGGCAAAAAUUCAGGAGUCGAUAGGAGCAAUAUUCCAUCAUUUGGCCUAAGAACAACUUCACACCAAACUCAAUUACAAUUCAUUAAAUGUGAUAAUUCACUAUAAUUUUUCAAUUAAUAAUAUGGAUGAAACCUAGUUAUACCAUAAAAACCGUGAUAGGGUAAGUUCCAGAGUAUGCAAUGAGUAUUCUAUGUUCUAAAAAAUUAGGAAUAUGUUCAAACGCGGAGGUUCAAAAUUCUAGAUUAGGGGCCAUGAGUCAUUUGAUCUUUCCAAACAUCAAUGAUAAUUUUUUAUAAGGGAUUUGAUAAAUUUAGAACUAGGAGACAAGUCGGGAAGGAGUGGAGGUGGGUCGAAUUUUUUUCUUUUAUUCAUUUUAUUGACAGUAGAUUGAAUUGGAGAUUUGACAAUAUUAGAAUGAAAGUGAAACAUAAGUGGAUGUUGAAGCGGCAAAAAGUCAAUUUAUAAAAAGUAGCUAGUUUUCAAUCCCGCGUACUGGGCAUGAUGUAUUUCACAAUUUCUCUAUAAAAGAAGAUCGACACAAAAUGCAGAAUGUUUAAAGUAUUAUUUUUACUAGCCUACGUAUAUUAUAGAUUUAAUAGUGGUUUUAUAAUUUUUUUCCCUUGACUUCUAUGUCAAGAGUACUAGAAAGGUUAAUUGACUUGUAAAUCACAUUUGACCUUCUCACUUUAGUAAUUAACCUAAAGCUAGGCAUCAAGAGGGGGGAGGCAUGAGAGAGCUUCCACGAAAAUUUUCUCUUUUGUGCCUUGACUUUUGUCUUUUAAAAAACUGCAUAAAAAAAAAGAAAAAAAAAAAGACUUGCGGAAUUUCGUAUGUCAGUAUUAUUCAUGUACGAGGAUAUUAAGGCGCUUUUAAGCAGCUGGCGAUGAGGAAUUAAAGGGAAGACCGAGCUAAAAAGGUAAGCGUGGAAGGCAGUUCGGUCAAUUCGGGCCGGGGGAUUCGGGAUUCGGGGAAAAGUUGUUGUGACUUCUCCACGUCGCGCAUUCCCCGCAUUAAAUGAACAACAGAGUUUGAAGAGGGCAUGUCCCUGUUCUGCCUUCUCUCUUUUCUCUCUCUAUUGCGCAAAUAAUUCUGAGAAAUUUUCUUCCUGAAUCUGGAGAUCGUGCGACGUGGCUCGCCCACUUCGCCCCUUCUCUCUCCGCAACAAAUCAAAAUUCAAAUCUCCUCUCUUUAUCUCUCUCUAGGAGAUCCCGUACGCGAGAGCGAGACGAUGAAGUGCCAGAAACACCAAUUCUCUCUACAUUUCUGCAGUUGGCAUCGCCACCUUCGCUGCCCCGUACGGCCCCCCGCAUCGUCAGAGGCGUACCCUCGUAUCUGCGAGCCGAAAUCCCGCUCGGGCCUCGGGUCCCGCCGUACCUCCGCUCGGCGGCCGGGGAAGCGAUCUCCACAGCGGCGGCCGCGGGGGGCCCGGCGUCGAACGCGCCGAAUCGGGGGCGGGACCAAGCCGGGUCGGCGGCGCCGGGGCCAAAAUACCCGUCGUCGUCCCGCCUGACGUGGGGAGGGGCGUAGAAGGACCCGCCGGGGGGGCGACCGGGCCGGUGAGCCGGCUCGCCAAACGGCUCGUUCCACGCCAUCUUCUUAGCGUUCACCUGCAGCGUAAAGCUUCACCCGGAGGAACAGGCAGACCGCCAAGAAUGGAAGCGAAACCCUAGAACGAGGGUACGCCUCUGACGAUGCGGGGGGCCGUACGGGGCAGCUGCAGAAAUGUAGAGAGAGAAUUGGUGUUUCUGGCGCUUCAUCGUCUCGCUCUCGCGUACGGGAUCUCCUAGAGAGAGAUAAAGAGAGGAGAUUUGAAUUUUGAUUUGUUGCGGAGAGAGAAGGGGCGAAGUGGGCGAGCCACGUCGCACGAUCUCCAGAUUCAGGAAGAAAAUUUCUCAGAAUUAUUUGCGCAAUAGAGAGAGAAAAGAGAGAAGGCAGAACAGGGGCAUGCCCUCUUCAAACUCUGUUGUUCAUUUAAUGCGGGGAAUGCGCGACGUGGAGAAGUCACAACAACUUUUCCCCGAAUCCCCCGGCCCGAAUUGACCGAACUGCCUUCCACGCUCACCCUUUUAGCUCGGUCUUCCCUUUAAUUCCUCAUCGCCAGCUGCUUAAAAGCGCCUUAAUAUCCUCGUACAUGAAUAAUACUGACAUACGAAAUUCCGCAAGUCUUUUUUUUUUUCUCUUUUUUAUGCAGUUUUUUAAAAGACAAAAGUCAAGGCACAAAAGAGAAAAUUUUCGUGGAAGCUCUCUCAUGCCUCCCCCCUCUUGAUGCUCACUCCCUCAUGGUUUCGUAGAGAGAGAAAGAGAGAUUCUUCUCUGAAUUUUGGACAUCUUGUUCUUUUCUCCUCUCUCUCCUUUCUUUUAUUUGCACUUUUGUUAUUUCUUUUUAUUUUGUUUUGUGUCUUUGAUUUGUAUUUUAUAAAUAACAAAAGUACAAGUAAAAUUCAGCUUCUUCAAUGAAGGAACUGAAUUUUAAUAUUUUAUCCCCUCUUUUCUUUUAUUUGUAUUUUUGUUAUUUAUUUUUUAUUUUAUACAUCUUUAAUUUGCCGAUAAAAUUAAUGAUAUAAUCAAAAAGUUAAAGCUAUGCUCCGAUACUAGAUGGGCAUCACUCUUUAAUUUGGUCAUAAGCGAAAUCCAUGCAAGUAGCACGUUCCAACUACUCGAAUCCAACGAUGCAUGCUCCCUGGCCAAAGCAUUGGGCAUCACCAUAAGAACCACCGGCAUAGUGGUCUAAUCCUCAAGUCUCAAUGUCAGAUUUUCAAAAUAUCUUUUAGUUAGGCCCAAUUUAGGAAAUUUGGAUUUUAGUUAAAGUUGAGAUGGCCAUUAUCCGCUUCAUUUGUAAUUUAGAAAUAAUGUCUUAUUUUCCUUCUCACCAAGCCUCUUUCAUUUUCCCCGAUCUCUCGUUCUCUCUUAUCUCAUGAUCAUCGAGUCGUCCAGUCCCCACCAACCCGCCACCGGGCCACCUUCGAGCCCUGAGCCCUGCUACUCACCGUAUGCUUGCUCGGUCAAUCUUUUCUCUCUGUCUUUCUUCUCGUGUCUCGUCCACAUGUCAGCGAGUUACAAAGCGAGUGAUGGGACGGACUCACUUUUUUGCUCGUGUCAUGGUCUCCCUCCCACUCCCCCUCUCUCCAGCAAGUGGCAAAACAGGUUUUUACUAGCCUGUUAUGAUGUCUUCAAGCUUUUUGAAUUUAGGACGUGCUAUUUGAAUUUCUCAUGGAGAGCAAAAGCAAAAAAUAAAAUAAAAUAAACAUAUUUUUUUUUAUAAUUUCGGGCCGUGCCAGACCCUUGGAUCUGGGCCAUAUGGCAUGGCUUCAGUCCGGGCCAGGUCCUCAGUCACACAUUUUUGGACUGACCCCCAAAAUAAGAAAAAGGUUUUGCUCCGAUCCUUUGGCCACGAGGCCUUUAUUGGCUUCCACAGCUAAUAGGUGGUCCAGCGAAUGACCGCGGAGCCGUUGGAGAAAAUAAGGGACGAUAUUCUUCCAUAUCAGCUAACCUCACAAGUUUUCGGAGAACGGUUUGGUUUCGCCUCUUCUCUAUGUGUUUUUCCCCUUUUUGGGGUUCCUUUUUUCUCUCCCCUUUCUCUCAGCAUUGUGUAAUAUCAGCUCAUGCGAGCGAGCCAAUCGUGAGAAUUGCUUGUAAUUUUCUUGUUUUUCGUUUCUUUUCUUGGCAAAUGAAGCAACACCUAAAACUCCAAUCGCAUUUCAUUAAAUUGGGUAUCAUUCAUCCGGCCAAACCUACAACUUGAGGUGAGUUGUUUUCUCUCGUAACAAAAGCGGGAACACUAGCAUCUUACUAGUCGAAAGUUAAAAAGACUUUUAUCAAGAUACAAUAGUUGGAGCUAUAUAAUUCGUGAUAAAAUAUCGUGCUCUUCUAUUUCCUAUCGAUCGAGUGACAUGCAAAGACUAACAUAAUUUCUAAAAUAAAGGGUUUAUUGUUAUUAGCCCGUGAGAAGACCCAGGAAAAGGGCGAAACAAGAAUUGAAAACUUGUCAAAGAGGACAAAGGAAGAGCAAAUUCUUAUCUGGAUGUGGGGAAUCAUGACCAAAGGGGUUCUCAUCGUUGUCGUUAACCGUUGGAGCCCCGCACGUGAUUAACGGCUCGAUCUCGGGUGCAUGAAUUUGGAUCCAAGGCGAAAAGAGGGAAAGGGCCCCGUCCUGAGUGAUGUUUUUAUGUGAUGGGCCUAAGUUGGCCCGUCCGCCCAUGUUGGGCCUAAAAGCCCGGCCCACAAGAUUAGGACCCAUGGAUGGAGGGAUAUGAUGAAGGGGUACGUUUCUAUUUUGGAGGAGACGUAUAUAAGGGAGGAAAGAGAGGGAGGACGCACCUUUUGGCAUUUGUACGUAUGUUCCUCUCUCUCUCUCCCUCCAAAAGAAAAACUAAGGCUAAAGGCGACGUUGUCUUCCCUUCAAAGCCAAUCGACGUCAUCGGAUCGAACGACAUCGGUUUUCUCUUCCUCUAAUAGGCGUCGGUGUUUAAUCUGUGGCUAACAAGGUACGCUCGAUUCCGUGAUGUGCUUUAGGAUCUGUGAUACAUGUUUUUUUUUUUUUCUGGGCUCGUCUAUCGUUUUAGCGGUUUGAUUUUGUGUCGAAUCCGCUUUUUGGGAAUCCGACAAUCCCAACAUUGGUAUCAGAGCCCUAGUUCAUGUUUUCCCGAACCCUUUCAUGUUUAUGAAUGAUUUUUGAUUGAUUUUUUGUGAAAAUAAUCGGCUGACAUGGAUCAGGGCGAAAAAUCCCGGCACCCGAGCACUGUUCAUCCAUUUUUUCGAGUUUUUGUAAGUUGAAAUCGAUUUCUGAUGGCAUAAGGUGAAAGAGCUCAUCGAGACGAGUCCGUCGAUGGGUCGAACGUCGCCGAGAGACGCCGAACGCGCCCACACGCACGGCCAGAAGCCGCUGCGCGUGGGCGCCACGCGCCUAAAGCGUUGGCACAGCCAGCGCGUGUGCCGCACGCGCUGGUCGGCGAACCGGCAAGCGCCAAUCGGCGAAUCGACGCGUGAUGACGUCACCAUGAUGCACCAUGAUGUCACCCAACGGUCAGUAACCGUUGGGAUGACGUCAUCGAUGACAUCAUUGAUGGCGACAGUUGGCCGACCGGUCACCGACCCGACCCGACCGGCGAACCGACUCAACCCGAGACGCAACCCAACCUGAGAUCCGACCGGUCGCUCGUGCGUGCGAGGCACGUGCUGGGUCGGUUCGUCCGACCCGGUCCAACCGGCCCAUCCGAUCCGGCGACCCGACCGACAACCGUUGACCGUUGACCGUUGACCAUCGUUGACCAUCGUUGACUUUUGACCGUUAACGACCGUUGACCAUUGACAAAAAAAAAUGAAAAAAAUGUGUUUCUUUUUCCCAAUUAAGUCUAUGUGGAUUAUAUAUGAUCCCUUAUUUGUUCUGCAUUUGUUGCAGGAACAAUGCCUCCCUUGAGGUUGGGCACACCUAUUCGCACAAUUACCGAUGAACAAAAGAAAAUGCUUUCUAAGUUGAUAGCUAAGCUGACUGAUCAUCGAUGGAAGAGUAGUGACUUAAUUGAUCACGUCCUUGAAGUCAACGGGAAAAUUCAAAAGAUCAUAUGGAAUGGUCGUCCUAUGCCACAGUCUGAGAUGGUGCGUUUUUUCAUGAACACCCUUCCACCAGAAUGGCAAGGAGUGUUGAAUCGCAUAUGAGAUGUCAACAGAGCUGCUUCAUAUAAGAAAAUUGUGAUGGAUUUUAUAAAUGAAUAUUAUUGGAUUGUUACAAAGGAAAAGAUCAAGAAAUUGAACAAAAGAGGAUUGUUCCCAGUUCGUGUAUUGACUUGGUGUUAGUUGUAUUGGCUGAUCUUUGUUAGGUGUGCUUUGUGGACAUCUUAUGUUUACUACUUGAUUGUUGUUGAUGUAGCAACCAAUAUGUUAGUUGAAUUAUGUGAAAGCAUUAUUAUUCUAUUGGUUGUCAAAUAUUAUUUGCUUUCUGUUAUUGUUGGUUGCUGUGGGUAGUUCAUAGAAGUUUUUGUAGCUUCAUAAACUUUAUUUUGCAUAAGACAAUUAUAUUAAUGAUAGUUUUAAGUUAGGAUUUUUGGAGGACGAUUAGAAACAUAGUGACCUUUUGAUUCUGAAACAUUACUUGAAAUUGUUCAUUAAUAUGAUGGGUCUGUGCAAAAUGGAUGCAUAAAUUAUAAGCAUUAAUAAUUCGUGCAUAUAUGUCUGAUGUGUUCAGAUCAAUGACUUUAGCCACAAAGAGCAUAGUUGCCAAGCUGAACAAAGGUGAAAAGCUCAAUGGCGACAACUAUGAAAUCUGGCACAUGAAAAUCCAAUAUGUGCUAGAAGAGCAAGAGGCACUAGAGGCCCUUAACUUGACCAUGGUUGAACCUGAAGAAGGAAACACUGCACAGCACAAAAGAGAUAAGGAAACAUUCACUGCAUGGAAAAGAAAGAACUCUCUUGCUCGCAUUACGUUGCUGAGCAGCAUGGAUAAUGACGUCAUGCGAGAGUUUAGGCGUUUUGACAAUGCCAAGGAAAUGUGGGAAACAUUGGCAGCAAGAUUUGGUCAUAUUUCGGUGACCAGACUGUUGACACCUAUUUUUAGCAAAUCUAGGAAAAUAAGGAAAAUAAAAAUUGCAUUUUUUGGACAAAUAAAAAGAAAAAAUGAAAAUGGGGUAAAUUGAUUUGAUUGAAGUAUGCAAGGAAAUAUAGAAUUUUGAUGGAUGUUCGGAUUUUGUUAAAUGCAGCAAUAAUUUUAAAAUCAGGUGAACAAAUGGCAAUGAUUUUGAUAAAAUGGAAGGAAUCGAUGCAAAAUCGAGCUGAUUGCGAAAUCAUGCUCCGAUUUGCAUCCAUGAUUUAAUGCAACAGAAGAUGGAAGUUUAAAAUUUUCCCUAAAAAACGGUCGAUCGAAAUCACUAUAAAAGGGGUUGACCUGCACAAAAAAAAAAAAAUUGAGAGAGAAUCCGCUAAAAAAAUUCGUGCAAGAGGGAGAGAUUUUUCGAAAUUUUGGAAAAAAGAAGGCGGGAAAUUGUGAGAUUUUCGAGGAAAAUUGAGGAGCGAAAUUCGAAAAUGAGACAAGCUCCCUCCGUUGAUCUUUAGCCGAAAAGAAAGUGAUCUUUCUUUUCUCUUCUGACAGGCUGCAAAAGAAAAAGGAAAAGUCAGCCACUACAGUGAGGGAGACGUGAGGGACGUGUGAGGUGAGUUAAAAAAAAAAAAAAAAUCAAAAGAAGGCCACUGUUUGUCUUCCUCGUGCAGCCCCCACUUCGACGCCGCAGCACCUCCAGACGCUGGCAUCUCCCUUUGCCGGCCACUGUUGCUCUGCUUGCGACCCAGCGACGCCGCUGCCGCAACCUGCGACAGCCCGCGACCCCCUCGCGCCGGUCACGUCGUCCCGCUAGCCGCCGGAGAUCCCUCUCACCCACGAGCUUGCGCCACCACCUCACCCGCGAGCUCGCACCGCGCCCCCGCCAACGCCUGCAACUCCGGAUCCGCUGCCCGACGCCACCGGAGACCACACCGCCCCUGCUCCCCUCCGCCCGAGUGCCACACAUCCUUGCUACUGCACCACCAGAGCCCGACGCCUCCGCCUUGCCUCGGGCGAUCCGCGGCCAGGCGCUGCGACCCAAGCUGCGCCUCCCUUGCCGAGCGCUGCUUCGCCCUUGCCGGACCUCCGAUCAGCCACCCUUGGUCGGCCCUACGGCUGCCAAGCCCAUUUUGAGAAAAAAUAAAAAAAUAAAAGAGAAAACACAUUAGGUAGUUUUCUUUAUUUUAUUUUAUUUUAUUUAUUUUAUUUUAUCUUGCUCUUUUUAGUAUAAUUAGCCUUUAAUAUAUGAUUGGAAAUUCCAACAUAUCACCCGAUUCGCAACCGCGCCAGGGUUUUUUUAUUUCAUCUAUAAGGCCUUAGAUGAAAUAAUUAAUUAAGCGGGAAUAAAAUUGAUAUUUUGAUCUUUAAGGCUUAAGAUCAAUUUAUCGAUUUUAUCAGCGAAAUAUUACCCAUUGAUCUGAACGACGUGUGAUAUUUUUUAUGAUUUUGGAUGAUCUGUUUUGUCCUGGUUGUUUUAUUUAUCUUGACAUGUGUUUGAAUUAGAAUAUCGCAUGCUUUAGGGUAAUUUACAUAUUUAGACUAAGCAUUUUAUUUAUUUUGAAUUUUCGAAAUAAAAAAUAUACCAAAAACAUGAAUUUGGGAUGUUAGAUUUUCAUUUCAUUAAUUUGAAUUGCAUGUUUAAUUAUUUGGCAAUUAUUAAUUUCGAAAUUAAACAAAAAACGAAAAAUCAUCAUAUACAUGUCAUGUGGUGUUAAAGCAUAUUUCGCACGUCAUUGCAUAUUAAGACUAAAUUGCACUUAGUUCAAUUCUAGAUAAUUUUUUUCCUUAAUUUGUUAUAAGUUUAGGUAUUUUUUUUAGAUAUAUUGCAUUUUAGGAUUAUUUAGGUUAAGAUAAUGUUUUAGUUUAAAUUAGGAUUUGGCUCAACCUAAUUCCUAAUAUAAAUUAAAUAGGAUCUUAAUCUAAUUAGGCAAUUUUCACAUUUCACCUGAAAAAUAAAAAAAAAAUGUCAUAGGUUAAAUUAGUUUUAUUAUUCAUGAUAAAAUGCAUUCUUUUAGGAAAAAGAAAAAAUGUCAUAUACACGUCAUUAGGGCUAGAUUCACUGGGAUGCAUGUCAUUUAGUAUUUUUUCUAGGCCUAUUUAAUUAGAAAUUGCAUGUUAUUAGAAUUAGGUCAUUUAGUUAAUAUUGCAUUGCAUAUUGCAUGAUUUUUCAUUAAUUAAGUGAAAACAAAAAAAGAAAUUGCGUGGUAAUUAGAAACCAUAUCUAGGGUUGUUGAUGCGGUUUUUAACUUAACAUUGCAGAUGCUUUCGUUGCUUGGAGGUAAGUUUUUGCAAUUUAUUUAUUGUUUAUCUGGGUGUUAAAUUGGUGAAUUGCGCACCCGCAUGAUCACCUCACAUGUUAGGAAGUAGAUUUAAAAUUAAUCCGAACUGCCUGCAAAAAUAUAUUUUGAAAAUUAAUGGAAAUGGUACCGAAAGGGCAUUAGAAAAUUCUAGUGUAACCAAGUUCCCGUACCCUUAAUCUCUGGUUCGUAGGAGUAAAAUAAAUCUCCCUUUAUUUUACUUAGGUGUCUAAUCGACCUACCAUAAACUGAUUAGUGGCGACUCUUAGAUAAUAAUUUUUUGCAUGUUAAGAAACUUGAACCUUUAAGUCGCGAAUUGGUAUGGGCCUGGGAGAGCCCGAGCUAAGUUUGAAGACUUAGUAGUCCAUUAACCUAGUUUUAGGUGGUGCGCCAAAAAAAAAAAAGGCUGCGACACAGACUGAGGCAGCUCACUAUUAGGUUUGACUCUUAUAAGAAGUCUCAUGAUCAAACCAUGAAGCAACAUCUUAGAAAGAUAUCAAACAUGAUAAAUGAGCUGAAAGAUGCUGGCCAUGUCCUGACAGAUGAGCAGCAAGUGCAAGCAGCGAUUCGUUCCUUGUCUUAGAGUUGGGAGCAUAUGAAGGUGCACCUGACCCAUAAUGAUAAUAUCAAAACCUUUGAGGAUGCAGUGCGUCAUCUUGAGCUGGAAGAGAACCGCCUCUUGGCGGCUAAGCCGGAAGCUGAAAUCUAUCAUGCUGGUUCUAGCUCACAUGGAGCUUCGAGCUCUAAGCGCAAACGUCCUAACUGGUUUGAUAAAGGGAAAGACAAGGAAGCAGGUCCUUCAGGGAAGAAACCCAAGCUUAACCAACAUGAAAGAGGAAAGCGCCCUCAAAUGAAGAAGCUUACAAGGGUGAAGUGUUACAACUGUGACAAGAAUGGUCACUAUGCUCGCGACUGUCGUGAGCCAAAGAAGGUAAACACUCCUUGUACUUUUCAGAACUUUACUUUUGUGUCGAGUUCUGUAUUCUUAACUGAGUCUAAUCCUUUGUGGACUGUAGAUUCAGGAGCGACAGACUAUGUAGCGAAGGAUAAAGAAUCUUUCGUGGAAUUUCGACAAGUACCAACUGGAACUAAGUGGAUCUAUGUGGGAAAUAACUCCAGAGCUGAAGUAAAAGGAAUUGGCACCUGCCAACUGAACAUGCGUGGUGGACGCACUUUGUUCCUACAUGAUAUAUUGUAUGCUCUGGAGAUUCGUCGGAAUUUAGUGUCUGUUUUGGUGUUGGUUAAACUAGGUUUUAAUAUGAACUUCCAUAAUAGAGGUGUGGAUUUGUAUUUGAAUACAAACUACUAUGGUUGUGGUUAUUUUCUGGAUGGUUUCAUUGUAUUAGAUAUUGAUUAUGUUAAUGCAAAUGUGUGUUAUUCCAUUCUCACGUCUACUAAUUCGUAUGAUAAUGAUGUAAAUGUGUAGCAUGCUAGACUUGGUCAUAUUGGCUAAUAACGUAUGAAUAGAUUAGCCAAAGAGGGCUUGUUGGGCAACAUUGAAAAAGUCGAUUUGCUCAUAUGUAAGCAUUGCCUAGAAGGGAAAACAACAAGGAAACCAUUUGGAAAAAUGUCAAAGAGCUGAAUUUCCUCUACAUUUAAUCCAUUCUGACGUCUGUGGUCCAAUGAAUGUGAGAGGAAGGCAUGGGGCUGUUUAUUUCAUCACUUUUAUAGAUGAUUAUACUCGAUUCGGAUAUGUCUAUUUGAUUUCUCAUGAAUCUGAAGCAUUGAGUUGUUUCAAAAGAUUUAUAAACUUGGUAGAAAAUCAAUUAGACAAGAAAAUAAAAGCAUUGAGGUCCGAUCGAGGUCCGAUCGAGGUCGAGAAUAUUUAUCUGAUGAGUUCAGAAAAUUAUGUGAUGAAAAAGGAAUAAAAAGACAGUUGUCUAUUCCAUAUACUCCUUAACCAAACGGUGUUGUAGAGAGAAGAAACAGAACCCUACUGGAAAUGGUUAGGUCCAUGAUCACUUUUUGGAGUGAUGCGUUGUUAAUUGCUGCCAUAUACUUAACCCGGUGCCUUCUAAAUCAGUUACUUCCACGCCAUAUAAGUUAUGGACAAGUAAAAAACCGGACUUAAAUUUUCUUAAGCCAUGGGGUUGUGCUGCCUAUACUCAUGAGUCCUCUCACAUGUUUGGAAAAUUGGGUCCCAGAGGAAAGAAGAGUAUUUUCAUAAGAUACUCCGAACACUCGAAAGGGUAUGUGUUCAUAGGUGAGCAGGAAAGUAGGAAUAUAACUGAAUUUGAAUCACAAGAUGUCACAUUCUUAGAGGAUGAAUUUCCUAAGAAGGGCGAAAUAUGGGAAGAUUACUCCCUAUUUGAAAUCUUGGAUCAAGAUAAUGAUAUUAGUGGAGUUCGUCCAAGUGGGAGUAAUAUGAGAAGUGAUGAAUUGAAUUCAACUUAUUCUCAAUUGCAACCACAUGAUGAGACAACGUCAUCAUUAUCUAAUCCAAGUGGGAGCAUAAUGGGGAAUGAUGUGCAAAGUGUACAAUUUCCCAUACGGCGAAUAAGUCGCAAAAGUAUUCCUUGUCGACGUUUUGACAUUGAAAAUGAAACUUUUAUGAUUGCUCUACAAGAUAAGGAUGAGCAAAGAAAUAUUAACGAUGCUCUGAAUUGCCCUAGUAAUGAGAAAUAGAUUCAUGCAAUGGAAGAGGAAAUGGAGUCAAUGAAAUCAAACUAAGUUUGGGAACUGGUUGAUCUUCAAAAAGGACGCAAAGUUAUUGGGAACAAGUGGGUUCUCAAAAUAAAGCGAAAGGUUGUUUGCUCGAUAGAAAGGCAUAAGGCUCGCCUUGUGGCGAAGGGGUAUAAUCAACAAGAGGAAGAUAUGAAGAUACAUUUUCUCCUGUAGUGAGAUUUACCUCGAUUCGCAUUAUUCUGGCAAUAGUGGCUAGUAUGGAUCUUGAAUUACAUCAAAUGGAUGUAAAGACUGCUUUCCUCAAUGGAGAAUUAGAGGAAGAAAUAUAUAUGGAACAACCUACUGGUUUCAUAAUGAAAGGCCAAGAAGAAAAGGUAUGUCGACUUUUGAGGUCGAUAUACGACCUUAAGCAGUCAUCAAGACAAUGGUAUAUACGUUUUCAUAAUGCCAUAAUGGCAUAUGACUUUACAAUGAUAGAUGAGGAUCAUUGUGUAUAUUUAUCAAAAGAUCCAAGGAUCAUUUUGUGAUCAUAUCAUUAUAUGUUGAUGAUUUACUAAUUGCCGGAAGCAAUAUGGAGCUUGUUAAUACUGUCAAGAGUUGGUUGUCUUCCAACUUUGAGAUGAAGGAUAUGGGUGAGGCUGCAUACAUUCUUGGAGUUAAGAUUUCAAGAGAUCGUUCGAAGAGACCAUUAUCUCUUUCGCAAGAAACAUAUAUAAACAAGGUUCUUGAACGAUUUCGUAUGUAAGAUUGUAAAUCUAUAAACACUCCUAUUGCAAAAGGUGAAGGAUUGAGCCAUAGACUGUGUCCAAAGACUCCACAAGAGAAUGAACAAAUGAAGUAUGUUCCUUAUGCUAGUGCUGUUAGGAGCUUGAUGUACGCUAUGAUGUGUACAGACUUGACAUAUGUUUUGCAGUUGGAAUGGUGAGUAGAUACCAAUCCAAUCCAGGUCUAGCACAUUGGAAAGCCGUUAAGAGAAUACUAAGGUAUCUGAAGCGAACUGCUGAUUACAAGUUGAAUUACCAAGGAAAGGAUCUGCGACUUGAAGGCUAUUCAGAUGCUGAUUGGGGAGGAGAUUUAGAUGAAAGAAAAUCUAUCUCUGGAUUUUCUUUCUUAUUGAACAAUGGCGCCAUAUCAUGGAGCAGUAAGAAGCAAACGUGUAUAGCCUUGUCAACGAUGGAAGCUGAGUUUGUGGCAUUAUCAGCAGCGGUACAAGAAGGAGUUUGGCUUAAGAGAUUUUUGGAUCAUUUAGGUGUUAUUGAGAAAGCUGCGAAUCCAUUAUUGGUUAACUGUGAUAGCAAGUAGCUAUUACGUACACUAAAGAUCCAAAAUAUCAUGGCAAGACCAAAUAUAUAGAUACCAAGUAUAAAUUUGUCAAAGAUACGAAAGGAUGUGAACUUACAGUACAUAUCUACGAAUAGAAUGGUAGCAGAUCCUAUGACAAAGCCAAUAUCUAGAGAUGUGUUUUGCGGUCAUGUAAAAUCUCUAGGAUUGCGUAAAGUUUGAUAUACUGGAUUGUAAUUUCCCUGAUUUGUUCACAUUUAUGAACUUGUGUUUUUCAUUGUUAAUGCCUAUGAAUCUUUGUUUGAUCUUUAUGCAUCUUAAUGCUCAGUGCAUUAUUUUAAGUUGAGAAAAUAUGUCGGACAUAUAUAAGAUUAGCCUACUUACAUGGGUAAUCGCCUCUAUUUACUGUGUGAUAAAUAGAGAUGAGACUGUUUUUAAGCUUAUUAUCUAGGUGAUAAUCGAGAGCUCAAGUAUUUUAUUUUAUCUGUCUAUGAUGUCAGAUGUGAGUUCUGAUGAAUUUUGUGAAUGAUUAAAUACGUGAACUCAAGUUUGACAUUGGGUAUGUCUGAAUUAUCAUAUGUACGGUAUUGAAAGGUGUAGACAUACGCUCAAUGGGAAAUGAGUUAAUACCGUAAUACGUAUUUCAUACUACGUAUGCAUGAGCCGACCAAUAAGAGUGUCAAAAGUUUGAUCUCAACUUUUAUGCCGUAUGAGACUCUUGAGGAAAAGAGUUCCUCAAUUUUAGUGCCCUCAUGACUUUUACUUAUUCUAAAGAUUUCUAUUUAGUGUUUGCUAUCUUAGGAUGUUGCCAAUGGUCAUGAGUAGAUUCAAUCUAAUGGGACAUUUCUAGAAAAGCAAGCUAAACUAAAAUUGAGAGUUUGAAGGAAAGAGGAAGAUCGAAUUUGGAGAAUCACAUUGUGUUUUUGUAUUCACUGGUCGACCAAUUAUGACUGUCUCUGGGAUAAUCAAAUUGAGAUAGAUAUAUAUAUCAUUGUUUAAAAGAGAUCAAGAGAGAUAUAAAUGUGAUCGAUCGAUCUAGGGUACUGCAUACUAAAUCUACUCAGAGUGUGAUGCCCAUUAUGAGCUGUUAUAUAUUCCUAACAGAUGUAUAGCAACGAGCUCUCAAAGUAUGCUGGUCGCACGGAUUAUUCAUUGGUAUGAAUAUUGAAGUGAGGUAAAGAGGAUCUUGUUCGGCCCACCAUGUGCGAGUGGGAGAUGAUUUUUUUUUAUGUGAUGGGCCUAAGUUGGCCCGUCUGCCUAUGUUGGGCCUAAAAGCCCGGCCCACAAGAUUAGGGCCCAUGGAUGGAGGGAUAUGAUGAAGGGGUACGUUUCUAUUUUGGAGGAGACGUAUAUAAGGGAGGAAAGAGAGGGAGGACACACCUUUUGGCAUUUGUACGUACGUUCCUCUUCCUCUCUCCCUCCAAAACAAAAACUAAGGCUAAAGGUGACGCUGUCUUCCCUUCAAGGCCAAUCGACGUCAUUGGAUCGAACGAGAUCGGUUUUCUCUUCCUCUAAUCGGCGUCGGUGUUUAAUCUGUGGCUAACAAGGUACGCUCGAUUCCGUGGUGUGCUUUAGGAUCGGUGAUACAUGUUUUUUUUUUUUUCGAGCUCGUCUUCCGCAUUCGUUUUAGGGGUUUGAUUUUGUGUCGAAUCCGGUUUUUGGGAAUCCGACAAUCCCAACACUAAGGAUGAUCAGGCGCGGGAGGAGGGAGGGAACACGGUAAAAGCGGUGAGGUGGCGGGGCAGCGGAGUGCACCGGCAGACUACUCCUGUUCAAUUUCGAUUGGGUUUGUGAGGUUAAUAAUAAUUCAGACGCACACUCAUUAAUGCCACAUUCCAAGCCUAAAUGAACUAAAAAGGACGUGCUUCUGGAUGUCCUUAUCCUUUCUCGUUAUGUUGUUCUUCAUUUUGAAUUUGAAAUAAAGGGUCAUGACCUAGUUAAAAUUAUGGGUUUUAUUUUUCCCACGGGGAACACCAAAGAGGUUCAUGAGAAAAUAUAAUGAGAAAUCUUCCAAUGGCUUGUGGAAUUGGAAAAAUGUGAUGAGAUGGUUUGGUUAUCAAACGGUUGGGAUGAAUUCGUAGAGCAUUAUUCUAUCUGUGUGGGACAAUUUUUGCUCUUCAAAUCUGAAGUGGACUCCAUUUUCAUGUAAUCAUAUUUGAUAAAAGCAAGUCCAAGAUAGAAUAUCCGCCAAUAAAUGCCAAUGGGACGAACCGACCCUCAGUAGUUGGGCAUUUGUCUGGCUGAAAGUGGAAGAUGCCGACGAUUUCCAUGAUGUUUCGGUCAAGCUUGAAGUCUAGGGGGAAGAAUUGCAUUCACCCAAGUGUCCUCGGCUUUGUAAGGGAAUGGAAUCAGAUCGGGUUUGCGAAGUUCAUGACGGUUCCUAUGCACACUCAUCAGCACGGAGUUUGCGAAGAGAUGGAAGUUCGAACUGCUUAUCAUGAGAUUUUCGAGGUAUGAAUCUUAGUCUAUGAGCUGGUUCUCCAUUUGACUAUGUUCUCGUGUUUGAUUCCAAUUCCGUAUUCCAUAUAGGAACUCUCCACGUGAUUUGGCUAAGAGAGGGAGCGUUAAAGAUAAUUCAUCCUUGUAGUGUUUAUCUAUCUCUAGCUUUCCCAUGUGUGCAUAUGUAUGUUUUAGGGGAUCUCAUAAAUGUCAAGCCAAUGGAAACAGGCCGAAUGAGUCUUAUCGGAUUUGAUUGUGCUGAAAAUGACAUUGGUGUGCAUAUAGGCCUCGAAAGCUAGACCAUUAGAAAGACCCAGAUCCAUCAAAUUGGGGUUGAUGUGUCGGGAAAUAUGAAUUUCACAUAAUAAGAAUAGCAUAUGCCUAAGCUUUCUUCAUGUUCUAAUUUGCGACUGUUGCAGAUAAACUGAAACAACUGGGCUUGCGCAGAGUUGUCAAAUCGGCCAGCAAAAUUAAACCGACCACAUUGCGGUGAGGUCAAUAUAUCUAAAGAAAAGCAAUGUGGUAUGAUCCUCCUGACAAUGACAACACUUGAAUUUAAAUCACAGAGUCGCUAAACUAUAUUUGUGACAUCCUGAAAUUCGACCCCAUUUCGAUAAAGUGAAAUGGACAUUUCGUCAACGUGCUUAGGGUCCUUUUUCUCUGAACUGAUCACUCACGAGUUAACUAACCAAUUGGGUGAAGCCGUUAAGGGACGUAUCUGCAGUAAAAUCCCUAAAAGCUACUCAAUUUGUUGGAUUGGACUAAAAUCACGUUUGAUCGAUUUUUAACCACGAAAUUGAACUCGAUUUCGGGAAUCGAAUUUUAAGCGCGUCAUAAUUCUUAUUUUUAGGAUCCUGUCUCAUCGUUCGUCAAUUUAUUGACGAGUCCGAAAUUUCAAGAAAGAAAUUAUCGGAAGAAAAAUUAAAGCACGAAAGAAAAUAAAAAGAGAAAGAGAAGAGAAAAUAAAAUAAGAAUAAUUAUAUUAGUUUUACUUUAUUUUUCCCUCUCUCCCUCUCUCUUCUUUUCUUUCUUUUUCUUUCUCUUCUCUUCUCUCUCUCUUCUCUCCCCUCUCCCUUUUUCCCCUCGUGCAAUUCCCCCACCGCCUACCUUUUCUCUCUCUUUUCCCUCUUUGACCGGUCAAUACCUAUCCUCUCUGUCUCUCUCUUUCUUUUUCUUCAUCUUCCUCCCCGUGCAUCCGAAGAAGCGUACCAGAAGAGGAAGCUUGAGCAGAAGCCGCUGCUCACCGCCCGUCCCGUCGCUCGCACCCGCGACGCCCGCCCGCGCACGUCGUGCGCUCCGCCCCGCGUCCGUCGCCGCUGCCGCUCCUUCCUCGCGCGAAUCAGCCCCUGCUCAGCUCGGUUCCGUCCCGACCAGCCCCCGUCCGGCCACCUCCAGCCGCCGUUCGACCUCGCCGGACUUCCCCGGCGUCCCCCUCGUCCUCCGCCGGCCUCCCCUCGCCGUUUUGGCCGCCGGAGCAGCCCCGGCCAACCCCGACCAGCAACCCACGAAAUGGAUUUCUAGCGGCUUUAGGCCCGCUUUGAGCCGUUCCGAGCCCCGAACCCGAGCCGUGCUUUGGAGUUUGUUAUUCCUCGUGUCGCCCCCGUCUGAUUGAUCCGAUUUGCACGCGAUUUGGUGAGUAAUCUCACUAAUCUGGAUUAGUUGGCUAAUUAUGUUUAAGGUUGGUUUAUUUUUAAUUAAUUAUGUUUAGGUUGUUAGAUUAGAAUAAAUUAGCAAUUAUUAGUCAAUUGUGAUGCGAUUUAGAUAAAUUGAUUGCGUAAUUAGCAAGUAGACGUGGUCUACUAAUUAUUGGAAGUAUCUCGGGAAUUUUCCGACCCAUAAUCGGGCUUCAAUUUGGCGAUUCGGACCUAAGUGGGAUUUUUGGCAUUUAAAUAUUAUUUUUCGGAAUUAAAUUAAUUUUUUAUUUAUUUUCCGAAAAUUCAACUGGGAUGGUCAGUGACCGGAAUAUUAUCUUGAUGACUGUGGUGAAGUCCGUUUAUUUAAUCGCGCUUUAUUUUGAGCUAAAUUGAAUUUUUAAUAUUAAUUAUUUAAUUUUCGAAAUUAAUUAAUUAUUUAUUUAUUUCCUGAAAAUUCAACUGGGAUGGCCCGUGACCGGAAAUUUAUGCUGGUAAUCGUGGUGCAGUCCGUUUAUUUAAUUGGGCCUUAUUUUGAGCUAAACGGAAUAUUUAAUAUUUAAUAAUUAAUUUUCGAAAUUAAUUAAUUAAUUAAUUAUUUUUCGGAAAUUAUGAUUGAGAUGGUCGACGACCGAAAUCUCGUGCUGAUUGUCGUGGCACAGUCCGUUUAUUUAUUUGAGCUUUGAAUUGUGCUGAAUUGAUUUAAUUGUGGAUAUUUAGGAUAUAUUCCUAAAUUGAUUAUUUGGGUAAGUUGAGUACGAAUUAAGGUUGUGUAUAAUUACUUUAGAAAUGUGAUGAAUCAUCAUGAAAGGCACGUGGCUCGGUGAAUAGUACAUCAUCUCGGAGAAUGCACGUGGCUCGGCGAUUUGGUAUAUCGCUUCGGAGAAUGCACGUGGCUCGAUGAUUAGUACGUCGCCUUGGAGAAUGCACGGGGCUUGAUGAUUAGAUAUAUCACCUCGGAGAAUGCACAUGGCUCGGUGAUGAAGUAUGUCGCCUUGGAGAAUGCAUGUGGCUCGGUGAUUAAGUGUGGCAUCUUGAAAGAGACACGUGGGCUCGGUAAUUUGAUGCAUUACCUCGGAGAAUACACGUGGUCUCAAUGAGUACAUUUGGCAUCUUGAAGAGACACGUGGGCUCGGUGACUUGAUGCAUUGCCUCGGAGAAUGCACGUGGGCUCGCUGAUUCAGAAUGGCAUUUUAAAGGGCACGUGGGCUCGGUAAAUUAAUGCAUUACCUCGGAGAAUACACGUGGCUCGGUGAUUGAUUCUAUUAGUUAUGACUAUAUAGCAAUGACUAGAAUGACCUAGAGAUGGUCCGGCUGACAUGUAAUUGACUAGGUCGAUUGAUCAUUGCUUUGAUUUGACGUCGUGAAUUGAUCGACUGAUUGGGAAUGACCGUGAGUGGUCUUGUUGGCAUAUAAUUGACUAGGUCGAUUUGAUCGAUGCUUCGAUCUGUGAUGUGAUUUCUUGGGUGUCUAUUUGAUCUGUGCUAACAUGCAGGUGGGAUCUGAGGCCGAGGUACGUCUUCUGCCCUAUGCGUGUAUAGGCAGCCUAUAGUAUAAUGAUUUACUAAUCGGGCUUAGUGGGGUAGAACUCGCUGAGAUGUAGUCUCAUCCCAGUUUGGGGAAAACAUUUCAGGACUUCGAUGAGGAGCUGAGGAGGAGGAGUCUGAGAAUGAGAACUCGGAGGUGAAACCUGAGGAGAAGGAUUUUUUUGAAAGAAGAAGAUAAUACUGAGAGGAGUCUUAAAUAUGAUGUGAAUAGAAAUAGAGUAAAAAGUUGUGAAGUACUCUGGUUUGUGUUUUGUAUAAAAGGUUUGGUUAUAAGGUUCAAUAUGAAAAAUAUGACCCUGCUUUUCUAUCCCAUUGUUUUAUUGUCUGGGGAUUUAUAACUGCUUCCGCAUGUGCUUAAUAAAUGAAAGGGUCGGCGAUACAUUGUCCUGGGAUAUCGCAUUAUAAAAUCGACCAAGUGAGAAGGAUGUGUGCGUGCCCGAGGAUCGGGGCGUGACAAUAUUAGCUCUAGAUUGAUUGUGCAUCGGGUCAUUAAUUUCUGUUUUUAUCCUUGACAUGCUUUGAAAAGGAUCCUCGUACUGUCUUGGUUAGAAAUCGUUGGUUGUCUUCUUCUUUCUGAUGACAAAACUGCCGAACGUGCGCUUGAGCAAAGAGUUCCCGGUCCAUUCCCAAAGAUGCACUUCAAGAAAAGCCUGUAGACUGUGGCUCUUAUAUAUCAGGACAAAUCGUGGCCGGUGAAGCGCAUUAGCCACGAACAUUAUGGAAAGUCAUCUAUUGGUUGGGCUACUUUCUCGAGAGAAACUUCUCUGAAGGAGUGAGGCUUGUGCAUGUUCGAGUUCUAUUAGAAGGGGCAACGUCGUGUUCAGAGUAUACAUCUUCAAGACCACUAGCCAGAGGUAGCUGAAAAAUCCUAUGCAAUAGGACACGGCAAAGGAAGCAUCACUUUAGCUCAGAAUUGCUUGGCUAAAAUCUGCUUCAAAUUUGACAAAUCAGAAAAAAGCAUGAGUUUUAUUCUAAUGAAUGGAAAGAUACCUUUAAUCGAUCCUAGCGUUACAAUCACCAUGUGGGGAUGAGUCAUGAGUCAUGAGACGGAGGAAGCUAAUUGCAUCUAGUACAAGUCACACAGCCUCAUUUCCUUACUCCUCCCAUAGUAGAUUUCCGUUGUCAUCGGACCACUCUCUAUACUUCAAAACACAAAAGGAAAUUUAUAUUCAUUUAAGCAAAGAGAGAUAAUAAAAGGAUGUAAAAGCCGUCCUUCGAGUCUAUAUUAAUCAAAAUAUUUAGUGCUCUCUUGCAGUUAAUACAUAGAUUCUGAUUAUAAUCGGACAUCUACUGAGCACAACCGAAGAAGAGUUCUAUAAGCCAGCAAUGACAUAAAAAAUAGUUCCACAAGAGGGCUCAACCUCCUCGACUUAUUAAAUGAAUCACAAGGCAAGGAAAAGAGAACUUGGGCAAUUAAUGGCAUUAAACACAAUUAAUGCGAAUUAUGCAGGAAUUAUUAGAAUUAUAGUGAGCUGGGGCUUAGAUGGUGUUCCUUACUCAUGUCAAUUGAUGAUGAUAAAGAAAAGUAACUAUGUGAAAGUUACCAAAACAUUUAAAAAUUUAGUGUCACUUUAAAACUUACAAAAUUUAUUAAUCAGAUAAAAAAAAUUUACAAAUUAUGUACGGUUACAAAUUACUUUCAAUCUGCGGAACGUUACUUACAAAUUUGAAAAACUCUUUUAUGCAUGUGACACUCCAAAUUCCAUAUGGAUUGGAAGAGGGAUAAUUGACCAAUAGAUAAGUGUGAACACGAACCACCCCCGCUAGAUAUUCAUCCCCGCUAGAUAUUCAUCUCCCGAAAAACUUAUUUAGGGGCUUAAAUCAUAACAAACCGGAUUGUUAAUAUUAGAAAAUUUCAUGCCUGACUUAUAGCUCGAACUUGCACAUUAAUUAAAGAUAUUUAACUUUUACUAGCCGAGUGAGUAGACAAAUCUAGCGAGCAAUUAUCUACUUGGUAUUUGGCUCAAAUAAAGGUUGUACUCUACAAUGUUGACUUAAGAAAAGUAUAUAAUUCUCUCAAAUUAAGAUAGGUAAUUUCACACAAAAAUUGUUAAGCGUGAUUGUGGUUGGUGGAGGAGAAACACCUAUGUAGAUAAACCAAGAAAGCGAAUCUUCUUAAUACCAAAGUAAGUUAUACUAGCCAUUUAACUUAAUUCUCCAAAAAAGUAUCAACUUUAUCUGGAGUAUCAAUUCAGGCAUAACCUUUUUUUUGUAACAAAAAAUCAUCAACUUCCAUGCCUAAAUCUGACCCCGAUUAGCUUUCCAUCAACUAUUGGUGUUAAAUGUUUGAUGCAUCAAUUUCACGUCAUUAUCUUUUUCCAAGUCAGAAUUCAUAUAUAUAUGCUGUCUUCUUUUUUCUUUUUUUCUUUUUUCCAUUUUCCUUUUUCUUUCUUCUUCUUCUUCCUUUCACUGGACGAUAACCUGACCACCGUGAGUCAGCCGUACGAUCCAAUCGGACGAGGUCACAUGACUUCCUCUUGGUUAAGUCACCCCAAACAGGGAGGCCAAUCUGUAGUUUCAACACUCUGAAUCCCUUUCGAGUGACAUGUACCAUGAUCUCAUGAAGGUAAAUGGAGUAACGCAAAUUGAGAAGAUUUCAAUCUAUUUUGUAAAGCUCUGGCCACCCAGAAAGAGGACAAGAGAGAAAGAGGUUCAUUUCAAGAACCAUCAUCAGAAGGAAAUUGAAUAGCUACAGUACAAACUGUUAUUCUGAUCUUAUUAUGUGGAUCAAAUCAAUGUACAAAGAGCAUUAGGAUACAUCAUCACGGAAUUGAUAUUCUCGCUCCCUGCUACAGAGAAAGCAAGUUUCCUAUAGAUAUUCUAAUAGGUCUUGUUGACUCUCCAGUUCCCAAAUCACCGCUUUACCAUCCAAUCCUGUCAUUUAGGGAUUGGAAAAUCAGUUGGCCUCUUUAAAAAGAAAGCGAAAAGAUAAUCCACUUCAAGCAUUAAGAAACAUGAGAUAAAAGUACGUUUGUUUGCCAACCUGAAAUGUCGAAGCGUGUUAUGGUCGAACUUCCAGCCUCCCCAAGUGGCACAAUACAACUGCAGUCACACAAAAUUAAUCUUGCGUAAGUCAUUCAUCCCAUGAUAUUGGCAUUUUACUCAUCAACUCUCCUAAUCCACAUCAUCUACUGGACUCAUGUUUGGAAAUGCCAGAAGAAAAAAAUCUGGAGAAGAGUUCAAGCUUAAUAUACAUCGACGCAGGCACGCAUGCAGUCCAAUUAGCACAAGAAAAACAGCUGUAAGAUGACUGUCAUCUUUAUAAUGUAAAAAGGAAGAAGUGAUUGUUAUCAUGUUGAUAGAUACGUUAUGCAGUUCUCGUGAACCCCUCCUCGCUGUCUUGAAUUGUCAACGCCAUCAUACGUUAUGCAAAACGGCGUCGUUUUGGGUUCCGUUCGCCGGAAAAAGGCCACAUCGACGUUUUGGCUGAAUUUUGGCCGGAUUGGCACUCAAGUGAUCCAUUUUACUCCGAUUUUGGUACUUAAGUGUACCUUUCGUAAGUUAUGGCACUUAAGUAUCCCUUUGGGCAAAGUUAAGGCACUUCAGGGGUCCGCACGUCUUAGGAUAUCCAUUGAAAAUGACCAUGAACCUAAUUUAAAGAUUCACCCACAUAAAGUCCCAAUCCCUUUAUCAAUUCAAAUUAUUUUUUUGAAAUUCUUUACCGUGGAGACUAUGGGAGUCUGGAGCAAAAGUAAGUGACAAUGGAUGUCGGCAUCAACUUUUUCCAGUGGAAAAUAAAGCAUGCUUUUUUUUUUUUUGGUAUAGUAUCGCCGAAGGCAUAAGGCAGGUUCAUCAAAUGUAUGGCACUUGGUCAAUUAUUUGGUUACCCACAAACUUUUUAGACGGUUGUACAAUUCCUUACUAAAAUUAGAGAGUAAAUGUGACUUCAAUCAGUAAGGUAAGGUUUUAAAGAUUUUGGCAUUUUCACUUAAAUAAGUAUGAAAGCAGAGUACAAAGAUCAAGAGGAUGUUUCAUCUUUCAAUUGAAAAUUAAAACUGUCCGAGCACUAGAAAUCGGACCUUCAACAAGUCAGAGUACCACGGCUGGAAACUAAACUUAAUCUAGAAAUCGCGCAUCAUGGGGACCUCCAAAAGAAGGAAAAAAGCACGGAAGAAACAAUUGGUGAAAGCGAACGGUGAACCGACCGAACAACCUCUACAUAUGCAUAUAUUUCCAAAGAAUAACCCCGUCUCACUUAUAGGGAUGAUUAUGAGGGGCUCUCUUUCAAAAAAUCUGUGAAAAAUUGAAAGACAAUACAUGAAAAGUCAAAACUUAUUUUCAACUAAUGCUCAACAUUACCUUAGUUGGGUAGAAGGCUCCAAGUUGGCUCAAGUCAUAUAUGUCAAUAAGUAGAAUAUCAUCAAAGUUGCCCUUCAAUAUAUAAAUCAAUAACACGGCCAUUUUAAGUUUUAGAGCUAUUUUGAUUUGCAUACCAUUUCAAAAAUAAAACCUCAAUUUUUUUUCCCUUUCAGUUAGCUUGAUUAUAAUUUUACUUCUCUAUUUUUUAAUAUGAUUUCAUGCCAACACGAGGAGUGGGCUUAGGAAUAGUACCUAAUCCUUUUUUGCGCUCAAAUCUCUUUGCCUUCUUUGUCCCUAAUCAUUCUUGCUUUGUUUCGCUCUUCCAUUAUUCUCUGUCUCUUUGUUUUUGUUUUUGUUUUUUUUUUCUGGGUUUUCUCAACUAAAAAAAAAAAAAAUCAAAGAAAAAUUUAAAAUCGAUGAGACUGUUGAGAAAAAAUGGGAAACAUCACAUUAAAUUCAUCUCAAGAAGUAUUUGUGGUUAAAGAGCAAGAGCAAAAAAACAUUAGAAAAAUCUCAAUUAUAUCAUCAAAUGAUAAUUUUUUUGAUAAUGUUCUGCUUGGGCUAUGAGUGCAUCAACCUCGAAAAUCCACGUCUAUGCUGGCUCCAUCUAUUUGUCUUCUUGACUCCUUAAAAAAGGAAGUCAUGAUAUUUUUUUCUUGGAUUGCUACAAAAUUUAACAGUUAAUACUUUUGACAUUUCACACAUAAUCAAUGAUGAUAUGGGCAUGCAUCUUCAAUCUUCCAUUACCGCUUUAUUGCACCGAAAGGUGAAUUCCCAAGACUGAAAGAGAAAGAUUCCUCUGGUGGGCCUUCCGUUCCACCGAAACCCUUGAAAAAUAGUCAAGAGGAUCUUCUAAAGUCGUUGUGAUGAUUUGGUGUAUACAUGCAUAUUCACACACAUUGGGCGAGGCUAUUCACUCUCCCAAUUUAGCUUAAAAUCACAUCCUUUUAAGUAAACUCAAUUAUUAAUAGACCUGCAUUUUAUUUAAAAAUAAACAAAUCUGCCUUUUCCAAUUUCUCUCUCAUCUAUUGCCUGGUCUAUUUGAGAGUGCUAGUAUGAAUACCUAGAGGGGGUGAAUAGGUGUUUAAAAUAAACCUUGGCAAAUAUAUGCGGAAUAAAAUAAACUUCAAGUAAAAUAAAGGAGUUAAGGAAGAGAAUAAGAACACAAUGUUUAUAGUGGUUCGGCUUAAUCCAAGCCUACGUCCACUCUCCCACGCUAACAGCCUUCUUGGCUGGAUUCCACUAUGCAAUCAACAAGAGAUUACAACUUUGAGUGCAAACACUUAGUAGUAGAUCACACUAUCUCACUAAGUCACUCUUUUGGUAUUUCUCUCACGAUCACAAAUGUUUAAGCUCUCCAAAGACAAGUGUAUGAUCGAAGGUCGCUCAGACUUUGGAAUUAUAAAUUUUACGCUCCGUCUCUUACUUGCUCAUCGGUCCUUCAUCUCCUUAAAUACUCCUCCACUUCCAAACUAGCCGUUGGACAAUAUCUUGAGGAUCGUCUUCCAAUAUACCCAUUGGACAGCUCUGUAUCUAGAAGAUUUGGUAGCCGUUGAGUGACAAAGGUAAAAUCCCAAAUUAAUUCCAAUCGCCCAUACAAACGGAAUCUUGGUUUCCAUAAGUAAAGCUUCUUCGUAUAGAAAGAUCUUAUCUUCAAGAUCCAAUUGUCAAUCAAAUAGAUUGAGUCAAUCAAAUCAAUCUUGAUGUGGAAUCCAAACCAGAUCACUAGCCGUUAUAUGAUUGGGCUUGAGUUACGUUCUGUCAAGUUCUGGAUAUAAAGUCUGAGAGUAAUAGACUUUACAAUCUGAGUCUGAGUGUGAUAGACUUUGCAAUCUGGGUCUGAACAUAUUCUGCUUCUGAACAGAUUUAGCUUUAAGGUCUGAGUUCAGCUCCAACAUAGAGUCUGUCUUAUGGUUCAGCUUCAGCAUAGAGUCUGUCUUCUGGUUCAUCAUUCACGUUCAGUCUGGAAUUUGUUAGAAUGAGCAGACUUCUGAUGUAGAAUAGACUUUGACACUAAAGUCUGGCAGUCUUCAGACUUUGAGUCUUGAGUCUAGCAAUCUUCAGACUUUGAGUCUUGAGUCUGGCAGUCUUUAGACUUUGACACAGAAGUCUGGAAAUCUUCAAAAUAUACUCUAGACAUAUGUUACAUUCAGUCUUCUGGCCGUCUUCUGACUUUGAUAAUAUCUUCUAUAUGUUCUAACAUCUGCAUGGUCUAUUACUCAACCAUCAAACAUGUUAGUAGCCUUUGAUUUAUUUUGUCAUCUUCAAAACAUCAUAAGGGAUUUCCCUAACAAUCUCCCCAUUUUUUAUGAUGACAAAACAAUCUCUGAAUAUGCAAAUUUGUAAACAUGCUUUUAAAGAUAUUAAUUUAAAUCAAAGGAUAUCAGAAGAUAACAAAUAGAUUGAGCAUAAUAAUAUAUAGAAAAUAAUCGCAGCUCAAUAUUAUGCAAUAAAUAAUAUCAACAAAUCAGCACAUAUGCAUAUUCAUAUCUUCUCCCCCUUUUUGUCAUAAUCAAAAAGCGAUUAUGAUGGAAAAAGUAUCACAUAGAGAAUAGAGAAUGAUAACAAAUAUGUCUUGCAUAAUUUCCAAAAAUAAGCUUUUAUAAGGUAAAUCGAAUAUUAAAAAUAUGCAGUAUAGCUCACUUCGAUCAUAUCGGCAAAUAUCCAAUAAAAAUCAUGGAUGCAUCAUAACUUGCACGUACCCUUUCCUUCCAUCCAUAAUAAGAUCACGAUCAAUCCAAAAAGAUUUUUCCAUAAUUGAUCAAGGCUCCCCCUCAAUUUGUUGCAUUUUUGAGAUGAUCACGAUUCUUUCAUUUUUCUUGGAUUUGCUUUCUCCCCCUAUGAUCAUGGCAAUAUUUGCGAAUAGAAACAAUUGUUGCUUGUUGUCGCGACCUAAAUUUUUAGGGUGGGUGAACCACCUAGGGUUUGGCUAAUGGAUUACUAAGUCUUUAAGCUUAGCUCGAACCCUCCCAAGCCCAUACCAAUUCGCGACUUAGAUUCAAAUUUCUUAACAUGCAAAUUGAUUUUAUUUAGGAGUCGCCACUAAUCAGUUUAUGGUAGGUCGAUUAGACACCUAAGUAAAAUAAUGGGAGAAUUACUUUACUCCUACGAACCAGAGACUAAGGGUACGGGGACUUGAUUACAUUAGAUUUCUCUAAUGCCCUUUCGGUACCAUUCUUUUUAUUUUCAAAAAUGUUUGGCAAUUGAAUUGAUUUUAAACUAACUUCCUAACGUGUGAGGUGAUCAUACAUGUGCGCAUACCACCAAUUUAACACUCAAGAAAACAAUUAAAUAUUGCAAAACAUACCUAGGAGCAACGAAAGCAUCUGCAUUGUUAAAUCAGAAUUCACAUCAGCAGCCCUAGAUAUGAUUUCUAAUUAACAAGCAAUUACUCAAUUUUUGUUUUCACUUUAUUUAAUGAAAAUCAUGCGAUGCAUGCUAAUAAUCUAAUAUGACGGGGCAGCAUGACCUAAACUAUAUGACAUGAAGAAAUGGAAUAAUUAAAUGCAAUCUAAAUGACCUAAUUCUAAUGACAUGCAAUGCGAUGCAAUGACAUACAAAAUUAUUUAACCUAAAAUGACAUGCGACCUAUAUGUCAAGCGACAUUUAUUAAAUGACAUAAUCUAAUGACGGGCAAUUUCUAAUUAGAAAUGAACCUAACAAUAAUCACUAAAAUGACGUGCAUUUCAUGGACUUAAUUUUAUAUAACGUGCACAUGAUUUUUCUAUUCUAAAAAAUGAAAUCUAUUCCUAGAAAUUGCAACUAAUUUAUCCUAAGACAAAUUUUAUGAAAUUCGAAAUUUAAAAAUGCAAAGGUGAUCUAGCCAAAUUAAGAUUCUAUCCAAUUUAAACUAGGGAUUAAGUUAUACCAAAUCCUAAUUUAAACUAAGACAUUAUCCAAAUCUAUGAUGCAAUUUAUCUAAUAUGCAAUGACAUGCAGAGAAUGCCCUAAUUCUAUAUGACAUAUGCAUGAUAUUUUAUAUCUUUUGUUUUUUUAUUUAAAAUUCAAAAUUUAAAAUUGCCACGUAAUUAAUCAUGCAAUUAAAAUCCUAACUUAAUGCAUUUUUUUAAAUAUUUUUUUGAACUAAAAUUGCUAUCCUAGAUAUGCAAGAUAACAAGAAAUAUUCUAAAACAACCUGAAUCUUGAUUCAAAAUUUUUUUGGGUUUUUUAGUGAUCAAGCACUUAUCAACUAAACAUUAAAUCUAAACAGUUAAUAUAAUCACUCAAUAAAGGAUCAAGAUAAUUGAAAAAAUAACCUGUCGUCUCACAGGUUAAAUUAACAAUUAUUCUAACCCUAACUAUCACAAAACUCAAAAUAAUUAAAAAUCUAGUCCGAAGUCUUACGGACCAAAUUAAAUAAUUAUCAUGAUUUAACAAUUGAGAUUCUACCAAAAAGCCCAAAAAUUAAAAAUAAUUAGAAAAAUGAUCCGAUGUCUCUCGGAUCAAAUUAAUAAUUAUAUUAAUUUCGGACAAAAUCCCUACGGAUAAUGCAUAUUAAAGUCACAAAUAUUAACAUCAAAUAUUACAAGUUAAAUAGAUGAACUAAAAAUGAGAUAAAAUAGAACAAAAUAAAUAAAAGAAAAAGCUAAACCACCUAAAGAAAGAGGGGCUUGCUGCAGCGUUGAUGGGUGCCGGACGGAGGAUGGCCGGCGUCAGAGCUCCGGCGAGGGCACAGCAGGUGCACAGUGAGGAGGUGUCGCAGGGCGCGGGGCCUGCUGUCGGGCACCGAGGAGACGUGAGCAACAACGAUGUGGGCUCUGGCGGUGUUGGGUUGCGGCAGGAACAGCAGCACGGCGGCGGCUAAGCGUCAGGUCUCGGCGCGGUUCGGCAGCAGUGUCGGCGACGCACGGGUCUUCGGCUCCGAGUAGCAGCAGGCGGCGGUGAAGAGAGUCUCCAGCGGCAACGGGUCACCGGAAUCGUGGGUCAGCGCGGCACGAACAACAGAGGAGAUGCGGGCCGGUACGGGGGCUCACUCGGCGGUGGAACGACGACCAGCUCGGAUCUGCGAUCGUCGGGGCUCUCGAGUGGGCAGAUCAGGAUAGCGGUGGUAUCGCGGAGAGGCGGAGACGCGGCGUGGGUGGCAGGGUGGCGACGGCGCAGGGGCGGAGGUGCGUUGGAGGCUGGCGUCGCGGUGCCGGCGCAACGCACGGUCGGCGCGUCGGGGUCUCCGCGAGUUGCAGCGGCGGCAGGUGAGGAGUGGCUCCGGCGUCACGAACCAGCGCGGAUUGGAGAUGAGGCGGAGAACGCGGAUUGGUUAGGCAGCAGCAGAAACCUGGCUAAAAGCGCCGGCGAUAGGGCCGGCGUGGGUGCUCACGGACGGACACUCCAAAAGGAAGGUCCGGUGUCGUCGGAUCUUGGUUGCAAACGAAAUUGCAGAAGUGGGGCAGCAAUUUGGGGAAGAUGAUGAACAGUAAAGGUCAAAUCAACCUUUACUGUUUCAGCCGCUUCCCCCUCAAACUCACUUCUCUCUUUUACUUUUUUUUUUUUUGGUACUUUCUGCAGGAAAAUUUUCUUUUCUUUCUCCUUUCUUUUCUGAAUUUUUUUCUAGAGAAGCCCCCCCACAGAAACUCCCCACGGAUGGCUUCUCUCUUUCACUUUUUCUGAAUUUUUUUUCAAAGAAGCUCCACACACGGAUCCUCGUACACGGUUGCUUUUAUAGGGGGUAAGAGAUAAGCCUUCAAUUUCCCCUUCAAAUCUAUAUCCGUGAUACAUUUUCACCAACCGAUCACUACUGAUAAAAAUUCAAGAUUACAAUAAAUAUUUACUCGAAAUCCAAAUCUCGCAAAAGAUAAGUCGCAAUAUUUUUUCACACAUGUGCUCUAUCCAAAAGAUUCAUAUCCCGGAAUAAUUUCAAAAUUUUUAUUUUUCACGAGAUAAUUAAAACACAUGGGCUUGGGCCAACCAGCUUGCUUCGUGGGCUUAGUCCAACUAAUUUGAACCCAUUCGCAUUGAUCCGAUAAAUAAAAUGCCAAAUGCAAAUAUAAAUCUAUAUGCUAUAAAGUUUAACUCCUAAUUUCCUAUGCAAUAAAUAAAUAAACUAAAUCGUCAAAAUUUAGGUGUCAACACUUGUUAAACAUAAUAAUUUUUUUUUUCAGUAUUUCCUUUGUAGCAACAACAUCUGCAACGAUCACUUGCAUUUUGAAAUUCGAGGCAAAAAUUUAUUUUCUUCAAUUAAGCUUUUCUCGAAUUUAACCUGCAUCAACUUAACAAAUUUUUUCACAAAUAAGCUGUAAUAAUAUCCACGUGAUAUAUAAUACCAUUUUCUUCAAAUAGAUAAAUUGAAUAGCAUAUAUAAAAUUAUCAAAUAUUAAAAUUCAAAACUAUUCAACAUUUUGUACGAUGCAUAAGGGAUUUCUUCAACAAUUUGCAAAAAUUUGCACAAGGAAUAGAAUAUAGAAUCUCCAUGAUUUUCUGAUUGAGUUUUCCAAAAAUCCAUAUGGAAGAUUCUUUUGUGACCUGCAAAUUCUUAUAUAACAGAUAAUAAUCUUUGCAAGAAUGUCACGUAAUAUCUUCCUUUGAUUUGUGGAUCAAACUUGCUAGAUAUAAUAUAUCUUCUAAGAAUAUAGCAAGAAUAUCCAUGAAUAUGCAGUAAUAUCUUUCGAGAUCAAAGAGAUUUCCUUGAGCAUAAAUUUCAGAUAUGCAUUUUGCAAAAGGAAAAUAGAUAUUUCUGUCACGUGCCAAAAUUGCAAUACCUUAUAUUUAUGACAAAAGAUAUUUGCAAUAUAAUAAACAAUCAUCCAAAAUGCACGUAGAAAUUUAUAAAGCGGGAUGAUAAAAAAAUAAUUCUCUUACCCAGGUAUAUGUUUGAAAUAUACCAUUGAAAAUAAAAAUCAUUACCAAUCUUCAUAGGAGAUAUUUUUCUGAUUGCACCAAAAUUUGUGUAGAUUUGUAAUCAUUCUUGCCUUAUUGAAUUUCCUGCAAUCAACUCAUUUUCUUUUUGGUAUCCAUUUGGAUCCUUCCAUGACAUUAGAGCAAAAUAUAUAAUCUCCAAAUAUUCUUUCUUAAUUCAUCAUAACAGAGUACUCAGAGAAAGAAUAUUAUGCACAAUGAUAUAAAUUCUUACUUAGUCAUGGUACGAUAAAAACAGAGAGAAUAAAAUCUUUGAAUAUCUAAGAAUAUCUUGCAUCAUCACGUAAAACAGAUUUUCACUUUGCAAAAUAUGAUUAAAUCUGAGAGUAUAAAAUUAGACAAAAUAAUCUGAAUUAUCUCAAAUAAUCACACGUACUAAAUCAAAUCUCAACUCACAAAUCAAAAAACAAAUCAUACGAUUCUUUCUUCCAUAAAGCAAAAUAUGAUCAUUAUAAAAUCUCAAUCAACCAAGGAUAUAUCGAAUAUGAGAAUUAUGUUCCCAAAUCAAAUUAAAAAUUUACCUUCCUUACCAAAUUCUCUUUCUUCUUUCUUCUUUAUAUCCUGCAAAAAAAAAAAAAAUAAUAACUCAUCUUUUCUUUGGUACCCAUUUUUUCUUGGGUCCAUGAGAGUUAGUAGAGUAUGCUGUUUUUAUCCAAUUUUUCUUGAUAGGUCUCCAGACUUUAGGACAUUCUUUCUCAAAGUGAUUUGAAUCUCCACAAUUUGAACAUUUGAGGGCAUUUCGACCAACGGGUUUUACAAACACUUUUUGAAAAUGAUUUUUAUAAAAUGUCUUUGGAGGUCUUUGUUUAAGUCUCUCCUUGACUUUAGGAAAAUCAAUUAAAUAAUCACUUUCCUUAUUGAAACCAAGUCCCGACUUAUUAUAGUAAGGAACUUGUAGAGAGAGGAUAUGCUCUAAUGUUUUUGAUCCAUUUGAAAAUCUUGUCGAAAUAUUUGAAAAUUCUUUCUUCAAAGAAUCAUUUUCUUUGACAAGUAAAUCUCGACUUUUUUUUGUUUGUAGAAAAUCUUUUUGCAAAAUUUCAAAAUUUUCUUUUUGAGAAAGAUCUUGUUGCCUAAGUCGAGAAUUCUCCUUUUUAAGUUCGAAAAUCCUUUUAAGAGAAGAUUUGAGAUUUGAACAAAGCUCAUUUAUAUACUUUGAAACUUUGAAAGGAAUUGCUGAAUGACUUACCUUGAUUUCCUCAUCGGAUUCUGAGUCUGAUUAUGAAUCAGACUUUGAUUCUGAGUUUGUGUCUGAGUCAGACUCAGAUUCUGAAUGUGCCAUCAAGCAUAAAUUUCCUUUCUCAUCAUCUUCUUUUAUUGUUCUUGUCUGGCCAUUCUGCUUGUAUUUUCUUCCAUCGAAUUUCCUUCCUUUUCUACUCAGCUUUUUGAAUUUCUUGACCAUAAAGGCAAGUUCUUCAUCGUCCAUGUCAUUUUCUGAGUCUGUUUCAUCAAAAACAGCAUUAGAUAUUAAAGCAAUGGACUUCUUACCUUCGGGAUCUUCAUCGUUGAUUUGUUCCACUUCAUAGGACUGAAGAGUGCCGAUCAAUUCAUCAACGGUGAGUAGCAUAAUCCUUUGAGUCUCCCGGAUUGAGGUCUUGACAUGGUUCCAAUCUUUUGAGAGACCUCGCAAGAGUUUGUUGACCUUCAUUGGGGCAAAAAUUUGAUGACCUUGAUAUGCUAAACCAUUUACAAUUUCUGUAAAACGGCUAAACAUAUCUCCAAUCGAUUCUCCUUGCUUCAUCUUGAAGGAUUCAUAUUUGCCAAGCAAGAAGUUUACUUUUGUCUCUCUUACACGAUCGGUCCCUUCAUAUGUAACAUGAAGUUUAUCCCAAACUUCUUUUGCUGUUUCACAUGAAGAGAUUCUAUUAUAUUCAGUAGGAGACAAAGCACAAUAUAAAGAAUAAAUUGCUUUCGCAUCAAGCGCUUCUCUUUUGGACAUCUCCAUCCGAGACAUAGGAUCGGGGGGUUUGCUUUCUUUGUCUUUGCCAUUCUUAUUUGAUGUAGACGGAGCGAUGGGGUUGAUUCCUCUUUCCACAACAUCCCAUUGCAAGAGAUCUCUGGAUCUUAGGAAUGCUUUCAUUUUGUUCUUCCACACGUCGUAUUCCUUUCCAUCAAAAUAUGGUGGCCUUGUGUUGCUUUGUCCUUCCAUAAGUCCUGGUGCCAACAUACUAGCCAUGGAUCUUUAACUCUGAAGUAAAACACUUCAAACAAAGUGAGUACACAGGCUCUGAUACCAAAUGAGAGUGCUAGUAUGAACACCUAGAGGGGGUGAAUAGGUGUUUAAAAUAAACCUUGGCAAAUAUAUGCGGAAUAAAAUAAACUUCAAGUAAAAUAAAAGAGUUAAGGAAGAGAAUAAGAACACAAUGUUUAUAGUGGUUCGGCUUAAUCCAAGCCUACGUCCACUCUCCCACGCUAACAGCCUUCUUGGCUGGAUUCCACUAUGCAAUCAACAAGAGAUUACAACUUUGAGUGCAAACACUUAGUAGUAGAUCACACUAUCUCACUAAGUCACUCUUUUGGUAUUUCUCUCACGAUCACAAAUGUUUAAGCUCUCCAAAGAUAAGUGUAUGAUCGAAGGUCGCUCAGACUUUGGAAUUAUAAAUUCUACGCUCCGUCUCUUACUUGCUCAUCGGUCCUUCAUCUCCUUAAAUACUCCUCCACUUCCAAACUAGCCGUUGGACAGUAUCCUGAGGAUCGUCUUCCAAUAUACCCAUUGGACAGCUCUGUAUCUAGAAGAUUUGGUAGACGUUGAGUGAUAAAGGUAAAAUCCCAAAUUGAUUCUGAUUGUCCAUACAAACGGAAUCUUGGUUUCCAUAAGUAAAGCUUCUUCGUAUAGAAAGAUCUUGUCUUCAAGAUCCAAUUGUCAAUCAAAUAGAUUGAGUCAAUCAAAUCAAUCUUGAUGUGGAAUCCAAACCAGAUCAUUAGCCGUUAUAUGAUUGGGCUUGAGUUACGUUUUGUCAAGUUCUGAAUGUAAAGUCUGAGAGUAAUAGACUUUACAAUCUGAGUCUGAGUGUGAUAGACUUUGCAAUCUAGGUCUGAACAUAUUCUGCUUCUGAACAGAUUUAGCUUUAAGGUCUGAGUUCAGCUCCAACAUAGAGUCUGUCUUAUGGUUCAGCUUCAGCAUAGAGUCUGUCUUCUGGUUCAUCAUUCACGUUUAGUCUGGAAUUUAUUAGAAUGAGCAGACUUCUGAUGUAGAACAGACUUUGACACUAAAGUCUGGCAGUCUUCAGACUUUGACACAGAAGUCUGGAAAUCUUCAAAAUAUACUCUGGACAUAUGUUACGUUCAGUCUUCUGGCCGUCUUCUGACUUUGAUCAUAUCCUCUACAUGUUCUAACAUUUGCAUGGUCUAUUACUCAACCAUCAAACAUGUUAGUAGCCUUUGAUUUAUUUUGUCAUCUUCAAAACAUCAUAAGGGAUUUCCCUAACACUAUUUUCUUAUUUACUAGACACUUGAUGAGAGUUUCCGGUUUCAAUCUCGUCAUCUACUCCUUUGAUUUCAAAAUUUUGUUCAUGUAAGAAUUUACCUAAAAAACGUCUUCAACCUAUGAAUCAUAAAAAAAAAAAAAAAAAGUAGAGGCUGAUUUAGCUGAAAGAUUGGAGCAUAAGCACGAUCCGAAAUAUCAAAUUGCACUUAUGUUUUCAUCGAGCUUUAGCCAUAAUUUUUCCAAUUUAUUAUGAUCAAAUCUUCAGUUCUUUGAUCUGUCAUGUUUGAACUUUCAUUAUUUUGUAGAAGAGAAUAUUUCAACGAGUUAAUUUGGUAUAAGAUUUUAUUUAUGAGCUUAUAAAUCAGUGAAUAAUUAAUCCUCUUUAUUCAAAUGGUUAUAGACAAAGUUUUUGAGACAUUUAAAGUUAUUUUUCUUAUUGAUAAUUGGUUUUUCUAAAUUUAUCAUGCUAGUAAAUUUGGGAGAUCAUUGAGUGAGAGUUUCAUUUUGAGCAAUCUCAAUCUUUUUCCACACUGCAUCUCUAGAGUUAUUUCAAAGUGGUGGUGUGGCCGUUUGAUAUGAAGAGAUUCGUGGAAAGGUCCCGAGCUUAAUUCAUUAGUAGCAUGUUUUCAAAUUGAAAAGCUUGCCUCAUAUUUUUAGUUUGUUUUUGAGUUUUCACUUUGUUUGCUUUAUUCCUUAUACCUGUAGCUAGGACUUGAGAUUAUAUUAUGUACCCCAUGAAUAGUUCAAUACCAUAAAUUUUGACAGGUUAAGAUUGAUGUCUUUUAGAUUUCGCACCAUAUUAUAUUGUUAAGGUUGCUAAUUAUAAUUCUUGAAACUAACAAACUAUCAAGUGCUGUGAAAUAUAUAUAUUGUGUGUUCUCUCAUUUUGUGCACUUAUAUUAUGGUCUUUCAUAUCCAUACAUUGCUUGUUCAAAUAUGCAUGUAGGCAAACAAUUCUCUUUACAUUCUUCAAGGAAUAUAUUGAGGGAAUAAUCAAAUCACAACUCUUAGACAUUCAGACAAAUCGUGCAUAGUGAAUCCAAGGAUCCAUCUCAUCUUGUUAAAAAAUGAUAAAUUACAUUUACCUUGUUCCUUGCCAAGACCGAAUUGCAAUCACAAGAAUUUGGUGGUGUCACUCGUAGUUUGAUAAGUCAUGUUUUGUUCACAUUGUGUUGUUUUUAACUAGUAGUUAAGUCACGUCUUUUACAAAUGACAAGUAAUUGAAAUUAUGAGUUCCUUCGAAUGAUUUACAUGACGGAUGAUUUGAUGAUAGCAUUCAGGGCUCUUAGUUUAUACUUUCAUUUUCUAUGACAAUUUGAUUAAAAUUAUUAUUUUAAAGGAAGCAGCCAUGGAUUAUUACUGGAAUCCCAUGAUUGAACCAUGCAGUCAAAAAUGGGGUCCAUAUGUCAUUAGAAGAAAGCUAUGCACGUUGCUCAUGCUUGCCUAUGGUCAUUCACUCGUGAAAGGGUUAAUAGUAAGAGAGUGGCUAAAACAGCCAAGAAUAUGCAAUAAUUUGGCUAGACAUAAAAUAAUGGGAUGUCCCAUCUCCCCCCUUGAGUCUACCUUAGUAUUAAUAUUACAAAAGCAUUGAUUAUUCGUCAAUGGCUUGGUAUAAGGAGCAUCAAACUCCCAAAACUUUUCUUACAAAUCUCAGUUGAGUUUUUCUUUUAGAAAUCAUAACAUUCAAAUAAUAAAAAAAGAAGAAGUUAUGACACUUAAUUUUUUUUUUUAGAAGUCAUGGUACUCAAAUAAUUGAAAAAAAAUAUGUGAGCACUCUACAGAAGUCAUGAUACUUGUGGUAUUUUUUUGUGAUUCUUUUUAGGAUUUUCGUCCUAUCGUUUUCUCAUCUUUCUUUCUCAAAAGAAAAACAUCGACGGAUGCUGCCAUCGAGAAAAAUGGGAAAAAUCACAUUAAACUCAUAUCAAGAAGUAAUUGUUGAUUAAAGGGUCUAAGUUAUGGUUAAAAGAGCAAGGACAAAAGACAUUAGGAAAAUUUCAACCGUAUCAUCAUAUGGCAAUUUUUUUCAAUGUUCUACUUGGACCAUGAGUGCAUCAGCCACGGACAAUCCACUUCUCCAGUGGCUCCAUCAAUUAAUCUUUUGACUCCUUUUUAAAGGGAAAGUCGUGAUGGGUUUUUCUUGGAAUGCUACAAAAUUUAAUAGUAAUUACUUUUUGGCAUUUGACGCAUAAUCAAUGAUGAUAUUGAUAUGCAUCUCCUAUUUUCCGCUGACAAUUGCUUCCUUGCACCGAAAGGUGAAAUUGUCAAAGACUAAAACAGCAAGAUUCCUCUGGUUGACAAAUAGCUGUUGGGAUGAUUGGUGUGCUCACACACAUUUGGUGGAGCUAAUUAUGCACCUAUUUUACACGUGAUACUUUGUUAGGGUCAUUCCAAAUUUGUCUCUACGUAAUAUUUCCGUAAGAGAACCCAAGGACAAAAUGCUAGAAUAGCCAACCUCUUAUAUUUCCCCUCAUUUCACAUUUUUAGCUUGCCAUCACCUUUCUUUUGUCUCCUUAAUUUUUCCGUUUUCACAUGUAGUAUCUCUCUGUUGGAAAGGGCUUUGAAUUUGAUUAUGCUUGGCAUUGUGUAUGUUGGAUGUAAAUUUUCUUUUUUGAAAAAUUAUACUUUUGAUACAAAAUUAUUCACUAGUUCACGUACAAAAUCAACAUGAGAGUCAAUAUCUAUAUAAUUAUGCAGUAACAGUAUCUUCUCUGUGCCCUGCAUCUAAGUUUGACACAUAGCAUUCUAAAUAGCUAGAAGAGACUUCUCCUUAUUUUAAGAACUGGAUUCGCAACGUUCUCCAUUAAAAAAAUGUGCCCACUUAGACUCCACCUAGGCUAAUAUUUUGCAAUACUGACUAGAUAGAUUAUUCAUAUAUCAUGAUGUACUUAUAGGCACUAAUUCCUUAUUAGCUACGUGAGUAUGAGUUCUACUCAAUCUAAUUACAAGGAGAAUGUCUCUCAUGACUUUAAAUUGUUUCUAUUUAGUCAAAAUGUUUUCAAACGGUCAUACUUCAUAUAUGGGAUUAGGGGUACAUUGACAUUUCCAACACAACAAUUUUUUACGGGCAAGUUUGUCAUGUGAAACUAAUAAAGGGAAUUUCAGCCAGCUUAAUAUUCAAAACAGAUCAGAGACCAAUAUUAUGCCUAUCUAUCAUAUGAUACUAUUAUUUUAACGUUAUACUUACUUAGCAUCUCUAUCUUGCACUUAUUGAAUGUUAUUAUAUGAUAAUUUUACGCUAACGUUGUCAUUUUCUUAAGAAAUGGUUCGGAAUAGAAAAUAUACUACUCUUUACUAUAAAAAUUAUGCUUACAUAGCCUCAAAAUUGGCGCAAUUGGUUGGGUCACGAGGGAUUUCCAACUUAGGAACUAGAGAUCGCUAGUUUGAAUCCCACAAACUACAUCCAAACUGCUUUGGGUUAUAGUCACCUACAUAGACCAAAGAUAUGAGUUUAGCUAGUUCAUGGAAUUGGCACAAUAUUUCAUGAGCUUCUAGGUAAAUGGCUCUCCACACCUAUAUUACAUGCGCUCACACACACUCACUUUAGGAGAAUGCUAACUUUACAUGGUGUUACACUUACUUUAGGAGAAUGCUAAUUUUACAUGGGAUUUUUCAUAUGCACUUAUUCCUCAUAAAACUAGGUAGUCAUUAUGCAUAAGAUCUUAGUCAACUUAAUUGCAAAGAGAACAUUCCUCAUGUCUUUGAGGAAUAUUACCCAUCAAUCCUAAACAUAUUGUACGAAUGCCAAUUUAAUUCUAAACUUUUCGAUUUUUUCAAUUUAGUGAUAAACCUUUGUGCAAAAUUCCAAUAUAGUCAUUUUGGUCAAUUUCCGACAUUGAAAUGGCCGUGUGUUACUUAGAAUGGUUAGCGAUGACUGGACUGCCGCAUCAAUAAUUUCAAGCAAAAAUUCAUCAAAAGGGUUUUAUUGGAACUUUCUGUAAAUGUGUAAAAAUUCAUCAAAGUCAAUGUCGGAAUGCACUCAUCCGAGGAGCUAUGCUUAAUGACUCAGCAAGUUGCAUAUGAAGGAAACGCCUUCAUAGUUAGUGGAAUAUCCCCUUUCAACGAGAUUCACGUGGCACUCGGCAUAACAUUUUGUUGUUGUUCCAUAUGAUUGUCAUGAAAUAGGAACACGCAAGAGUGAUUUUGAAAAAAUUCCACGAUUUCCAUAGUCACUUUGGUCGACUCUAGUUCUAUUUGCUUACACUUAUAGAUAAAAAAAAUAAAAAAUAAAAAUCUGCAUUUUGCUCUCCCUCGAGAAAAUUAAAAAUGGAAAAUAAAAUAGGCUUCAUAAAUUAUGAAAAAACAUAUAAUAACUCUACUUGUCAAUAAAUGUAUCUUUUUGGAAAUUUGAAAAAUCAAUUCCUGAUAACUGCAAUAUUUGAAAAAGAAAAGAAAAGAAAAGAAAAGAGGGUUUUGGCCCCUUCACGGGGGGGGGGGGGGACUUCAAUAUGAAUGAGAGCCCAUAGAGCAAAGUUCCUUGCUAGCAAUGAUUUUGCGUGUUAAUUUUGUCAUGUAAAGAGUAGCCAUGGUCAUUUUGAUUGUGUAUUAAUAUUAUCAUCUAAAGAGUAGUAGUGUUUGAGAUAGUAAACUAGUAUAAAUGAGAGCCCACAGAGCAAAAUUCCUUGCUAGCAAUGAUUUUGCGUGUUAAUUUUGUCAUGUAAAGAGUAACCAUGGUCGUUUUGAUUGUGUAUUAAUAUUAUCAUCUAAAGAGUAGUAGCGUUCGAGAUAGUAAACUAGUAUAAAAUGUUAAGAGGAUAGCAAAAAUUUAAUUUCCUUAGAAGUUCUAAUCUAACAAUUACAACUGCAGUUUUUUCUAACCUAGCAAUCAUAAUUGGCUUUAUAAUCUAACAAUCGGCCUAAUUAUCAUGUUAAUUCUAAAUUUUUAACGUUAUAUCAUGGAGCAGCAGAAUGAGCGGGGUAGGACUAUUACCUAACCAAUGUUUGUCCAUCACACGUGGAGGAAAAACUAGAUGCCUAAAUUAUGUUUGUCUAAAGCGGUGAAGGAAAUGAUAGAUAUCUAAUCAAUGUUUGUCCAUUAGCAUUGGAGGAAAGGAUGGUGAUUUCGACAUUGGCGGUGGUGACCUGCUCUAUGUAUUAAUAGAUAUUUUAUUAGACUACCAUCAUUGUCUUGAUUGACGCGACCGACAAGGUCUUUUUUAAAUUUUUUUUACUUUUGGCUAGUAAAGGCUUUUAGGACUUGGAGCCCUUUGCUCCAACUUUUCAGCUUCCGAAGGAAUUGAGUGGGUUUUAGUUAAAGUCUUAAGUGAGGUUAGAUUACCGAGCUCCAUAAUCCAUACCCAUCCCAUCUUUCUUCCUCGUGAUUUGGGCCUUUGUGAUCUUAAAUCAUUGGAACACUAGUAGUACGUCUCAAUCGCUGUUGCUAAAAAAUUCCAGCAAAAAGUUACCGUCUCUUUCUCCAUUGAUUGCUCUUUGACGCUCCCCUUCCUUCAUCUUUUCUCGCACUCGUGUCUCUUCGCCUUUCCGUCUAUCAUCAUUCUUGUCAGGGGUGUGCAUGGUUCGGGCGGACAGUUCCCGACUUAGAACUGGAAACCGCCCGUUAAAGACCGGUUCCAAAAAAUUGAAACCGGAUCCACCCGUUUAUUGCAUGGAUCCACCCGGAAACUCGACCGGACCGAUGGUCCGGUUCCCGGGUGGAUCCAUGGAACCGAUCUUGAUGCGAAAUAAUUUUGGUUUUCAAUAUAGAAUGACUACGUGACAUCAAAGUAAGCCAAAGAAAGAAAAAUUAAAUUUAAGUACGUGGAGAUGCGGAUGGCGGGAGAAGUAAAUGUAGCGAAAUGGCGAUAGGAUUAGGACCCAAAGACGAAGGGAGUGAGAUGAGAUCUAGGGUUUUUUUUAGUAAUUUUUUUUUAAUAUUAAAAAGGUUCCGGUCCGGUCUGGGUGGGUAGGCGGGCGAAUUCGCCCAUGGAACCGGGAACCGGACCAGUACCCACCGGUUCCCAUAAAUUGGAACCGGGAACCAGACCAGUACCCACCGGUUCCCAUAAAUUAAAACCAGGAACCGGACCGGUUCCCUCAGGAACCGCCGAUUCCGGGCGGUUCCGGUCCGGUUCCGAGCGGUCCGGGCAGUUCCCGGGUAUUUUGCACACCCCUAAUUCUUGCUCUUUCACACUUUUUCUUCUCCUUGCUAUAGCCCGACUUCGUACUCUUUUUCUUAAGUGUCUAUGACUCUUUUUCAUCGUUCUCUCCCUCCCUCUCUAUGUCUCUCUGCUUUUCCUUUUGAGGUGUUUUUAUCCGAACAUUAUCUCGCUCUUUAUUUUUUGGAACAAAAAUCAAAGAAAAUGUCAGAUCGAUGCCACUGUUGAGAAAAAUAGAAAAUUAGAUUAAACUCAUAUCAAUAAAUAAUUGUUGAUACAAGUAUUAAGAGUAUGUAGAAAAAGUUUAAUCACUUUAAUCGAAGAGAUUAUCAAGAAAAAGCUCAAGUUUGAGCCCAUUAACAUAUUCAGUUAACCAUUUUUACUAAAAAACAUUAGUUAAAAAGCUAUUGAUCAAUUAUGAUAUAUUAAUUGUUUAAUACGAUAUCAAUUCUUUAUUGUGAAACUUUUCUAACCCAAUUCACACAUUCAUCUUAACAUUCGGCUCUCGCAUGUUGGCUUAGUAUUAUGUCUGCUUCCACUUAAUUCAAGUAUCAUUCACCAUUAACAUGACUCAAUUAGAAUCUCCACUUUCGUGCAUGUGCUAACUAAAAUAACAACAACGCCCAUAUUCAUCCCUAGUCUCUUUAUCCAAAUUGAAUCAUGAAGGUUGUCAUCAGGACCACAUUGCUACACAACAACAUCCACCUUCAUUCCAAGUCUCUUUUGCUAGAUCAAACUAUGAAGGCUGCCCAAAAAUCGCGUUGAUCACAGGAUUCCUUUCCUGAGGUAUUCUCCAAACAUCGGUAUACUUGGGAUUGGCCAUUAGCUAUCAAUCAUUGGCUCUGGCAUAAUUUCUUAGGAGUGUCUAGCAGAAAUUUGAUACCUUUAACCAGAGAGAUCACCAAAGAAAAGCCUAUGUCUGAGUAGGCCAAUAUAUUUUAUUGAAGCCAAAUUUACUCAAAAACUAGGAAAUAUUAAUUGCUCCAUACCAUAGCAAUUCUCCGGUAUAAGACUUUCUAACAUAACUCACAUGUAUAUGUCAAUAAAAAAGGAUCUAAGCAAUGAUUAAAAGAGUGAGAACGGAGAGAUAUUAGACAAACCCCUACCACCUCAUCACAUGGCAAAUUUUGAUAAUGUUCCACGCGGAGUAUGAAUGUGUCUACCUCAAAUAAUUCACUUUUGUAGUGGUUCCAUCAAUUUGUCAUUUGACUCCUUUUUUGAGUGGAAGUCAUGAUGGGGUUUUCUUGGAUGCUACAAACUUUAACAGUAAAUGCUUUUAGCCUCUAGCGCAUGAUCAAUGUCGAUAUUGAUAUGCAACUCCAAUUUUCCAACGAGAAUUGCUUCAUCAAGUGACUAGUGUGGGACGUUAACAAAGAAGAGUUCUGCUAUAGCGUGACCGCACUGUCCCUUCCAAUAGCGAGGGCGCAAAUGGGACCGCAAGUUCUAUUUAUGUAAUGCCAACCUGAUUACAACUUUAAAAUGGGAAAUCUUUACAAAUAUCUUUAAAAUAACUUUUAUCCCUUUCUGAUUGAAAUGUCAGUCAAAAUGCCUUCCCUCCAAAUUGAACACCAAGUAAAGUCAUCAAUCAUUUCUUUUCGUUACUCUUGAAAGCAUAAAACAUUCAGUAUAUAUACUAGUGUGCAACUAACUUAUAACUGCACAUAAUCUCGUCAUGACUAUGAAUGUACAGACGUAAAUAUGUAUGCAAGCACACAUGAAUAUGUCUAAAAGUAUGUGUAUUUUAAUUACCUCUUAUUUAGUUAGAUAUACAUCUUGAUCACAAAAAACUUUUUUUUUCAAAGAAUUGGUAACUAGAUGAGUUUUGAAAUGACUUUAGAAAUGUUGUGAUCUAUAUACUCUUUUAUAUUGACUGUGGACUAAAAAAAGCCUAGAAAUGUAUUUAAAUUAUUUUUUUGUUCAAAUUUUAAAUUUUAUAUGAGUAGUGCUUUUCCACUUAAAUUAUAAACUCAAUCUGAAAUUUAGAUCAAUUCUAAAUAUGUUGACCUAAUGUUAUGGGGGGACAAACAUUUCAGAAGUCCUAAAAAAUAAAUUGGGCUUAUUAUGGACACUUAAUUGAGAUGGCAGUCCAACUUUACUCCUUAUGCUUUUCAUUUAGGUUUUUGGCCCGUUCGGAUUUCAGAGAAAAAUAAGCACCACAACUUUUUACUUUCUAAUAAGAGCCUCAAAAUCGGGUAAAGUAAGAUGCAAAAAGGAAUCAUUCAUUUAAUUACAAUCAUUAUGGUUUUCAAAGCAGAAUUUAAUAAACAAAAACCCUUGAAAGGCACAAAGAUACAUAGAUCAAAGCAGGGCUCGGCAAAUAACAUAAAAUUUAAGCAAAGUUCACAAUAACUGGAAUUACGUGAAAAGUCAUAACAUUGGAUACCACACACACUAUAAAUAUAUAUAUAUAUAUAUAUAUAUAUAUAUAUAUAUAUAUAUAUAUUACUUUAAGUAUGAGUUUUAAUCUAUUUUGCCAUUGCUCAUACUUCAAGUUAAUUAUUCACAUUUUUAUUGAAGGUGUUUAAUAAAUUUGAAACCCCAACCAUCACCUCGUCUCGAUUCCCACAAGUACCCAUACGCACAAACCGAUGAAUAUAUUAAUAUUGUGAAAAGGAUUAAAGAUGCCACUUAUCACGCGCGCAUGGGGUGUGCGCAGUCCUUGUCCGUUUGUUCUCUUUAUUAAUUACACUUUGUUAUAUCGAUAAUGGCAAACUAUAAAAAGUAGUUAUUCCGGUGUCGGGGUUUUGGACUAGCCUCUCCUGAGAUUUACAUCUAAAUAGCGACUUGCGGUAAAGUCUGACAAUCUGGAGGGUUGUGUAAUCCCUAAGGCUGCGUUUGGUAGUCCGGAUUUGAGUUCGGAUAGGAUAACCGGAUAGGAUAAUUUGUUAUCCUAUCCGAUGUUUGGGAAUGUCCACUGGAUCGGACAAACCUGGAUAUAUCCGGAUAAAACGCCGGAUAAAAAAUCCGGGGGAGGGGGUGCAAUAAGCCUGAAUUGGAUAAGAUUUUUUUUUAAGGAAAGAAAGAACUUAACAAAAAGAGAAGAUAUCACUUGUCAUUAUCAAUGGUGGCCACUGCGGAGGUGGCCACAAUUCCUAGAUCUAGGGUUUUUCCAUGGCCUUUAAUUAAUUGAAUUUUCUAUUUUUUAAUUUUAUAAUUUAAAUGAAUAUCAUAUUUAUUUUUUAAUAUUAUCCUGAAGUGCACCAAACACUUGAUCAGAUUAGAUAUGUCCGCCUUUAUUAUCCAAAGGAUUUAAUAUCCUACUUUAUCCUAUCCUAUCCUGAUCAUUAUCCAGACGACCAAACGUAGCCUAAAGGGUAAUCUCCAACAGUUUCUCGGUUAUAAAAAAAAAAAAAGUUAUUAAACUCGUGAUAACCCUAGUCGAAUCAUUUUCUUACUUUAAAUUUUUUUCAUAUUUUUUCUAAGCCACUUGAUGGAACUGCAGUGCAAAGAAUUAAAUUGAAGUUCGCAAUUUUUUGUCUUGAUUGAGGAGACCGAAAGAGCAGUCAUUUUUUAUAUUUAUUUUUGGCCAAUGACAAACUUGAAUAGUGUGCUACCAAUUUUUCAGCUUCCCAAAGAUUAAAUGAUGCUUAGUUAACUUAACUACGGUUACCUUUCAGAUCUCCGUAAUCGACAACCAUAUCCUUCUUCUUUCGAGUGGUUUGGAUUUUUGUUAAGAUUAUCAAUCGUUAGAGCUCUAGUACUAAAUCUUGAUCGUCAAUAGGUAGAAUAUUAUCAACAAUUUCUAUUCAAUAUACAAAUCUAUAACACAAGCUCCCACAUACAUAUAUCGAUGAAAAUAUUAAUAUAAUGAAGGGAUUAAAGAUGCUACUUACCAAAAAUAAUUUUUUUUACCUUACCAAAAAAAAAAAAAAAAAAGAUGCUACUUACAACGUGCGUGUGUCGGUGUAGCCUGUCUUUGACCAUUUGCACUCUUAAUUAAGUUUUGUUAUAUAGACAGCGACAGACUAUAAAAUGUCCUUAUUAAAUAAUGGAUGAUCCAAGUCGAAUCAUUUUCUUACUUGAACAGCUCGUAGUCAAUUUCUUUAACCCACUUGAUGGAGCGGCAACUCAAUUUUUAUGGUGUGAAGAAAUCAAUUUAAUUCCACAAUGGAUUGAGGAGGACUAAGAGCAGUCAAUUAUUUUUUAAUAAAUAUCACUAAAAUCCCCAAAUUGGUCCAUUUAUGACAAUUUAUCCCCGAACUAAUAUUUUUACUAUAAAAAUCUAAAACCGAUACAUUUAUGAUAAAUUUUACUCCAAAUUAAACUUUAAAUUAAUACUGACAAUUUUGUCAUCCGUUAGUUCCUAUUAAAUAGGAUUGCUAUCACGAAAAUACACAAACUAAUAUACUUGUAAUAAAUGAAGGAUAAAAUUUUAAACUAGUACAUCUGUCAACUACUAUAUGUUAUCCAAUUUAGCAAUUUAACGGUAAAAUUUAACGAAAAUUAAUAUAUGGUAAAUUUGUUACAUGCGUACAAGUGAGAAAUUUUUUAUGAUCAAAAAAUUAAUUUGAAAUAAAUUUAUUAUAGAUAUAUUCAUUUGAGAUUUUUCAUGAUAUUAAUUUUUAUUUUUAUUUUAUUUUAUUUUAGGCAAGUAAGGACUUGGAGCAGUGUGCUCCUUACAGUUUCCCUAGGAUUUGACCGGUGCUUAUUAACUAGAGUGAGAUUACUGAGUUGCAUGGUUCUUACCGAUCUUCCCUUUCUUUCUCGCGGUUUGAGUCUUUGUCGAGGUUUUGAAUCCUUGAAUCUCUUGUACCGAAUCUCUGUCGUUGAUGAUACAAGAGCGUCUCACACCCAGGGCCCUAUUCUACUUCGUAUCAAUGUGUCCAUCGUCACUUGUCAUUACCAGACUUUGGCUCUAUAAAAAUAUGAUUCAACAAGCGCCGCCGCCCCACCAACCACCCCCCAAAGAAAAAACCAAAAAAAAAAAAAACCCAAACCUGACUUAAUGGAAAAGGCGAUAGUAGUGCUCUAGUCUAAAGACUCAUCACGUAUCUCUCUCUACCGCCCUCAAUUGAAAAAAAUAGCAAACAUUAUUGUAGCCGCUUCAUUUGAAUAAAUCUGGAAUGAGGCCCCAUAGUAGAGGCUUGGUGUUCAUAAAACAUAUCAUAAUACCAUCCCCGUUAAUAUUCACUACAUAGGAAGUGUAAAAAAGACUUCCAAGUCACCCCUGAUACAAUUAUCGACUGACACCAAGGGCCACGUUCUAUUUCGUAUCAACGUGUCCAUCGUCACUUGCCAUUACUAGACUUUGGCUCUAUAAAAAUAUGAUUCAACAAGAGCAGCAUUUCGCUCUUAUAGAUACAUACCUAUAUAUAUAUAUGUAGGUAUGUAUCUAUACAGAGAGAGAUGAAAGCUGUCAAUCAAAAUGAAAUCAACUUUUUAUCUUGCAAAAAGGGCAUUUCUCAAAGAAAUCAUCGUAUGCAAGUUUGGAAGAAGAGGCCUCGUGUGCACCGUCUAGGAAUAUAAAUAAAAGUCCAUAGACUAUAUUCUCACAUAGUCUAUGAAUUAAAUUGAAUAUGUAUUAAAAGUUCAUAAAUCAUAUUGAAAUUAAAAGCUUAUAGACGAUAGCGCGCAUUGAGCUAAAGUUGAGAAAGCACAUUGAAUAAAUUUAAAAUUUAGAGAUCUCCUUGAAUUUUAUGGACUAUUUAUGUUUAUGUCAACGGUAAUUAUGUAUGAAAAGCACAACUGACAUAUAAUCACAAAGGAUGUUCCUAAAAAAGUCCCUACAAUAACUCAUUAUUUUGAUACGAUAUGUACUCUAGAGAGGCAACUGUUGUGCUCAAAGAAUUUGCACAUCAAUAAUAUAUGGAUAAACAUUUGUAGAACCAUCCAUAUAAAUAAUAACUUUUAGAAAAAUGAUUCUCAUUAAAAAAUAUUAAAAAAUAUUUUUUAAAUAUGGUAAAGUAUGAGUAUUUGGAUUAGAAAUUCCGCGCUUGAGUGUAGAAACGGUAAAGUUCGUUUCCGAAUCCUUGGCAGCGAAGUUGAGUCCAUAGACGCUAGAUCCUAAACCUCAAUGCUCCGGUCUCCGAUUUCUGAACCCACAUCUAUCGAGGCGGGGCCCGCGACAUCCGUGCCUUCUACCUCGGUAUAUGAUGAAUCUGUAGGUCUUAUAUACAUUUCAAAUUCAAAUUCACGCAAGUGAGCGCAGGCAAAUAUCGAUGAAAAUGUUUACCAUCAUGAGGAAGAAUAAAGGUGCCCUUUAAUGAAUUUUCUUAAGUACUCUGCAAGUUCCGAGGGUCGACUCCUGCUUUCUUUCUGCCUCCGCCUUGGUAUAUGGUCCACAUACUAAAUUGAGUUGACGACAGACUGGGUAAAGUUGCAUGUUACGUGUUCUCUUGGUCAAACGGUGCAAUGAUCGCCAUUCUACGCCACGUCACCUGGAUGGUUUAAGACGAAUCGUUUGUUUACUUUAUAACAGCUGAUAAUCAUCUCUCUCUAUCUCCACUCGAUUGCUAUUCUACGCUCCCCUUCAUCCGUUUCUUGCGCUCGAAUCUCUUCGCCUCGUUCAUCUAUCGCUCUGUUUCGCUCUUUCUUCAUCUCGGCACACCCAUUCUUCCUCAUCCUCUUCCUCCUGUCUUCCUCCUUUUUCUGUGCUCAAAUCUCUUGGCUUUGUUCGUCUCUUGCUCUGUUUCGCUCUUUCUUCUCGUCGGCUCAACCAUUCUUCUUCCUCCUCCUCCUCCUCCUCCUCCUCCUCUUUAGUUUCUGCUGCUCCUUUUCAUCAUUCUCCCUCUCCGUCUCUCUUUUUUCUCGCUCUUUCUUUCUCAGGAAAAAAAAUCAUAGAAAAAUGUCGGCAGAUCCUGUCGUUGGUAUUGGAUGGGAUGUCUUGAAGAGCUAUGUAGUUGUUCCCAUCGAACGUGGAUUCGGAUACGUGAUCUCCUCCAAGAGAUUCGCCGACCGUCUUCGGGGGGAAGUCCAGAAUCUGGAGAACGAGAAUCAGAGGGUCAAGGUUCUUGUGGAAGAGGCUAGAAGGAAUGUUCGGAAAUUCCUCGAUGUCUUCACGACGUGGGAGGCUAAUGCUGACAAGGCCUUGGAAGAGGCGCAAGAGCUGUUGGACGACGAAAAGGCGACCAAGACUUGCUGCUAUGGGACUCUUCCCGACCCCAAAUCUCGCUACCAGUUCAGCAGGAAGGCCGAGGGCAAGAUCGAGGUCAUUAAGCAACUCACUCAAAAAUGCAGCACAUUCAACGGAUUGAACGACAUCUCCUUCAUCGAUCCUGCUUUCACUUAUUCUGCCUCGACGUCGAUUAAGCUUGGGGAUGAUGGCGUCUUCGAAUCCAGAGCUUUGAUGAUACGGAACAUCAUGGGCGCUCUUGCCGGCAACAGUAAUAGUGUGGUCGGGGUUUAUGGGAUGGGCGGGAUCGGCAAGUCCACCCUUUUAGUGGAUGUUGAAAGGAAAAUAAGCGAAGAUAAGUCGUUCCAUUGGGUCGCUAAGGCUGACGUGUCGGAAAAUCCAGACAUCAAGACGAUUCAAGGAGAGAUUGCGGACGCCUUGGUCCUUACUGAGAUAAAGAACAAAGAGACUAUCAGCGGGCGAGCGAAACUUCUGCACGGGAGGUUGAAAGACGAGGAGAGGGAGAAAAAGGUCCUCAUUAUACUGGACAACCUGUGGGAGGGGCUUGACUUAAACAAAGUCGGCAUUCCUUGCGGACACGACAACAAAGUCAUAGGAUGCAAGUUAUUGUUGACGUCAAGAGAUCGUAAUGUUUUGCGAAGUGAAAUGGGCUGCGACAAGGACUUCCCCCUUGGUGGGCUGGAGGAGGAAGAGGCAAGAAGUUUGUUUGAGAGGCUGGUGGGAGACAAAGUUCAUGAUGGCGAGUUUAAACCCUUGGCGGAUGAAGCACUAGCCAAAUGUGCAGGUGUGCCUUUCCUAAUUGUUGCAAUGGCGAAACGUUUUAAAUAUGCCGAUUUAUCUGAAUGGAAGGACACUUUGAAGAAAAUCGAGAAGUCUAAAGAUAAAAAAAUCAAUGAUUUGAUAAACCAAAUGUUGCAAUGGAAUUAUGAUAAAUUAGAAGAGGAGGUGAAGUCAUUAUUACGACUCUAUGUUGUUUAUGGUAUCUCCAAGCCUUCUCUUGAAAACUUGGUGAGGUACAGCAUUGGUUUGGGUUUGCUUCAAGAAGUAAGCAGCAUGGAAGAAGCUAGAAAUAGAUUGAUCUCCCACAUACAUGCUCUUCAAGCGUCCUCCUUUCUGUUAGACAGUGAAGAUGUUGAUGGUUUCAAGAUACAUGACUUGGUUCAUGAAUUUGUUGUUUCGGUCUCUUCAAGAGAUCACCCUCUUCUCGCGUUGAAAGAUAAGGACGAGUCGAUAACAGAGUCAUCGAAGGACAAGCUCAAUAGUUAUAGGGCGGUAUGCUUUCCGUUUGUUGACAUGGAGGAGCUUCCUCAAGAGUUAUAUUGCCCUGAAUUGCAAAUCUUUUUGUUUUUCACAAACAAUAAAUCUCUUAAGGUCCCAAAUUCAUUAUUUCACUCUAUGAGGAAGCUCAUGGUCUUAAAUCUUACCGGAAUACGUCUCACUUGCUCCCCUUCAUCACCAUUUCAAUUCUUGGAGAAUUUACACACUCUAUGUCUUGACGGUUGUUCAUUAGAUAAUGUAGCCAUUCUUGGCGAGCUGAAAGGGCUACAAAUCUUAGUUUUGUGAACUCCAGUAUUUAUGGAUUGCCAAAAGAAAUUGGGCAAUCGGCAGAGCUGAGGUUGUUAGACUUGAACUAUUGUCCACAACUUGAGAUAAUUGAAUUGGGUGUACUUCAAAGCUUGAUCAAGUUGGAGGAGUUGUACAUGAAUGUUAGCUUUAAUCAAUGGAAUACCGUGGACCAAACUCCACCAAUUAAUGCUAGUCUGAUUGAGUUGAAUCACAUGAAAAAUCUCUGCACUUUGCAUGUGUACAUUCCUAAUCUGAGGAUGCUCCCUGAGGAUCUAAACGUCGGGAAAUUAACCAAGUAUGAAAUCCGAAUAGGUAAUGUGUGCUAUUGGUGGAGCGAGUGCAAAGGAUCAAGGACAUUGGAGCUCAAGUUGGAUCCAUUAGGCAAUGUUCUUCGAAAAGGAUGCAUUCAAAGUAUCCUAGGCAAAAUUGACAAUCUGUUUUUGGAAGGGUUGGACAGAAAUGAGCAAAGUGUUUGUGCGUUAUCCCAAAAAGGUUUUCCAGAAUUAAAGCAUCUACAGGUCAAAGAUAAUUCCUCUAUCCAUUGCAUCCUCCAAUUGCCAUCCAAUGCACAUUUUACGAUGUUGUAGUCGUUAAUUCUCAAUAAUCUCAUCAACUUGGAGAUGAUAUGCAAUAGCCAUAUCUCCUCCAAGUCCUUUAGUACAUUAAAAGUAGUACGAGUCAAAAGUUGUGAGAAGAUGGAAGUAUUGUUUCCUCUUUUAGUGGUGAGAGGACUUCCACAGCUACAAGAGAUUAAAGUUGCCGGUUGCAAGUGAAUGCAGAGGAUUGUAGAUGCCGAUGAUGGUGGCAAAGUUGAGUUUCAUAAUUUGCGUGUAUUGGAAUUGCAUAAUUUGCCAAAUAUUAAGAGCUUUUUCACUAUAGGGAUGGCUUCUUUGAGUAGUAGAUUUCACGACCAAGUUGGCAUUCAAAUUGCAUUCUUCAAUGAGAAACAGGUAACUUUCUGUCAAAAGAAUAUAAUACUUAUUACUAUUUCCUUCCUUUGCUUAUUAGAUGUAACACAGAUUAUGAUGCUUAUUUAUUUUGUUAUUUUCAGUUUGUUAUCUUCCUAAUUACCUUAUCCGUUCAUGCCUUCUCUAUAAUUAGUUAAAGCAAUCUUCCGUUUAAGUUAAUUGUGUAGAAAUCCAACUAAUUGUACAAAAUCCAUGUAAAUUUAGUUUGUGAUAGGUUUUAAAUUAUUUUCAACUAACAUGCUGCAAGUAUAUCUAUAUUUACAGGGUUUCAUAAGGCAAAAUUGACGAGAACUUCAGCAUUAAAGCAUUCCAUAAGUACAGUAAUUUUUAAUCCUUUGAAAUGAAUAUCACUGAAUUUAGUUACCGAACUUUGUUAUUAUUCACAAAAUGUAUAAAAUAGGCGACUCUCUUGAAAACCAAUAUGAAGAAUAGGAAGGAUGAUUGCUUAUAUAUAUAUAAAAGCAACUAUACUAAUCUAAUUGAUGCAUGUCUUUUGUAUGUCGUGUUUAAAUAGGCAUUUAGUCAUUGCAUAGGCCCAAAAAUUAUAAGAAUACAGACUUUUGUGCAUAGGUUUUUUCUUCUUUUUUUUUUUUUAGUGAAAGUACGCCUUGGCAAUUGUAUGACUUUUUGUGCAUGGUUUUUUUUUUUUUUUUACAGACUUUUGUGCAUAGCUUUUUUUUUUUUAAUAGUGAAAAUAGGCCUUGGCAACUGUGUGAUUUUUUAUUAUGCCGCAUCAAAGUCAUCAUUGCAAAUUUGAAAUUCUUGUUGUUGGAAUUCCAAAGUGUUACAUUUCUCUACUCCAUACGGCGGUAUUAAGGCCAAGUUGUUACAAUAUCAAAUGAUGGAACUUGAUGCCUUGAUGGAAAAUCCACCAUCUUAAAGUCCAACUAGUUUUAGAGAGACUCACUUCAAAUGUUUUGAUGGGCCUAGUAUUUUAAUUUGGCACUUGGUAUGUCUUAGUUUAAUUUCCAAAGGUUCAAGUGCUCCACAAUUUAAUCUUCAAGAAAUUUGUGGCGAAAUUUGAGUUUUCUUUUUGUUGAGUCCAUCCAAUUUAGAUUGUGAAUUUUAUGUAGCUUCGAUAUCUUAUCAAGAAAAACCGGUGGGGGUUGCCCAAUCUCGCGAGACCUUAUGUAAUCAUUGCGGUUUCUCUCCAUGUUAAUUUACAAAUCUAAAUACUAAGUCCUUUAAGUAAAUGUCUUCACAUUUGGCCUUUAAAGUAUGUAUAGAUAUAUUGGUAGACAAAUCCACAGUUUGUGUUUAAUAUCCUAUUAAAUUGGUUAUUGAUAGUGAUUUAUUGACAUUAAAAGAAGUCAAGUGAACUAUGGAUAAACAAUUGUCCAAUUAAGGAAAACACGCGUCUAUUUUACACGUGGAAGUAGUUGCUGCCGGUGGAGCCUUUUGGCUGACUAGACAAGAUUGCCCUUUAAUAGUGGCUUGGUUAUAGCUGAAGUUGAUGGUGGGGCCCAAGACUCGGGCCAUAUAUUAGUUUCCCCUUAGUAAAGAGUCGUGGAGAUUUUAGUUGAUGGUGGGUCCCUCAAGGUAGCAUGUCUAAGUAUCUCCACUUCAACCUCGACUUUUCUACUUCGCAUGCAAUAGAGGAGUUAGAUUGGGAGGCUAUGCAAAGAGGCUUUUGGGCUUCUAACUUUCAAGGGUUCUAAAUCUUCAUUAAAGAAUUUUACUCUUGCCUUGAUGCCUUCUCAUUUUAGGCAUGGAAACUAGAGCUGUGAAGAUCUAUGAGAUUAUAAUGAAAUGUUUUUGUUAACUAUAAUAAAUCUCUUCCAACAUUGUAAAGAGGUGGAGCAGACGAAAAUAGCAAUGGAAGGUUGGAUUGUCGAGAAUGACAAUAGUCAAACAAAGAAACGUAAAGAAGUUAAACUUGUUGUAAUAGAUGGGAGUAACAGGCAAUGGCAGGUAGAUGGGAGAUUUCGAGUAACUUUGCAGAAGAAGGGUCUUCCCAAGUUGAAGCAAUGAACUUUUAAGAAGACUAGUUACUUUUUGCCAAAAAUAAAAAAGAGAAGAAAAUAAAGCUGUCCAUUGUAAGUUAUCCUUCAGAAGGAAUAAAACUUGCUCACUAAUCAAAUUAAGUUCCGCAAUCAUUUUCCAAGUAAAGAUUGGACUAUUUAGCAACGACAAUAGUAUAGAGAUUUUUUUCUCUUUUUUUUUUUUAAAAAAAAAAUUCGUUUUUUCCCUUUUGUGGAACUUAAUAAUGCCCCCUCUCUUCUUGGCACACGUAUAUAUUAACAUUUUGGAAGUUCCUAAAUUCGUGAUUUAACUAAAUCACACUUCCAUGAGUGAAUAUUGCAGGUUGUCUUUUCAAAAUUGGAGACAUUAAAUAUCAAGGGCUUGGAUAAUGUCGAGUUUUUGUUUUCCCCAUCCAUGAUUAAAUCUCUCGCACAACUGAGAGAUCUACGAGUAUCUUAUUGCAAGAAGAUGGAGGUGAUCAUUACGAAGGAAGAAGGGUUGUCAUUGGAAAUAUCAAAAACUCUGGCAUUCCCGAUGUUAACUAACUUAAACUUAAAUUGUUUGAAAAGUUUGAUGAGCUUCUCUCGCGAAAAGUGUAAGAUUGAUUUUUUUGUUUUCAUCACUAAAGAUCUUCUUGUGGAUAAAUUCAUCCUUGCAAUACAAAUGGUGACAUUCUUUUCAUCCAUUGAAAAACUUAUGAUAGGUUCAUGAGAAGCUUGGAGUCAGGACUGCAUCAAAUCAUGCUCCACUGCACUCUUCAGUCAAGAGGUACAUGAUUAAUGUUAUGCCAAAAUAUUAUUUAUAUAACAAAAGUAUUAAAUAUGCAAAAGAAAAAGCAUAGCCAAAAUAAGAACUAACUAAAUAACUUACAAAGUGUACCUUGGUUAAAAAUAUUUUAAAGAAAAUGAGUGGUGUACAAACAUAAGUACUUAGAGUUGCCGACAUGUAUGAGUUGCAAUUUUUUUAAUUUUAAUUUCUCUAGAAAUAGUUUCCAUAAAGAUGGUUAAAUAUCUCUUAUCAUACUUGCACAAAGCAUGAACGAGCAAUACAACUGCGAAACAAGAUCUCUAAAAGCUUUUUGAUGUUCAUAGGAAACUCAAAGCUCUUAGCAACCUCGCAUGUAUGGCAUCGACAUUGCACGCAAGCACAUUGAAAGCAAUUUAAGAAACAAUGGAGAGGAAAGUGAUAGUAAUGUUCAAGAAGCUGUAGAUGAAGGGCCUUUAAGAUAGUCACUUGACUUCAUUUGCUCUUAAAAGAUCCCCUUUUUUGCCGUUAAUUGAAGGAAGCUUUAGUCUCCCUUAAUUCCACUAGCAAAAGGUAUUGAGCCCUCUCCGUCGCUAAACUGAGCAAGAAUCUAGGGUCCAGGGCAUCCGAAAUCACUCUUUUAAGUUUUAACAUGAAUUGGAAGACCAAAGUGAUCAUUCAGUGACUUCUCUAAGUGCACUGCAAGUUCAUUUAAUUAUUUCAUCCAUAUUGUAACUUAAAUUACCGUUUCUAAGUGAUUUAACAAAAGCCACGUAUACUAGCUAUUUCAUUCUUGGGUUAGCAAAAAAAAAAGCACCAAUUGUGAUUUGAUUAUUCUGGGAAAUUGACUAAAAUCAAGAGAGGGAGUGAUUUUAUUUAAAUUUGAGAUUAUGAGAGAUAAAUGUGAUUAUAUGAUAGUUCAGGAGCAUAUCCAAAUUACCAUUUUGCCUUGUCAACAAAAUCCGGUCAGAAUUCUCACUUUUUGUUUUGUCUGCAGUAAUUCCAAAAGCCUUCUAGAUCAACAUUUUUUUUUUUUUGUCAAAGAGUCAUCGACAUUUUUGUAUGGACAUUUGUGCAACUUAAGACAGACUCAUUAAUUUCAUGAAUUCGAAAUUUACAUCUUGACAUUCAUCUAUCUUGGAAGUUCAUGAUUAACUCAAUCAUCAAUUCCGUGAGCGAAUAUCGCAGGUUGCAUUUCCUAAAUUGGAGGCAUUAGAAAUCAGUGGCUUGGAUAAUUUUGAGAUGAUAUGGGACAAUAAAGUUGCUGUGGAUUCUUUCCCCAAGCUAAAAACCCUUUGUGUGGUUGAUUGCAAUAAGCUUGUGAGUGUAGUUUGUUCUUUCAUUCUAAGACAGCUCUUGAGCUUGGAAAGAUUGGAUGCAAGAAGAUGUGGUUCGCUUGAAAUUGUUUUUGAACUUCAGACAUUGAAUCGUCUAGAUGGACAUCCUAUUGCUCUUCCAUUAAGAGAACUGACGGUAUCAAGAUUACCAAAGCUAAAGUGCAUAUGGGAUAAGGAAAUCCAUUGUCAAAUAAAUUCCAGUGUCUACGUUCUAUUAGCGUUUCAAGAUGUGAGAGCCUCACCUCUUUGUUUCCAGCCUUAGUAACCAGAUAUCUAAUUCAACUUGAGAAGUUGGCGAUCAAUGAAUGUGGCAUUGUAGAAACCAUCAAGAGUGAAGAAGGACUAUUUCCCAAGUUUGUAUUCCCAAUAUUAACCUCCCUUGAGCUUGAGUGUCUGAGAGAGUUGAAGUGCCUCUACACAAGAACACAUACUUCCCAUUGGCCGGCAUUGAAGACCUUGAAGGUGCAUGGCUGUGACAAAGUGGAGAUACUUGCAUCGCACUCUGAGAAUGAGGUGCAACUUGAUAAACUCCCUCUCUUCUUGAUAGAAAAGGUAUGAUCGAAGAUUACUUCUUUUGCUUUCACAGUGAAUAUUUAAAGUGAUGAUUAGGGUCACAACCAAGCAUCUUAUAUAAGUAGCUCUACGUAGGAAGAUGUAAACUGUAUGACUCACCUUCAAUCUAUAGAAAUAUUUCAACAUUGAAACAUCACAUGUUCUUCAAUUGUUGACUGAACAUUCUUUUCAAAUGUAUGAAAUGCAUUUUUAAUGAUCCCCUUUUAAUAAAGGUUUAGGCUAAUUCCGAGGGUUUAUUUCUCUUCCAAGUGCCACAAAGAUGAAAACACAUGGCAUGUGUCAUGAUCUUAGUAUAGUACAAGUGUCUCAUCUAAUUUAAAUCCUAUCCUGCUAAAAACAGAAAGAUGUGACAUUAUUGUUGACAUUAAUCACUGAAAUUUGUGCACGUGUGACUGUAAUUGAUGCAUAAGUUAUUUUUGCAAGGUAUUUAUCUUUAGAAUCGUGAAUGUAAAGAGUUACAUAAGCUCAAAUAUUUAUACAAGUCAAAUAUACAGAUCAGUGAUAAUGUUUAAUUGAUGUAGGCACAUUUCCUUUCAUUGAAUCACAUGAAACUCAAUAUUUUAUAUAUAUAGUUACCGCGCGCAACAUACAGGCCUUAUAUCCUGAUACAUGAAUGCUCUUUUAACUAAGCUGGCUUUAAAUUCUAAUUUGACUAUUUUCUCAGGGCGCAUUCCCUAAUCUCCAAGAGUUAACGUUGGAUUUAUCGGAACAGAUGGAGAUAUGGCAUGGACAUUUUAAUGAUAGAGAAUUUUUCUGCAAGCUUAGAUUGCUUAAGCUUCGUCAUCUCUCCCAUGAGUCUUCAAUAUCCAUAUGUCGUUUUGUUGAGAGUUCAACCAAUUUGGAAGAGCUAGUUGUAUGUGAAUCUUAUCUAGAAGACCCAAGCAAUAAUGAGGAAGCCAUAGAAGGCACAAUUCAUGACAUGAAAGUAAUAUUACCCUUUUCAAGAUAUAUUCGACAUCUGCAAACUCUAGAUGUGUCACAUUGUGACGAGUUAUCAAAAAUGUUCAGACCGACAAUUGCUGAAAAUUUGGUGACACUCAUUAAAUUGAGGAUAAGUAAUUGUAGGAUAUUGACAGAAGUCAUUAAUGAUGAGAAAGGUGGGGAGGGGUGUAUGGUAGCCUUCAAUCAACUUAAGUCUAUGGAGCUUGAUGGGUUGAUAGGGUUGAGAAGUUUCAGCUGGAUACACUUUGAUGUUCCCGCUCUUGGAAGAUAUCAUUGUGACUAGGUGUCCCAACAUGAAGUUUUUCUCUCAAGGAUCGAUAGGGGCAUCAAAGUUAAAGAGAGUUCAAGUGUCAAAGGAAGUGUGGUUUUGGGCGGGAAAAUUCAACAUCACUAUCCAAAAUAUGUUUGAAGAAAUGGUAUGCACCAAUUACCAAAUUCCAUGCAUUUGGAUGGUUUUGACCACUAAAUGAAUAAUCGCUUUUUGCUAGCUAGAAGUUUACGCUUAACGAUGCAUUUUUUGACAGGGUACGUUUGCUGGAGUAGAGAAAAUGCUGCUGUCUGAGUUCCCAGGGCUGAGUGGAAAAUAGCAUAACAAACUUAGUCCCAUCAAGUUGUCUUGGCAAUUAAAAUCAAUGGUGGUAGAUAAAUCUCCGUUAUUUAUUAACGCUAUUCCAUCCAGAUUGAUGCUUGUCUUAGACAAUUUGGGCUAUUUGCAAGUGUGCAACUAUGAGUUGCUUGAAGAAAUAUUUGAUUUGGAAGGGCUGGAGGUUGUGGAAAGCACUCGAAUACUACCUCAACUAUGGGAAUUGAACUUGGCCAAUCUACCAAAAUUGAGGCGACUGUGGAAUAGAAAUCUUCAAGAAUCAAUGCGCUUUUAUUCUUUGGCUACUCUCAUACUUUAUAAUUGCAAUAACUUGGGACAAGCUUUUACUUCAUCAAUGGCUCAAUGCCUUGCCAGUCUUCAUCAAAUGGAAAUAAAGGAGUGUGGUCAAAUGGAAGAAGUGAUCGUAGAGGAAGAACGGCAGGGAAGUGCAGUGGAGAAGAUUACAUUCUCGAAGCUCCGGCAGAUGAAAUUGGAAUGGUUGCCCAAUUUGACUUGUUUCCUCUCGACAAAAAAUCAUACGCUGGAAUGCUCCAACUUACAAGUGCCGAGCAUUAACCAUUGCCCCAAGAUGAGAAGUUUGACUGGGCAAUCUUGGAUGGAGAAUGACCAUGGCACCCCUGCAUUUUUCACUUCCCAGGUCAGUCUUUCAAACAAAUGCAUCUUUGGCAUUUCAUUUGGAACAUGUUCUCAUAGUACUGGACAAUGCACGGUAUGAUGCAAAUUUUGUGCUUUGUGUGGGUUUAUAUACAUAAUCUUCUAAUAUUUAAUAAUAAGAUUAAAAAUAUUCUAAUCCUCAAUAAAUAUUACUAUUAUAUGUACAUCUCUAUAUUCUAUUAGAAGUGUUAAGUCGUUAUAAGUUCAUAAUUCAUAUCAUGUGCAGUACUUUAGAAUUAAUUAGUGAGGUUUUUAAAAAGGUGAUCACAACAACCAUAUAAAAACAUUAACUUUUUGCAAUUUCAAUUAUAAAGAACUAAAUAGCAAACACAAAAUAGCAUCUAAAAAUGGCAGAAAAAGUAUUAAGUAUUGCCCCUUCAUAUUUACUUGCGUGGAAGCAAAUUAGCGUCGUUCUAUUUAACAUGAAUAAAAGGGAAAAAAACUUCAUAUUUAUAAAAUCCAAUUUCCCAAAUUGCUUAACUAUUACAGCUCAUUAUACCAUAAUCAGUGAGUUGACUUUUUUAUUUCUUAAUAAUCAUCAAUACUUGAGCUAGGUCUUGAUAAUGAGAUAAAUAAAAAUAAAAAGGUCAAUAUGCAUGAAGUGGUUUGCCUUCUCCAUUCGUAAAUCAUUCUCCAUUCGCUAUACUCCAGCAACCUAUCAAAUUACGUACUUGUAUUAUAGAAUAAAUAUUAACUCUAGACUAUUAUAUUUAGUGAUAAUUAGUGUGAUAGUGCACACAAUCUAUGUUAGGCAAGAGAAAAUGUAGAUUACAUUUUCCAGAAAAAGAAAUGGCGAGAAAAAGGAAAAAAUAAAGAGAGAAAAUGACAACUGGAUAAUAAAUAGUAGCAAUUCCGUGGGCGAUUACUGACAUUGCAAGUCUUAUUUCAUAACUAAAUGACAAAAUUUAGUCGAUGUCCAAGCUAAAAUAAAAAUUUGAAAAAUUUAUCAAAUCAACAACACCACCGAAGGGAAAGUAUUAGGUGCAUUAAUUACAUAGCAUAGGAUUCAUAUUAAAUCAUCUGCAGAUCGACGCGUGUCAAUCGAACCAUCAAAAUUUUUGCUCCCCCCUCUCUUCAAAUAACGCCCCGUUACUGGAAAGCUCAACUCUGCUCUUCCUAGUGUGGCUUUUCUCUCUCGCUCUCUUUCCUCUGUGAAGGUGCAUCUCUAUACAUGAACCACACCUCGGCGUUGGCCUCCGUCGGUUGCGGUGCGCUCGCUGAACAACGGAAAAAAAAAACAUAAAAAGGAAGAAAUUAGACGAAGUCUAUUUGAUGUUUUAGCUUCUCUCUCCUUAAGAACUGUUCGCUCUGUCAUUUCGUUUCACCUUCCUCCUCCUCUUCGCGACGAGGGGGAAAAAAGAAAGUGAACCAAGUCUACACAGUCAAGUAACAAUAACUCUUCUUCCUCCUCCUUACCCCCCAUCCUCUACCUUCUUUUUUUGGGGCGAUUGAUAGGGUGAUCCAUCCAAUGGUUGAAUCGGAAGCUUCGGAAUCGCUUCUCUGAAGUAUGCCUCCUCUCUACACGCGUGCAUGUGUGGGUUUUGAGCAAUUACGCAAACUGGAGCUUGUUGCUUUUGGUGGGCCAAUGGGAUCUCCGAUGCGGAAGCGAUUUCAGCAUUGAUUCAGCUGGGGCAUUGAUUCUGGCGAAGAAAAAUUAAAAAAUCUUCUCUUCAGCCCUCCCUUCCUCCUCCUUCGUCCACAGCAGCCCAACCUCCGCCCCUCCUCCGCCGUCGCCCACGGUGGAGUUACCGGCACCUUGAUUAGGAUGACCCUCACUAUGUCUAAGCUGAGCAUGGCCGACUUCCUCUGAUUUGUCCGUCUCAUUGUUCUACAGAUCUCGAAAUUAGGCUGACCCUCACUAUGCUUGCGUUUUUUCUUAUUCUAAUACUUUUGCAUAAUUCUUUCUAUUGUUGCCUGCGAGUAGAAUGUUUAAUUAUGAGGAGUAUCUAUAUAUUUGUUUACUUUUUUAUCGUAACAGUUAUCACUAAUUAUUUAUUUACUUCUAAUGUCAUUUGCAUGUAUAAGUUGUCAUGUAAUAAUAGGUAUCCCCGCACAUUUUGAGGAUAUUUCAAAAACUUAUUGUUACACUGAAUCGAGAAUACUAAUAAAUUUGGGGAAGCAUAAAAAUAGUCAUAUGAUUUUUUGGUAGUGACAGGUUGUGAUAGCGUUAAUUUCAUUUUUGUGUCAAAUAUGCGCUGCCUGUAAUACUAAGUUGCUCCCACAUUGUUAGAUAAUUUCAAAUACUCAUCAAAAUGCUCAAUUAAGAAUAUUAAUAGACUAAGGGAAGUGUGGAAAGUCAUUUUGUUUUUUUGGUUGUGAGAAGUCCUAGUUGCGUUAACUUUAUUGUAACCAAAUGAAAAAUAUCAAUACUUUGCUUUUUAGUGGACAAUCAUAUUGUGGUCAUAACACGGUAAAAAAAGAAAAGAAAAAAAAACACAGUUGAAUUUCUCCAAACAAACGUAUUGUGGUCAUCCGCUUCUUUUUUCAGUUCUUUUUAUUUUUCUUUUAGUCUCCAACACCCGAACAAAACUCCAAAAUCCUCAAGACAAGGCAUCAAUUAAGGAUAAGAAAUUGGUUACCAUUUUUUGUGAGUGGUUGGCCCGCUAGCCCACUGCAAGAUUCUACCACAAAAGUGAAUAAAUAAUAUUUCAAGCAAAGUUAUUAAUGGUCCAAUGUAGAAUUAGUAAGUUGGCCCAACUUGCUAUUCUAUGAGAUCAUAAUAUAUGUUAAUUAUUCCAAUCAUUAUAUUGUCCGUGCCUAUUACAUAUUUAUUUUUUCUAAUACAAAAAUUUUUCUGCACAUAAUAAAGAAAAAACUUGUAAACAGUUGAAGUAAUUAUUAUUUUUAUCCGGUUCACCAUCUAAUUUGCAUGAUGCUCCUCAUUUGUGAACUUUAUUAAUUGAAGAUUCAUAAGUAAUGUUCGCCUAUUACAUAUUUAUUUUCUUUCAAUACAAAAAUUUUUCUGCACAUAAUAAAGAAAAAACUUGUAAACGAUUGAAGUUAUUAUUAUUUUUAUCCGGUUCACCAUCUAAUUUGCAUGACGCUUCUCAUUUGUGAACUUUAUUAAUUGAAGAUUCAUAAGUAAUGUUUCGCAAUUGGUAUUAGUGCUGAAUAAGUAGCGGUGCUCAUAGUAAAUAGAGGAAAUAAUUUCUAUCGCAGGAAGACACAUUUGAUGAGUGUCGGACUUGAGUUGCCAAUCAAUUGUAAGUGAAGAUGCACAAAUCUCACUUGUGCUCCCAUUCCAUGGCUUAUUGAUCCCAACCAUUGAUCUAUUUAAAAAGUUAUUUCUAGAAUUUAUUACUCAAUGCAUCAAUGAUUGAUGAUGAUUAAGGCACCAUAUGGCGAAAAAAUGGGUUAGUAUAUCUCCAUCCUUUCCAUAUAUACAUGGACAUACUUAUAUAAUCAUCUUCCAUGCCCAUGCUAUUAAAAAGCAAAUAAGCAUCAUUGUACAAGAUUUCUUAUGUCUGUACAAAUAAACGCAAUGUCCAUGCAGCUGAUUCACUUUUGCUAAUAAUUUUUUGAUUAUUCUAAAUCUACUAGAGAUGAAAAUGGGAAGUUAAUUUCUUUUAAUUGAUAAGAAAUAGAUGUAGAACCAGCUUAUACCUAUCGCUGAAGCAUCAUUAUAAUGCACCUAUCAGUGCGGCAUUGGAGCCAACAUAAGAAAGAGAGAGGAAUGACAUGUAUGCAUAUCUCGAUUGGAUUGCAAUGUGAAGCACAUGCAUCAAAGCUUCUUUGAACCAUGCUUCAGCUACAUUCAUUCCUUGAACCGAAUAAAUUUAAGAAAUUCUUACCUUAUCUAAUGUUGCAUUAUCAAAAAAUCAGUGCAAGCAACUUUGAUAAUGAUCAAUGCAAACAAAUGUGAAAGUUGGAGAAUCCAAGUAUUCAUCAUGAACUUUCCAAAAAUUAAAGGGAGAAGGUAUUGCUAGUAGUAAAUGUCAAUUGAGGCACUUAAAAUUCAAUGCUCAAUGUACUAUUGAUUAUAAAUGCAUUUAUAAUUUCAUGCUUGUUGCAAUGCAAUAUAAUUUGCCUUAGUCAUUAGUCAAUUUAAAUGAAAGCAUCAACUACUCUCUUUUUUUCACUAACAAGCUCUCGCAUACUCAUGUUUUGUGAGAGUGAGGGAAGUUUAGAAAUUCUUUCUUUGAGGUCAUAACUCAAUGUGAUCAUAUUCAUUAUGACAUUUUUCUCAAUAUGCUAGGUACAAUGUGUCCAGCUUAGGUGGAUUGUUCUCUCCCAUAUGGACAAUUUAAGCAAAAUAUGGAGUGACGGUCCUCAAGAAACUCUCACUUUUGACAAUUUACAGAAAGUGCAAGUUCACAAUUGUGGGAGCCUUGAAAGUGUGUUUCCGCAUUGGGUGGCUACAAGUCUAACCCAACUUAAGGAACUUCAAGUGGAGUCUUGUGGGAUUGAGGAAAUAGUCACUAGUGGGAAUGAGACUCCACAUUCCAAUACUACUCAAGAUCUUUUCCCAGAAUUAACCUCUCUAGUGUUACUGAUAUGCCACAACUUAAGAACUUCUGCACCAACUUGCCCACUUUGAAAUGGCCAUUCUUGAAGGAAUUGCGAGUGACUCACUGUGGUAAAGCAAACAUGAUGUCUUCUGUAGCAUCUAUGAGCAAUUGGGCUCAAAAAGAUUAUCAAUGGGGCCUUUCAGACCAAGAAGCACACUCUUUAUUUGAAAGGGUAUGAUUUCAGCUGCUCUCCCUUAGUUUCUAUUUUGUUCUUUAAAGCACUCAUUGAUCUCAUAUCCACUACAUAAUCAACCCACGUUAUAUUGCUAUAGAAAACAUGAUCUCUCUAAAUUAUUAGUUUGUUCACAACAUUAAAAUAUUUCUAAUAUCUUGAGUAUACUUUUCAUUUGUGGACACCCAUAAGAUAUUUCAUAAAUUAUAAUUACAAAAAUAAUUAUAGAUUUUUGUUGAAGGCACAAUAUAUUCCUAAUCUAGUCUAGUGGUGCUCCUUGGGGAAAUCAAUGAAAAUUUGACAUGAGGUCCACUUCAAUGUUGACACGUGUUGCACAUUUGAACUUUUCUUCUCUAUUUUGUCUUCUAAAAAAUCAAAAAAAUAAAAUAAAAAUCAAUACAAACGUUUAACAAAAAUAAGAUUAGUACCUUAAUGCACUAUUUUCUAUUGUAUUCCUUAAUUGAUCUCAUCUUAUACAUAGUCAUCCUGUUGUAUCACUAUAGACAACCCAAAAUUCCUUACCUAUGAGUUUGAAGACAAUAUAAGAUAUUUUAUUAUAUCUUAGGCACACUUUUAAGUUUAUGGACCCAUAUGUUUCAGUAAUAUCAUAUGUGCAUCCCAUUACAUAAGUUUCCGAAGAUGACUAAUUUUAGUUGACAAGAUAUUUCUAAUAAAAGAUGAAUUUGAUGAGCUUGGAGGGAUCUUGACAAGUUCACUCUAUAAACUUAACCAUACCAACUUCUAUUUGAGACUUUUAAAAGCUUGAGACUUGAAUGUAGGGCUCUUGAGAUAUAAUGAACUUUAAGAAGAUGGCCACCUUCCUUGUGAAUCAUCUUAAUAGGUUUACUUUUUACAGCACAUGAUUUAUUGUCAAAACUUUGCUGAAUUUACUUCUCUUGUUGUAUUGGCAAUUCGACAGGAUUUUCCCAACUUGGAGAAACUUUUUUUAGUCAAUAACAAUAUUCAAAUGAUACAAGAUGGAAAUUUUCCGGAUGACAUGUUUAGCGAGCUAGGAGCACUAACACUGGCAUGCUUUCAUGAUAAAAAGGCCGUCUUUCCUUCCAUAUUCCUCCUAGAGAGAUUUCAGAAUCUACAGAGCCUUGAGGUCUUCUGUAACUCCUUUGAAGAUUUAUUCCCGGACGAAGGGUUUGUUGAAGAAGGGAAACAUCCAAUGCUUGAAAAUUUAAGAGAAUUUAAAUUAAACAAGCUACGCAACUUAAAGUCUGUGUGGAGAGAAGACUCUUUAGUGUCGAAAAUUCUUUAGAGCAUCGAAACAUUAAAGGUUUGGGAUUGUCCUCAUUUGAUGACAAUAUUUCCGACCAUGACAUCCUUCCGGAAGCUGACGGGCUUAGAGGUGAAGAAUUGCGCUAGAUUGGUACAUCUAAUAAUAGCUUCAACGGUCACAAAUUUGGUGCAUUUCAAAAGGAUAACUAUAAUAGAAUGUGAAAGAAUGAAAGAAAUAGUAGCUGACGAUGGAAAUGGAAAAGGAAAAGUGAUUUCUUUUGGGAAUCUUUUGGAUUUGACACUCCAACAUCUACCGAGCUUAGAAUGCUUCUCCUCCAUUCCGAGUUGCAAUUUUACGUUCCCAUCCUUAUGAAGUAUUGGAGUAGAAGAGUGCCCGAAAAUGAAGACAUUUUCUAAGAGUAUGCUAAGCACACCACGACUAAUUUGGGUGAGACUAUUCAGAUACAAGUUGGAUGGGAACUGUGGGGAGGGUAAUGAUCUUAAUACAACCAUACAGAAGUUAUCAGCAUAAACAAACGCAUAGAAUUUGUAAGAUCCAAUUGACGUCAUUCUCUCAUCCAUUUUUAUUUUCUUUUUAUUUAUUUAUUUUUGGCAGUGCCGUAAGUUUUGAAAAAUUUUCUUCUUGUAACUUUUCUGUUAUUGAUUCCGUCAUAUCAGCAUCACCGUCAACCCUAUCGAUCGAUCUCGGCUCAUCCUUCACUAAACAGAAGGAAGCAAAGCAGGGCUCUCCUUCUCCUUCCUGACGCCAGAGGCUCUCUCCAUCUUUCUUCUUCCUCCUCGGUGGAGCAAAACUGGGGGGAACCUCUGCUGCCUUCACCGAGGACGGAGCGAAAAUGAAGCAUCAGGAAUUGCCAGGACUGCGAGACUGCGAGAAGCGAAGCUGCACUUAGCGGAGCGGAGCCAAGUAGAUUCAGUCGUCCGCUCACUUCAUCAAAGCAGAAGAAGAUCACACUCUCUCUCCGCGUUUGCAUCCGACAAAUCGUAAGUUCACGUUUCUUCCGAUUUUGGUGUCUUAUUGCGUGUGAAUUAGGUUGAAGCCGGAAGUUGGUUUCGUAGAGACCUUCCUCAAUCCUCGCCUCCUUCUUCUAUGGCUAGGGCCCUUUUCUUCAACCUAGCAAUUUUAUUGCCCCUAAAUCCACAUCUUCUGUGCUUUCCUCGCGAGCAUUGGCGAGAGAAACGCGUCUGCGUAGGACAUCUCUGCAUGUUUGAGCUCCCAUCGAUGGAGAUGAUAUAGGGAGAGAUAUCUCUCGAGCAUCAUGAAACUUGAAAAUAUUCAGAGAGAAUUCCAUGCCUUGUCAAAAAUAUGAGGGGGUCACUUUUACGCCUUGUUCUCAAUGUACUCCAGACUGCUCAUCCUCAUGAGAAUUUCUUGUGGUUUGACGUGUCUUUGUUUCUGCUUGCGUAACUCUCUUUCGCAUUGUUCUUUUCAAAUUCUAGAAUAAAUUUUAACAAGCCCUUUUACUUUGUCUUGAUUGGUUACGAGAUGCUGCAACGAUAAAAUUUGUUUCCAAUUUAUGCUAAAUAUUUUCAUAGCAAGUCAAACUGAUGAAGUGUGCUUAAAUUGCCUCUUCACAGAACUGUCCCUCUCGGUGCUUUGCUUGCCAUCCUCUUGUGGUCCAAUCCAGGUACAGUUGAGGCGCCGUCGUUGUCUCGCGUUUCUUUUAUGUAGAGCAAUAACAUGGUUUUAGCUUCAGUUUUCAUUCGGUUCCUUUCAAAUUUAAUUCGUACCUAUUCUGCUUCUGCAUUCUGCAUGUCUGGUCAAUGGGAGGGAACUCCCGGUGUUCAUCUUUUUUGUUGGGGGAAUGGUUAUUGGAAAAAGCGAAGGGUGUCUUCGAGCUUCUACCAUUGAGAAGGAUAAGGUUGUGUUUUUAGAUGUGCAUCCAUUACACAAGGUUUUCGCGGCUUGCGGUACUUGUUAUGAUAAGCUUUUGGAUAGUGGAUGCAUCUAGAGUUAGGUGGUCCUAUUGAUCAAUCGUUCGCCCUUUUUGAAGUCGAUGCAACUAGGAUGGUCAUGUAAGGAGUGUGCUUCGUUUCAUUGGCUAUAAAAGAAGAUGUCAAUGCGAGUAGAACAAUGUCGACAGUCUUUUUGACGCCUUGUUCUCCAUAAACUCCGGACUGCUCAUCAUCAUGAGAAUUUGGAGGGGUGACUUGCGGUUUAACAUAUCUUGUUUCUACAUUCCUAACUCUCUUUCUGUCUUUCUCUUCAAAUUCUAGAACAGUUUCUAAGAAGCUCUUGUUUUUAUCUUGAUUGAUUACUAAUGAUGUGGGGGAUACUUUUGACUUCUGAUCUAUGCUGAAUAUUUUCAUGGCAAGUGAAAUUUAAGUUGCCGUUUUUCAAGUACUAGGAGGACCAAACAGUUAGCGGAUUAAGGCAUCCUGAGCUGGUUUUUUUAUGGUCCCACUCACCCAAGGCCUCUCACUGUUUUUAAAUCGGCUGAUAACUUUCCCAAUGGAGUACCCUUUUUCGAGGUGGUGAUGAGGCCCUCUUAUGUUAAGCAUGGCUUGGUAUGAUCCCACGCUUAUUGACUCAGACUGGCAAUGUCCGAAAAUCAAAUAUAUCGAUGCUUUUUAGAUCUUUGCUUAUAAUCUAGUGUAUUUCCAAGUUUACUUCAUUGUAUAGUAUACCACACGAUACAUUAUUUCCUUGAAGUGUCUGCAUUUCCAAGUUUACUUCAUUGUGUAGUAUACCACAUGAUACAUUAUUUCCUUGAAGUGUCCGUGGGUGGUUGGAGGUUCGAAAAGAUAACAAUCGUCUUCUUCUUCUUGUUGGAUAGAUGUUGUUGGAAAAGCAAUUGCUGAGGCGUCUUAAGAAUAGAAUCCAAGUUCUCUAAUAUGGAGCAAUCGGACAAUGUUAUUCAAUGCUGUAAAUUUAGAAUAUAUAUGUAAAUCACACCAGGAGACUAGUUGAUAUGGACAAGCAAAUUGCAAAGAAUUGUUGCUGCCUCCAUGACUAAAGAGAAAGACCUGAUAGAUAAGGGGAUGGCUUGUUAUGAUUCUGAAAUUUCAUUGUAGAUCUAAUGAUUGAUAAUUUUGUUUUCAAAUGGGAGAUACUAUUGUACUUCGUUAUAUUAAUCAAAUUUAGGGGGGAAAAGAUGAUUUUACUUUGUCAAAUUGAACCAACGGUUUGAUAAAAACCUUAUUUGAGCUGCACUUGAAAGAAUCAAAUAACUUAGGUUUAAAUUUUCAAGUCUAUCGAUGAUCCAGUGAUCAAUGUAUUUGCUUUUUCCCCUGUGAUUGUGAUUCGUGUGUCUGAAAUUGAUAUGUUUUAAAUAUAUAUAGGAUCUGGAAGGUUUCUUCUGAAUGUAUACCCUUUUGCAUUCUCGGAGCAUAGAUUUGACCUUGACUUUGGAUUGAUGGCUUUCGUUAUAUGGUUAUUGUCUAUUAAACUCCUGAAACUAGCAAGUAAUGCCUUAAACUCACGACAUGUACGAUUUGAUUCUCUCAUUAGGGUAUGCUUAUGUCUUGGUCUGUUCUUCACUAUAUGUUGGUUUUUCAACCAUGUAGAUGGGCAGUGUGCUCCUGUUCAAUCCAUCGCGUGACAUAUUCAGGACAUUAAGCAAAUUGCCACUCUCGGGUAUUUGGAUAGGUCAUGGAUGGUGAAGGUAAGGAGUUGUAGAUGAGAAUUUUUUUUUUUUUUUUUUUUUUUUUGGGGUGGGUGGGGGGCAGGGGUUUCUUUUUCACUGGUUGGCCCACAUUUGGAAGAGAAAGUCAUCUGUAUGUAGAAACUCAUUGAUAGGGAUGAUUUUGUGUUCAGAGUCUAUACAUAUUUACUAGUGCUGGUUAGGACUUGACUUACAUUGAUUGAGAUGAAAUCUGGAAUUGUCACUUUUGCUGGUCCAAAGGAAUUCAGUAUUCCAAAUAAUAACCCCUUUAUAUAGUCUUGAGGAAUCAAGGAAGGGUACUUCUAUGCCGAUUGGGUUUUAUGAAGUUGAUCAUAAUCCAUAUGCACACUCAUUAAUGCCACAUUCCAAAUCUGAAUAAACCGAAAAGCAUGUGCUUCAAGAUGUCCUUUUUGGUUUAUGCAUUCUUGUUAUGUUGUUCUUCGUUUUGAAUUUGAAAUCAGGACUCAUAGGCUUAUUAAGAUUAUGGGUUUUAUUUUUUCCACAGGGAAUACCAAAAAGGUCCAAGAGGACGCUUUUGAGAGAAUGGUGCAAUUAUUUGGCCUGUGGAAUUGGAAAAAAUGUGAUGAGAUGAUUUGGCUAGCAACGGGUUGGAAUGAAUUUGCAGAGCAUUACUCUAUCUAUGAGGGCCAAUUUUUGGUCUUCUAAUCUGAAGGGGACUCCAUUUUCCAUGUCACCAUAAUUGAUGAAAUAAUGUCCGAGAUAGAAUAUCCAUCAAUCAAUGUCAAUGUGAGGAACCGAGCCUCAGCAAUUGUGGAAUUGUCUUGCUGAAAGUGGAAGAUGCCUUCGAUUGCUGUGAUGUUUCAGUCAAGCUUGAAGUCUAGGGAGAUGAAUUGCAUUCAGCCAAGUGUCCUCAGUCUUGUAUGGAAAUGGAAUUUGUUCAGGUUUGCAAAGUUCAUGGCGGUUCCUAUGCAUAUUCAUCAGUAGAGUUUGGGGAGGGACAGAAAUUCGAACUGCUCAUCACAAGAUUUUCCAGGUGUGAAUCUUAAUUUAUAAGCUAAUUCUCCCCUUGACUGUGUUGUUCUUGUGUUUGAUUCAAAUACUGUACAGGAGCUGUCCAUGUCGUUAGGCUAAGAGAAACUGCACUAGAGUUAAUGCUACGAGAAACUGUGUUAGAGCUAAUUCAUUUUCUUAGUGUUUCUCUGUCUCUAGAUCUCCCCUGUGUGCAUAUGUAUGUGUUGGGACUAAAUGUGCCGGCGAUUGCCGUGAUGUUUUGGUUGAGCUUGAAAUCUUGGGGGAUGAACUGCAUUCAGCCAAGUGUCCUUAGCUUUGUAUGCCAAUGAAACUUGAUCAGGUUUGCAAAGUUCAUCACAGUUCCCAUGCACAUUCGUUACCAGAAAGUUUGGGGAGGGACAGAAGUUCAAAUUGCUCAUCAUGAGAUUUUCCGGGUGUGAAUCUGAAUAUAUUAGUAAAUUCUGCCCUCGAUGUGUUGUUCUUGUGUUUGAUUCGAAUUCCAUCAGGAACUCUCCACAUUGUUAGGCUAAGAGAAAUUGUGUUGAAGCUAAUUCACUCUCGUAGUGUUUCUCUGUCUAUAGUUCUCCCGUGAAUAUGCAUGUGUUAGGGGAUCUCAUAAAUAAUGGAAACAAGCUAAGAAUCGUAUUGGUGUGCAUAUAGGCCUUGGGAAGCUAGACCAUUAGUAAGACUCAGAUUGAUUCAUUUAGGGUUGCUGGGUUGGCAGAUACGAGUUUUACAUAACAAGAAUAAGAUACAAAAGCAAAAGCUUUCUUCAUGUUCUGUUUGUGACUACUGCAGGUAAGCUGAAAAAGUGGCGCUUAUGCAGAGCUCUCGAACCAGCCAGCAAAUUUAUACUCGAUUAUCCUUUCUCUGAAAUUGCGGUGAGGUUAAUACAUCUGAAGAAAAACAAUGUGGUAAGAUCCUUGUAAUAAUGACGACUCUUGGAUUUAAAUCACAUAAAGCAACCUCAUACUGUCUUCCUCAGAAAUCCUUGGUUGUUUUCUUCUUUGUAAUGACAAAAUUGCGCAAUUUUUACUUGAGCAGAGAGUUCCUGGUUCAUUCCCAAAGACACACGUUAAGAAAAGCCUGCAGACCAUGGCUCUCAUAUUUCAAGAUAAAUCAUGGCCGUUGAAGCUCAUCAGCCACGAGCAUUAUGGAAAGUCAUCUGCCUGCACGAGAGAAACUUCUCUGAAGGUGGAAGAUGUGUGUGUGUGUUCAAGCUUUAUUGAAAGGGACAAAUAUCGGGUUCAGAGUAUCCAUCUUCAGAACCACUGAUAAGACUUGGGUGUAUAAUAAUACCAUGCAAUACGAUAAAGCAAAGGAAGCAUCGCCUUAGCUCACUUUUGGUGAGAAUAGAACUUACAGAAUUGCUAGGCUGAAUUUUGCUUCCGGUUCAGCAAAAUGGAUGAAAGCAUGAGUUUUGUUCCAAUGGAUGGAAUGGUCUUGAACGUGUACGAUACCUUUCCUUGAUCCUGGACUUAGUGAUCACCAUGUGGGCAAGAGUCGUGAGUUGGAGGGAGCUGAUAACUAAU
Molecule: long non-coding RNA, 311083 nt
Filed under: Eucalyptus grandis
Lineage: Eukaryota; Viridiplantae; Streptophyta; Magnoliopsida; Myrtales; Myrtaceae
Description: long non-coding RNA (EGRA_LNC004062)
Source: RNAcentral